ACUUUAAAUCUAGCCUCAUUAAAAUAUUUCUAGCAUCCCCGCCAGUUUUCAUAAUUUUCUGAGACUGUGCAUUUUCUGCUAAUUUAUCUGCCCCGUUUCUCACAGAAAAUCUAAAUCUUCUGUUUUCGCUCUGAAUUCAAGACGGGUCAUUCCAGACUUAUAUUUCACUUCUCUAAAUCUAAUAAAAAUAGUAUCUCAUACUAUUUUUAUUUAUUUCCCUUUUUAUAUUAAAAUCCGCAUAUUACAUCCCACCGUAACUUCAUAAUUUUAGAAGUUCGGUAUCCUACAUCGCCGAUCCUCGAUCGAUAGGAAUCCUCCAAUCGACCUCGCCGCAACUCCUCGCAGCGUCAACGCCUCAACUCCUCGAAGCGUCCACCGAAUCCUUGGCUACACGCGAGAUCCACGCGCCAAAUCUCCUUCCGGAGCUUGUAGAAUCGAAGAUGUGUGGUGAUUAAGCUUUAGAAUCCCAUAAGCUAUGAGGGUCCGUCUUCUAAUCAAACAUCAACUUAAUUCUCGAAUAAGAUCUCGAGUAAAAUCAAAGAACCAAGUCGAUUGUUGAUUUUUCGAAACUUGUUAUGUGAGUAGAAGCAUUAGAAUGGAAAAACAAGUUUCUAGGGUAUAGAAUCAGUAAAAAUUCAAAGCAUUCAUCUUUAAGAUGACCCCCAUAGAUAAAUGUUUAGAAGACUUAGAAGUAGACUAGGAUUGCAAAAAGUCCUUUUUAAAAACAUGUGUCGUCCUCAGAGACCGGUCCUCUCGAGGAGACCGGUCUGUGAAAGACCAGUCUCUCAAGUGAGAGACCGGUCCCUCGCUGCGUGACAAGAAUCACAACGUUCGGGAACCGGUCUCUCAAGCCAGAGACCAGUCCCUCGCUGCGCGACAAAAAUUCCAAUGUUCGGGAAUCGGUCUCUUAUCUCAGGGGACCGGUUGCCUCAACAUUCACGCAGUGAGGACCUUAAGGGAACCGGUCUCUUCAACUAAGGGACCAGUUCCAGAACACAUAAAAGUUCAGUAAAAGAGUUUUAAAGCAAUUUAAGCCUUCUGAACUUAUUACAAUUAAACAUCUUCACCAUAAAUCAUCUAUUCUUCAUACCUGAAGUGCCGAGCUUUCCGAAUGAGUUUUUGUUCUUCAAUUUGAAUCUUUUCUUCAAACUUCCGCGAUCAACUCUUCAAAACUCCAUUCAACUCUACGAAAUCCGCCAACCUAUAAAAUCCUUAACAAUCUCCCCCUUUGGCGAUUUGGUGACAAAAUAUACUACAAAGCUCGUACACAACUCGAAAACAAUAAAAAGAAGAUCAUCGCAAUCAACAAACGAUGAUCUCCUGCAUGAUCGAUCCAAUAAACAAAAAUUACAUUUUUCACAAUCUUAAUACAGACUCUAUGACUUAGACAUGGAGUCUUGAAGUCUUGAAUAAUUCCUGCAAAAAUAUUCUAAAAACACAAUCAAGAUUCAAGCAUACUUAUCAUAAAAGAUCAAACAUAAACGUCAAAGCAAUCAAAGCAACAAGUCAUAGUUCAUAGUUCAUCCAAGCAACUAUCUAAUCUAAAUUUACACAACUAAGCUAAAAGCAUCAAAAGACAUCAUCAUCAUCAUCAUCAUCAGACAUCAUCAUCAUCACAAAAGACAUCAUCAUCAUCAUGAGCCAACAUAUCAUCUCCUCCUUUUUGUCAGAAAGCGCCAAAAUGACAAAAGGAGGAACCCCGCACAGUCAGUCGGAGUCGUCACCCUGCGGCGGAAGAUCUGAGCUGCAACAUCCCAGUUUAUCAAAGAUGGCCUUCAUCAACCGCUUGAUUUUGCUCACAUCUUUCUGUAUCUGAGCUUGAUCCGCAGAAAGUUUUUGAAGCUCCUCAGAUAACCUUUGUUGCUCACGAUAUACUGACGAAACCGAGACAUCCUCCUCAGAAAUAUCCAUGGAAGGACGGGAAGAAGUAGGAGCAGCAGGAGGUGGAGCAGCAAAAGGUGAAGAAGCGCGCUGGGACGGAGUUCGAAGCUGCACGGAGGACUUCACGAACGUCUUUUCAUUGAUCCGCCCCAAGCUAUGCUCAUACGAUGUGCAACGAAUAUCCACCUCAUGGAGUCGCAGAAUCCUCAUGAUAAUUAGUGGAAAUGGCAAUCUUUCAUUCUGUCCUGAAGUCUUGAUACCUUCGCCAUUCUCCGCCAGAUCAAAAACGGGAUAUUCAUGUUGAUAUUCUUUGCACUUACAAUGUCUGGCCUAGCCAAGAGAUACAUGUACAGGAUGCGAUCCCAUCUCAAAAUCUUCGUGUUUGCGAGAGGCAAAAUGUUGUAGCAAACCACGAAGUUCAAAAACCUGUACUCCAUUUUGAAGUCCUUGGACAAAACCGUAAUACCGUUUGACUCUGUUCCCGGCAUGCAAAUAGAGUUCACGACACGGUUCCAAUCACGAAGUGAGUCAAACCCGGCCUGCAGAUACUCCACUCCCUCAGUUCUUACUUCCAUUCCUAGCACAGACGCUAUCGUAUCGGGAGUGAUUGAUAACUCAACACCACGUACGGAAGUGGUGAAUACGUACGGGCCACCGUCGGAGUCACUCAAGUGACAUGCUCUCAUAUAGAAUUCUCUAAUCAACUCUAAACAAAACCCAGUUUGUUCCGGAAAAUCACAAAUCUGAUGAAGAUUUUCUUUUUCAAAUAAAUCCUGAAUUUCCGGCACACAGUCAAUGAUACUGGCAACGCCAACAUCGCGCUCACCAAUACAAUAUUUCGACGAGUGCAUUGACCUUCGAGCAGACGGAACAUCCUGCAGACUGAGACGCUGAGGCUCAGAAUCUGGUUCUCUAAUCUAAACACCUCCAGAUUUCCGACGACCGGUAUAACCAGAUGCCUUUCCUUUUCCUUUAUCCAUGGCUUUGCCUUUCCCUUUAUCAAUGGCUUUUCCUUUGCUCUUUUCUUUUCUUGUAUCCUUAUCCUUAGCCAACACCUCUGGAGUAAAAGCCUCCCAGUCCGGCUCGUCCUUCUCAGAUUCGUCGCCAGGAGCAUACUCAUUCCCUUCAUCUUGCGGUUGUUGCUUAACCGGCCGUUUACCUGAAGAGCGCUGUCGUUUGCUUCCGCGACCACCCCCGGCCAUCAGGACCACAAGCACAAGUAAUCAUGAAUACAUUUUGAAGAAAUCCCCUGUUAAACAUAAUGUUUUUUAUAUAUGAAACAUAAGAACACUUAAUUUUGAUCCCAAAAAAAAUUUCAACAAAUUGAUAUAUAAAUGCUAGAUAAUCCUAGGGGCCACAAAACAUGAGAAGCAUGAACAACGUAUGCAACAAAAAUUAGUAAAACCACAUGAUUCCCAAAAAAUUUUGAAAAAGCUAGGUUUUGAAGAUGAAAACCUACAAAAAUGACCAAAAGGAUGAAGAAAUACAAGACAAUACGAAGAUAACAAAUCUAAUAACAAGAUCGAAACACUAAAUGCAAAAAAUCUGAAACAAAACUCAUUUUCGGAGUAUAUGAUAAAAAUGCAACAAAAUCCGAAAAUCAUACCUAAAAUCAGUGCAAAUCCACAAGGAACGUGAGUAAACCUACUCUGGAGACAAGGGAGGAGCAAGGAGAACGCAGGGAAAGAAGAAAACAAAAUUUUGAAAGCAGUACAUAACACAUCAUGCGAAAAACCCUUUAUCAGGUCUGGCGGAUGGACCGGUCUCUCCUGCCUGGGACCGGUCCCAGAGCCUGAAAUUUCGAAAAAUUUUAAAUUAAGCCCAAAAUAUUCUAGAAAAAAUAUAAGUUUUUCCACAAUGUUCAAUCAUCAAAAUAACCAAUUUCCAUUCUCAACAACUUCAAAUAAAAUUUCAUAAAUAAUUUUUGAAAAGUCAAUUUCAAGGAUAUUCAAAUGUCAAAAUUGUUGACCCGAAAAUCAAUUAAAAUUCUAGAUACAUAUAAAAUAAAAUCCCAUAUAUCAUGCAAGAUCUAGAAAUUUAUUGUAUUGUUUUAUCAUCAUAUUUGUUAAAGAAAAUGUAUAAAUAAUUCUCAGAAUCGUGAAAUUAAAAUAAUAUGUUCAAAUUGAGUUAUGCACAAUAUUCGAGACAGGAGUGGCUCUUUGAGCAUCUUUUUUAUUAACAUUCCACCUUAUAUCACCUAUGAGAUGUAUAGAUCUUUGAGCAUUUUUCUUUUUAUCUCUGAAAGGUACUUUCCUUUUGUCUUAUAGAGAUACGUUAAUCAACAUGUGGUAGCUGCACACACUGACCGGACGACCGGGGUGGUAGCUCUUUCCUCCAUGUGGUGGUAGUUUUCACAUUCCCAGCAGGGAUGUAACUCUUUCCACAUCUUAAAUUUCAGAAACUUUCAUAACCAAAAUCGGAAAGACUCCCCCUAAAAUAGUGCAACCCUAAAGUCAAAAAUAUUAUUGCAAUUUCAAAAACAGAGAUAGUGUUAUUCUUCUCAUAAUUAAUAAUCAAACAAACAAUUGCAACAUUCAAAGUUCGAAGCAUGAGGUGUUGAAUUUGAUUCAGUAUGCUAAACAGAAUUUUAAUGAUUUGAUCGUUCAAAAAUUAUGACAAUAGAGAACAACCUUGACAGUGAACAAUCAAAAACUAAAUAUGAAACAAUUAAAGUCAAACAAUUGAGCUAACACUGACCAAAUCAUCUCCCAAAAACAGCAACAUUUUUCAAGAAAGUCAAUCGUCUCUCAAGCAUAAUCAGGAAAUACUGGAAACCAUGCACAAAAACAAAAUGCAACAUGCACAUGAUCUAUGGCCCAAUAGAAUAUAUCUAGAUUGAAGGAUUCAUACCAAUCGCCUUUCUUAAAUGCAGAAAACGUUUUUGAUCCAAAGGUUUGGUUAAAAUAUCUGCAAGUUGAUUUUCAGUCGAAAUAUAUUCAAGCUGUAGAAUGUUUGAUUCAACCAGUUCUCUUAAAAAGUGAUAUCUUAGUUCAAUAUGUUUUGUUCGUGAAUGUAAAACAGGGUUUUUAGAAAUAUUUAUUGCACUUGUGUUGUCACACAGAAUAGUAAGGGAGGAGGAAGGUAUUCGAUAGUCGCUCAGUAAACUUUUCAUCCAAAUCAAUUGAGUAGAGCAACUCCCGACCGCAAUGUAUUCAGCUUCUGCAGUGGAAAGAGCAAUACAGUUUUGUUUCUUACUGUGCCAAGCAACCAGACAGUGACCAAUGUAGAAACAAGCUCCACUAGUACUUUUCCGAUCAUCUGCAGAGCCUGCCCAGUCAGCAUCUGAGUAGCCGAUUAGAUCAAGAGAUGUUCCCAUAGGAUACCAAAAGCCAUAUGCGGUUGUACCUUUAACGUACCGAAUGAUCCUUUUAACCGCUUUCAGAUGAACUUCCUUAGAAUUUGCUUGAUAGCGAGCACAAAUUCCAACACUGAAAGCAAUAUCUGGUCUGCUCGCAGUUAUGUACAAUAGGCUUCCAAUCAUGCUUCUGUAUUGUUUCUCAUCCACGCUCUGUCUUUCCGAAUUCACCCCAAGUCCUUUGUUACUUGUACCCAUCGGAGUGUCAAAAUCCUUUGCACUGUCCAAUCCAAAUUUCUUAACCAAAUCUUUCGCAUAUUUGGAUUGACACAAGUGAAUUCCAUCUUUAGUUUGUUUAACUUGAAGUCCAAGGAAAUAAUUAAGCUCCCCCAUCAUCGACAUCUCAAACUCGCUUGUCAUCAAUUUUGCAAAAUCAUUGGCAUCCUUAUCUUUAGUUGCCCCGAAGACUAUGUCAUCAACAUAAAUUUGUGCCACAAUGAAAUCAUUCUUUAAGUGUUUUACAAAGAGAGUUCUAUCCGCUCCCCCUCGGUUAUAGCCCUUUUCAAAAAGAUAUUUUGUCAAGCGCUCGUACCAUGCUCGCGGAGCCUGUUUUAGUCCAUAAAGUGCCUUUUUCAGUCGAAAAACGUGAUUUGGAAAUUUUGAGUCUAUAAAACCUUUCGCUUGUUCAACAUAAACUUCCUCUUUUAAAAAUCCGUUUAGAAAAGCACUUUUAACAUCCAUUUGAAAAAGAGUGAUUUUAAAAUGGCAGGCAAUCGUGAACAAGAUACGAAUUGAUUCAAGACGGGCAACCGGGGUGAAGGUUUCAUCAAAGUCUAUUCCCUCAAUUUGUGAGUACCCCUGAGCAACAAGUCUCGCUUUGUUCCGAACAAUAGUACUAUCCUCAUUUUUCUUAUUCUUAAAUAUCCAUUUGGUACCUAUUAUGUGUUGUUGCUCAGGACGUGGCACUAAUUCCCAUACAUCAUUGCGGACGAAUUGACCAAGUUCUUCUUGCAUGGCAUUUAUCCAAUAUUCAUCACGUAGAGCUUCAUCAAUAUUCUUUGGCUCAAUCAGAGAAACAUAACAUGCAAAUUCACAUUGUAGCUGACUUCUUGUUCGCACACAAACAUUAGGAUCCCCAAUGACAUUCGAUAAAGGCUGAUCUCUUGACUCCGUCAGGGGUGUAGUCUCAGGAGUUGUACUAGGGAUUUCAGAUGACGUGCUUUGAGGCUCAGAUGAAUCAUUUGAUACAACAUUUUCAGAAGAUGCAAUAGAAUUGUCAAGUGCAGAAACAUCAUCAUUCACAGGCAAUACAAACGGAGAAUCAUUAUCAUCAUCAUUCACCAAAAAAGUAGAAGAAUCAUUCACAGAAGAACUUACAGAAGAAGCUUCAUCUACUUUUAUAUUGAUAGAUUCUAUCACCGUCUUUGUAACACACUGGACCUUUGCAAAUUGCGAGGUUCGAGUGUUUGGAUGUAUUUCGAGCUUUUCCACACUUGGUGGAGGGUUGUAAAAUGUUUCCCGACCCGAAAAGUUCGAAAUCUGGAACCUUGGACAAGUCCUGAGAGUUUUUACUCUCGGGGACCGGUCCCUGGAAGGAGAGACCGGUUCUCCCAGUGAGCAGUGUUGAGGCAGCCUGAGGCAACCGGUCCCUGGCAGGCGAGACCGGUUCCCGAACGCGUCUUCGCGGUAAGAGACCGGUCCCGCGCAGGGAGAGACCGGUUCCCGAACGCUGGUUUUUCGGGUUCGCAGCGAGAGACCGGUCCCUGCUGGGGAGAGACCGGUCCCUCUGGGCGAAAACUGCCCAGUCCGGGCUGACGUAUUUUUGGAUUUUUGAGGGACCUCCUGGGAUUUUGUUACUUUGGAUGGCCUAAAUAGCCCUUCCACCCUCUCUCUUUCUCAUUUCUCUCCUCACACUCCCUCCAUACCUUUGUUAGAGAGAGAAGAAGGAGGAGAAGAAGAAGGAGAAGGAGGGAAGAAGAAGUUUGGAGCCACUAGUGGACUUGGAGCACCUUCCUCACCCUCUCAUCUUCCUUGGUGCUAGAAGGCUUGGGCUUGGAGCUUGCAUAGGAGGAGACCUUCACCCUUGGAGCUAGGAUUGGAGCUUCUAAGGAGGUUUGUUGCCCAUUUCCCUCCUCUAGACCUUGUUUUGAUGGUUUUUGUAGUUGGAACCCUAGAAAUGAGAUUUAGGGUUGAUUUUUGGGGCUUCUUGAUCUAGGGCUUUUGGGGUUAAAUUGAUUGGUUUAGAACCUUCCUUGGGCUUGGAUUGGAAGGGUUCUAGCUCUCUUUUGGAGCUUUGGGAGAGAUUUCUACUCUUGAGGUUAGUUUUGGCCCUAUUUGUUUCUAGAUUGAUGUUUGAUCCUAUGGUUGGUCGUAAUGCUCUCGUAUCUCUUCGCUGAUCACUUUUAGGAUAUCUUGAGGCUCGUGGACAACUUUGUUCGGCGAAUCGAGACCCUACGUGACGGUUCGGUGGGUUUGACCUAGCCACACAAUGAGAAAUUCUCAUUUGUGCUUAACUUUGUGUCGUUAAAUGAAAAAGCAUGCAUAUUCUUGUUAUAUGUAUUUAUUAUGAAUUUUAGAAUGCUUAACAUGCAUAGGUUAUGUGUAGUAAAUUUUGGGACCUCUAUAUGGUAAAGAGCAUGCAUGUGUGGCCCAGCAUUCUAGUUGCGAUUUGAAAUUGUAAUCCCUAUUAUGAAAACGAACCUUGCUUUCAUGCAUUCAAACCAUAUACCAGAUGUGACAUUAGGGAUUUUUGAAAGCCUAGAGAGGCUUAGGGACUUAGAUGAUAUGUGAGAUUGGGCCAAUGUCAUGAAGAGGCAUUGGGGCCCGGGGCAUAGUGAGCAUUAAUGUUAAUGUCUUAAUUGGAACAUGAUUAGUUGUGGAGCUUAAGUGUCAUAAAGAGGCACUAAGCAAGUGUGUGUUGGGACUUCACUUUAUGACUUGAGCUAGAUCUUUGGGAUACUAGUGACUAUACCAUGUUAGAGACAUGAGGAUUGGGUACUUGAGACCGUGACCUCGCUUGUUUGCCAUUUGUGCUCAUUCGCACAUGCUUGUGAGGGUCGCUCCCCACAAGCCGGCACUCCGGAGUUGGCCUAUGCGAUUUUUGUUCGCUCGUGCGAUAUUGAGAAGCCUACGGGGUCGAGUGGGACAGACACAUUCCAAGAGUAGGGAUGUUGGGCUACCACAGGCACUUAGGCGGCACAAGCUGGACUACCUUUGGUAGGUCCUUAAUUGGAAAUGAAAAUCGAUACGGUGUUGAGAAUGAACAAUCACUACUAGAUAGGCUUAGUGGUUGGAUUACAUUUACAUGCAUAUAUCAUAGGGUUGAGACAUGUAGUAUACCUUACAGUUACCUAUUUCAUCACAGCAUACUUGGUUGCCACAAUAGAGCUUAUACAUCAUGGUUGAAUAAAAGGGUUGUAACAGUAAACUAUUGCCAUUGGUUACUUUUCCUUAUGAUAAAAUAGAUGUACAACACCUUGACAUCGUGCUUAUGAGGAAUAUAGUAGUGUAGCAUUCUGCUUAUGCAUUCUCUUUCAGCAGUCAUUUACAUACUCCUUUUUUUUUAUUGCUUAUGGCUUUUAGCAUUACUUACCCUUGUUUUUGGGGCCUAGUGGAGCAGGAGCUGAGGUCAGUAAUUGCCCACUGGGAACUAUAAAUUAUAGUUCUCAUGCCCUCUUUUCUCGUUGUUUUUCAGAGCCUUCCACACAGGGUGAGGCCAGGGAUCGCGGAAAGGGUAUCGCCUCGGGCUAGCGCGCUUACCGAGGGAUCGUUCGAUAGGUGGUCUACCUCUCGUGUUUUUCUUUUUGUGAGAGGUUGAGAGUUGUACCCGUAUAUGUAUAGAGACCACCAUCUUUGUACUAGAGACAGUUAUUGUACUACUUAUGGCUAUCUUUGUUUGACUAGCUUUAUUUCUUUACUUUGGUGUAGAUGAUAGAACUUUACUUGCUCUGAUAUCAUUAGUUGCUAGUUAUUUCACUACUUUUAUUUGUUCUAUCUCUUGCCUUCACUUCCGCUUUUCUUCUAGACGCCUUAUAUGUGUAGACAUAUGGCGGGUCUGGGCACGCUACCGGGAGGGCCUCCGCCGGUCCCGGGGCGUGACAGUCGUAGAUCGUAGAUUGUACGCACGAUAAGCACGACUUGUAGUAGAAUAACUAAGAAAAAUCCCUUCGUCACUUCGAGAGUCAAAUUUUUCAAGAUUUUCACAAUCCCGAAGGAUAAAACAUUUACUCCCGAAGACACGAAAGUAUUUAAUAUUAGGUUUCCUACCAAGCCAAAGUUCAUACGGAGUAUUCAAAGUACCCGGGCACACAUAAAUCCGAUUAAUAACGUAGAUAGCCGUGUUAACUGCUUCGGCCCAAAAGUGUAAAGCGAUUUUCUUACUAUGAAGCAUAACACGAGCCAUCUCCUGUACAACCCGAUUCUUGCGUUCAACCACUCCGUUUUGUUGGGGUGUAUAAGGAGCCGAGAAUUCAUGUUUUAUGCCAUUUGAAACACAAAAAUCAACAAAUUUUGAAUUUAUGAAUUCUUCCCCUUGAUCACUUCGAAUACGUACAAUUUUAUCAUUCCGUUCAGUCAUAAGACGAAGACAGAUUUCAGAAAAAGAAUCAAAAGUAUCAGCUUUUUCUCGUAAGAAGGCACUACAUACAAAACGAGUAAAAUCAUCAACAAUAAGCAAGAUAUAUCGUUUUCUACCCAAACUUUGAAUCCUAGAUGGUCCCAUUAAUUCCAUGUGAAGUAACUAUAAGGGCUUAGAUGUCCCUAAGUGGUUCAAAUUCUUAUGUGCGGAUCUAGUUUGUUUUCCUAAUUGACAACCCCCACACACAGCGUUUUCUUUGAAGUCUAUCUUAGGUACACCUCUAACAACCUCCUUCUUUGUUAUCUUGGAUAGCUCCUUAAAAUUUAUGUGACCUAGUCGUUCAUGCCAUAAAGUUUCAGUCUCUGAUGACGCUAGGUUACAAUAUUCAAUCGAAGAACUAGGAACUACAAAACAGUUAUUCUGAGAUCUAAUUGUCACGCCCCGCCCCGAAACCACCACCAAUUUGGCACGGUUCGGCCGCGGCGGCGGGCCACCGAACGGACAGCACCUCCCCUAUCUGCCCAAGGCUCAACACAGGAAUGUGUACAAGAAUUUACCCAGAAAAUUAAAUUCUAAACAUACACACUCACAAGGGCACAACCAGUGCCAAAAACACAAAGAGCAAACAAAUCCACAAGAUGCACAUGUGAAAUAAAGAGAGUACUUUACUAACUAUUACAUUAAUUCCAACCUUCUCAUUUACAUCAUUUUUUUUAAAUGAAUACAUUUGUCAUCCAAAAAUACAUAGCUCUCCAAAUCCUCACCUACAAUGAAUCUCUCUCAAUAUACAUAGGUGUACUAAUGCAAAAGGAAAGCUACUAUACUACCAUGGUCUCACUGAUCGGGCGCGAUGCCCUUGCCGCGGUCCUCUCUCUGCAGCCCUGAACCUACCACUGGAAAUAGAGUGGGGUGAGAACUAUCUUCCAUAGUUCCCAGUGGGCUCGGCCGCCGACUCUGCCGAUCUCCCCGCUAGGUCCAAGUGGGCACAAGCAACAAUAGAUAGAUAGAUAGAUAGAUAUGUAUCGGGAAGCUGUAAAUGCAAUAGUAGGAAAAACUAUGCUACUAUGCCCAUAAUCAUGAAUAUGAAUACAUGCAUCAUAUAAUAAAGGUUUGCUAUCAUGCUAACAAAUUCGAUCCAUGUUCGAAUAGCAAUGUUCAAUGACAUUAAUAAACCUUUGACCUUUCCAUUUACCCAAUCUGUGGCGAUGCCCUAGGGCUUGCCCAUGACUCACCUUUCAAUCCUAAAGUGGGGAAGGAGCUCCAAGUGCACCCAAGCCCGGGACCGUCUGCGGACCUCCAUGUGGUCCGGACCUCCAAGUGGUCCUAGUCGCACGACACUCCGGAGUACUCGACGACCAUCCCCUCCAUGUGGGGAUUGGAUGGCUAUACCAUCCCAAACGCAGACUGUGAGCUAGAUCUAUCAUCUCCAAGUAAGGAUACUCUACAACUAGAGUCAACAACUCAAUCAAGUCCUCUCCAAGUGAGGAUGCUAUCAACUAGAGUCAAUACCCAAUCGAGUCCUCUCCAAGUGAGGAAACACUAUCACUAGGGUCCACAACCCAAUCAAAUCCUCUCCAAGUGAGGAUGCCCCACCACUAGGGUCAAUGUCUCAAUCGACUCAUCAACAACCUCUCCAUGUGAGGCUACUUAGNUGCUAGUUAUUUCACUACUUUUAUUUGUUCUAUCUCUUGCCUUCACUUCCGCUUUUCUUCUAGACGCCUUAUAUGUGUAGACAUAUGGCGGGUCUGGGCACGCUACCGGGAGGGCCUCCGCCGGUCCCGGGGCGUGACACGUACAUGUGGGUACUUCGAUCCGAAGUCGGUACAGUGGUGCACGCUCGGUGACAUCUUCUUACCCUUGACUUUGAUUAUAAUAAUAAUGAUGAUGGUUCUUUUUUCCUUGUUGUCUUUUAUUAAGAAUGAAGAAUGAUCACAAUGUUACCUUGCAUAUAUAUAUAUAUAUAUAUAUAUAUAUAUAUAUAUAUAUAUAUAUAUAUAUAUAUAUAGAGAGAGUNGAUCACUAGGCAAAUGAUAUCGAAAAAUAAUAAAAUUUAUUUUCUAGGUACUCCAAAUACUCUAGAUCAAGUUUAACAGAGCCGAUCGACGAUUCGAAAGUCGCAACAUUGAAAACGAGCUGGAAGCACGGAAGGCUCCGUGCUUCCGAUAGCAUAGUAACCUCACUCUAUAUAUAUAUAUAUAUAUAUAGUGUUGAGCCUAGCACCCAUGUUGUUCCUGUUUUACUCUACUUGGUUGUUUUCAUGUCUAAUAUCAUGAGUAGGAGUAGAGCAGAUUUGUGAUUUCAUGUGAGAUCGGUGACCUAGUUGGUCGGUUCUUGUAUUCCGUAUUUGUGAUCUAUUCGGUCGGUUUAUUGCAUUUGUCAUCGUGACCUAGUUGGUCUGUUCUUGUAUCCCUUAUCUGUGACCUGUUCGGUCAGUUUACUGCAUUUGUUAUCGUGACCUAGUUGGUCGGUUCUUGUAUCCCGUAUUUGUUACCUAUUCGGUUGGUUUACUGCAUCUGUUAUUGUGACCUACUUUGUCGGUUGGACUACUUGAUGACCUAUGAGGUCAGUGUACCCUGAGGGGUAGGAUUGUCGGCUAGUGGCUGACGACUAGUUCUGGAUUAUACCGUUGCAUGACAUGACAUUCUUGUGACCUAUUGGCCGGUUCUUGUGCAUAUAUGUUAGUUGACAUUGAGUGGUCGAUACUUGCACACUUUAGGAAGGAUGUUAAGUUGUUCUAUCCUAGUUGACCUGAGUGGUCGGUAUUGUUUUCCCUACGGUUUGAUGACCUAUUGGUUGGUGUGCCCCGAGGGGUGGUGAUUGUCGGCUAGUUGCCGACGGUUGGCUAUUGAGCAUAUCAGCAUCGAUCGCCACAUACUCGUUCGCAUUUUACGAACACCAGCGGUCUGAUCCACCGCGGCCGGGUGUUUUUUUUCAAAAAAGUGGUUGGAUGUGCUAGCCCGUGAGCCUAGCCGUCAGAACUAGGUUAUAUACAGCCCGUGAGCCCAGCCGUCAGAACUUGGUUAUAUACAGGUAGAGUGGCAGUGGCGUUGGCUUGAGGUCUGCGGACCGUCAUGCCAGAUUUCUUAUCGGGUAUUUUUUGGACUGAUUGUCCGGUUGAUGCAUAUUUAUACUUUGAUCUGUAUUACAGUAGCGGCUAGUCAUAUUCCUAUAUAUUGUUGUUUACCCAUGCAUCAUUACUACUGUAAUUAUGAUAUCCAUAUAUGCAUUCUGUUCCAUUUUACAGUAGCGGUAGUUACAUGCUUUAUUACUGUUCCCUUUCCUUCAGACAUUAUAACUACUGUAGCUAUGAUAUCUACCUAUGACAUUGUUGAUCUCUUUCUGCCGGUGAGUACACCUUGCCUUCAUCAGCUUGCGGUACCCACUGGGAGGGGAGACAUGUGUACAUGUUCUGACCCCCGACCCCCCUUUCAGGUGACAUUGCUUGUCCGAGUCGGGACGGUUCGUGAGGUGCGUGUCUUAGCGAGCGAUAGAGCUAUCGGCUCGCCGUUUUGGUUAAACUUUUCAAACUUUUCUUUUAAUAAUUGAAUUAGUAUUUAUGGUUCAGUUGGUUUUCAGUUAUACGGGCAAAUGUGGUUUUGUGAAAUGAAUAAAGUACUAUGAUUUUCUUAUGAGAUGAAAACGAUUUUCUACCCCUCGUGGUAGCGCAUUUCUAAAGAAAAAGGGUUUCCGUGUGGGAAACAAUUUUAAAAAGAGUUUUCCUGAUUUUCAUGAUUCUUAGUGUUUCAAAAUGAGUUUCCGAGUAGGAAACGUUUUAAACUAAUAGAUGUGGAUUUAUGGUAAACUUGUGAUGGAAUAAAUGUAAUAUAGUACACUGAACUUGGCAAAUUGCGCAGUUCGAGUGUGGGAAUGACAUUUGGAACCCUUCUACAUCUUUUAAAGGGUGAUAGAGAAGUUUUCGGCAAGUUAGUGAAGUGAUCGAACGGCCGGAAAAGCGUAUUACAAAAUGUCAAAAUUGCAUUCUGCAUUGAGUACCGGUACCAAUGUGAUGGGGUACCAGUACCAGCACAAGCUGCUACGUGGCUGUGAGGAGAAUUCAAUCAUUUCACUUCUAAAACUUAUCUACAACCCCUAAGCUCGACCCCAGCAGCUCAACCCGCCGUCGCGCCGUUCUCGUGUGAACCUGAAACCCCAAAACCACGUGGGGUGAGAACUAUAUAAAUAUAGCUCUCAGUGGGUACGGUCACCCAAGGGAAGAGCUCGACCCACCAGGUCCAAAGGAGGCACUGCAAACAUAUUAGUCCAACAAAUAUCCACAUAUAUAUAUAUAUAUAAUUUAUGCAACUAACAAUUAUCAUUUUCAUGCCUCACAAUAUGCAAUAUGCGAAUCAUGAAAGUAGUUCACUUGAUUCUAUUCUUUACCAUUUGUCAUUCUUCAUUAUUAUUCGUUCUUGAUUACUAGCCAUUCUUUAUCGCUAGCCGUUCUCUAACGCUAGCCAUUUCUUAUUACUAGCCGUUCUUGAUUCUUAGCCAUUCUUUAUUAUUGCUAUACUUUAACAUUAGCCGUUCUUUAUUCUUUAUUCUUUAUUCUUUACUAAGGGUACUCACAACUUAGCCAUAUUAUACACAUUUGCCAUUCUUUCCUAAGGUUAUUUUACCUUAGCCAACUAUACCACUCGACUCGGUCUUGAGUCAAUCAACUGUGGAUAAUUCGCGCUCUAUCAGGCUCGAGGUGAAUGAACUAUCACAUACACCUCAGCCACCAAUCCACAAACCACAUAGCCCAAUGGGUAGCUUAGAACAGCGCACACCCGCGGUCAGGAAUCUUCCCGGUGGGAGGGGAGUAUACCACAUGCACCAUAGCAAUCCAAAAUUCUUCCGGUGGGAGGGGNUAUUAUUAGUCAUUCUUUAACACUAGCCGUUCGUUAACGCUAGCCAUUCCUUAUCUUUAGCCAUUCUUGAUUCUUAACCAUUCUUUAUUACUUGCAAUUCUUUAUUCUUUGUCACACUAUGGUCAUUUGCCAUUCUUUAUUAAGGUUAUUUUACCUUAGCCAACUAUGCUACUCGACUCGGUCUUGAGUCAAUCAACUGCGAAUAGUCCACGCUCAGUCAGGCUCGAGGCGAAGGACGUCUCACAUGCACCUCAGCCUUGAAUCCUCUCAACUGUAGGUCUUCUCAUAGGGUGAGGAAAUACCAUCAAACCCUGAACCACCGGUCACUCAACGGAUCUACGGGCGAGGAGAACCACACAUACCCGUUGAAUUACUGCCGGGCGAGGAGAACCACACAUACCCGCAGUUAUAAUUCACUUGCGCUUGAUCGCAAGUCUCAUCCGCUGCACUAGCAGCCGUUGCACUAGCAUCCUUCAUUCCUAGGGAUUCUGGAAUCCACAUUCAUGUCUCUAGGGUUGGUCUUAUACCCUACAGUGUCGACCUAUCGAGGUCCAAGCCAUUACUCAACCUAAGUUUAAUACAUUAGGUCCAAUGUCACUAUGUUCAUAGCCUAGGUUCUAUAAUACUAGGUCCGAUGUUCUUUACUACCUAGGUUCAUUUGACUCUAGGUUCAAUUCUCUACUUAUGUUCAAUGCCACUAGGUUCAAUGCCACUCAUGAUUUACCUAUGUUCAAUACACUAGGUUUCAAUACCACUCAUGAUACUUGUUAUCCUAAUUAUCCACACUUAGGAUUCUUUACAUGCCACACUUGUCAAGUUCUUUAUUCUUUCUCAAGUUCAUCGUCCACGAUUCAACAUUCACAUCUAGGCAUACAUAUCCUAUAUGCUUACUCAUGCCGAUGUCUUUAUCAUUCAAGGGUAAACAAUAUACCUCAUGCAUUCUUGACUAGCAUAUAUCAUAUGCAUUCAUGAUUAGCAUCUCUAUUAUGCAUUCUCAUUCAUAACUAGCAUCUCUAUCAUGCAUUCAUUAUUAGCAUACGUCUUAUGCAUUCAUUAGCAUCUAGCUCAUGCAUUCUCUCAACAUAUACUCUAUGCAUUCUUUAUUAGCAUCUCAAUCAUGCAUUCUCAUUCAUAACUAGCAUCUCUAUCAUGCAUUCAUUAUUAGCAUACGUCUUAUGCAUUCAUUAGCAUCUAGCUCAUGCAUUCUCUCAACAUAUACUCUAUGCAUUCUUUAUUAGCAUCUCAAUCAUGCAUUCUCAUUCAUAACUAGCAUCUCUAUCAUGCAUUCAUUAUUAGCAUACGUCUUAUGCAUUCAUUAGCAUCUAGCUCAUGCAUUCUCUCAACAUAUACUCUAUGCAUUCUUUAUUAGCAUCUCAAUCAUGCAUUCUCAUUCAUAACUAGCAUCUCUAUCAUGCAUUCAUUAUUAGCAUACGUCUUAUGCAUUCAUUAGCAUCUAGCUCAUGCAUUCUCUCAACAUAUACUCUAUGCAUUCUUUAUUAGCAUCUCAAUCAUGCAUUCUCAUUCAUAACUAGCAUCUCUAUCAUGCAUUUAUAUAACAUCUAUCUCAUGCAUACUAGAUUAGCAUACGAUACAUUCAUUUAGCAUUUAGCUCUUGCAUUCACUUAGCAUCCAACUCAUGUAUUCAUGUAGCAUUUAGCUCAUACAUUCACUUAGCAUAACUUAUGCAUUUUUUAUUAGCAUCUCAAUCAUGCAUUUAUAUCUAAAUUAUGCAUUUAUAUAACAUCUAUCUCAUGCAUUCGUUUAGCAUCUAGCUCAUGAAUCUAGCUCAUGUUAUUUAGCAUAUGACUCAUGCAUUCAUUCACUUGGCAAUUAACUACCAUUUCAUGCAUCAAUAAUGUAACACACUUCACUUUGGCAUGGAAGCGACCUAAUCGCUUCGGUAGAGCACAACCCACCUAAUAUUGCUCUCCGAUUGCUUGUAGUCACUUGUAACCAGCCUCCCGCGGCACACGUGUCCGGUUUGGCUCGCACUCGCCUCGCAAACGAUCACCGAACACUUGUCGAUUCUCAACUUAGAGUUGUUAGGAGCUCAUCUCUAGCCUUCAAUUAGAGAAAUACGGGGUUAUUAUAGAUCAAAACCCUUAAACCCCAAAACACUCAUUUCUAGCCCUAACUUUUCAUUUCUCCCAAAUAGCCUAAGUAUUCAUGGAGAAAACAUGCUAGAAACAUUCUAAGGGUUAUUAAAACACUAAGCAUUAAGGAUCAAACCAAAUUCCAAAAGCUUAACAAAAUGUGAACGCCAAGACAGAAGCACGCCACUCAACCAGGUGCACAAAGACCCGAUCCGACGCACCCAACGCGUUCCAAAGCUCGCUCUCCGCCAACACCGCGAAUUGAGAGAAAGACUAGAGAAAGGAGAGAGAUAUCUAGAGAGAGAAUGGGAGGGUUUCUCUCUCCCUCACCAUGCAUGUGUGUGUGUGUGGUGUGUACGGUUGAGAAGGGAAGAAGAAGCCCCACUACAUAAAGCCCUCCACCAACAUUACACAAUUUUAGUUUAGCAGCUUAGAAUCUGUUCCUUUUCGCCGGAGGCCUUCUGAAUGUCCGUUUAUGCUCAAAUUUGACAGUCAGGCUCGGUUUAAGCUAAUAAAAAGAAAUAUAUCUUAACUUUUCAUUUGGACCAUUUUUGGUCACCGAAAGCUCUACUGAACUGAAAUCUCUAGCAGAUAACAGUCGGAUUUUAUUUUUCACUUUCCGGGUGUCGGAAUGACAUGAAACAUUAAAUUUAGCCUCAUGAAAAUAAUUCCGACAUAUUUCCAAGUUUUCAUAAUUUUCUGACACUGUGAAUUUUCUGCUAAAAUAUCAGCUCCGUUUCUCACAGAAAAUUCUAAAUUCUCUGUUUCCGUUUCGAUUUCAGCACAAGUCGUUUCCGACUUAUAUUUUACUUCUUAAAUCCAAUAAAAAUAGUAUCUCACACUAUUUUUAUUUAUAUUUACUUUUAUAUUAAAAUUCGGUACAUUACACCUAUGCUUUCAUCAUCCAAUGGUAGUCAAUACAUAGCAUCUAUCUCAUGCAUUCACAAUUGCAAUUAAACUACCAUUACAUGCAUCAAUAAUACAACCAACUUCACUCUUUGGCAUGGAAGUGACAUAAUCAUUUCGGUGAAGCACAACUCACCUAAUGAUACUUUCCGAUUGCUUGUCGACACUUGCAAUCGGGCUCCCGUGACACACGUCGCCCGGUUCGGCUCGAACUCGCAAUCGAUCAUCGAACGCUCAUCGAAUUCCAACCUAGAGUUAUCAGGGGCUCUCUUUUAACCUUCAAUUAGAGAAUUAGGAGAUCAAUUAGGUUCAAAACCCUAAAACCUCAAAACCCCCAAUUCCAAACCCUAAUUUCUCAUAUUCUCCAAAUACCCCAAAAAUUCAUAGAGCAACAUGCUUAGAAUUAUCUAGGAUCUCUAGAAUACCAUUCAUAAAGGAUUUAAUCAAAAUCCUCAACUCUCAACAAAAUGCGAACCUCAAGUCGAAGGCACGCCAUACUACCAAGCGCUCAAAGACUCGAUCCAUCGCUCCCCAUGCGUUCCCGAGCUCGCUCUCCACCAAAACCCUAAGUUUUGGAGAGAGAUUUAGAGAGGAGAUGAGAGAAAACUAGAGAGAAAAAGGAGAGCUUCUCUCUCUCUCUCAAGUGUGUGUGUGUGUGUUUUGCGUUGGCUGGGGAAGAAGGAGAAGGAAGGGUUCUCCUUUAUAAGCCUAUGCCUUCAAUUUACCAAAAUGCCCCCUUUCUGGGCAACCCGCGUGUACGGGGUUUGGACCUUGCACUCAGGGUCCGGACCCCGAGAGCACUUCCAGCUUGAAAUGACCUGGAGUUGGCGGCCGUAGUCUUUGCAUUGAAGCUAUGGCGCCAUUACUUUUAUGGCGAGUGGUGUGAAGUGUAUACGGAUCACAAGAGCUUAAAAUACUUAUUCACUCAAAAGGAGUUGAACUUGAGGUAGCGCAGAUGGUUGGAGCUCCUCAAGGAUUAUGAUUUGACAAUCCUUUACCACCCAGGCAAAGCUAACGUGGUGGUGGAUGCGCUAAGUCGGAAAUUGACGGAAAACUUAGCGAUGCUUGUGGUUACUGAACCGCCCUUGAUCGAGCAGAUGAAGCGGUUGGAGUUAGAGGUGGUGGCUCCUGAUAUUCCUUUGAGGUUGAUGGCUUUGGUGAUGUAACCUAACCUUUUGGAUAAAAUCAAAGAAAAGCAAGCUCACGAUGUGGAGUUGCAAAGGCUUAGAACUAAGAUGGUUGAGGGUUGCACCGGUGACUUUACUGUGGACGGUGUUGGAUUGAUGCGUUUCCGCGGUUGUGUGUACCGGCGGAUUUGAAUAUUAAAGAGGACAUUCUUCAAGAAGCACACCGUGCACCCUAUGCGAUACAUCCGGGAGGCAUCAAGAUGUAUAAGGACUUGGAGUUGCUUUAUUGGUGGCCCGGGAUGAAAAAGAACGUUGGUGAGUUUGUUGCUAGAUGUUUAACUUGCCAACAGGUGAAAGCUGAGCAUCGAGUCCAUGCGGAAAAAUUACAGAGCUUACCGAUUCUAGUAUGGAAAUAGAAGAAAAUCACCAUGGACUUCGUGAUAGGAUUGCCUCGCUCACAGGUCGGGCAUGAUGUUAUUUGGGUGAUCGUGGAUAGGUUGACGAAAUCGGCUCAUUUCAUACCUAUUCACACUACUUGGACUGGUGAGAGACUCGCACAGGUAUAUCUUGAUGAGAUUGUUCGAUUACACGGGGUACCUACUUCUAUAGUUUCGGAUCGAGAUUCCCGUUUUGUAUCUCAUUUUUGGAGGAACUUAUAGGAUGCCUUGGGCACGCGCUUAUAUUUCAGUACAGCUUUCCACCCCCAGAGUGACGGGCAGUCGGAGCGCACUAUACAGACUCUUGAGGAUAUGCUUCGAGCCAGUGAUCGACUUCCAGGGAGGAUGGUCGCGGCAUCUACCGAUAGCAGAAUUUUUUUAUAACAAUAGUUAUUAAGCAAGCAUCAAUAUGGCACCCUUCGAGACACUUUAUGGGCGAAUGUGUAGAUCGCCACUUCAUUAGAGUGAAGUUGGUAAGAGAUUGGCUUUAGGCCCCGAUGUGCUCCAGGAAGUAGAAGACAAGGUUCGUAUUGCUCGGGAGCGACUGUUGACAGCCCAGAGUAGGCAGAAGAGUUAUGCUGAUAAGCAUCGACGAGACUUGGAGUUUCAGAUUGGAGAUCAUGUCUUCUUGAAAGUCUCGCCGACCAGGAAAAUUAGAAGAUUUGGGAUCCGGGGUAAGUUGAGCCCCCGAUUUAUUAGACCGUAUAAGGUUUUGGAGCGUGUAGGCCCGAUAGCGUAUCGACUUGCUCUACCACCGAAUCUAUCGAGUGUACACAAUGUAUUUGAUGUAUCGGUCCUUCGGAAAUACAUCCAUGAUUCGGCUCAUGUUUUAGAUGCUACACCAUUGGAGCUGAGGAAUGAUUUAAGCUUUGAAGAGCAACCUUUGAGGAUUUUGGCUCGCGAGGUGAAGAGGCUACGGAACCGUGAGAUUCCCUAUGUGAAGGUGCUUUGGAGUAACCACGAUGAAUGCGAGGCCACUUGGGAGUUGUAGAGCGCACUGCAGGAGCGCUAUCCCCAUCUUUUUCAGAUGGAGACUUGAGGUAUUUUGCUUCUUGAGUUUCGUAGAUGAAACUCCUAUUUAGGAGGGGUGAAUGUAACACAUUGGACCUUUACAAAUUGCGAGGUUCGAGUGUUUGAUUAGUGUUCUGAGUUUUUCUAGAUUUUCUGGUGGGUCGUUGACAGUGUUCCGACCUAUGGCUCGUAUCCCGAGAAUUGAUAUAUUUAAAGUAGUGCUAAGGUCACCAAAGAGGAGGACUUAGGCUGCUCUCGGGUUGCCUUCUGCAGGAUUGUGUACUGGUACAUCUUGAUGGUUGUACCGGUACAGAAAGUGUACCGGUGACAACUCGAUAGUUGUACCAGUUCAGAUGUGGUUUAUGGCCAAUCCGAGCCUUGAGUUUGCGCAUUCGUGGGAUUUGUACCGGUAUACUUUCUCGUGUACCGGUACACUUUGCCAGAUUGCAAACUGGCAGCUUUUGAGGGGUGUAUUUGCUAUUGUUGCUUCUCUAUACAUACCCCACGGCCUUUAGAGGGUUCCCUGAGCUGGGAAACAGUGGAGACAAGGUAGGGGACCUCCUCUCUUUCCCUCUUUGGAUUUGAUCUCCAUUUUGCAUGGAUUUUGGUGGAUUAAUCCCUUCUUUUUCUUCUUGGUGCAAAUUCCACCUUGGGAGAAGCUUGGACUUCGAGUUUGGAGCUUGAUAGGAGAGAGAUCUUCAAACCUAGUGGACUUUGAUCCUUGUUUGAAGCUUCUAAAGAGGUUAGUUACAUACUUCUCCUCUCUAGAUCAUGAUUUGGUGGAUUUUAUGUGUGAAAACCCUAGAAAUGGAAACUUAGGGUUUAUUUGGGUAUUUUGGACUUAGGGCUUUUGGAGCUUAAUUCCUUGGAUUAGAACAUUCCUCUAGGUUGGAUUGGAAGGGUUCUAGCUCCCUUUUGAAGAUCGAGAGAGACUAUCACCGUCAUAGGUGAGUUUUUGCCCCUUUGCUAGAAAUGCUUAAUGAUUGAGUUUAGGGUUGUUCGUAACGUUCGUGUAUCUCUUCUCUUGUUACCUUUAGGGUGCUAGAAGAAUAGUGAGCAACUCUGUUCGGCGAAACGAAGGAGUUUUAGCGGAGCUUCGGUGGGUUUGACCUCACCAAAGAAUGAGAAAAUCUCAUUUUUGUUGAUUUAAGUAUCGUAAAAUGGAAAAUGAUGCAUUUUCAUGUUAGAUAUAUUAUUUAUGAAUUUUAGAAUGCUUAAAAUGCUUAUGUUGUAUACAAUGCAUUUUUGGACCUUUAUGUAGUAGAGAGCUUGCAUGUGAGACUUAUGCAUGAGUUUAGCAUUCGCAUUCGGGACUUAGAAUCAUGUUUCGUAUAGUGAAAAUGACAAUGUUAUAUGCCCUUGGACAUAUGAGAAUACAUUAGGCCAUGAAGUGGCUUGGGACUUGGAUAUCAUGUGAAUUAAUGAGCUAAUGUCAUAAAGUAACAUUGAGCUUGAUUUAUGUAUGAACCUAGUAAAUAAUGUCAUAAAGAGGCAUUAGAUUAGAGUGAUAUGUGAAUUAGGGAGCUAAUGUCAUAAAGAAACAUUGGGCUCGGAAAUGGGACUUAGCAAGCUAAUGUCAUAAAGAGACAUUGGGCUCGGAAUUGGUAUAGUAAGCUAGUGUCACAAAACGGCAUUGGGUUUGGACUAGAUAUGGACUUAGCAAGCUAAUGUCAUAAAGGGGCAUUAGGCUUGGAAUAUGCGCGGACUUAGUAAACCGAAUGUCAUGAAGUGGCAUUAAUGUUGGAACAAGAUUUGGGCGUAGUGAAAUAUAAUGCCAUAAAGGGGCAUUGGACAUAAUGAAUGGUUAAACCUUCACUUGGGAUAUUGGACUAGACCUAUGGGUUGCUAGCGAUCAUUUCCAUGGUUGAGCCAUGAUGACCGGAUCGUUGUGACGAUGACAAUGCUUGCUUACUUGCCAUUUGUGCUUAUUUGCACAUGCUUGUGAGGGUCGCUCCCUACAAGCCGGUACUUCGAAGUUGGCCUACGCGACUUAUGCUCGCUCGUGCGGUAUCGAGAAACCUACGGGGUCGGGAGGUAUAGACUCAUUCCUAUAGUAGGAAUGUUGGAACUACCACCGACAUUUAGGUGGAACAAGCUGGACUACACUUGUGUAAGUCCCCAAAACAAAAUUGAACAAUGACAUCAAUCCAUAAAUGAUAAUUACUACUAAAUAGGGUGUAGUAGUUGGAUCACCUUGCCAUGUACAUAGCAUAGCUGUGAGCAUUUGAGAUAUGUAGUAUACUUGGUAAUAUCGCUCAUUGCAUUAUAGUAUACUUGCUUGCCAUGUGGGAUCAUACUAGAUAUGUGUUGGACAUGCUUGAUCAUGAUAGAAUGAAUGUAUAAUAUAUUGUCAUCAUAUUACUUAUGGCCUAGUAGUUUAGCAUUCAAUACAUGCUUUCAUAUCUGCAGUUUAUUUUCAGUUGUUUAUCAUAUCUACUUUACUCGUUUGGGCCUAGUGGAGCAUUGUGCUGAGGUCAGUAAUUGCCCACUGGGAACUAUAAAUUAUAGUUCUCACGCCCCCUAUUUCUUGUUUCCUUUCAGAGCCUUCCACACCGGGUGAGGCUAGGGACCGCGGAAAGGGUAUCGUCUCGAGCUAGCUUGUUGGCGAGGGACUUAUCGAUAGGUGGUCUACAUCUCAUUGGUUUUAUUUUGGAGAGGUCGAGAGUUGUAUCUAUGUAUAGUGACAACCCCUUUUGUAUCUCGAGACAGUUGAUGUAUUUACUUUAUAUUAUAUAUUAGUGGAUUAGUUUUCUUUCUCUCUACUUGUUAUUAGAAUUUAGCUGUUGUUGCCCUGAUAUCUCUAGUUGUCUUACUUCUACUUGCUUUCAUAUCUCUAUUAUUGUAGACGCCUUACAUGUGCAGGCAUAUGGUGGGUCUAGGAUAUGUGCAGGCAUAUGGCGGGUCUGGGCACGCAUCGGGCGGGCCUACGCCGGGUCCCGCGGCGUGACAUCUAUUAUGCUCUAAUAGUGUAAAUUUGCAAUGAAUGCAUGUUCACACUCAAAUGAACAAAAAUUGAAAUCUCAUAAGAUUGUUCUAUUAUGUCUUAAAAGUGUAAAUUUAUAAUGAAUAUAUAUUCAAAUUUAAACAAACAAAAAUUAAAAUCUCAUAAUACUGUUCUAUUAUAUGCUAAGAGCGUAAAUUUGUAAUGAAUAUGUGUUUACAUUAAAAUGGACAAAAAUUAAAACCUCAUAAGACUGUUCUAUUAUGCCUUAACAGUAUAAAUUUGCAAUGAAUACAUGUUCACAUUUAAAUAAAUAAAAAUUAAAACGUAAUAAGAUUUCUAUUAUACUCUAAGAGUGCAAAUUUGCAACGAAUAUAUAUUCACAUUCAAAUGAACAAAUAUUAAAACCUCAUAAGACUGCUCUAUUAUGACCGAAGAGUGUAAAUUUACAACGAAUACAUAUUCACAUUCAAACAAAUAAAAUUUAAUCAUAUACGUGAUCUAUAAACCAUAUAUGUGUGUGAAAGAGACUGUACUAUACAAGUAGCAAUUUCUAAACCCUAACCCUAAAUUAUGAAUUCUACAAAUACAUAUAAAAUAAUCAUUCAUAGAAGUAUCCUAGUAUGUUUUGUUUUAAGCAGUAUAGCAAGGUAACUCCUAAAUAUCUCAUAACAUCGUUCUACAAAUCCAUAGGAGUAUAUAUUUGCAAUGAAUACAUAUGUCUUAUUAAACGAACAAAACUUAAUCAUAUGCGUCAUCUAUAAACCAUAUGUAUGUGUGUAUGAUUGUGGUAUACAAGUGAAAAUUUAUAAACCCUAAUCCUAAAUUAUGAAUUAUAUGGAUAUAAACAAAAAUAUAGGCACCAGUAAAUUUGUAUAGCACUAUUCUACCAAUCCCUAAAUUAUAUAUUUGCAAUGAAUAUAUGUUCUACAUUCAAACGAACAAAAUUUAAAACCUCACAGCACUGUUCUAUUAUGUCGUAAUAAUACAUAUUUGUAAUGAAUACAUGUUAACUAUUCUAAACCGAACAAAAUUUAAUUAAAUGCGUGAUGUAUAAACAGUAUGUGUGUGUGUGUGACUGUGGUAUACAAGUAGCAAUAUCUAAACCCUAACCCUAAAUCCUAAAUUUAUAUAAAUACAACAAAAAAUAAUAUAUACCAGCACAAUUGAAUUUGAAUAGUUUUCUCAAAUUGAGUGAAUUUAAUAUCUCUCGAUUAUGAAGACAGCGGCACGACAAGGCGAAUGUGAUGAUGGUAACCAAACCCUAAAAAUAUGAAAUUUUAUGUUAAAUAAGAAAUAAAAGAAUAAAAUUAUAGGACUUAUAGAAGAUUAGAGGGUUGUGGCUGAAAAGUCGAAAAUUGCCCCCAAUUUUGGGUGCCUACGAGCGUAUGAACGAGUAGCAGGUCCUGCGAUGGAUAGGGGAGGAGAGCGGAGCGGAGUAUCCUACAAGCGACGAGAGGUGAGCUCCUACCGAUGGAGACAGGCGAGAGCGAGAGAGAUCUCUGAGAAGGUUGGAGUAGGGAUUCCUAGAUAGCACAAAAGAGAGCUUGGGAGAGAGCUUGGGAGAUAGCAACAUGGGAAUGUGUGGAACGAAAGAAAGGCGGCAUGAGAGGCGAGCUCCUGCCGAUGGAGAGAGACAAGAGCGAGAGAGAGCUCUGUCGAUGGAGAUAGAUGACAGCGAGAAAGAGCUCAGAGAGCGCGAGACAGAGCUUAGAGAGCGCCAGAGAGAGAGCUUGGGAGAGAGCAGGGGAAUGCGUGAAAUGAAAAUAAGGCGGCGUGAGAAUAUACACGCACUUAAUUCCUGUUUAAUCUCAACCAUCUUUGUUUGGGGUGUAAGAUAUAUACACCCCAAACAGGAGUGUGCAUGUAGACUUUUCCUUUUUUCAAAUGGUAAACUUCAAUUUAUCCCAUUGUAGUUUAGUAUGUGUUUUUUUUGUAACUUUGUACUUCAAGAAGUUAUCCUUAAUUAGGUAUUUUGUGGUUUAGCGAAUUUUCACUUCGUCAUCAUGUGGUUCAAAAAUUUAUACUAAAUUAUACUAUGAUUUUAUUUUGCUUCGCUAUAAAGAUCUAUCGUUAAGUAGGAUAACAUCUUAUAAUUUUUAAAACAUUUUAUUUUACUAUCCUGUUUGGUCGUAGAUUUUUCGAUUAAAUAAAGAUAAAAUUUUUAAAAAAUUAAAUAUAUUUUUUUAUAAAAAAUAAAAAAAUAAAAAAGCUAAACUGUAAAGAGAUAAAUUAAAGUUUAUUAAAAAAAAACCUAAACUUCGUGCGAUCAUGCUUUUGCCAAAGUCGCUGUGGCAUUCUAAAGCCCACAAAUCUCCACAUCAGCGUUUUUGGGCCCAAACGAUGUGCACUCCAAGCGACGGACGGUCACAAAACAGUUGAAAGAUCGUCCUCGCCCUAGUAACGACGAUACGCGCAUACCAAACAAAAGAAAACAAAACAAGAAAAAUCGUCUUUUCGCUGCUCCCUGUUAUCACCUCCCUCCCGUAGUAAGCAGAUUAUAGCGGAGUUGGGUAAUCCGGAGGAGCCAAUAGGAAGGCGAGCCGCAUCGUUCGCUAUCCCUACUCCUUACCCACGCCCCGGCCCCAUUCACGGGCUCAGAUAAGCCCCCAAAAUCCCCCUCUCGUCCUUGCCCCUGUGCUAAAACAGAACAAAUCACUCUUCUCGUUCCUAUCAUGGCCACGUGUCUUAGGUUCCACCACCAGCCUCUGCACUCCCACAGCCCUAAAUUCCCUCCACCGACAUACCGCUCGCUCUUUCCUCCUCACUCUUUAAUGGACUAUACAUACCCACCGUCCCUCCUCUUCCUAGUUUUAGCGGAAGAGAGAAGGGUACUGCCCCUUUCUCAACAGCAAUCAAAAAAGAGAAAAAGUAUAUGUAUAAAGAACAGAAUUGGAAGAGUGCUUAAAGAAAGCAAGAAAGAAAGGUUUUGAAGAAUGUCGUCCCUGGUCUCCACCCCCUUCACCCACCCCAGUUCGGCGAGAAUAGAGCUGCUCUCCUCUGCAUCCCAGAGGCACCACAUUUUUCUCCACUCGUUCCUCCCCAGGAGCAGCAGCAGCGGUAGCAGUAGCAGGUCGGUCCGCAAUGGCCGGACGGUGCGGUGCGCCGUACUAGGCAACGGGCUGUUCACGCAGACCAACCCCGAUGUGCGCCGCAUCGUGCCCCCGGACGCGGACCGGAGCCUCCCCAGGGUGAAGGUGGUCUACGUGGUCCUCGAGGCCCAGUACCAAUCCUCGCUCUCCGCGGCGGUGCGCGCCCUCAACGCCGAGCGCCGCUACGCCUCCUUCGAGGUCGUGGGCUACCUGGUGGAGGAGCUCCGCGACGAGAGCACGUACCGGACCUUCUGCGAGGACCUCGCGGACGCCAACGUGUUCAUCGGCUCUCUGAUCUUCGUCGAGGAGCUGGCGCUCAAGAUCAAGGCGGCCGUCGAGAAGGAGCGCGACCGGAUGGACGCCGUUCUCGUCUUCCCGUCCAUGCCGGAGGUAAUGCGGCUCAACAAGCUGGGCUCCUUCAGCAUGUCGCAGCUCGGGCAGUCCAAGAGCCCCUUCUUCCAGCUCUUCAAGCGGAAGAAGCAGUCCGCCGGGUUCGCCGAGAGCAUGCUGAAGCUGGUGCGCACGCUGCCCAAGGUGCUCAAGUACCUCCCCAGCGACAAGGCGCAGGACGCCCGGCUGUACAUCCUCAGCCUGCAGUUCUGGCUCGGCGGCUCCCCCGACAACCUCCGGAAUUUCCUUAAGAUGAUCGCCGGCUCCUACGUCCCGGCUCUCAGGGGCGCCAAGAUCGACUACGCCGACCCGGUGCUGUUCCUCGACAGCGGUAUUUGGCACCCGCUGGCCCCCUGCAUGUACGGCGACGUCAAGGAGUACUUGAAUUGGUACGGGACGCGGCGCGAUGCCGACGAGCGGCUCAAGGACCCGAACGCGCCGGUUGUCGGAUUGGUCCUGCAGAGGAGCCACAUCGUCACGGGCGACGACGGCCACUACGUCGCUGUGAUCAUGGAGCUGGAGGCGCGGGGGGCCAAGGUGAUACCCAUCUUCGCGGGCGGGCUCGACUUCUCAGGCCCGGCGGAGAGGUACCUGAUCGACCCCGUCACUGGCAAGCCAUUCGUCCACGCCGUGGUGUCGCUCACGGGGUUCGCGCUCGUGGGCGGCCCGGCUAGGCAGGACCACCCGCGGGCGAUCGAGGCGCUGAGCAAACUGGACGUGCCAUACAUUGUGGCUCUGCCGUUGGUGUUCCAGACCACCGAGGAGUGGCUGAACAGCACCUUGGGAUUGCAUCCAAUUCAGGUGGCGCUGCAGGUCGCUCUCCCGGAGCUCGAUGGUGGAAUGGAGCCCAUCGUGUUCUCCGGCCGCGACCCGAGAACAGGCAAGGCAUCACCUGCACACACGCGCGCGCGCGCACACACACACUCUCUCUCCUUCCUUUCAUUUCUUUUCUUUUCUAGUCCUCUUCUUUCUAAAACUAAGUAUGAUGUAUUGUAUUUUUAAAUAAAGGCUAACUAUCGGAUGUGGGUGUGUUUUGGGCCCAGGGAAGUCACAUGCGCUGCAUAAGAGGGUGGAGCAGCUGUGUACGAGAGCAAUCAGGUGGGCAGAGCUGAAGAGAAAAUCUAAGGUAUGUUUUUUGCUGUUUAGUUCUGCUUUUGUUUGUGUGGAACUUAUUUUACUACGGCGUUCAUUACUCUAAGCAUCUUUCCUUGAUAGUGGUUAGGGUUGGAUAAAAAUAGGCGUAACAGCACCUGCUAAUUAAUACAUAUAACGUGCUAGCAUGCCUUAUCCCUUUCUCUACCCUAAGUUCCAGCUAUGCUACUCUAGCCCCAUUACCUUAAAUCAAAACUUGCUCCAACGAUAUGAUCCAAUAUGCCUAUUAUCCUUUGGCUUGGAAAUUUUCACAUUCAUUGUGACAGCAACAAGUUAACUGAUUUGCCAAAAUCAAUACAUUCCAGAGAGUAAACUAGAAUGUUACCAAAGUAACUAUGCAUGAAUUUGAUGUAAUUGCUAUGUAAGAUGCCACACCAAAAGAAUACUUGUGUUGCGGAAAAUACAGUUGGUUACAUAGAAAUUUUGAUUUGUCCUUUCUUUCUAUUGUAACUUACAUGUAUUUUUCCUCUUGGCAUCAGGUAGUUUGUACUAAAACUUUUCUCAAUUGUUUCAACAUCAUUUUUGUGACUCACUGCAGGAAGAGAAGAAGUUGGCAAUCACUGUCUUUAGCUUUCCGCCUGACAAGGGCAACGUGGGCACAGCUGCCUACCUGAAUGUCUUCUCCUCCAUCUUUUCCGUCCUUCGAGACCUCAAGAAGGACGGCUACAAUGUGGAGGGCCUUCCUGACACACCUGAAGCGCUCAUCGAGGAUGUCAUCCAUGACAAGGAGGCCAAGUUCAGUAGCCCCAACCUCAACAUCGCUCACAAGAUGAGCGUGCGUGAGUACCAGCAGCUAACACCUUAUGCGUCCCUGUUGGAGGAGAACUGGGGCAAACCCCCUGGCAAUCUCAAUUCUGACGGCCAGCACCUCCUUGUUUAUGGAAAGCAGUACGGCAAUAUCUUCAUUGGGGUGCAGCCCACUUUUGGAUAUGAAGGCGACCCAAUGCGCCUCUUAUUCUCCAAGUCGGCUAGCCCUCACCACGGCUUUGCUGCAUACUACUCCUUUGUGGAGAAGAUCUUCAAGGCUGAUGCUGUUCUCCAUUUCGGCACUCAUGGUUCUCUUGAAUUCAUGCCUGGGAAGCAGGUUGGGAUGAGCGACGUAUGCUACCCUGACAGCCUCAUUGGAAACAUUCCCAACAUCUACUAUUAUGCAGCUAACAAUCCGUCGGAGGCCACCGUUGCCAAGCGAAGGAGCUAUGCAAACACUAUAAGCUACUUAACACCGCCGGCUGAGAACGCAGGGCUUUACAAGGGACUCAAGCAACUUGCAGAGCUCAUCUCGUCUUACCAAUCCCUCAAAGACACUGGUCGAGGGCCACAGAUUGUGAGCUCAAUCAUCAGCACUGCAAAGCAGUGCAACCUUGACAAAGAUGUGAGCCUGCCGGAAGAAGGGGAGGAGCUUUCCCCUGAGGAGAGAGACCUCGUGGUUGGAAAGGUGUACUCAAAGAUUAUGGAGAUCGAGUCCCGGCUUCUGCCUUGCGGGCUCCAUGUGAUUGGCGAGCCUCCCACUGCCAUGGAGGCUGUGGCAACGUUGGUGAACAUUGCUGCUCUCGACCGUCCUGAGGAUGGUAUUUACUCACUUCCAGGCAUACUGGCGGAGACUGUAGGCAGAAACAUUGAGGAUGUGUACAGAGGAAGUGACAAAGGUAUUCUGGCUGAUGUUGAGCUUCUUCGGCAAAUAACAGAGGCAUCGCGCGGUGCGAUAUUCACCUUUGUGGAUCGGACAACGAACAAGAGAGGGCAAGUUGUCGAUGUUGCUGAGAAGCUGACCUCGAUGCUUGGGUUCGGCCUCAGUGAGCCAUGGGUGCAGUACCUGUCCAAGACCAAGUUUCUCAGAGCAGACAGGGAGAAGCUCAGGACCUUGUUUGAGUUCUUGGGAGAGUGUUUGAAGCUGGUUGUGGCGGACAAUGAGCUUGCGAGUCUGAAACUGGCCCUCAAGGGCAGCUAUGUGGAGCCCGGCCCUGGCGGGGAUCCAAUCCGAAACCCGAAGGUGCUUCCCACUGGGAAGAACAUCCAUGCACUGGACCCUCAGGCAAUUCCAACUGCAGCUGCAAUGCAGAGUGCCAAAGUGGUGGUCGAUCGGCUGAUAGAACGGCAGAAGGCAGACAAUGGAGGGAAAUACCCUGAGACAGUCGCUCUUGUGCUCUGGGGUACCGAUAACAUCAAGACUUAUGGGGAGUCUCUGGCCCAAGUGCUGUGGAUGAUCGGUGUCAGGCCCAUUGCUGAUACCUUUGGCCGUGUGAACCGUGUGGAGCCUGUCAGCCUUGAAGAGCUCGGCCGGCCUAGGAUCGAUGUGGUUGUCAAUUGCUCUGGUGUUUUCAGGGAUCUCUUCAUCAACCAGGUAUGUUGAUUUUCAAACUGUCUAUAGAUCAUAUAAUGAUAUGCAAUCUCUUUCUAGUCAGCACCGAACCGAACUAUAUAUGUUUGAUACGGUGAUGCAGAUGAAUCUGCUUGACCGGGCAGUGAAGAUGGUUGCAGAACUGGACGAACCUGUGGAGCAAAACUAUGUCCGGAAGCACACCUUGCAGCAGGCGCAGGAGUUGGGCAUGUCGGUGCGUGAGGCAGCGACACGCGUCUUCUCGAAUGCAUCAGGCUCCUAUUCUUCCAACGUCAACCUGGCGGUGGAGAACUCGUCAUGGAACGAUGAGAAGCAACUGCAGGACAUGUACCUCAGCCGCAAGUCGUUCGCGUUUGACAGCGAUGCUCCUGGGGCGGGCAUGAUGGAGAAGCGCAAGGUGUUUGAGAUGGCGCUAGCGACGGCCGAUGCCACGUUCCAGAACCUGGACUCUUCGGAGAUCUCGCUGACUGAUGUGAGCCACUACUUUGACUCGGACCCGACGAACCUGGUGCAGUCACUGCGCAAAGAUGGCCGGAAGCCAAGCGCGUACAUUGCCGACACGACGACGGCAAAUGCACAGGUGCGGACGCUGGCUGAGACGGUGCGGCUGGACGCGAGGACGAAGCUUCUGAACCCGAAGUGGUACGAAGGGAUGAUGUCGAGCGGUUAUGAGGGAGUGCGGGAGAUCGAGAAGCGACUAACAAACACUGUGGGGUGGAGCGCGACGUCAGGGCAGGUGGACAACUGGGUGUAUGAGGAGGCCAACACGACGUUCAUCGAGGACGAGCAGAUGCGGAAGCGGCUUAUGCAGACCAACCCCAACUCCUUCCGGAAGCUUGUGCAGACAUUUCUUGAAGCUAGCGGCAGGGGCUACUGGGAGACAUCUGAGGAGAACCUUGAGAGGCUUAGGCAGCUCUACUCUGAAGUCGAGGACAAGAUCGAAGGGAUCGAGCGGUAGUUACCAAUCAGUCCGGUGUUGUUCAUCUGGUUCUUCUAUUUGUAAAACUUCAAAUUUAUAAAAUUUAAUGUGUAUGGUAUUUAUAAAUAUGUAACAUUUAAAGAAUUUCAUGAGAUUGUGAUUUAUGAAUGAGACUGAAGCUGUAAUCAUUCUAUGAAAUCGAGAGGAAAGGGCUCACCAAAAGAGUUUGAUGUGAAGAUGCUCAGGCUACAAUGCUAGUUUUAAAGCCGCGGCGAAUCUAGCAGCACUAUAGUGAGCCUAAUGAUGUGGCCUAAACUAUUUAAUCUUCUGAAGUAGAUAAGUCAAAGGCGUGUUCACAAAGUCCAUCUCAUCAUAUUCCACAUCAAACAAAGGGCACAGAAAUCGCCAUACUGUCGCUAAUUCAAUAAGUUCUUUUAUAUCCUGCCAGGAUGUUGAAUCUAAUAAUUUGAUGGUCUUGAGACAGCAAUGAUCUAAAUAACAAGAAGUAUAUUCGCAAAGAUGAUCUCAUAAUAGUCUCCAUGAGGAUAAGAUUCUCUCCAGGGGCACAAAGAUACCACACUACUGUUGUUCUUAUUGUCGACAUUUUAAUUCUUCAUCAAAUUGAACAAUCAUUCAUGUUUUCCAUACAUAAUACAUUUAAUAUCCAAACGAAUAACAUAUUCAUGAAUGAAAAUUCAAACUUACCCACAGCAAGUAUAACAACAAUCCUCUUAAAUGUCAGUGUAAGAUCUCUAGUUGGAUAAAGAGUCUACUCUGAUUGAGUUUGAAAGUUCCCUAGUUGUAUCAAGCAACAAAAUGAUUCUGUUCUACCGUUUCUGUCACUUGGAUAACAGAUAACUAGUAGUGUUUUUUUCUUUCACCCUAUAAGCAAAUGAAGGUAUAUAACGGCCAUAAGAUCUGAUUCUAAUGCACAGCAGUUCCUAACUUUUUGACUAUUUAUCGCGGGAGCUCUUUGAUUUAAGUUAGGGAUAGUGAAAUCAAAACUAACGAAAGAUUACUUAGCAAAAUCAAAACUAUCAAAAUUCAGUUAUCCCUUCUGAGUAUCGGUAUUCUUUUAUUUGCUAAUUUUUGCUUUGCAGUCUUUUCUUUAUCAUAUUUUCAUCUGCAGAGCAUAUGGUUAACAUAGCUUACAUUACAGCAAGUAAAAUAAAAUUAGAAAAUUUGAAACCUUCUGCUCUUAUAACAUCUAAAACAACCAACUACUCUAAAAUGUUAAAGUACGAGAGCAUGUAUUAAUAUUUUAUAUUCAAUACUUGUUAGAUAUAACUAUCAAUUACUACUAAUUGGUGCAUUGUGUGGAUUAAGGACUAAUAUAAAAGUGCAAUUUAAUGAAUACCUCAAUACAUUACUAAUUUUAUAAGGUUGGACUUUUCAGAUGUUUAGCUGGCUAAGUCAAAUUUUAAAUAGAAAGUACAAGUUAAUGAAUUACCUCAAUACAAUACUUCUUUCUUUCUUCUUCAAGAUCGCCAUGAAAGAAAAGCUAUCUAGACAUCCAUAUGGUGAAUCAAAAGCUUAUGAAUGGAUGUUAAUGCUAGGACUCGGAUAGUAGCUAUGAGAGCAAUAGGCGCAUAUGUGUCGAAGUAGUCAACAUCAGCUUUUUGUUGAAAAUCUUGAGCAACAAGUUGCGCCUCAUACUUUUCUACUGAUCUGUCAGCCCUAAGUUUCUUUUUAUAGAUCCACUAACAUCCUAAGGGUUGGUUUCCAUAAGGCAAAUCAGUGAGGAUCCAAGUGUUAUUGCUAAUAAUCGACUUGAUUUCACUGUUUAUAACAUCUUUCCAAAAAGAAGCUUAAGGAGAACUUAUAGCUUUCAUAUAUAAUAAAGGUGUACUUUCAACUAAGAAAGUAAAAAAACCUUUACCAAAGUCCUUCUCGAAAUAAGUUCUCUUGCUUCUCCUUAAUUCAGUUGGUGGGCUAGGUUCAAUAGGAUCUAUACUAUGAGGUAUAUCAGAUGCAGGUAUAUGAUCAGAAGAAGAAACAUGUUCAAAAGUAGGUUAAUAAUCAGGGGUUGAUCUAGAGAUGCGAUUUUUGAAAGGAAAGAUGUUUUCAUAGAAGGUUGUUCUUUAGAUUCAAUCAAAGUAUUGUUGAAAAUUUCAAAAAUCUCAGAGUUGGUCACUAGAAAUCUAUAUAUAUUGCUACCUAAGGAAUAUCCAAUGAAAAUGGCAUCUAUAAUUUUAGGUCCAAUCUUCUUUCUUGUGGGUUCAGGAAUAGGUACCUUAGCUAAGCACUCUCACAUUCAGAAAUAACUUAACCUAGACGCUCUUUCCUUCCAAUGUUAAUAAGGAGUUUGGGUUCUAUCCUUAAAGGAAAUCCUAUUAAGGAUAUAACAAGCUGAUAAAAGAGCCUCCCCCCCACAAGUUCUGAGGUACACCAGAACUUAAAAUCAUGGCAUUGACCAUAUUCGAUUCUUUCUUCCAUCUACACCAUUUGACUGUGGUGAGUAUGGAGCAGUAACUUCAUGAAUUAUUCUAUGUUCCUCACAAAACAGAUUUAAUUCAUUUAAAGUAUACUCGCCUCCUCUAUCUAACAUUAUAAUUUUAAUUCUCUUCUCUAAUUGAUUUUCAGCCUCUGCUUUAAAGACUUCAAAUUUAUUGAGGAUUUCAUCAUUGGUCUUCAAGAGAUAGGUGUAACAGUAUUUAAAGUAGUCAUCUAUAAAUGUCACAAAGUAAUGAAAAUUCCUCCAUGGGUAAGUCCUUUAUUAGAAUCUCAGACAUCACUAUAAAUCAGUUCAAGAAUCUUGGUAUCCCUAUAAGGAAGAGAUUUAAAAGGUUUCCCAGACUACUUAGCUUGAGUACAAAUCUCAUAUUUGGAUUUGAGAUCAAUCUUGAGUUUGGAUACAAAGUUAAGAUUGAUCAAUUUUAGUAUAAAUUUAAGGUUCGCAUGCCCUAAUCUACCAAGCCAUACAUCACAAGAUUCAAUAUUUAAAAUAUUAGUAGAAGUAGGAGCAAAAGAAGAAUUUUUAUUAUCAACAAAAGGAAUACAUUCAAUUUGAAUAAAUUUUCAGAUAUAGAACCUUUUCUAAUAAACAUUUUUACCUUAGAAAUUACAACUUUAUUGGAUUCUAAUGCAAUCUUAUAUCCUAAUUGAACUAAUAAAGAUCCACUAAUCAGGUUCCAUCGGAUCUCGAGAGAAUGCUGCACAUUAUGAAGGAUCAAACUCUUUCCAGAAGUUAACUUCAGCUUGAUUGAUCCGAUCCUCAACAUAUUGACAGCUUUUCCAUCUCCAACGGUCACACAUCCUCUACUUGUGCCCUGAUAAGACGAGAAUAAGAACCAAUUAGUACAAACAUAGACAUUAGUUCCUGAGUGUAACUACCAGUUUAAAUCAUGAUAGGUAAUGUUAACAUUGGGUACAAAAGAGACUGACCUAAAAGUAGAGGAAGAAAAUUCGCCCUCAAUCAUGUUGACCUGAGGCUUAGGAUAGUUAUUGCUAUUGUUUUGGCCCUGCUUGUAGACAGCCUUAUCUUUCUUUCAAUAAAAGCAUUUUAAAGCAAAAUGGUUGUCCUGGCCACAUACAUAACAGAAACUACCCUUUUUUUUGUUCGAUCCCACUAGAUUGGUUGGUAUUGGGUUUCUCGUAAUGGUUUCGGUUUCGGUUCGGGUUCCUACCCUUAAAGCCUUUACCCUUAAAUUUGAAAUUUUUAUGGAUUUAGGCUCAUGGCUCUAGUUCUGAAUCUCGGUUAGGUUUAUAUUUGAUCGAUUGUUGGAUAGUUUAAUCUCCUUAAGUCGGUAUUAGUCUUCUAUUCUAUAGCUUGGAUUACCGACCUAAGUUUAAGUUCUCUGGGUUCGUCUAAGCUCUUGGGCAAAUUUGGUUUAGGAAAGGAGUAAUUUGUCUAGUAGACAAGUAGCCAGAUAGGUUUCAUCUAAGGUUGAACCAUUCUUAUGAAUCUUUUGGACAAACUUCUGAAAUUGGUGGAUUUGAUCAUUUAUAAAAAUGUUGUCUACCAUUCUAAAAUUGUUAAAUUUAGUAAUGGUAAACCUAGCAAUGCCUUUAUUAUCACUAAUGUAGGUAUCUUCUAGGGCAUACCAUAAAUAUUUGGCAGUUUAAUAUUUUCUAUAAGUUUCACAAAGUUUGUUAGAUAGACAACUAAGUAUUCUAAACCUAUAGUGAAAUUCAAUUUCCUUGGGGGAUUUAUUAGAUUUAGGUUCUAUAGCUGAGGUAGUAGCAAAUUUAAAAGAAUUAGAUAGAGGAGUUAGCGGAGGAGGACCAAAAAAAAUUUUAGAAGUAGGAAAAGGAUGUGUUUUUUCAAUUACAGUUAUGAGGCCUAAGGUAAUAAGCCAAGCCUCUAACUGUUUUCGCCACCUCAAAAAGCCUACCCUUUUAAAUUUUUUUGGCUUAAGGCAAGAAGAAUCAUCAAAUGCCAUUCUAAAUAACCAAGUUGAGGGAAUAAAGAAACUAAGGAUAAUUAGAAUGAGCUACAAAAAAGGUUCAAAAAAUCUUUUAAGAAAAACAAUCAUAUUACCGACCGUCCCUAGAGCAAGUGGCAAAGGGCUUGGUGGUUGGUACCCGAGACCAAAGUUCGAAUCCUAGUUGAUUCACAUUUCUAGCUAAGUUUAUUUCUAAAUGAAAUAAACGAAGCGGGUAGCGUGCUACCUAUCUCUCUCUCAAAAAAAAAAAGAAAAAAGAAGAAAAACAAUCAUAUUUGUUAAGAUUUCUUGUAGUGUACUAAGUUCCGGUAAACUAUACUGAAGUUUGGCCAAAUUGCGCAAAGAACAGUUGAGAGAUGAUUUAGACAUGCUUGGAAACAAAUUUCGAGAGUUUUGGAACGAUUAGAAUUGAACUAGAGCUCUAAAGAGCGAAAAUAAAAAUUUUGAAAAAUGUGUUUUUGGACUUCUGGACUCUCGGGUCCGGAUCUUGACUUGAGGAUCCGGAUCUUGAUAUAGGCCAGAGUAUCAAAGUCUGAACCAUGACAAGAGGGUCCGGACCUUGCCUACGCAAAAUAGAAAACUAGUUAUGGGGUACAAACCUUGGCUCCAGGAUUUGGACUCUUCGCUUGCAGACAACCCAGAUCGGGGACAUUUCUGUAAUUUUGGUAAAAAGGGGGCUCAACCCCACACCUCCGUCCUCUCUCUCACUUUCUUCUUUUCUUUCUUGAAAUCUCCUCAAAACUUGGAGAUUUGGAGAGAUUGAUCUUAGAAAGGACUUGGAUGUCUGGAGCAAGCUUCUUGGAGUAAGAAGAUGCUUGGAAAAUUUGAGAUUGAGAUGAGUUCUUGGUGUUUUGAGUUAGGGUUUUGGGUUUGAUUCUUUGUUUAGAGAUUUUAGCAAUCUCUAACUAAAUCUAGACCGCACCAAAUGGUAGAGAUUUGCCAUGAGAUUUGGAGCUUUGCCAUUGUUUUGAAAAACCUUGGUUUAAAAUAGGGCUUUUGUUUUGAAUGAGUCAAAAAAUUAUUUGACUCUUUAAAACCCUAAUUAGAUGGUAGGAAAUCAUGUGGGAUAAUUUGAUUUCUUGAAAUAAAACUAUUUGAGAGUUCAAAAAUGGUAACGAACCAUUUUUCUUGUAUUAGGGUAAGGAAGCUUGGCAUAAGCUUGUAGCCCAGGGAAUUGGCCUAAUUGCAAGUACCUACAAGCAAUUAGGAGCAUUUUGAGGUGGGUUGUGCUUGACUAUAGGUUGUGCUUGACUAAAGAGAUUAGAUCACUUCCAUGUCUAAGUGAAAAAUAACUAUAUUAAGUUAUUUGUGGAAUGGAUACAUGAAUAUUGACAUAAGUAGUGGAAUGCAAACGUUAUGCACGUGGUUGCAUGUAGUGCACAUGAAUCAAGGGCAUCAUAUCUCAUGGAUUAAUGGAUGCAUGUAUGGUAUUCUUGCAUAUUAUGUUAUGACUCGUGAAUGAAUGCUUACAUGAUUAGUGGAAUGCAUAUGUUAUGGAUUAAAUGGUAGGUUGUGUGCACCGAAGUGACUUGGUCAUCUCACAUGUCUAGAGAGUAAUAGUGAAAACAAGUUAAUUUUUAUUGCAUGGUAAUUUGAAUGUUAGAUAUGCAUGUUAGAGGCACAUGCUACUUGGAUGAUUUUAGUUUACUACCUAUGUAUGAGUAAAUGUGCAUACAUCUAAUGUAUUAAAUUUAGAGUUACUAAUUUGCAUAAGAUAAAUGGAUGCAUGCAUCGUUAUUUUGUAUACCUAUGUUGUAGACUGAAUGAUAGGGUGACUUUCUUGAGGGUCAUUAGAUAACUCAAUACUUAAAUGUAGAAAACAUAGUGUCAUUGGAAUAUAAGUUGGAAACAUAGUGGGUAGAAUACCACUUGGACAUGAUGGCUUGAACCUAAAAAGGUUGACAAUAUAGAGUAAAGACAAUGGACCUUUGUGACCAUAGAAGAAGGAAUUUCGAAACUCCUAGCAACCUAUGGCCGGGAGUGCACAAAUUGCCACAUAAUGCCAAAGGAGUGACUCAAUACCUAUGAGCUUAUGGUCAGGGGUGUGUAGAAAUCCACCUAAUGCCAAGGUGAGAGGUGAGAUGAGUGAACUCGCUUAAAUUUGUAAUAGAAAUAGUUUACUUUAUAUCUUGUGAUACUCUCCUUAUACAACGUAUGUAUUCAUUUCUUGCUUGGAAUAUAUGGUGUAUACAUGCUUGUGACACCUUGGACGGAUAGGAAAAACUCUGUCCAUUCGGCGGGUCUAGUGCACGAGCCCUCUGUGUGGUUUUGUUGUGGUCUUGGGGCGUGACAUUUCUACCCUAGUCAGCCAAAAUAGUUUUGGAUUUAAUUUUUUAAAAUUAAUAUCUUAUCACUGCUCAUUUAGCAGCAAACGGAUGGCUCAAACAAUUUAAAAGUUUGAUUUCUAUUAGAUAUUUUUGAGUAAAUAAUAUAUGCAACUAAACAAUAUCUAUAUAGCAAACAGAGUAUAAACUGAAACAAUAAGAAAAGCAUAAAUUAAAAGUGGUGUUGUCGGUUACAAGAUGCUUGUUUGAAGUGCUGGAUUAUGUAAAGUCAUGUUCCCAGUCGAUAUGCAGAGAGUUUGUUUCUAAUUUGAUCUAAUCUUGUUCCAAAAGAUUAGGGAUAGUCCAGAAUCACUUUAAAGAGGAUUCUUAAGAGGAUAUCAACUGCUAGAUGUGAAUCAGACUCAGAUGGAAGGUGGAGAUUGUUUCCUACUAGAAUUGGGAUUUUAGAGUUAUAUAAACCCUUGCAAUUAAUCUUUUAGAUAUAAGCUUCAUUGUAGACACUCUAAUUGAGAGGAAAAUGUGGAGAGCUUCUGAGAGAGAGUUUCUUGUAAUCCAAUUUACUCCUUUAUACUUUUGUGCCGUGGAUUAAUCAAAGAAAGCAUUGAGGUGGUCUUGCCCGUGGAUGUAGGUCGACUCAUGAUUGGUCGAACCGCGUAAAUCUUGUGUUCUUGUGAUCUCUUAUUUUCUUUAUUGCUUUGUUAUCCUUAUGCUUAUUUUUCCUACGAUCAUUUUCAUCUCUUACGUCUACGAAAAAUCCUGUUUUCGGUGUGCUCGUGUGCUGUGCAGGUUUGAGGUGUGUUCGGUAACUCCACGGCCGGUCCCUUCAUGAAGGGUGUGUCGUUAGCAACUGUGUGUUCCAAUCCUACCUAAAGAAAAUUUUUUUAACUGUAAUAAAAUAGUAAAAAUUUACUGUAGCAAUUUUUCUUGUAGAAAAACGGUAAUUUUAUGAGCUACAGUAAAAUCAAUUUUUUUGGAGGAAAGUUUCAAAUACCACCCCUGUGGUUUCACACUUUCUCACUUUAGUAUCCUGUGGUUUAAAGUGUAUCAAUUUAGUGCCCUGUCACUACAGGAAAAAUCGCUGGUAGAGGCGGUUGUCAAGAGGCGGUUGUUAUAACCGCUUCUAUGUUUUACAUUAGAGACAUAUUAGAGGCGGUUUAACACAACCGCCUCUAUAUCUUGAAAAAAAAAAAAACUAAAAUUUUCAUUUUUUUUCAUUUUAUUAUUGAUUCUACUAAUUUUUUUCGUUAAAUCAGUGACAAAGUUAAAACUAAAGUGUACUAAAAUGAAUAUUCGAUCGAUAAAUUUAGCUAGGGUAUCUGAAGUUUUUUGUAUAUAAUUUAACAAAAUAUUAACGAAAAAGCUGAAGAAAAGAUAAAAAUGAAACCAUAGGACACUAAUUUGAUACACUUUAAACCACGAGGUACUAAAGUGAGAAUGUGUGAAACCAUAGGGGUGGUAUUUGAAGUUUACCCUUUUAUUUAAUUGCAAGAAAAGAGUAAUGUUUAACAAUAAUGUUUAAAGAAAUCAAAGCCCUUUUUUUUACUCACCAAAAUAAAAUAGUAAAUUUCAACAACUAGAAUAGACAAUAAAUUAGAUAAUAAUAUACAACUACACGUUCAAGUGCUAAUCCCGAAAAAUUUAUAUUUGAAUGCCAAUCAUACAAACAAGUUAACAAACAAAUUAUAUGCAUGACAAAAUUAAUUUAAUAUAGAUUAGCACUUGUUAAAUUGUGAAUCAAAACCAGAUAGGAUUACGCCUUAAAUUGUUAGAAAAAUCGUAUUGAAAAUUCGAUUGUGAUUAAUUAUCUAACUAAUUUUGUGAUAAAAUUAAUAAAUGAACUUACAAGCGAGCACUAAGUUCCCAAAAAAAUUGCCAAAGAAGGAAGCCGGAAAUAAUUGAGUCGGAAGCGUGUGUUGCACUGCCCUAAGAUGUAUUCUUGUCCUUUGUGCGGGAUCAACUGGAAACACCGCCCCAAGAUAUGACUGAAAUUCCUUCUACGAGCACGGACGUAGAAGAAGUUGACGCAGUAGCUUCCAACACCCAGCAACAAAGAGAUCGAAAUAAAAUGAAAAUUGAAGAUGAAAUAGAUCUUAAGCAAACUUUCUUUUCAAUAUAAUAAUUUUUCUCUCUACAAUGUUCAUUACCUAUGAACAGUAAAAAUCGAGUAUAAAUAGAGGUGAGAACUGUCACGCCCCGGGACCGAUACCAAUUUGGGUCGGCCGACCACGUCAAACAGACGCCGAACGGACAGAGUUUCCCUUGUUCGCCCAAGGCUCAUCACCUGUACAUUUUCAAGUAGAGAAAAGUACUAGUGGAAACAUACACAAAUGGCUUACACGAGGGUAAGCAAUAACCAUGAGUGAAAGAAAAGAAACUAAACAUCUACACAAGUACUAUGAUUCUUUUUUGAUCACAUACAUUGCAUUCAUAGUUCUUUACAUACUUUUCAUCAUUUCUUUUUACAUCACAUUCUCCUCAAGAUAAACAUUACAUUCUUUUUCUUUUACAUCUCAAUUCAUCAAAUACAAAAGAUGAAGUAAGGGAAUGCUACUACAAAAUGUAAACCCAACUCUGGUGGCUUCUGACUAAGGUGCGAUACCUUUACCGCGGUCGCUCGCCGGCUCGCUCGGUCCCGGCUCUGUGGAAUAGUGGGGUAAGAACUACAACAAAGUUCCCAGUGGGUUCGGCCCCAAUCUCACCGACUUUCCCGCUAGGACUAACUCAGGCAUAAUAGAAAGAAAAAGCAAAAUAGUAACCAAACUAUAAUCAUGAUGCUAAUAUGCCUGAACAAUAAGGCAAGAAAUAUGCUCAACGUAAAUCAUGCAAGUAUGCAAGUUCUUUGUUCUUUAAACUUUGUUCUUUGUUCUUUAAUCUCACGGCUAACCCGAGGGUUUCGCCACAUUAACUUGCCUACAUUAAGUCCAUUAUCGCGGGCCCUCAGCUUCCUCCCGCUAAGACCGUCCUCGGGUUUACUCCAACCCGUAAUGCAAAACUCUGGAGCGCAUCGCUCGAGGGGGAGCGACCGCCCUCGAGCACGGAACUCAUAGCAAGUAUGAUCGAUCCUUAACUCUAAGGAUAUAUGGUUCAAUCAUUGUCUUUACACUAACUCUAGUAUUCUUUACAUCAUUUUAUUUUGCUAACUCUAGCAAUCAUUGUUCUUUAACUUCACUCAUUCUUUAUGCCACUUUCUUUUUCUUUACUUGUCUCUAAUCAUUAUCAUUGUUCUUUGCGUCACAUUUCUCUUUGAUGCCACACACACUAACUCUAGUGUCAAUUUACUUUACAUUAUCGAAUGCCACUCGAUUUAUGUUUUAUUGUGUCACUUUGUUCUUUCAUCUCAUUGGGUGCUCACAUUAUAUCUCAUGCAUACAUAUAGGGUUGAAUAGGUUCUCAAACAUUUCAAAUAGCACGUGUACUCACAUCAUGCAACACUCACAUUUAUAACAUCACAUCUACCCUAUAAUGCAUGCAACAAUAUAAACAUAUGCUCAAUUGAAUGACACAUUAGGCAUAGAGGAAAUUCCAACAAGUUUGGAUAGCACCACCCACCUCGUAGGCGUACUAGGAUGCUACAAUGAUUUUCUUGUAAUUUUUAGACUCCUAGUUCAUCACCUGCGGCAAAAUGAAGCCAUAUUAGGCCAUUUUGCUCAUAUCUUUACAUAGGCUUUUCGUAACGUCAAUCCAAGCGCACCAACGCGUCGGAAAUACCCCCAAUUAGGUUUCUAGAGGGUCAAUUUCACUUUGAAGUCCUUCCGAGCAAAAGCCCCAAUUUGGGUGCCCUAGCUCCAACACAUACACAAAAUCUAGGAUUUGAUCUCAUUAGGAAACAAAAGAGAGUUUAAUCUACUCAAGAGAUCCCAUUAAAAUCCUUUUUAGCUCAAUCAAAAUCCUAGUUUGGAUUCUACCAUGAGAGAGGUUGAAGCUCACCUCACAAUUUCACUACAUAUACCCAAUCCAUGGCUGUGAUCUCAACAAGAAGCAAAAGAUAGCUCCAAAUACUCAAAAGGUUCUUUUAAAACCAUUUCUAGGUCAUUUGGUUCUCAUUCUAGGAUUUUACCAUGAAUAGGGUUCAAGCUUACCUCAAAGCUCUCCUUUCUUUGUGUUAGAGGUGAAGGAGAGGGAGUUACUUCACUCCUUCUUCUUCUUCUCGACCUUCCUUCUCUUUUCUUCUUCUUCUUUUCCUUUCUUUCCUUUCUUUUCUUCUUCUCCUUCUUGUCUUCUAAAGAGAGAAAGAGAGGAGAGAGUGUGUGAGAGGGAGAGAAUGAGAGAUAGGGCCCUCAUAACCCCUCAACAUAACCCAUGGGUUGCAAAAAUGCAGAUAGGCCCCUCAACUUUCACUCUAUUCACACUACCCAGACUGGGCAUUUUCGGGCUGGGGGGACCGGUCUCUCCUUCAGGGACCGGUUCCCAUAGCCCCUCCCCGUGGUCAGCAGGGCUCCCGCGCGCAAUGCGACCGGUCUCUCGAGGACCGGUCUCUCUAGCAGGGACCGGUUCCCGUGAACCUGAUCUUUGGGACUUAGCCGAUUUUCCCCUUUUCUCAUCUUUCAUGCGUACGGGGACCGAUCUCUCCUUCAGGGACCGAUUUCCGAGAGCACAAAACCUGCAGAAUGCAGAUUUUUGAUUCUUUAGCUCUCGAAAACCUCCCACAAUGCACUUUUGAUCCUUUUAACACCUUCGGACUUUUCGAAGUGUACCAUCCUCGCACUUUGGUCAAUUUGACUAAAGUUCGUUAUUUAUUUUUCGAAUUCUCGGUAUAUUACAUUCUCCACCCCUUAAAAUAAUUUCGUUCGCGAAAUUACACAUACCUUAACUUGUCAACUCAAAUAAAUGCGGAUAGUCUCUCCGCAUGGUCUCCUCAAGCUCCCAAGUGGCUUCUCGUGCUGCAUGGUUGCUCCAUUGGACCUUCACAUAUGAAAUUUUGCGACUCCGCAACUUCCUUUCUUCUCUUUCGAGGAUGCACACCGGGUACUCCUCAUAAGACAUAUACUCACGUAACUCCACGGGCUCCUACUCCAAUACAUAUGUCGAGUUUCGAAUAUACUUUCAGAGAUUUGACACAUGGAAAAUAUUGUGAACUCCAGCGAGUCUCGGUGGUAGUGCGAGCUUGUACGCUAUCGCACCCACACGCUCCAAUAUCUCGAAUGGUCCGACAUAACGGGGGCUUAGCUUCCCGCGGACCCCAAAUCGCUUUACUCCACGCAUCGGCGACACUCUCAAAAAUACGCGGUCUCCAACUGCGAACUCUAAGUCCUUUCUUCGCUUGUCGACAUAACUCUUCUGCCUUGACUGCGCUGUUGCUAACCGUUGACGGGCAAGGCAGACUUUUUCCUCCGCCUCCCGCACUACAUCCGGGCCAAGAGCCGUUCUCUCGCCCACGUCGCUCCAAUGAAUAGGAGAACGACACUUUCGACCAUAUAGUGCCUCAAAUGGCGCCAUCGCUAUGCUAUCUUGAUAACUGUUAUUAUAUGCAAAUUCCGCCAUCGGCAGAAAAUCAUGCCAUCCUCCUUUAUAAUCUAGUACACACACUCAAAGUAAAUCCUCAAGGAUCUGUAUUGUCCGCUCUGACUGUCCAUCACUCUGAGGAUAAAACGCUGUGCUAAAGUCGAGCCGUGUGCCUAGCGCGUCUUGCAAGCUCUUCCAAAAGUGGGAUGUGAAUCUGGGGUCUCGAUCCGAUACAAUUGAUACCCGAACCCCAUGAAGUCUCACAACCUCGUUGAGAUAAACUUGAGCUAACUUGUCUCCCGACCACGUAGUAUGUAUCGGCAAGAAGUGUGCCGACUUUGUUAAUUGAUCCACUAUCGCCCAUAUCACGUCUUGUCCGUCUUGUGAUCGAGGCAAACCGGUAAUAAAGUCCAUCGCUAUAUCUUCCCAUUUCCAAACAGGUAUUGAUAGAUUUUGUAGCUUUCCCGCCGAAAAUCGGCGCUCUGCUUUCACCUGUUGGCACGUUAGACAUUGUGCCACGAACUCCCCAAUGUCUCUUUUCAUAUUCGGCCACCAAUAAUGCUCUUUCAAGCCCUUGUACAUUUUAGUACCGCCCGGGUGUAUACUAUAAGGAGAUUGGUGCGCUUCUUGCAUGAUCGCUCUUCGAAUAUCACUAUCUUUGGGCACGCACCAACGAUUUUGAAAUCGGAGUGCGCCAUCGGCUCCAAUGCCAAAAUCCUCGGCACUACCGUUCUCAACUUCACCUCGUAUCUUCUGAAGAUAAGGAUCCAAAGCUUGAAGUUCUUUGAUCCUUUCCAAUAGGGUCGGUUGCACAACUAAUACGGCAAGUGUAGCCAGCACUCCCGGCGCUACCACUUUCAACCUAAGCCUUUGCAUCUCCUUUUGCAAUAGCGGUUGAGGCGUAAUUGCCAUCGCUAAGUUCUCCGCCGAUUUUCUUAGAGCAUCGGCCAUGACAUUGGCUUUUCCCGGGUGGUAUAGUAUAGUGACAUCGUAGUCCUUCAAAACUCCAACAACCGCCGCUGCCGUAUGUUCAACUCCUUCUGGGUGAACAAGUAUUUUAGACUUUUAUGAUCUGUGUAGACUUUACAAUACUCACCAUAUAAGUAAUGCCUCCAAAGCUUUAGCGCGAAGAUCACCGCGGCUAACUCGAGGUCAUGAAUCGGUUAGUUCUUCUCAUAACUCUUUAAUUAGCACGAUGCAUAUGCAAUGACCCGCCAAUUUUGCAUUAAUACACACCCGAGACCAACAUACGAGGCAUCACUAUACGCUACAAAGGUCUCCCCCGGAGUCGGGAAGGCAAGCACCGGGGUCGACGUCAACCUGCUCUUUAACUCCUCAAAGCUCCGAUCACAAUCGUCACUCGAGACAUACUUUACUCUUUUAUGGGUAAGGCGCGUUAGCGAAGUGGUUAUUUUAGCGAACCCCUCCACAAACCGCCGGUAAUAGCCCGCAAGUCCGAGAAAACUGCGGACCUCCGCUACACUUGUCGGGCGAGGCCAAUCCUUGAUCGCCUCCACCUUCUUCGGGUCUACCGACACUCCGUCGCCCGAUACCACAUGAACUAAGAAUGUGACCUCCUUUAGCCAAAAAUCACACUUCUUCAACUUUGUAUAGAGCUUCUCUUGUCUGAGUAUUUGCAACACAGCUCUCAAGUGCUCUUCGUGCUCCUCCUCACUCUUUGAGUAAACCAAUACGUCGUCUAUAAAUACCACGACGCAUCGAUCCAACAACGGCCUAAAGACUCGGUUCAUCAAGUCCAUGAAUGCUGCUAGGGCAUUAGUAAGCCCAAACGGCAUUACCGUGAACUCAUAAUGGCCAUACCGUGUACGGUACGCCAUUUUGUGCACAUCCUUCGGCCUAAUCUUUAGUUGAUGAUACCCCGAUUGGAGAUCAAUCUUCGAAUACACUUUGGGCCCUUGCAACUGAUCGAAUAAAUCGUAAAUCCUCGGCAACGGGUACUUGUUCUUUAUCGUCACUUUGGUGAACUCGCGAUAAUCUAUGCAGAGUCGAAGUGUACCAUCCUUUUUCUUCACAAAUAGCACCGGAGCUUCCCACGGUGACACGCUCGGCCUCACGAAGCCUUUAUCGAGCAAGUCUUGUAAUUGGCCUUUCAACUCCUUUAGCUCCACCGAUGCCAUUCUAUACGGAGCCUUCGAAACUGGUUCCGCCCGGGGAAUCAAGUCAAUGACGAACUUGACCUCCCGGUCCGGUGGCAGUCCCGGUAACUCCGCCGGAAAUACAUCCGGGUACUCGCACACUAUCCGAAUAUCCCCCAACUCUGGGUACUCCUUUCGAGCAUCGACCAUGGUUGCCAAAUAGGCCUUACACCCUCAUUUGAUAUCUUCUUCGCCCUUACAGACGAUAUGGUCGCCGUAAAGCGCCUACUUUUGCACGCUUGGUAUACCAGUUCUUCUUGAUUAGGCUCACGAAAAGUGAUCACCUUGCUUUCACAAUCUAUAACCGCAUAGUACUUGGAGAGCCAGUUGGUCCCCAAGAUAACAUCGAAUCCCCACAUCUGAUCUAGCACUAGCAGAUUAAUCGGCAUAAUCCAAUCGCCUAUUUGCACUGGACACGCCAAACACUCAUUGUGGACACUGAAUGAAUGUUCUGGGGCGUUCACCCACCAGUAGUCCUCGUUAUAUGCCAUUUUUAUGCCAUGAGUUUGAGCAAAUGAUGGGUUAAUGAAUGAAUGAGAUGCGCCUGUAUCAAAUACUGCUCUAUCUCUAGUGCCUUUAAUCACAAUUAUACCUGCCACGACGUCGUCGGGUGCUGCAGGUUGCUGCUCCUCCACCUGAGCGGCAAAGACUGGGCCGCUAGGCGCUCUCGAUCCCUCCGGCUAACGCGGUGAUGACGUGCGCCCAGCCGACAUCGCUGGUGGUAACCCCGCAAGCUGUCUUGGGGUAGACGGUGCUGAUGCCGCCAUCGGCGCAGACGACGUCCAGCUCGGGCACUCCCGGAUAAGAUAUCCCGGUUGGUCACACUUGAAACACUUGCCAUUGCGCUGCGAGCAAGCCGACACUCGGUGCUCUCCGCCACAAAUGACGCACCGAGGUGGUCUCCAGUUCCUCGUCUGCUGUCGGGGAUACCGAGGGGGCUUCUUAGCAUUUGGCCGGCCCCCGGCACCACCCGUCGUCCGCUUCUUGCCUUUUUCCUUGCUCUCGGCCAUAGCCUCCCAUUCCUCUCAAACGUAAGCACUACCGUGCUCCGCCCACAAAGCUCUAUCGAAGACCUCCGCAAAGGUCGACAACUUCAAGAUCUGCACCUUCUCGUAAAUUCUCGACUGGAGUCCUCGCAAGAACCAAUCAGCCCUAUCCCGAUCAUCUCUAACAACAUCGGGAACGCAGUCGAUAAUGUAGGAGAAUUCCUGUUCGUACUCCCCCACUGAUCGAUCGCCCUGUCACAACUUGCAGAACUUUUCUUGCAACCUCCGCUUCACCGUGUCGGGGAAGUAGUUCGCGAAGACUGCUCUCUUGAACUCCUCCCAAAGCAUAAGCGGAAGAUCGGCAGGUCGAUCCCACUUGACUCGCUUCCACCAUACUAUCGCCGCCUUCUCAAGACAAUGGGUGGCGAGGUACACUUUGUCCUUCUCCGAGGUAUUUAGGUCUCCGAAGAGCGUUUCCAUCGAGUCGAUCCACGACUCCACGACCGCUGGCUCCACCAAACUACCUUCAAAGACAGGUGGGUUGAACUUCUUAAACUGUAUGAGAGCCGCCAACGUGCGCUCCCGCUCCGCUUCUACCGCCACACUAUCGAAAUUUGAGGUUCCCGAUCCGGCCGAUACUACCGUAAUUGGAACAGCUGCUGCUGCCGCCGCUCCCUCGUCCACGUUCGGCACUGCCACAGGGGGCGCGACAUGCUCGACACCCGCCUGGGACGCCGCCUGCUGAUGCUCCAAGGCCUCCUGGAGCCGUUGAAUCUGCUCCCCUUGGCGUUGAACAGACUCCGCUUGUUGCCGCACUACGCCGAUAAGUGCGGCCAUCUGCUCCCUAAGCUCUCCGUUGCCACUCGCUCCAGAUCGCUCGAGCGCCGCAUUCGACCCCUCAGGCAUCGACCUUGUCUGCGGUCGACCACGAGGUGACAUUGCUUCCUGAAAAGAAGCAACUCGCAUUAGCUACUUGACCAACAUUAGCUGACCAUACCCAAUCUGGCGAAAGCAACAUGCACAUUCAUCCUUGCCUGAAGCGUCAUGUCGUCGGCCGCCCGACACAACACUAGAAGUAGAGGACAAACAAAAAUUAAACUUAACCUCUAAUCACAUUAGAGACGUCCCAACGUAACCCAAUCACAUGCUUUCGCUAUCUUUAAUUCCACGUCACUCACGUUUCCUAAAUCCUUAAGGUCUUCCAAUCCUAAGGGUUUCUAGGUCCAUUCCUAUUCUUUCACUCUAGGCUCUGAUACCACAAUAUCUGUCACGCCCCGGGACCGAUACCAAUUUGGGCCGGCCCGAGCACGUCAAACAGACGCCGAACGAACAUAAUUUUUCCUGUCCGCCCAAGGCUCAUUACCUGUAUAUUUUCAAGUAGAGAAAAGCACUAGCGGAAACAUACACAAACGGCUUACACGAGGGUAAACAAUAGCCAUGAGUGAAAAAAAGAAAAAUAAACAUCUACACAAGUACUAUGAUUCUCUUUUGAUCACAUACAUUGCAUUCAUAGUUCUUUACAUACUUUUCAUCAUUUCUUUUUACAUCACAUUCUCCUCGAGAUAAACAUUACAUUAUUUUUCUUUUACAUCUCAGUUCAUCAAAUACAAAAGAUGAAGUAAGGGAAUGCUACUACAAAAUGUAAAUCCAACUCUGGUGGCCUCUGACUAAGGUGCGAUACCUUUACCGCGGUCGCUCGCCGGCUCGCUCGGCCCCGGCUUUGUGGAAUAGUGGGGUGAGAACUACAACAAAGUUUCCAGUUGGUUCGGCCCCAAUCUCACCGACUUUCCCACUAGCACUAACUCACGCAUAAUAGAAAGGAUAAGCAGAAUAGUAACCAAACUAUAAUCAUGAUGCUACUAUGCUUGAACAAUAAGGCAAGAAAUAUGCUCAACGUAUAUCAUGCAAGUAUGCAAGUUCUUUGUUCUUUACACUUUGUUCUUUAAGCUUUGUUUUUUGUUCUUUAAUCUCACGGCUAACCCGAGGGUUUCGCCACAUUAACUUGCCCACAUUAAGUCCAUCAUCGCGGGCCCUCAGCUUCCUCCCGCUAAGACCGUCCUCGGGUUUACUCCAACCCGUGAUGCAAAACUCCGGAGCCUAUCGCUCGAGGGCGAGCAACCGCCCUCGAGCACGAAACUCAUAGCAAGUAUGAUCGAUCCUUAACUCUAAGGAUAUAUGGUUCAACCAUUGUCUUUACACUAACUCUAGUGUUCUUUACAUCACUUUAUUUUGCUAACUCUAGCAAUCAUUGUUCUUUAACUUCACUCAUUCUUUAUGCCACUUUCUUUUUCUUUACUUGUCUCUAAUCAUUAUCAUUGUUCUUUGCGUCACAUUUCUCUUUGAUGCUACACACACUAACUCUAGUAUCACUUUACUUUACAUUAUCGAAUGCCACUCGAUCUAUGUUUUGUUGUGUCACUUUGUUCUUUCAUCUCAUUGGGUGCUCACAUUAUAUAUAUAGGAUUGAAUAGGUUCUCAAACAUUUCAAAUAGCACGUGUACUCACAUCAUGCAACACUCACAUUUAUAACAUCACAUCUACCCUAUAAUGCAUGCAACAAUAUAAAUAUAUGCUCAAUUGAAUGACACAUUAGGCAUAGAAGGAAUUCCAAUAAGUUUGGAUAGCACCACCUACCUCGUAGGCGUACUAGGAUGCUACAAUGAUUUUCUUGGAAUUUUUAGACUCCUAGUUCGUUACCUGCGGCAAAACGAAGCCCUAUUAAGCCAUUUUGCUUAUAUCUUUACAUAGGUUUUUCGUAACGUCAAUCCGAGCGCACCAACGCGUCGGAAAUAUUCCCAAUUAGGUUUCUAGAGGGUAAUUUCACUAUGAAAUCCUCCCGAGCAAAAACCCCAAUUUGGGUGCCCUAGCUCCAAUACAUACACAAAACCUAGGGUUUGAUCUCAUUAGGAAAUAAAAGAGAGUUUAAUCUACUCAAGAGAUUCCAUUAAAAUUCUUUUUAGCUCAAUCAAAAUCCUAGUUUGGAUUCUACCAUGAGAGAGGUUGAAGCUUACCUCACAAUUUCACUACAUAUAUCCAAUCCAUAGCUUUGAUCUCAACAAGAAGCAAAAGAUAGCUCCAAAUACUCAAAAGGUUCUAUUAAAACCAUUUCUAGAUUAUUUGGUUCUCAUUCUAGGAUUUUACCAUGAAUAGGGUUCAAGCUUACCUCAAAGUUCUCCUUUCUUUGUGCUAGAGGUGAAGGAGAGGGAGUUACUUCACUCCUUCUUCUUCUUCUCGACCUUCCUUCUCUUUUUCUUCUUCUUCUUUUCCUUUCUUUCCUUUCUUUUCUUCUUCUCCUUCUUGUCUUCUAGAGAGAGAAAGAGAGGAGAGAGUGUGUGAGAGGGAGAGAAUGAGAGAUAGGGCCCUCAUAACCCCUCAACAUAACCCAUGGGUUGCAAAAAUGCAGAUAGGCCCCUCAACUUUCACUGCAUUCACACUGCCCAGACUGGGCAUUUUCGGGCUGGGGGGACCGGUCUCUCCUUUAGGGACCGGUUCCCGUAGCCCCUCCCCGUGGUCAGCAGGGCUCCCGCGCACAAUGCGACUAGUCUCUCUUUGGGGAACCGGUCUCUCUAGCAGGGACCGGUUCCCGAGAGCCUGAUCUCUAGGACUUAGCCGAUUUCCCUCUUUUCUCAUCUUUCACGCGUACGGGGACCGGUCUCUCCUUCAGGGACUGGUCCCCGAGAGCACAAAAUCUGUAGAAUGCAGAUUUUUGAUUUUUUAGCUCUCGAAAACCUCCCACAAUGCACUUUUGAUCCUUUUAACACCUUCGAACUUUCCGAAGUGUACCAUCCUCGCACUUUGAUCAAUUUGACUAAAGUUCGUUAUUUAUUUUCCGAAUUCUCGAUAUAUUACAAGAACAGAACGUUGCAUGGAAUCAACCCAACGUUCCACUCCAAGCCCUAGUUAGUAAAUUCGCAAAUUAUUCGCGAAUUAUUGAAAAUCCGAAUUAAAUGGUCCGUUUACGAAUUUUUUCAAAAAAAAGAGAAUUAUUCACGAAUUUUUGGGUCAGCCGAAUUAUUCGCGAAUAAUUUGCGAAUUAUUCGCGAAUUAUUACCAAAUUAUUGAAAAUAUGAAUAGAAAACUUAUAAUUUUAUUUUAAAAUAUAAAUUAUUUUAUAUUUUAUAUCUUAUAUUUUAUAUUUUAUACCGAAUCUGUUUUUUAAGCCGAAUUUUUUAAUGAAUUUAAAAAUUAGAAAACAAAUUUUGUACGUAUUAUAUCGGUACCGAAUUUUUGCCAAAUCCGAAUUAACUAACUAUGCUCCAAGCCAAUAAAUACCGUACAUUCCAUCAAAUUAAUUAAAAUAAAAUAAUAAUAAAUACUAAUAAAUGAGAACAAAAGAAUUAAUAAAUUAAAAAUAAAAAAUAAUAUUAAUAAUUGGGAAAUUUUAGAUUUUUCACCAACAAUAACUAUCUUGAGAAUCCUAUUAUUAUGUAUGUUUCAACUAUUAGUUAUAUUCAAUUUAUCAAUUUUUACCUGAUCUCUUAAAGACUUACAAGGUAAAGUUUUAGCCUGCGCAUUGCCUCAUUGUCCCAUGGUGGUCACACCUUCAUCCUAGUGAUGUACCUUCCCCACAACAUCACAUUCGGUGCUCCAACAUGUUGAUGAAAAUUCAAAAUCCUACAUCUUAUUUCAAUUAUUAAUUACUCCUUUUUUAUUUUUAAUUUUCUACAUUUUAAUUAUAAUUUUAUUUAUUAUAUUUUUUUAAUCCUUUAGCCCGCUACAUGGGCGGACGUUACGCGCGUCCGCGCUCUGUGCGCACCUUAUUCUCGGCGGACGUUUUGUCAUUUGUUAGAAACUAAUUAAAGGAAAAGUGAACGUUGGAGUUAAUAGGAUAGUAGCAGGACUCUAUAUAUAUGUAUAUGUAUAUAUAUAUAUAUAUGUAUAUGUAUAUAUAUAUGUAUAUAUAUGUAUAUACGUCUAUUGUUGUCAGGACAUAUAGAUAUAUUUCAUUUGCAUGAAGAAUAGUGAAAAGAAAUAAUUUUAUUUUGAGAUUCCUUUUCAUAAGUUAAUUCUCUUCUGUUUAUCGCUGGGUGUUGAAAGAAGCUCCGUCAACCCCUUCCGCGUUCGUGUCUGUAGGAGGAGAAAUUUCGGUCGUGUCUUGGGGCGGUGUUUUCGGUUAAUCCCGUACGAAGGAAGGGAAUACGCCUUAGGGCAGUGCCUCGCACGCUUUCGGAGCUAAUUAAUUUUGCAUUUCCUUUUUUGGGAUUUAGCGAAUAUCUGUAAGUUGAUUUUAUUAAUUUCAUCACGAAAUUAGUUAGACUUUAUCACAAUCGGAUUAUUCGUUGCGGCACUUUCCCAACAAUCUACGGCGUAAUCCCCUAUCUGAUUGUGAUUAAAUCUGACGGUGCUAAUCCAUUAAAAUAUAUAUAUAGUGCAUAUAAUUCUGUUUGACAAUUUGCUUGUAUACUUGUCAUUCAAAUUUAAAUAAAUUGGGAUUAACAUUUUCAAAUUCUAAUUGCAUAUAGUUUAUUUGCAAAUUAUUACUUCUCAUAUUUGCUUUGGGGUGUUUUUAAAUUUUAAAAAAAAAGGGAUUUUACUGUUCUACUAUAGUUUUUUUUUUUUUAAAAAAAAUUGCUACAGUGAUUUUUUAAGACUAGUACGCAUAUUUUAAAAUAAAAAAUUUUGCUACAGUAAGUUUUUAAAAAAAGGUUGCUACAGUAUUUUCCUUUGCACAGUUCGGAUUUUUUAAAACUAAAUUUUGAGGAAAAAAAGGGGGUUUUGUUACAGUAAAAAAUAAAUUUUCAUGCGUACCGUUUUUUGAGUUUGCUAUAGUAAAACUUUUUUGAAAAAAAAAAGGAAAACAAAAAAAAAAAACCUAUUUCGAGUAGGAAUUGAACCCUUCCUUAACUGGUUAGCUCCACUUAUAAAUAGACCCAACACUCUCUCCUCAUGCGCACCAACUGAGAAUACCCCCCGUUUUCCUCUCUUCUCAUCUCCCUCUCCUUCUCUCUCUAGAAUCUCCCAACAAAGGUGGAUUUGGUAGGGAUUGAAGGUGGAUUUGGAGCUUUUGAAAGAAAGGAGCUCUAGUGCAAGGUGGAACUUGAGGUCUAGAGGUGACCAAGGUAAGGGUUUGCAAGUUCUAAUCUAGGGUUUGUUUUGGUUGACCUAGAAUCCAUGUUUUUAGAGUUCUUGAGGUUUAGAAAUCUAGAGUGAUCCAUAGUUUCUCAUGGUGAAAGAUGCUUGACCAUGACAUGUGGAACCCUAGGGUUGAGAUUAGGGUUUUUGUAGAUAUGGGGUUUAUAGUAAAAUUGAUUCCUUAAUUCCUUAGUUGAAGAAUAAAUCGACCCAUAGGGAGGCUCAAGACGAAGUUCCUAUGAGCCUAUGGCACAUCGUUGAGGAAAAACACCGUUUUCCAUUCGUUACUUGACAUUAGUUGAUACGGAUGGAUAGAUCCCCGAGUAUUGUUGUCCCUAGUUGGUAGGGUAUCCUCGGGUUUAGAGGAUUGGAUUGUACUCACAUUGUCUGUUUAGCGUGGCGGUGGUCGCUCCAACCAAACAGUGGGCUCCGGAGUUGUCACAUAAUGGGUUAACGUAUCUACCGAACAGACGGUCCCGGGUGAGCGCAGCUGGGUGUCUCCUCACAUGUGGGAUUGGUUGUGAGUUGGGUUUAACCUUCGGGUUAGCUGGUGUGAUUGGGUUACAAGCAUAUGAAUGACAUGCAUCAUGAGCAUCAUGGUUACUUUAUUCAUAUCCUGUUGUUGAGGCAUAGUAGUAUAUUAGUAUUUCUUAUUUUUGUAUAUCUCUCUACUUAUGUCUGUUUAGACCUAAUAGAAAAAUCGGCAGGGUCAGCGGCCGAACCCACUGGAAACUUCUUUUAGUUCUCACCCCAUUGUUGUACAGAUCCCAGAGCGGCCGAGGGUCGUGGCAAGGGCAUAGCGCCCUAGAUAGCGGACAUCCCAUGCAUUAGCAUACCUUGUACUUGUAUCAUGUAAGAGAGAUGUCACAUUUUGGAGAGACAAUGUAGUGAGGAUAUAAUGUAUGAACUAAAGAAUUGUAUUUUGGUGAAUUGUAAAAGAAUGGUUAAACAAGUGAAUGAAUGUAAUAGUUUAGUUAAAUUUCUCUCUUGCUCUUGUUAUUUUUCUCGCGCAAAUCAUGUAUAUUAUUUGUUUUUAUUUGGGCAAAACUAGAUGUACAUGAUGUUGUUGAAACUUUGGCGGUACAUGGGAGACUUUGUCCGUUCGGCAUUCUGUGCACGAGUCUGAACCGACUAAAUUGGCGGUUGCGGGGCAUGACAAUAAAUAUUAUCUAAUAAAUUCUAGCAUUUUCUCGAAUAUUGUCCCCAAACCUAAUGGUACUCCUCCGAAUCAAAUAGCAGUCCAAAGAAUUAGUGAAUCAUCACCACGGGCUCAACGAGCAAUUGGUAGGGUUUUAACGAAAGAUUCACUAAUUAGUGGUAACAUACCAAAUCCCAAACACUAGUAAGUUAAAUCUCUCUCUCUCUCUCUCUCUCUCACACAUGCACACACUAGGUGAGUAAUCAUGCAUAAUCCAACCCUACUCUAUAUGUGAAGUGUCCAAUGACGAUACAGUCCAACAUAGUAAUCAUAAAUCUUAUGAAGAGAAAAAUAAUAAUAAACCGGACAUGUAGAGUAACUAAGCAUGUAAGAGAGUAAGUGAUAAUAAUUUGAUUAGAGCUACUCUACCAAUCAUGUAUUAUCUAAUUAUAAGUUAUAACAAUAACAAAAGUUGAAUCAUAGAGCAAAUAACACGAACAAUAUAUAAGGAUACAUGCAUAAGCAUAUGUACUCAACAAAUAAGAUAUAUGAUCGAAGCAUAACAGAAAAUAACUAAGUAGAACAUAACUUUACUGACAUCCAGAUUGAAGCACCUAUCUUUGCUCGAAUAAACCUGAGUUCGUGACUCCACCAUAGCCUCUAGGUGUCACAGGAACCUAGGCAUAAUGAUCGAGUGUCAUUUUCAGCCUCUGUGUCCAUAACACUAAUUAACUAAUAAACCUAAACCUCAAUGAAGUGUAUUACGACAUACUCGGAAUAUCAGUUUCGCAAUAUGACUUUCGGAACUAAACCAACGAACGGGCCAACUCUACAAGAGUCGAAAUGGCCCUCGAACAUCAAGCUAACAACAACCAAUGCAACUUAAUCACCAACAACACUAGCAAGUGUGAUCGGAACAUCGCAUUCUUUAACCGAUUUUCAAACAUCUCCAAAUUUGUUCCCUAACCUAUCGAGACCUCCAAUCAGACCAUGAAGCGUUGCGAGCUAUGUUAUAGGUCUGCUUAGACCACUUGCUGUCUCGAGACACACCAUGUGACGACUCAACAUAUCAUCUACUAUCCCAAAAGAUACCACUUUAGGUGUCGUGACAGUCGCAUCCCAUAAAGUGCAAUAAUGAGAUCCACUGCCUCGAACUUGGCUGUAUCGAGUUCCAAAAUACUGUUUUUGGCUUCGGAACAAACCUACAAUAUGCAUGCUGGCAACACAGGUUGGGGAGGGUGUGGCGUCUAUGGGUGAGGAGAGAAAGAGAGGAGAAAGGAAAAAGGAGAAAUAAUCUUAGUUUUCUCUUUUUUUUAUUAUAACAAUUGCAGAAUUUUCUACGCCAUCUUAAUUUGCUUUCCUAUAUACUGCUUCUUAGCCACCUUCGCAUAGAAGUCCUUCGUGUUGAAAAUUUUUUACUUUUCACACAUGAAAUGAGGACCUUUUCGAACACUGCCCUUUUUCUCCUAUGUUGUAAUAAAUGCUAUUUGGCCCUUCUAAAUCUCAAUUUCUUGCUCAAAACCACCUCACUUGUGCAUUUUGUACACAAUGCCUCCAACUACAAAGUCUCAUACAAGAAAGUAUAGAUUUAGUGGCAUAUAUAGAUGCUGCUAAAUGAGUAAGAAAUGUAACUAAAUUUUUUAGCAACACUUAACUUUUAGUGUUGCCUAUGCCCGUGUUGUUGAAUCUUUUAGCAACAUAUGGAGAGAGUGUUGCUAAUGCUGAAGAAUUAACAAUAAUUAACAAAUGUUGCUAAAUGAAAAUUUUAAAAAGGCAAUUAUUAAAUGGUGGUGCAUAUUGUUUAAUUAAUUCUUGUAUUAAUUUAGCUAUUAUUUUUUGAAUUAAAUAAAUUUUUUUUAUUAAUUAUAAAUUUUGAUGUUCAUUAAAUUAAAAUAUUAUUAAUUUUGAUUAAUUUUUUUAAUUAUAGUUAAUAAUAAUCAAAUAUUACUAAACAAUCACAUAUAAUAGUAUUUUGAACUAUUGGUAAAAAUAUUCAUUAUAUUAACAUUAAUUAGUUAUUAGUGUCUGCCGCGAACGAACCGGCCCCGCCGUAGGUUGUUUCUAAGGCGAGUGGUUAUUCAUGGUAGAGAUAAAAUUUGUUUAUGUUUUAUUUUGAAAUCAGGAUUAUACGUUCAUGGCUUCCAACAGACUCAAGAAUCUGUUGUUAAUUACCCCACACUUUCGGUGUUAAGGAACCCUCGAUUAAGAGACCAAAUAUAAAUGCUGAUAAUAAAAGAGACAAAACAGGCAAAUAAAAUUUUAUUGAUAUGAUUUGCCGUUUACAUGGCUUAAGCAGGGGCAUACCCCCACUGUACAUAAAUUGAAUCCUAAGUAUAUGUAUUAGGAUUCAGUUGGAUUUGAGAUUGACUAGGUCCUAAGUAUAUGUAUUAAAACCCAGUCAAUAUUAGACUCUGUGUAUUAGAGCCUAAUUGGCUCUAAGUAUAUGUCUUAGAGUCCGAUUAUGUCCACCUUGGUUAUAUGUUCCAAGAUAGAGAUGUGACCAGACCUCANAAAGAAAAAGCAUCAAAUUAAAAUAAUACCAAUGUAAUAACCACAAAUAUAAUAUCUAAAAGUAAAAUGUAAAAAAAAAAUUGAUGAAAGUUAAGAAAUAAAAAACCUCAUAGCAUACCAUAUAAUACAAAAAAUUAAUGUAACGAAGAAUCAAAAUGUUGAAGGGCAAUCCUAUUCUAGUCAUACUAAACCUUAUUAGUUAAGGAAAAAAAGAAAAGAAAAUUUCAAAUCUAUGAUUUUGAUUAGAAGUUAAUAUGAAAUUACUUUACCUUACAAGAAAGGAAUACUUACUUAUCUUUAGAAACAAAAGUGAUGAUCCGAUACUAAUUUUUUCCUCCAAUCUUACAAAAUAAAAAAAUUGGCGAGAAAGACUUCAUGGAAUUAAGGAAUAGAAGAGAAAACCACGAGAGUAAAAAAUCUUUUGAAGUUUAAAGUGAAGAAACAAAGAAAAGGGAGAGAGAUGGAAGAAAAAAUCACUAAAAGGAGAGAGAUGAAAUUUUAAAAAUUUGGAGGGCUUUUCAAAAUUUGGAAAACUCAUUGUCAUUUAUCACCAAAAAUACUGUUAAACAUUGCAACAUUUAAUACUUAGUGUUGGUGUUAUUUGUAUUUAGCAAUAUUUGUAUCUAAAUAUUGGUAAAUAAAUACAUUUAGCAACGUGAAUAAAUAAAUGUUGCUAAAUUUUAUAAUUUGUGUCACUUAGUUAAAUGUUGCUAGUUAAAUGUUGCUAAAAGUUAAACUUUUGCCACAUGAAAUAUCUCCUUUUUUGUAUCAAAGUUCAGUUUUGUUGGUUUUUCUCUCACUUGAUUUAUAUGCAAGCUUCAUUUUAUUGCUCGAAAAUGCACGACAGUUCCUCUCAUGGCCUAUAUUACUGUUAGACCUCAAAAGUGACAUAUUUCAUUGAAAAAAACUAUCUAAUUACAGAGUGGUCCCCCAACUUUACCGAGAAGUUUCGUCCUCGAAACUUAAUUACAAAUCUUACGUAGACAAAAGUGGGUACCGCUCUUGCAUUAUAGAGCUCCCAAGUGGCUUCACGCUCCUUGUGACUCUUCUAAUGAAACUUCAAAUAUGGAAUAGUCUAGUUAAGCAAUCAUUUUUCCUUGCAUGCCAAAAUCUACUUCUGAGCUUCAUGAAAGCUCAAACCCUUCUGAAACUGAAUCGACAUAUGGUUGAUCAUGUAGGAAGUAUCCAAUAUAUACUUUUGAAGCAUGGAGAUGUGGAAAAUACUAUAUAUGAACAUGGGCGAGACUCAAAGUAGGUCUUGAUCUAUAAGCCAUCAGACCAAUACACUCUAGGAUCUCAAACAAUCCAAUAAAACGCAAGCUUAACUUGCUUCGCAAUCCUAACCAUUUGAUUCCCUUCGUAAGCAACUUUGAGCAUCACAUUAUACAUUGAUGCUGGUCCGCAUUGCUUUUCUGCUCGCUCUGUGUAGUCAAGAUCGCUGCCUCGUGAUGUGAAUCUUGACCUCCAUGUCCUCUACCAAGUCUGGCUCAAUCACCUAGCAUUCGUUGAUGUCGAUCCAACAGAUCGAGAACCAAUAUCUAUGCCUAUAGGGGAUGGGCAGAGGAGCUCCAACAAGAUAGACUAGAAGAAAUAGUGUAAAGAAAAGUAUCUAUAGAGUAAUAUUCAGUAUCUUUAAUAGAACAGGGAUCGAGAAUGAAACGGUUACCAGUUGGGACCGGAAUGAGAAUGUAGGGGCCGAAUCCCUCUUUAUUUCCCUCGACCGAACCAAAGGCUUUGAUGUGUUCGGGGUUGCAGGCCGUUACAUUCAGCUUAAGUGAAAGAGUAUUUUUGGCGAAUGAAUAGGUGAUUUUCAAUAGAUGUUCCAUAACGGAGGCGAUCUUCGAUAAUUUUUUAUGAAGGGUUUUAUGACAAAGAUGAUUUUUGGUGUACAUCUCUGAUGGAGACUAGAGAUCAGAGACUUUUGGGGCCUAAGUAGAGAGAUAAAUUGUAGGAGAAAAUGACUGAAGUGAAUAGCCCACGACCUUUAAAUACUUUGACAGGGUCAAUAGUAGGAUGCCGCGUGUCAUGACAUGGAAGUUGAAGCGACAGCUGUGCUUGUGAGGCGUUAUUUCAUGAAUCAUUGGCCGAAACUUAAAGCUUAACCUUAUUUACAGCCAAUGAGAAGGACAAUUGUUGACAUCAAGUUUUGUUUGUUGAACCUAAAGAGUGGAGAAUGAUCUUGUUUGUUCAUAGCAUAACAGAAGAUGAUUACGAAUCAAAAGUGUAGAGCUUCAACUAUUGGAUAAAGUGGAACAAUCUCAAUCGUAUGCUAUAUGGCAGGUGAUAUCCGUUAGGAUUUGGUUAGAUUUGUAGUUGAAUCGUAGUUGGAUAAAUAUUAAUAUUUAAAUCUAUUGGAGAUAAUUAACAUUUAAAUAUUAAUUAGAAUAUAAAUCUAACUAGAUUAGGAUAAAUAUUUAAAUCUAUUGGAGAUAAAUCAAUUAAAAUUUAAAUAUUUAUUGGAGUAGGAAUCCUAAAUAUAUUAGGAUUGGGGUACGUUUUGUUGGAGCUUUAUAAAUAGCUCUUGAUGGGAUGCUUUUGGAGAGUGUAUGGUGAGAAAUCCCUUGGGUAGUGUCGUACCAGGAGAGAGAAACCUAUAUGCUUUGAGUGCACCUAGUGCACGGGUGCACGUAGAUAGUUGUCUUCUUUGUGGAUUUAUAGAAGACGAGAGAAGGGUAGAAGAGAUUCAGAAAGAGGGCUCGGGUUGUAACUACUCUAUUCAGAAAAGGAGUCAGGUGUAAUAUUCUCUUAUUUAAUGAAUCUUAUUUUACUCGCAUAUUUUCGGAUUUGGUUUUUUCUCUUUUUAUCUUCGCUACCAGCGACAUAUGAGCAUCUGGUGACCACGUUGCUUUAUGGCAAGGAGACCAUAAGUGUGGAGUCAGUCACGGCGGCAUUUCUCUCGAACGAUGACUCAGGAGUCUGGCACGCAAAGUCGGGAUAUUACUUUGGUAGUGAAAGCGAAGAAUGAGGCGGCAAUAUCAGCGAUCGAAGAUCAACAGAAGAAGUCGCUAUCCGAGCUGGAGUGCUUCUACUGUCAUAGGAAAGGACAUAUAAAGCGCAACUGUCAAAAGCUUCAGAAUGAUCUGAAGGAGUUAAAGCGACAAAAGGAGAAAACUGUCGUGAACCAAGAUGAGACGAUAUCAACGAAGGGGCAGGCGGCAGAAUCGGAGAUGAUCGAUUCUGAUGUGCUGUAUGCGGCGACCGAAGGUGCUAAAAUUUGGAUGACGCGUGGGUGCUCGAUUCGGCAUGUUCCUUUCACGUAUGCUCGGAGAAGGAGUCUUUUGCUACCUAUAAGGUAAAUAAGGAUGGAAAGGCUCUGAUGGGGAACGGGACGGCGUGCAAAGUUUUGGGAGUCGACACAGUGAAGAACCGAAUGCACGAUAGGGUCGUGAGGACGCUGACAGGUGUGCGACAUGUUCAUGGCUUGAAGCGAAAUUUGAUCUCGUUAGGGGUAUUGGACUCGAAAGGUUGCGAUUUUUCAGCUUCAGGUAGAGCUAUGAGAGUCCGAAAGCGAGAUCGGAUCAUGUGCGAGGCAAACAAGCAUGAGAACUUAUACGUUCUGAACGGAAGGACAGUCAGAACGGGAGCGAAGGCGAUUUGGGUUCUAAAAGUUUGCGGAUGUGCAGUCGCUCGAGGCCGAGCGGCGAAUGCGGUGACAUCGAGCGGAGGAGACAAGCUCAAGAUGGAGUUUGUAUGGUGAGCUCGAUGCAGCGGUUGAAGACUACAAAUCCAACUAAGGUGGAGAAUAUUAGGAUUUGGUUAGUUUGUGGUUAAAUCCUACUUGGAUAAGAAUUAAUAUUUAAAUUUAUUGGAGAUAAAUUAAGAUUUAAAUAUUAAUUAGAGUAUGAAUCUAACUAGAUUAUGAUAAAUAUUUAAAUUUAUUAGAAAUAAAUCAAUUAAGAUUUAAAUAUUUAUUGGAGUAGGGAUCCUAAAUAUAUUAGGAUUGGGGUACGUUUUUGGUGGAGCUUUAUAAAUAGCUCUUGAUGGAAUGUUUUUGGAGAGUGCACGACUGAGAAAUCCUUUCGGUAGUGUCGUACCGGGAGAGAGAAACCUAUAUGCUUUGAGUGCACCGAGUGCACGGGUGCACGUAGAGAGUUGUUUUCUUUGUGGGUUUAUAGAAGCGAGAGAAAGGUAUGAGAGAUUCAGAAAGAGGGCUCGGUUUGUAACUACUCUAUGCAGAAGAGGAAUCAGGUAUAAUAUUCUCUUAUUUAAUCAAUCUUAUUUUACCCGCAUAUUUUCGGAUUUGGUUUUUUCUCUAUUUUAUGAUUGUAUCAGCUUUUGCUGAGAAGACGAGUUUAUAAUAAAAACUCGAUUUGACACUUCCAUUGCGGAAUCCUAAUAAUCAGUACCGGAUCAACAGCAGCUGGUAUCGAAGCGGGUUGCGGAUUCACAAAAUUCGAUACUGACGUGAGUACCGAAAUUCCAACAUCCAUUUCCUUAAUAUCGGGAUUCUGCUGAGAAUUCUGCAGAGUUUGAGUGUGGAGGUUAUAACUAGCCCUAUGUAGAAGAGAAAAGUAUCCUUUUUCCAUACAAUUGAACUCUUGAGAAUAACUUGGAGCCGCAGUAAAUCAGUAAAAUAGUAUCUAGUAGCUAGUGGUGGAGCUAAGGGCUGGGCCCAGGUGGGCACGUGCCCACCAGUAAUUUGCUUUCCUACUUUUUUUUCUUGAUAAAAUUUAGAACAUGCACUAUGUGAACGCAUAAAAAAUUGCAUCUCUCCUUUUUUUUAUCUUAGAAAAUAUAAAAAUUUAAUUAUAAAAUAGAUAUUUAUUUGUUCAUAUAUUUAAAUAUUUAUAAUUUAUAAUUUUUUAAUUAGAGUGUUAUUACUCGAUAAAAUUUAUUUAUUUGGUUAUUUGUUAUACUAUUUUUAUCUUUCUGAUUAUAGAAUAGUUUGGCAGUAGCAAUAGUUCAGUAGCCUUUUGUAGUAGUACUUUCAGGCAAGGAUUCAAGUGCCGGCCGUGCCACACCGUGUCGGUGCUGCACGUACCGUGCCACCAAGAAAGGGGCACAGUAUAGCGGGGAGGACCCCCCUUCCCCCCCCCCCGUGUAAGAUCCUUGGUGUUUGGCGGUUGAGGCUUGACGACAGUUCUGGAGAGUGUCGGGACAAGUCUGAGUCACGUUGGCAUGAAACAGACGCAAAACGAACUCUGUGCGACGCGAGAGCAGCAUUUAGCAAGAAAAUCUGUAAAUAGCAGUUUCCUACUUGCUGUACCGGUACAGACAUCACGGUGUACCGGUACACUGCUCAGGGCUUCACGCAGCUUGCUCUCGGGUUGGCCACUGUACCGGUACACGGGCCCGUGUACCGGUACGCCAAGGUAGGUAGGAGGACUUUUUGGUCUUUUUCCACCUCGUUCGUAUUACCCUUUCUCUCUUACUGUAUUUAGGCUUGUGUAGAGCUGAGAGAGUGAGUUUUCCAUGUCCUUAUUCUCCUCUCUCUCUAGCUUGGACCGUGGGCAAGGAGGAGCUCGGGUGGAGUUCGAGUGUCGUCGACGUCGCGCCGCGGUGCCAUUCGAGUGUGUCUUCAUCGUCGUGGUGCUGCGAAGAGGCUGGGUGAGCGUGGUUUUUCGCCGUCUUCGACGUUGCGCCGAUUCUAGAGGGGUUUUCGAGGUGAGUGAUCCAUAGACAUCGCUUCAACUACUUUAAGCUCAAGGAUGUUGUUUUUGCAGAUUUCCUGCAUCGACCGUUGGCGUUUCGGCUCGUGUACGACGUAGGAGCGUCAGAUUGCAGUGAGACUUGGUUCGUUGGAUUCAGGACUUCGAGAGGAAUCCACGAAGCCCAAGAUUGCAGGAUUUGGUGAAGGUUAGCUUGGUCGAACCUUAUUUUACCCUGCUGUUGUUAUACAUGGACAGAAUUGAUGGAUUUCGAUUGUAGAGCUUGGAGUUAGCUCGAUUUCUAGACUUGGAGGACUUCGGUCGAUCCAGCAGGUUAUUCCACAGCUGAGGGAGUUCUUUGCUGCCAGGGAUUAGCAAUUAAAGUGGGUUUAUCAUCGGUUUUGCUCCUAAGUAUAUGUAUAGUAAACUUGUAUAGUUUCGACUUCGGAAUAUCCUGUUGUAGCUCAAAUUCAUCGGUUGGUUUAUUGUAUGAAAGCUGAAUUGAGAGCAUGAAUAGUAAUUAGUUGAAUAUACAUGUUGGACUUGAAAUUUGACUUAGAAGAAAACUAGCGAUUCGACCUGUCAUAUGAUUCUACUACCUGAUUUAGCUCUAGGAGCCGUGGUUUGAUUGUAUCACUGUUGUUUCAGCGCGGUGGAUAUCCGGGGUAGUUUAGAAUGCAUUUACGCUCGGACGGGAUGCCGAGCUUGGGUAAUAUUUAACUGUAGGUUCUACACUGUCUUUUCUGCUCCCUCCUUAAGCUUUUGUGCUUUGUAUUCCCGCUGUUAGUGCGCAAUUGAUACUCAGAUAGCUUCUGAAGCUGUUGUGCUUCGUAUCCCCGCAUGCGCAUUUGAUACUCAGAUAGCUUCGGGAGUUGUCGCGGAUAGUAUCCACACUGUUGUGUGCUUUUGAUACACUGAAAACUUAGGAGCUGUAGUAGAACUGUAUCACCGCAGUUUGUUGGUGCUGGAUACCCGAAAUAGUGUAGAAUAUAGUUACGCUCGGGCGGAGACGCAGAACUUAUUUUUACAGCAGUGUCUAGGCUGCUUCAGACUGUCGGGUGCCGUCAGGAUUGACGGUGGACCAGAUUGCGGGUUUUGCAUCAGCUUGUGCCGAGGGCACGUGAGUCUUGAUUGUUAGACCAGUUGAACCCUAUUUAAUUGAUUAUAGCCUGUAAGAGCCUGAUUGAGCUCAGUAGAGAUACGCUUGCAUACUCGGUUGGGUAGCGCCCACGAGUGCCACUCCGAAGUCGGGCUUUGUGCGUUUGCGUUGUAUAGUGUCCUGGUUGGACUUGCUCUCCACGGACUUGUUAGUGUGGAGGUAGCAUUUAGGAUUCGACAGGCGGGACGGGUGCGUUCACAGUCCCUGGGACGGGUGUUUUCACAGUCCCUAUGGAUUUGGGUCUGAGGCUGCAUUACUCGACAGAUAGUAGUAUUGGAUCAUGUUAGGAUAGUGGCAUAUAGCUGUAGAUUUGUUCUAGCUUCCUUUUCUAUCACUGAGCUUAGAUCUGUAGACUUAGUGGGCCGACCGAUGAUAUUGAGGGCGGCACCCACUGAGGACUACUUGUUUUACAGUAGUUCUCGUGCCCUGUUUUUAUCCCGUUUUUGUAGAGCUAUCGUCUUCGGCUGCUGCUGUUGUAUCUUGGAUUUGGCGUAUGUAUAUGGAACUCGGUUUGUUUUUAUUACUGGUUCUUCUAGCAGCUCUAUACUACUGUUUGUAGUAUUGUAUGAUUUACAGGUACAGCUAUGCUUCGUAUACAGGAAAAAAAUUUUUGUAUACGACGGAUUUGUCGGCGUGCUCGGGGAACGUGUAAUCCGGGGCGUGACACACCGUACCGCGGUAUGUGGGGUCGUGCCGCACGAGACAGAGCGGCACGACGAUGCGUGUCGCGGCACAGUGUCGUGCCGGCACUGUGCAUUUUUUUUUUAUGUUUUGUUUUAUUUUUGGGGUAGCCGAAGUAUUCUGGAUACCCUACAACCCCCAAAAUAUAUUGCAAAUCGAAAAUCUAGGCAAGUCAAAAGAAUUAUAAUUUAAUUUUUUUGUUUAUCAAUAUAGGGCAAAUUUUUAAUUUACAUAUCCAAUCCCUCCGCUUCCAUCAUAGGCAUCCAUCUUUUCUUCACAAAUUAUUUUAUCAAAAUUUGUCGCAAAGUGAAACUUUUACCAAAUUGGGGAAACAAAAUCGAACUCAAUAAACAAAUUUUAAGGCACAUCAAAUAUAAAAUUUUAUUUUUGCGUUAUAAAAUUGAAAAUACUGAUAAAAUUAAAAGUUAAAUUAAAUUAAUUGAUACUUAAAUUAUUUAAUUUAUUUGAAAAAUUAUUUUUUUGUAUUUUAUAAAAGAAAGACAGUAAUAUAGUCAAAAGAAAAAAGAAAAAAAAAAGAUGUCUUUACAUUUUAAAAAUUUUAAUCUGCAAAAUUUCUAUUUUGCAUCAGAUAUAGUUGUACUUUAUAUUUAAAAAAGUUUACAACUAUGUUAAUUAAUGAGUAUAGUAAGCUAUACAUAGCAAAUAUUCAUAAUUAUUUUAUUAAAUCUUUCAAAAUAAUAUUAUAAGAGUUUAUUGAAAUAAAAAAAAUAAAAUAAGUCCAUGCCAAAGCGUACCAGUAGGAGGUCAUGCGUAUCCAUUGGCACGCAAGCGUACCAUGUGUCACGCCCCACAAUCGCCUAUUUGGCCGACUUGGGUACGCCGAACAGACACCGAACGGGCAGAGUUUUUCCUGUCCGCCCAAGGCUCAACAAUGAUCAUGUACAUCUAGUUGCCCAGGAAUAACAUCACCAAUAUACAUGAUACCACGCUAGUAAUCAUACAAGCGAGCAAGAGAGAAAAUCUAACUAUUACAUUUGACAUUCAACCAUUUUUACAAGUUUCCACCAAUGAACAUAAGUUGUUUUACUACUUGCAUCCAAAAUGAUACAUAAGGUUUACGACUCCUCAUAAUACAUGAAUAUCUCUAGCAACCUCACCAAAAUACAUAAAUCUCUCAAAAGGAAACUCCCAAAAUGGUGCCUAACUCUAAUGCAUAUAGGUGGUCGCUAGCUAAUUAGGGCGCUAUGUCCUUAUCGCGGUCCUCAACCUGUCCACCUAAACUCAGCCCUGCAACAAAGUGGGAUGAGAACUAAUAAAUAGCUCCCAGUGAGUUCGGCUACCAACGCCGCCGAUUUUUUCACUAGGUCUAAGCAGGCAAAAGUAGAAGGGUUAGCCAAUUAAUAAUAUUCCUAUCAUGCUACUAUGCCUUUACAAUAUGAACAAUAAGCAAGUAAGGUAAAUAAUAGUAGCAACUACUAUGCUCAUGAUGCAUGACAUUUACCUUUGUUUUCAUAACCCAAUCAAUCCGGCUUACCCGAAGGUUAAGCCUCGACUCACAACCAAAUCCCUACUAAUCGUGAGAAGCAACCAUACACUCACCCGGGACCGUCUGCGGGACAGCUACGUUAGUCCCUACUGUGAAGUACUUCGAAGACCACGCUUGGGUGGAGUGACCACCGCCAAGCAAAACAGACGAAUGUGAGUAUAAUCCAAUCCUCUAAACCGAGGAUACCCUACCAACUAGUGGUAAUCAAAUCCGGGAACACCAAUCCCAAUACUUAUAACUUGAGUAGUCACAUUGUUUCUAGCCAAAUGUCACAAGACUACAAUGUCUCUAACUAAUGCCACAAUGUUACCUUUGUCUCUAGCUAAUGCCACAAGGUUACAUUUGUUUCUAGCUAAUGCCACAAUGUUAUGUUUACAUUUCAUGUCAAGGUCGCUUCUAAUGCCCCAAUGUUCAAGUCCUUAUUCAUGUCAAUAUAGAGUUUCUUUGUUUUCGACCCAAUUCUCAUACUCUUAGCCACUAUGAAUCAUAUCAUGCUUCCACAUAUACCAUAAGAGAAUGCAAGAAUUGAAAAUAACAAGCAUCUACUCUACAAUGCAUGUAUAGUAUAUAUGAACAAAUGCAUGGCAAUGAAGGAACUUAGACAUAAAGAGAAAUCCGGAUGUUCCGGAUAGCACCCCCCAGCUCUAAAUGAUGUUGAGGUGCUUGGAUUCUAAUUUCGUGAUUUGUGGACAUCGCCUCGGCCUUCCAGGUGGAAACGAAGCAAAAACGGUCCUUUUCUUCGAUUACCCGUCACCCGAGUCGUAGGAACUUCGAUUUGAGUUGCCCACAACAUUAACUUUACUUUCAAUUAGGUUUACAAAGGGUCAAUUUAACAAUAAACCCUAAUUCCACAAAAAUCCUAAUUUCAACCCUAGAGUUCAAUGUCAAAAGCACCAUGGUUCCAACAGGGGAUUCUAGGGUUAUAUAGGUCUCUAAUCUUGCAAGAGACUCAAAACAAAGAGAUUUAGGGCAUAAAACCAAGCCCUAGCAAGGAUCUUGCAAGAAACCUCACCUUACCCAACUAGCUAUCCAAGCUCCACAUUGUAGGAGAGCUCUAGAUCUUCCAAACUCCAAGAAUCUCCUUUAAUGUCCUCCAAAUCUCCUCCAAAUCACCUUGGGGGAGAGCUCCUAGAGACAGAGAGGAAGAAAAAUGGUGUUGGAGGUGUUCUCUUGGCUGUGAACAAGAGAUGAGGAAUGGGGUUUUUUUAUAAGCCUCCACAAUUGCAAAAUAGCCCUCCAACUCCCUAUAUUUGCAGCAGCCUACAAACUGCUGUCGUAGUGCAGUGUACCGGUGACACGGGCUGGUGUCACCGGUACGCCAUUCAGCAACAGCCAAACCCGAGAGCUGCUGUUCUCGGGUUGCAGCAGGGUAACCUAAUGCCGCGAAGCAGCGGCAGAUCUUUUUCUAAAAUUAAGAUUAUUCAAUACUUCACUAACCAAGACUGCCUUCACUUGGUACACGAGCUACCUGCUAAUUCUCUCCGAGACUAGGACGAAUUAAAGGAUAAAUUUCAUGAGCAAUUCUAUAGAACCGAGCCGGAGUUGUCGGUUGCAGAUUUGGCUCAAUUUAGACAAAAAACAGGAGAAUCGGUUGAUGAAUAUUUGAACCGGUUCAAGACGGCUCGAAGCCGAUGUUUUGUAAGGAUGCCGGAAUCAGAAUUUGCCAAAAUGGCAUUUAACGGCAUGCAUUUUAAAAUUAAAGAUCAUUUUGAGGAUAAGUUCUUUCCAAAUCUUUUUGAUUUAGGAGUUCGAGUUGCUCAAUACGAGCAAUUUCGAAAAGGGAAUAAUGAAGAUCGGCCUAGAUGGAGCCGAAACAAGGAUUGGGGUAAAGGGAAAGAGAAAAAUAUUUCUUUUUUUGAAGAAUCCUCGGCUCAUGAAGAGCCGAAUUCAUCUGAAGAGGCAGAAGAUUCGGCUGAUGAGGCCGAAAUCUGUGCUGCCGAGAUGGUGAGAAACAGUCAACCGUACAAAUGUGCUUUGCUGAAGCAUGCAAAAUCAAGAGAAGCAAAGGCACAAAUAUCAGCAUUUAGUUAUUCAUUUGACAUAACAAAGACCGAUCUUAUUUUCGAUCGGUUGUUAAAGGAUGGACGAAUUAAAUUACAGAAAGGUCAAACUAUACCUCCUGUAGAAGAACUGAAACGCAGAAGAUACUACAAAUGGCACCAUUCAUGGAGCUAUAAAACUAGCGAAUGUACUGCCUUUAAGAGGCAAAUUCAAAAAGAGAUAAAUGAGGAUCGGCUGAUCUUUGCCGACCAAGAAAAUAAAGAUAUGAAAAUUGAUAAGAAUCCUUUUACAUCACAGGUCAACGCCGUGAACAUAAAAAGGAAAGGAAAAGCGACUGCGAAAAGGCAGAUACAAGAAGAAAUAGAGGAGGGUCGGCUCAUAUUGGCCGACCAAGAAAACGAAAAUAAAAUAAUUAACAAAAGUUCAUUUCCAUUUCAGGUCAAUAUGGUGAAUAUUAAAGGAAAAAAAGUUUUGGACAAGGAGACCGCUGACAACGUGGCCCAUGCCAAGAAACACCUUUGGCUAUGCAUCAGGUGCAAGGCCGAAAUGACGAAAAAAGACUGGGAAGCCAUUGUGAAUGCCAAGAAAAAGGGGAACGAAUGGAAUGAGCUGAUGGCGUUCCCUGAGGAUUGGGAUGACAUUCCUGAUGGCAAAGACCAAGAAGAAGAAUGCUCGGAUGUAGCCUCUAAUGAUACUGAACCGGAAGUAGAUUCGGUUCAACGCAAAAAAGAUAUACUCAUGUAGAAGAUUCUGCAUGAUUACUACAACAACAGGUGUGGAGAACGUCAUGGCCGAUGGGACUACCAGGAUAGACCAUUCAACUCCAAGCAAAGGUUCCCUGGAUAUCGGCCAGACUGGCAACAGCAAGCCAGGCCGAGACCAGAACCGGAAUUUGAAGGAAUGACCGAGGGGGACAUAGAAUUCCUCGGUCGGAGGCUAGUCAACGAACUCGACAUUCAGCCUUGGCCGAGACCAUGGGAAAGAAGAAAAAUUCUAAAAAAUCAUUUAAGAAUAGUAAAAGUACCGGCAAACGUGCCAGUGGACGAAUGGCACGAAGUCGAAGUUAAACCAUCAGCCAGAUGGCAGGGGCCGAUGUUAACAAAAACCCAAAAGCAUCGGCAGCAGAGGGUGCAAGCCGAGGCACGUCAACAUUAUGAAGAGGCGAAAGGGAUGAGGCUCAAUGUAUGGAGACGCCUGGAUGAGCAGCCACACCCUUUUCGUCCGAUGAGGAAUGACCAUGAGGCAGGCGGCUCAUCGCCUGCCCUACAGUUGAAGUCAAGAAUAAAACGGCCAACUGAGGCCGAGUUAAAAGAGAAAAUGACCAGGAGGGAGUUGGAAGAUAAAAUAGCUUCCCUCGAGACAAUGAUAAAGAGAGAAAGGUGGCCUCCUAAAGAGAGGGAGGUCCGUAUGGAAAGCGACUCCUCAGCCGAAACGGCCAAGGAGUCAGAAGAGAAGAAACAGAGAGUCAAAGGAAAAUCGGCUGACGAAUCACCGGCCGAGGUGAAUAUGGUAGACGCUCUGCCUCAAUCCUUCAAAGCAGAAUUUGUUGAGUACGAGGAAUUCAGAGAAGAAGAAGAAAAUGGGAUUACCGUAGCCCAAUUGCAGCUAGAGGAUGUUCGACAGGCCGAUGCUGUGGUUUUUGGGAAACCAUCGGCCAUGCAGAAGAGGUUCAUCAGGCCUCUCUUUAUAAAAGCUUUAAUAGAAGGCCGGCCGGUAGGCCGAGUUAUGGUAGACGGCGGCGCUAUGGUCAAUGUGAUGCCUACUUCUUUUUUCAGGAAGUUGGGCAAAGAUGAAGACGAAUUGAAGCCCACCGAUUCAAUUAUGACCGAUUUUACAGGAAACGGUCAACAAGCUCGAGGAGUGCUCACCACCGAACUCACGGUAGGUUCAAAAACUCUAAAAACUGCGUUUUUCGUAGUGGAUGCAGAUAGCCACUACAAUUUGCUUUUGGGAAGAAAUUGGAUACACUCAAAUGAGUGUGUACCCUCUACACUCCACGAAAAAUUGUUCCAGUGGAUAGGAGAUAAGGUGGAAGAAGUCGGGGCCGAAGGACGACCUCAAAUGAUAGAUGUCAACAUGGAGGACAUCGGCAACACCAAUUGGACCGAUGCUGAUUCGGAUCAGAUUUCGUUUGUGAGAGUGACGGAGGAGGGGAUUCAAUUAAUUCUCUCCAAAGACAUCAAUGCUAUGGUGGCUGAUGAGAAGCCACCUAAAUAGUUAAAAUGGAGUCCCAAAAAUCGAGAAUAGAGGCUGGGCAUAAGCCUCUACAAGACGAGCCGAUCAACAAGAUCGGCUAUGGAGAUGAUUCGGCUGCUAUAGCCGAUGUGAUAGCACCCGACAAUUCGGCCAAUAAGGCCGAAGAAGCCAUAAAGGAUUCGGCUCAUAAAGCCGAGGAAGAAAGCCAAAUGAAAUCGGUCUUUGAGACUAAUGAAUCAUAUGAGAUGAAUAGGCAAACAACGAAAAUGAAGCUAGAAGAAUCGCCUAUUAAAGCCGGCGAAAAAAAGCUGGAGACCCAGGAUUUGUUGAUAGAAGUAAACCUAGGGUCCUAUGAAGAUAACAGGCCGACGUUUAUAAGUUCCAAGCUGUCGGCUCAGCAACAGGAAGAAUUGAAGAAACUGUUGAAGGAAUACAAGGACUGCUUCGUCUAGAGCUAUGAAGAAAUGUUAGGUCUAAGCCGAGAGAUCGUAGAACAUCGGCUGCCCAUCAAAAAAGGGUUCAAGCCUUUUAGACAACCGGCUCGUAGGUUUGAGCCGAGUAUUGUACUUCAAAUUAAAAAUGAAAUUGAAAAUCUUUUAAAGGCCGGAUUUAUUAGAGCGGCCCGUUAUGUUGAUUGGGUGUCUAAUAUAGUUCCAGUGCGUAAAAAGAAUGGCAAACUUAGAGUUUGUAUUGAUUUUAGGAAUUUGAAUUUAGCUACACCUAAAGACGAAUAUCUAAUGCCAAUAGCCGAUAUGUUAGUAGAUUCGGCUGCAGGUAAUGAGAUACUGUCCUUUAUGGAUGGACAUGCUGGUUAUAACCAAAUUUACAUUGCUGAGGGAGACAUGGCUAAAACGGCUUUUAGAUGCCCCGGUUCAAUUGGAACCUUUGAAUGGGUUGUUAUGCCGUUCGGCUUAAAAAAUGCCGGAGCUACUUACCAGAGAGCAAUGAAUUUUAUUUUUCAUGAUUUAAUCGGCAAAAAGUUGGAAGUAUAUAUCGAUGAUAUAGUUGUAAAAUCCCAAUCACAAGCCGAGCAUUGGAGCGAUUUGAAACUCGCCUUUGAGAGAAUGAGAAAAUAUAAUUUAAAAAUGAACCCUUUGAAAUGCGCUUUUGAAGUUUCUGCAGGAAACUUUUUGGGAUUUUUAGUGCAGAAAAAAGGGAUCGAAAUUGAUAAAAAUAAGGCGAGAGCAAUACUAGAAUUACCGCCACCCAAGUGCAAAAGGAGCUACAAAGUUUGCUGGGAAAGAUUAAUUAUCUUCGGCGGUUUAUAUCUAACUUAGCUGGAAAGAUCGAGGUUUUUACUCCAUUACUUCGGCUGAAAGAUAAAGAAGAAUUCAUUUGGACAGAGGAACAGCAGGAGGCAUUCGAAAAUAUAAAAAGAUACUUAUCAAAUCCUCCAGUAUUGGUACCUCCGAAGACAAAUCAGCCGAUGAAAUUAUAUAUAUCGGCUGCAGAAGAAAAUUUGGGAUGCUUAUUAGCUCAAGAAAAUGAAGAAAAUGAAGAACAAGCCAUUUAUUAUUUAAGCUGACGUCUUUUAGAUACUGAAAAAAGGUAUUCGGCUAUUGAAAAGCUAUGUUUGGCUUUAUAUUAUUCAUGUGCGAAGUUAAGAUAUUAUAUUUUACCAACUGAAGUAUCGGUAAUAUGUAAAACCGACUUGGUAAAAUAUAUGUUAUCUAAACCAGUAUUAAGGGGGCGAAUCGGAAAGUGGAUAUUAGCUUUAUCCGAGUUUUCUCUUAAUUAUGUUCCCGCCAAAGCUGUUAAAGGUCAGGCUAUAGCCGACUUUCUGGCUGAUCACCCAUGUGUAGAGAUUGUGGAGCCGAAACAGAGUUUAAUCGGCUGUCAGCCUUGGGUGUUGUAUUUUGAUGGUUCAAAAACAACCAAAUCUGCAGGAGCAGGGAUAGUAAUACAAUCUCCUGAAGGUUAUGUUUCUCAAUUUGCAUUUGAAUUAGAUUUCGGCUGUUCUAACAACCAAGCCGAAUAUGAGAUCUUGAUAAUCGGCCUCGAAAUAUUGCAAGAAUUGAAAGCAAAAUCAAUCAAAGUCAUCGGUGAUUCACAGUUGGUGAUCAAGCAGGUUAAUGGAGAAUACCGAUGUGAGAAUCCAAAUUUGCAAAAUUACUUGAAGAAGACAAUAGAACUAUUAUGCAAUUUCGGAGAAGCCGAAUUUGAACAUUUGAGCAGAUAUGAAAAUGAAAAGGCAAAUGAAUUGGCCCAAUCGGCUUCAGGAUACAUAGAGCCGAAGUCAAAGUUAAUAGUAAUACAGAGGAGAUUACUACCUUCGGUUCAUAGACGAGAACCGAUUAUAGCUCCUAUAGGAGUGAAAGAAGAUUGGAGAAAGCCAUUAAUCAAAUAUUUAGAGGAUCCUAAUAUAAGGGUCGAUUAUAAUAUUCGAAGAAGAGCUCUCGGCUAUUGUUUGUUGGAUGGUCAACUUUACAAAAGAACAGCCGAAGAAGUUCUAUUAAAAUGCUUAGGGCCCGAAGAAGCUCUAUUAGUGAUGGGAGAAACACAUGAAGGAAUAUGUGGAACCCAUCUAGCAGGAAAAAAGUUAAGAUGGACAAUUCGGCAUCUAGGAUAUUAUUGGCCGACUAUGCAUCAAGAUUGCAUAGAGUAUGCUAAGGGUUGCCAAGAAUGUCAAUUUCAUGGCUCGAUACAGAGGGUUCCUGCCUCUGAGAUGUACGCCAUAAUUAAACCAUGGCCUUUUCGGGGUUGGGCCAUAGAUUUAAUUGGAGAAAUUCAGCCGAAUUCUUCGGUUGGUCACAAAUUUCUAAUAGUAGCCAUCGAUUAUUUUACUAAGUGGGUGGAAGCCAAACCUACUCGGUUGGUUACUCAAAAAGAAAUUGUCGAUUUUGUAGAAGACCAUAUAAUUUAUCGCUUUGGAAUUCCCGAGACAGUCACAACCGAUCAAGGGACAAUGUUCACAGGAGGACAGUUCGUUCGGUUCAUCGAGUCUCGAAAGAUAAAGUUGCUUCAUUCUUCGCCUUAUUAUGCCCAGGCAAAUGGACAAGUAGAAGCAGCAAAUAAAAUAAUUAUCAACCUUAUGAAGCGACAUAUCGGAAAACACCCGAGAAAGUGGAAUGAAAAACUUUCCGAAGUAUUAUGGGCAUGCCGAACUUCAGUGAAAACGGCAACAGGGAUGACACCGUUUCAGUUAGUUUACGGUCAUGAGGCCGUAAUUCCAGCCGAAAUAACAGUUCCUUCUUUGAGGAUAGAAAAACAAAAAGAUUUGUCGGCUGAUGAAUAUAGUAGUUUAAUGAUGGACAAAGCAGAAGAAGUAUGUGAUACUCGGCUGAUAGCUUUAGACAAUAUACAAGCAUACCAAAGCCGAGUGCGUAGCGCAUACAAUAAGAAAGUUCGAUCAAAGACAUUUGUCGUCGGUGAUUUAGUACUUCGGCUGAUUUUUCCAAUCGGUCAAAAAGAUCGAAUGUAUGGAAAAUGGUCCCCAAAUUGGGAAGGACCAUUUCAGAUUAGCCGAAUCACAAGAGGAAACGCAUAUUAUUUACAAAGCAGAGAUGGGUCAGAAAAUGAAAAACCAAUUAACGGAAAAUAUUUAAAGAGAUAUUACCCAUCCAUGUGGGAGAAUAAUUAAAAUCAGAGUUAGAAUAUUACAAGCCGAAUCAGGACAAUAAGUCUUUGAGUUGAUUCCAUUCGGCUAUGAGAUUGGCUUGGGCGGUCUCAGCAGCUUUCCUUCGGCGCUUCAUCAAAGGAUGGACUUUGUAAAGUUGAGAAAGCUCCUCUUUAAGCCUUAUCCCUUCUUCCUUUUUGGACUUCAGUAGAUCUUUUAGUUGAAGUCGGCGCUCAGAGGUUUGUGCGAGAGUAGAUUCGGCUGCGGCUAACUCUUCUUUAAGAGUAGAAAUCCGUUGUUGUAGAGCCGAUUCUUGAUCAGCCAAUUCCUUAUCCUCUUGAUGCACUUCAGUAGGCGGAGCUGCUAUAUCAGGGAUAUUCUUUUUAAAAUGAUCAACACGAUGAAAAAGUUGAUCUAAAGCUACAAGUUCGGCGCCCAAAGAUCGCUGUCGAGCCAAAAAAGAUGAAAGUUAAAGUGAUAAGGUUGCUACAAAAUAUUUUAUGCCGGGAGUAAUAUCUAAUUGAUUGGCCAAAUCAAGUAAAAGGGCAUAUAGCUGGUCAAAUUGUUCUGGAUUCUGAGCUAGACCAGAAAUACCAAUGCUAUACAUUUUAAGGCAUUCAUCGAACUUAUUCUGGGUGUCUGAUGAAAUGGUAAUGGUCGAAGAAUCAUCCUCUUCAUUGGAGCUGGGGCUUGAAAUAAAAAGAGAAUGAAGAAUCGCAGAUAAAGGAUCAUCAGCAAUAGGGGAAGAAGCUCCCUGGGGUGAGCGGGGAGGAAUAGUGCUUGUGUCUUCAGAAGUUCGCCCGAGAGGUAUGUUUAUCUGUUCAUCCCCUGUAGUUGAUGUCGGGGCAGGAGCAGAAAAAGAUGAUGCAAUCUCACUGGGUAACGGCGUCGUGCUCGCUGUUUCAACAGAUUUCUUCUUCUUUUCCAUUCCUUUCUUUUUCUCGAGACGGGCUUCCCUGCGAAGCUGCCGUUCCAUCUGCAUCUUCGAAUAAUGAGCAAAAUGGGCUCGUUCAGGAGAAGACUGUAGUUUAAAAGAAAGUAAUAAAUAAUUAAGAAAUAUUCUUUUCGUACAACCAGUUAAUUUGGUUUACCCUGACAUCAAUCGUUUCGGUUGGAACAGCGGUAGCCAAAGAGGGUGUAGUAGCUUCUUUGGAUGGAAUGUCAGUCGAAGGAAUAUCCUCGGCUCUGUCUUUAGUGGUAUCAGCCGAAGGGGUACUUUCGGCCUGUUGGAAUUUUCUUUUAACCACUGACUUACGCCGUUUGGAAGACGACGGGGGAGUGACUUGAACAACUUCAAUCGGUCUUUUGUCUGAAGCUGAGAUCGAUGGAGAAGCAGGAAUCGACUGAAAACAGAAAUAAACAAAAAUGGUGAGCAAAAAAAAAUAAUUAUGAUUAAGAUGAGUGGAAAAAUGAUAUUUUACAGAGGAAGAAGGCGGGGCAUCAGAAAUAGUGUCUAGUGGAGACUCAAUCUCGGUUAGAGAAUCUCUGCUCGGAGUGGUGGCUGUGUAUAAAAUAAAAGAUAAGUUACAGCCAUAUUAGAAGGAAAUUAUAAACAAAAAUUAGAUGACUGACCAAAUGGAUGGAUGAUUUUACGGAGUGCUCGAGGCAGAGAAAGAUCAUAGGAGCGGUCAGUAAACUGAUCCCACAUGGUAGCAUAACCGGCGAGGGCUACCCCUGUAUAGUUCGGACGGAAGCUUGCCAGCUAGAAGAAGGGUCUGAGACGAUUCCCCAUAGCCGAAAGCUUGUCAGCUUCAAAUAUGCUCUUGGUGGGAGGACGAUGAUCGGCUGUGUUGGCCGUAAAAAAUUUAGAAGGGGCCGGGAUCGGCUAAACGAACCCAAAUUGCCGUGCCACAUACUGAGGAGAAUAAACCUCAGUACUCGGCAGUAGUUUCGAACGUGAUUUAAGCCCCACAUGAAGGUCCCGAGGGGCUAGAUACGAAUACCAUACAUCUGAAUGUUCACCGGCGCGAGAAGAAGAUAACUCGCCCUGAAUGGCUUCAAACCGAGCCAGAAACCAAGAGAGGCCGGUGAGACGAUCAACAAAUGGAGCCCAAAAAAUAGCUGAAUCAGAGGCUGGCUCAUAAAAAGCCUUAAAAUAAGUAAGAAAAUCAGAGGAUUGACCAGAGGUCAUCGGCUGCGGACAACCGAGGGCUAGCCCAUAAGAAUCAAAUUGGGCAGCUGAAGUCGGAUUGAAAGAGGAUUGGCAUAAAGCAGGAAUAUAGAAUUGAAGAAACAUUUGCAGAAACCAAAAAACGCCACACCGAGAGCUGAUGGCAAUGCCAUCACCGGAAGGUAGUGGCUUAAUAGAAUCAAAAACUUUCCUGUAAACGAAAGCAAGGAAAUAUGGCCCCAAGGCCAAUUUAUCGCCGUUAGCUAAACCAACGGCGAUUGGAACAAAAUCUCGGUUAAUUUUCUGCGAAUGAGUGCAGAAAAGAUUGUGGCAUAACCAGUAUAGAAGGAACGUCGUGUGUUCCUUCCUGGUGACCGGGGCAGGGGAUUUACCUGCAAAUUUUUGAAAAAAUUUAGAAUAAGCCAAAUCAUUUAGAUCAAGGUGUGCCUCAAAAUCAGACACACCGUCAGGAUUGUAGGCCAUAGAGAGAGUAAUGCCAUGAGGGCGUAAGCCAACAAUGGCGGCCACAUCAAAAAGAGUGAGGGUAAGAGGCCCCCUUUUGAAAAGAAAAACAUUAGAAACAGAGGAUCAGAAACAAAGAGCAGCGGCUAGAAGAAGAUUAUCGGCUAUAGGAGGGUGCCGAGAUAAUUGAAUUGCUUCAUAAAUGCCGAUUUCUCGCCAGAAGGCGCAAAAAACGGAUUCUACUCUAUCUAACCAGGCCAAAUAUGCUUCAGAAACACUUGGCCAGGUUCUGAGACUCUUUCCUGUUGAAGCUGAUGAGUACCAAGAAUGGAGAUGAAUAAUCCUUUUCCAAGGAAGUCCCUCAUCAGAGAAAGGGGAGUCAGUAGAAGAUGGUGCAUCUACAAGAGAAGGACCUAGUAUGAAUCUAGAUGGAUCUAAAUCAAUGAAAGGUUUGAGUAUAGUGUAGUCAAGAGAUGGAUGAGAAGGAAGAGGAGGAACCAAAGACAUUGUUCAAAAGAAGAGAAGAGCCGAAAGAAUCGGUUACGAAAUGAGAAGAAGGAUGAAGGAGACAAAGAAGAGGUUUUAGUGAAGGAUAUGAGGAAAAGAAAUAAGAAUUGGAUGAGACAAAAAAAAUGGGAAGCUUGAGGAAGAAGAAAAGGCCGUCAUAUUGAACUGUCGCUUCGAUUACGAGUCCCAAGGUCGGCUGUAAUGAUGAAUAGACAGCGGCAAUUAAGAUGAGUUAAUUAAUGCCGCACAUGAGACAAAAGUAGAGAAUGCGAUCGGGGCCGUAAAGAAGAGAAUAAACGACUUAGAUUAAACCGUACAGAAGAUCGUAGUGCAGAAUACGUCAGAGAAUUUGAAUUUGAUUGGACCGAGAAAUAUGCCUCGGAUCAAGUCCGCUUUCGGCAACAGAAAUUGUUUGAGACGAAAAAAGUAACGCCAGCUACCGAAGCAUCGCUUCGAAAACUGGCGAGGGGACAAUUGUUGACCAGUUAGGCGCGAACAAUUGGCACGCCGGGUCCAUAUCCGUAAGACGGCUAAAACGGUAGACCUAGAGUACACCGGACGCAUACGAGCCGCACUGGACCGAGGAGUUAUAACAACGACAAGCAGUUACGAGCGGUUCCGAUCGGCCGAAGGUGGUCCUACGAAUCAGGAGAUAGUGGCUGAUCGUGCAAGAGCAAUAACUGAUGCAAAGGCGGUUCUAUAAAUAGGCAUACGAUACUCUGAAAAAGGGUCUUCGCCCCUGCGCACAAAAGACCACCUUUAUUUUUCUACAUCUUUCUAUUCUCGCAUUUACUGCUUUCCUUAGGAGUAGUUUCAGUAAUUUAACAUACUCGGAGUCUGUCUGCCGUACGGGCAUCACUCCCCUGUUUCCAUACUUGGAGUCUGUCUGCCCUACGGGCAUCACUCCUCUAUUUGUGUACUUUUUCUUUUGCUAUUCAUCUUCGGCUCUUCCUGCCGAUCAGAUCACAAGUUGUUUGGCCAUUCGGCUCGUUUCUUAGUCGAAUUCUAGGCUUCCCCUCUCCAUUCGGCUCAUCCUGCCGAAGCGAAUUUACUGCGGAGGUUUUCGAACCCGGCUGAUUCUAUCCCUCAUCGGCCUAAUCGCUUGAUCCUCUGUGGGCGCAUACUUCGAGGGUCAUAAUCCGCAGCCGUCUCGCAUCCCGAUGAUCUUUCCGAGAAAAAUUAUUGACCGGGUCAAGGGUCUGGAUAUUCGGCACGCAACAAUUUGUAUGCCUUAGGGACCAAUAAAAGUUUUAUUUUUCUCACAAACAGAAACGAAAGAAAGAAAAGGGGUCAUCUGACCCAGCUCGUUCCAUAUAUGGCGUCACUUAUUCUCGCUGGAGAAGCAAAAGAAAUAGGGUUUGCAUGAUCCGUGGGCAUUCCGUGCAUGCUAUUACUGUUUCUCAUUUAUAAAAUUAGGAAAAAAAACAACACGUAAAAAAUAAAAUAACUAAUAUGUAAAAGUACAAAGGGUAACUUGCACCUUUGGGGCUCAAACUAUAAAGUAAAAUAUUUUGAUCCUCAAAUUUUAAUUUAUAGUAAAUUUUAAUUUAAAUUUUUAAAAUUAUCGUAAUUAAGUUUAACAAUCUAAUUUAGUUAUUUAAAUAUUAACAUAUUAUUAAUAUAAAAAUAUUAUAAUAUUUUAAUUAUUAUUACAUUAUCAAUCACGUAUUUUCACAUCAAUUUUAGUUAAUAAUUUAUCAAUAUUUUACUAACUAAACUAUUUAUGAAAUUUAAUGAUACUAAUUUUAAAAAAUUUUGAUCAAAUAAUUAUAAUAAACUAAAAUUUAAAAAUUAAGGUUUCACGUGACUAAUAGCUUUGAGAACCAAAUGUGCAAUUUAUCCAAAUAUUAAUAAAGUAAAAUAUUUGUAAGAAAAAUAUCUAGUUGGGAAAGCAUUAGGCCUUUCCGAUUUGGCAUUAGUGUUCAGAUCUUUCUUAAAGCGUGAGAUGGGUUCUUUGUCCUAUAUAUGAUGACUUGCAUUAAGACAGGCUAGACUAAUAAAUUACCAAUCUCUCUCUCUCUCUCUCUCUCUCUCUCUCUCUCUCUCGGUAUGUGAUUAUGUGAGUUGCAUAACUUGCAUUGAAUACUUUGUUUGGGGAUUUUUUUUGCAAAUAGCCUCCUUACAAAUUUUUUUUUGUAAAUUGGGCUUGUCAAAAAUUUAUUUGCAAAAAUAGUUCUGGCCCCGCCACGCAAGCGCCACGUCAGCGCCACGCGGGCGGGGCUGUGCCAAAUGGUUAAGUUGAAAACGGUGAAUCAUUCACCGUGUUCAAUACAAAGUUUUUGUAUUGGACACGGUGAAUGAUGAAUAAUUCAUCGUGUCCAAUACAAAAUAGCUAAGAUCGAAAUAUUUGUAUUGGACACGGUGAAUGGUUCACCGUGUCUAAUACAAAUACUUCCAACUUAGCCAUUGUUGGGGUAUUUGUAUUGGACACGGUGAACCAUUCACCGUGUCUAAUACAAAAAUCUUGUAUUAACACGGUGAAUGGUUUACCGUGUUUAACUUAAACAUCUGGGCCCGUCCUGCCCGCGUGGCGCUGACGUGGCGCUGACGUGGUAGGGACAGGACUAUUUUUGUAAAUAAUUUUUGGACGAAAUUAUUUUUACAAAUAAAAUUUGUCAAGACGCUAUUUGAAAAAAAAAAAAAAAAAAAAAAAAAAAAGCCCUUACUUUGGUAAUUAGGAAUCUCUCUCUCUUGGCUAGCCAUGUGACCCAUUUCCCACUGCCAACCGUACACAUCAAACCUCGCUCCAUCACCAACUCCCAACCCAAUAUAUUAUUGAAAAUCUCACUCCUCUCUGCCGCCCGUCCCAGUAUUUUUUUCCCUCUUACAUAUCUCUCUCCAAACUCUCAAACCUUUCCUCUUGACUGUCUUCGUCAUCUUCGACGCAGUUGCAGUGAGACACGCACAGAGAGAGGGGAGAGAGAUGGGGAGGUCAAGAGGAGGCAGCGGCGACGGACUUCGAGUUCGCGGUGUCGCUGUCGCCGACGUCGAGGCGGCCGCUGGCGUUGUCGUCGCAGCAGCUGUGCCCGGCGGACGAGCUGUUCUACAAGGGGCAGCUGCUGCCGCUCCAGCUGUCCCCCCGCAUCACCAUGGUGCGCGCCCUCCUCCUCGCCUCCUCCUCGUCCUCCGCAUCCUCCGACACCACCACCGCCACCACCGCCUCCCGCGACUCCAACGGCAGCACCUCCUCCUCCUUCUCCGCCGAGCUCUCCGCCGCCGACUCCUCCGCCCGUCCCAGCUCCGCCACUGACGACGCCCCUCCCGCCGCACCCGCCGAAGCGCGGCCCCAAAUACCUCUCCUCCUUCGCCUCCCGCUUCUCCUCCGUCUUCCUCCACCGCGGCGGCAGCAAGAAGGACCACCACCUCGCCGACCUCCACGACAUCCCCCUUUCCUCCUCCUCCUCCUCCAGAUCCGCCAAUUAUUCCUCCUCUUCCUCCUCGUCCACAAAAGAAGUGAUCAAGAAGUACGUCAAGAAGGUGAAGCCGCUGCUCUACGAGAAGCUGUCAUCGCUGCAGCAGAUCAGGCAGCAGCAGAAUCAGCAUGAUCAGCAGAAUCGAAACAAGAAAUCCUUCACAUUCUCCAUCAGAAAGGAUAAGUCCGCUGCCAAACGGGCCAACGGCGAUCGUGGCAGCGACGGAAUCUCCGACGGCAGCGGUCGGAGAUCGAAAAUCAUCUACAUGCACUCCAACUCGUUCUCCGGCAACCUCAAGUUCCCAAGAAAGAAGUCCAGCGCUGCCAGCUGCCCCUCUUCGAUGCGCUCGUCGCCAACGCACUCCGGACUCCUCUCCAUAGGCGGCGGGGUCAGCGGUGGCUUCCCAGAUCUCAAUCGAGCUCUUUCGUCGUCGGCGAGCUCGUCGUCCAUGGAGGAGCUGCAGAGCGCCAUACAGGGCGCCAUCGCGCACUGCAAGAGCUCCAUGAUUCAAACAGCUAAUCUUCAGAAGAAGUCGGCGUCCGCUGCAGUAAACAACGACGACUAAUUUAUAAGAUCCGCGGAUCCUAAUGAAUUGACGACGAUCAUCAAAAAAAAGUUUCAGUUUUUACUCCUUUUGUACGUGUUUAGCUUGGGAAAAUUAGAGGUAAUUGAAACUUGUAGUUAGUGGUGGAUCUAUGUUAAGUGUUGAUUCGCUUCUGAUAUUUGCUCGAUUGGUUCGUGUACUUUGCUGUCAAUUUUGUGUGGGAUCAUACAUCUUUGAAAGAUCAAUGAAAUUAUCUUGCAAAUUAUUUAAGCAGGUUCAAUCAGAUUAAGGUGCUUAAUUUUCUCAUAACAGCACUUGCCACAAUUAAAUUUUCUCAUAACAGCACUUGCCGCAAUUAAUUUUUCUCAUAACAGCACUUGCCGCAAUUAAUUUUUCUCAUAACAGCACUUGCCACAAGCCAAAUUAAUUAAGGAAGGCGAUCCAAUCUUGGUCUGGCUCUGUUCGCAGAAAGGGCAUCUGCAUCUGCACUCUGCAGAUGGGUGACGCCGGUGGUAGACAGACAGGAGGCCAGCAGCGGCACGAGGCAUGCCAGGGGGGGACAGUGCCGAGCUGGCUACACUGGUUAUCUGUUAUUUAUUAAUCAUUACUAACCCUCGUCACAGGAAAAAAUUCUAGAAUACAACGAAUAUAUUAGUGACGUGGCGUAACAAAUCAAUCAAAUAUCUCUUUUUAUGAGUAUAUGUUCCAUCAUGAUUGUAAAAAAAUAUUUUUAUUGUACUUUUAUUUGAAAAAAAGGAAUGUGAUUGACUUGUUAUUAAUGACGUGGUGCAAGUGUGACAGUGUAGAUUUCCUCCGUCACAUAGUACAAUACUGUGGAGAGAAAUAAUCAUAAUUUUAGAAAAAAUAUUAUAUUUUAAAUAUUUUUGUUAUGAAAAAAUUGGAAAUUUUAGUUUGUCCAAUACAAAAAAUCAAUGACGAAGAAAGCCAAAAAAUAAAAUCUAAGCGAAAUGCACUCUUCCAUGCUACUUUGUGCCAAUACAGGACGGCAAGCAAAAUCAGAUUAGCAAAAUUAGAUUAUAUAUAUUGGGAUAAUAUCCUAUAUACUCCUCACACGUUUGAAAAUAUUAAUUUACUCCUCUUUUUUUUUUCUUUUUAGAAUACCCCUCAUAUGUUCCACCGUUAUUACAAAAUACUCCCGCAGUUAUCUCCUGUUAAGUUAACUUGGGUUAAGCGUGAGUUAAAUAUCUACCACAGUUAAAAAAAAUUAAAAUAUCAAUUUUACCCUUAACUUAAGGGCAAAUAAGAAAUGUUGGUGACGGUAGAGGGUUAUAUUGGAAAAAACUAAAAGUCAAAAUACUUUUUGUGCCAUUAACUUUAAGGGCAAAUAAGAAAGACAGUGAAGGUGGAAGGGUACAUUUGAAAAGGCAAAAUAGUAAUUUUACAGAAAUAACAGAGUUAAUUAACAGAUUUUAACUCUAGGGGUAUAUUAGAAAUAGGUUGGAACGUAGGAAGGGUAUUUUCAAUAUUAGGCUUCUAAGAGAGGUAAAUCGGAAAGUCGGGAACUUUACAGGGGUAUAUAAGCAAUUGCCCCAUAUAUAUUUAUAUAGAGUUCGGUUGCUUGCUUCUGGUAACACAGAAUUUGCUGCUACAAUUUUUUUCACUAUUAGGGAUAGUCUCCAAAACAGAGUAAUUAUCCAAUUUACAGUUUAUUUUUUAUAGCUCUUGAAACAUUACAAGAGACAUGUUUGUAUAAGUUUUGAAAUUGUAAAAAAAAUAGCAAAAUAAGCUCAAAAUAGAAUUUCUUUGGUGGAAAAAAUAGUAAAAAUCACUUUUUUUUUUUCCCCCAAAGAACGCAUCCAACCUCUUUCCUCUUACCCUUUACAUCCUCCACCACCACCUCCUUCUAGACUCCGCCGUUGAUACUCACGAGCUCUUCCACUCCGUCAACCGCGCGCCCCUCCACCACCCGACUCUCUACCGCUAGCAUCGCGGCCAUCCGCCGCCACCACCCUCUACUUCCGCCACCGCCCCCCAACCUCCUACUCUUCUUCUUCUACCUCUACUACCUUCUCCUCCUCGAGAUUGUGGUGUUUUUCCUCGUCGUCAGUUGCCGCCUCCAUCGCCGCCACCAUCUACCUCCGCCGCCGCCGCCCCCCAACCUCCUACUCUUCUUCUUCUACCUCUGCUACGUCCUCGAGAUUGUGAAGUUUUUCCUCACCGUUGGUUGUUGUCGCCGCCAACAAGCGUUCCCGCUCCAAGAUAGGGCAUCGAUGAAUUUUUCGUACUAGGUUGUCACAGCAGAGGGUGAUGACAAAGGUGGGAGGGAUGGGGAGAUUGUGGGUUUGAGUAAGAAGGUGAAGGUGGUAGGGUUGGAUUUGAGCAAGGAGAAGGUGGUGGUAGUGGAUUUUUUUUUUUCACAUCACAUUAUUUUUUGGGGAUUUGAACCAAACACUAAAAAACAGUGUAAAAAAAUUAUAGAGUUUUAAAAUUUUUGUACCAACAUAUUACAGCAAAAUAUAAAACUUUAUUUUAAAUUCCUAUAAUUGCCAAACAAACCCUUAGAUUUAAUACUUGGAUCAUUUCUACAUCUACGACCAUGGUAUUCCAUCAACCACCACUAAAUCUAAUGGGACCAUUAUCACCCUAACUCCACAACCCUUUGAUUCAAGGGCCAAAAAUUCACAAGCACGGAUGAGUUGGUGCUAUUAGAAGCAUUCCUGCCUAGUUCUAUAUAUUGCUCGGCUGGAGUGCUUCUAAUAGCACCAAACAUUUAUUGUUAUAAACUUUUCCAUCAUUAGAUUUAGGCUAAAUUAUAGAAACCUUUCUGUCAAUACCCACUUUUUUACUUUUUCUCACCGACUAUUAGAAAUCUAUAUUUUACCCCCUUAAAAAAAUAUAUAUAUUCACUUCGGAUGCCACUGUCAGUGUUCCGUUAGGGUUUCGUCUAUAUCCUAUUACUAUAUUUUUAUACCCAAAAUACCCUUGUAUCCCUUCUCUUCGCAGCGUUGUCUCUCUUCUCGCCGAUGACAUCCUCGGCCAUGCCCCCUCGCCCUCUUCUGCCGUCUCGCCCUUGCCCAUCCCUCCAUCCAUGUCCAAUCCAAUGCACUCGCCUUCCUCUGCCGUCUCACCCUUGCCCACCCCUCCAUUUGUGCCUACCCUGACCUUAUCCCCAUCGUCACCAAAUAGAGGGGCGGUUGGAUUGUAGGAAGAGCAGAGAGAGCUAGCGGAGCAAGCAAAGUCGAAGUUGGGGUUGAGGGAGGUGCGAAGGACGGAGGAGGAAAGGCUACAAAUAAAGUAGGAUUGGGUAGGACAUGAAGAGGGAGAGGGCAAUUUAGUCAUUUUGUCAUCAUAGUUAACACUGUACCCCUAUAUGAACAUUUUUUAUUUUUUAAGUGGCUAAAAUAUAGGGUUUUAAAAGUCAAGGCGGAAAAUAAAAAAAUGAGUAUUGGUAGGGAUUUUAUGUAAUUUAGCCUUAAAUUUACUCGAUCAUUUCUAUUCAUUGGAUCAUGUUAUUCCGCCAACCACUAUUUAAUUUAAGUGGACCUUUAUCAUCCUAACCCAAAACCUUUUGAUGCAAAAGCCAAAAAUUUACAAGCACUAAUGACUUAGUGCUAUUAGAGGCACUUCACUUUCAAUACAUAAAGUUCAGCUGGGUACUUCUAACAGUACCAAACAAUUGAUAUUACCAAUUUUUUUUACCAUUAAAUCUAUCACUUUGAUCAUUUCUAUUCUUUGGAUCAUGCUAUUCCACCAAGUAUCACUGAAUCCAAGUAUGUCAUUGUCAUCCUAAUUCCAUAACCCUUUGAUUCAAGGGCCAAGAAGUCACAAGCAUCAAAGACUCGGUGCUAUUAAAAACACCCCAGCCAAACUCUAUAUAUAGAGAUAGGUUGUAAUGCUUCUAAUAGCACGAAGCAUUUGGUGCUACCAACUUUUCCACCAUUAGAUCUAUCUCUUUGAUUAUUUUUACCCCUUGAAUCAUAUUAUUCCACCAAUCACCACAAACUCAAGUAGAUUACUAUCAUCCUAAUCCUACAACCCUUUAAUCCAAGGGCGAAAAUGUUAUAUACCGAACUUCUAUAGUUAUAAAGUUUUGGUGGAUGUUAGAAGCUAUUGGAAUUGUCCCGGUGAAGUUCGGGAGCAUUCGAGUGUUUUCGGUGCGCGUUGGACAUGGAAACAGAACCCGAAUAGCUAUGUUGGACUUUGGCCGAGAUCCGGCAAAGCGUGGAUGAAAAGAUGGUCUAAAUGUGCUCGAAAACAUGUUUUGGGGGUCUCGGUACGAUUAGAGACGAAUCGGAGGCCCAACGAGCGAAAACGAAGCAAAACGGAGAAAAGGCUGAAAUUGCUGAAAAUUUGACUAAGUCCUGAAAUUUCGGGGCUGGAGGUACCUACGGGGUCUGGACCCUCUAGCCAAGGUCCAGAACCCGAGCCCGAAAACUGCCCAGUGAGAGUGGCGUACUUGUAAAUAUUGGUCGGGGUUUGACUUUAAAAAGAGGCUACACCCCUUUCUUCUUCCUCCCUCAGCCCAAACACACACACCACACACACUAAGGUAGAGAGAGAAGCUCUUCUCUCUCUCUCUAGAAUACUCCCUUCCCUCUCUAGAUCUCUCUCCCAAAGUUGGGGUUUUGGAGGAGAAGGAGCUUGGGAACGCGAUGGAGGCGACGGUUCGAGUCCUCGUGCACCCGGUUGAGCGGCGUGCUUUCGACUCGGCGUUCGCAUUUUGGUGAGUAUUUGGGACUUGGUUAAAUCCUUCAUGAAUGAUAUUCUAGUAGUCUUUAGGGUAUUCUAAGUAUGUUACUCCACAUAUUUUUGGGGUAUUUAGAGGAUGCAAUCUGAGAGCAAUACUAGGUGGGUUGUGCUUCACCGAAGCGAUUAGGUCGCUUCCGUGCCAAAGUGGAGUAUAGUUGUAUUGUUGAUGCAUAUAAUGGUAGUUAAUUGCAAAGUAAAUAAUGGCAUGAGCUAGAUGCUAAAUAAAUGCAUGAGAUGUAUGCUAAUGAAUGCAUAAGAUAUGUGCUAAGUGAAUGCAAGAGCUAAAUACUAAAUGAAUGUAUAUGAUAUAUGCUAAUAAGGAAUGCAUGUGAUAGAUGCUAAUGAAUGCAUGAGAUUUAUGCUAAUCAAGAAUGCAUGUGGUAAAUGUUAAAGAAUGUAUGAGAUGCUAAGUAUUGACUACCAUUGGAUGAUAAAGUAUAUGCAUGUUGACAUUGUGAGAGUAUGCUAGAUUCAUAUGAAUGUGAACUAAGAUCGAUAAACUCUAAGAAAAGUAAAGAACUCGACAAGUGUGGCAUGUAAAGAAUCCUAAGUGUGGAUAACUAAGAUAACAAGUAUCAUGAGUGGCAUUGAAAUCUAGUGUUACUGAACAUAGGUGAAUCAUGAGUGGCAUUGAACCUAGUGUCAUUGGGCAUAGAUUGAGAAUGAAAUCUAGAGUUAAAUAAACCUAGGUGAGCGGCAUGAAACCUAGUGUCAUUGAACAUAGGUUGAGAAUUGAACCUAGAGUCAAGUAAACCUAGAUUAUGAGCAUAUGGGCAUUGAAACCUAGUGUUGUUGAACAUAGGUGAAUGAUGAGUGGCAUUGAACCUAGAGUUGAGUGGACCUAGGAUGGAAAUGACAUUAGACCUAAUAUAUUAAACUUAGGUUGAGUAAUUGCUUGAACCUAGAAAGGUUGAUAUAGGGUCAGACCAACCCUUGAGACAUGAAAAGUGGAUUCCAGAAUCCCUAUGAAUGAAGGCUGCGAGUGCAGCAGCUGCUAGUGCAGCAGAUGAGACUUGCGACUGAGCGCAAGUGAAUCGUAACUGCGGGUAUGUUGGUUCUCCUUGCCCGACAGUGAUUCAACCGGUAUGUUGGUUCUCCUCGCCCGGUAUGAAAUUGAGCGCUAGGGUGUAUGUGGCAUGUUCCUCUCCCUAUCGGGGGUUUUGGGCCACUGGUGCGUGUGGUAUAUUCCCCUCCCACCGAGAAGAUUCCUGACCACGGGUAUACGCAACUCUGGGCGACCCGUUGGGCGAUGUGGCUUGUGGAUUGAAUGCUAAGGUAUAUGUAAGAGUUCCUUUACCUCGAGCCGGACAGAGCGUGGAUUAUUCGCAGAUGAUUGACUCAAGAUCGAGUCGAGUGGCAUAGUUGGCUAAGGUAAAAGUAACCUUAGGAAAGAAUGGCAAAUGGGCAUAGAACAACUAAUAAUGAAGUAUAGUAAAUAUUAAAGAACGACCAAUAAUAAAGAAUAUCAAGGAAUAAUGAACGGCUAAUGACAAGGAAUAGCAAAUAGUAAAGAAUAAAGAAUGGCAAGUGAUAGAGAGUAGAAUUAAUUAAUCUACUUGCAUGAGUUGCAUAAUUUUGCAUUAUCUUAAUUGUGAGGCAAGAGCAUGAUAGCAAGUAGUUGCAUGAGUAUAUAUAUAUGAUGAUAUCUAUCUAUUGAACUAACUUGCUUUGUUGCCUUCUUUGGACCUGGUGGGUCGAGCUCUUCCCUUGGGUGGCCGUAUCCACUGGGAACUAUGACAAUAGUUCUCACCCCACAUGGUUUUGGGGGUUUUCAGGUUCGCACGCGAGCGGUGCGGUGACUCGAGGUAAGGGCGUAGCUCCGUAGAUAGCACCCUACCACAGAGACCAGAGAUAGCAAUACCCCAAGUCGGCUUAGCUAGGGAUGUAGAAAAGAAAAGACAAGAAUGUAAUAAAGUGUAAAAUGUGGAUUGUAUUUGGAAACAAGAAUCAAAAUGUAAUAUGUAAAUUAAAUGUGGAGAAUGCUUGUAAUAGUAUAGUUGUAUUUAUGUUUUUGAUACCUUCCUUUUACAAUCUGUGUAUGAAUGUUGUUCCUGGUUGGAACCUCGCACAUUGUAUGGAUUGUGACGCCUUUAACGUACAGAGGAAACUCUGUCCGAGGUACAAGAAAAACUCUGCCCGUUCGGCGGUUUGUUGGCGUGCCCGAAUCCGACCAAAUUGGCGGGUCUCGGGGCGUGACAGAAAAAUUCAUAAGCACCAGUAAUUUAGCUCUAUUACAUGCAUUUUAGCGUAGUUAUAUCGACAACUAUCCUUUUAGGAGAACAAAGGGCCGUUGUCCUGUUAAGUCAUUUUUGAUGAUAGCGAUUCUAAAUUUGAUGAUCAGAAAUGUUAAAAUUAAUCUAGAUUAUUUGAAGUGUCUACAAAUCAAUUUCAUAAUUUUUUAAAUUUAUUUACAUAGUAAUAAAAUGAUCAUAAAACCGACAGUUUUUGACAGUCUAUAUGAGCCGUUUGCUUAUUUGAUGGUAUAGAGCAAUCAAAAUGGCUUGAUUUUAUAAAAAAAUUCUUAUUAUUUAAAUAAUAUUUGAUAACUCCAAUAAUGAAUUAAGAAUGUCUAACCUCAAUUUUUAUAUAAGGUUAUUCGUUUUUCAUCUAUUCGAUAGGCUUGAUAAUGAUUUAUUAAAAAUUACGAAACUUGGUUUCUAAAUAUUUCUAAUAGUGUAGAUCAAUUUCAAAGUUGUCGAUUAUCAAUUUGGAGUCCCAAUCAUCUAAAAUGACUUAAUAGGAUAAAAACCUUCAUCCUUUUAAGAGAAUAAUAGUUGGACUACAGAUAUACAUAAAGCCCGGCUUGGGUACUUCUAAUAGCACCAAGCACUUGGUGCUGCCAAGUUUUUCACUAUUAAAUUUACUACUUUAACCAUUUCAAUCCAUUAGGUCAUACUUCAACCAACCACCCACUCAACCCUAGAGAAUCACUAUCAUACUAACCGCACAUCCCUUCAUUCAAUUGCCGAAAAUCUAAUAGCACCAAUAAUUUGAUGCUUUUAAAAUUAUUCAAGCCUAAUUUUAUAUAUAUUUAUAGACUUCGACUAUUAUACUAUCAAUAGUAUAGUGUGUGUGCGCUCACAAGCGUACGGAAAAUCUUACAAUGACAAACAUAAUAAAAAAAAAAUAAAAGAAUAUUCUCUUGAUAUUUAAUCUCGGUAUUUAAUGAAAAAAAGCCUAAUUUAAGGAUAAGAUUAAAUAACCGUGCUUAAAAGAAUAUUCCGUUGGUAUUUAAUCUCGAUAUUUAAUAAAAAAAAUUCAUUUCCAAAUUUAAAUAUGUGUAACUAAACGUAUCAAAAUUUUAAUUCACCUAAAAUUUAAUUGAUUUACUUUAAUUGAAAUUUUUAAUUAUUCAUUCAAAUUUGAUAUCCAAAAUUAAAUUUAUAUCAUGAUUUAAGGACAAUUUUUAAUUUUAAUUUUAAUUUUAAUUUUUAUAUUUAAAUUUAAAUCGUAUAAUUUAAUUUCAAGUAUCAAUUUAACAUGAAAUAAAAAUUUAAAAUUAAAUAAGAUUAAAAUUUAAAAAUAUAUUUGAAAGUAAAUUUGAAUUUGAUUGUUGAAUAAAUAUAAUGUACAAAUUUAUAUUAAUUUGAAUAAAUUAAAAUAAUUAUUAUGUGAAUUUGCACGGUACUUCUUAAAACACCGUGGCUCAACUUUCUCACUACUAUUAAAAGAAUCAGUUAAAAAAAAUGUCUGUCAAUGUUAACCGUUUUUACCUUCAUAAAAAUCAACUUUUCUCUUUAUAUCCUCCAAUAAUUAUCUAACUCUAUCAUUUCAUUAACUUCCCCCAGUAAAGAAUAUCUCUCGUGUUAAAUUUGGUUUAAAUUUAUAGUUAUCUAAAUUGAGAUUAAAUCCUAAUAUAAUUAGGAUUAGAUAUAAUUUAGAUUUAAUUUGGUAUAUAUAGAUUAUAAGUAGAAGUGUAAUUCUAAUUGAAUUAGGAUUCGACUCUAGUUAGGAGACAUGUAUUAUAUAUACAUGCUACGGCCAAAUUAAAGAAGCACGACAACUCUAAUAAAGCCAUACAAAUUAAAGCCAGAUCUCUAUAGUGAAGCCAUGCCUAAUUAAGCUCUUAAUUAAGUCCAAGCCACCUGUGCUUCUUUGGGGCUGGUAGUCACGUUGCGGCGGUGCGAUGCGCAUUGCAUAGAGAGCAGGCUUAGCCAUCUCUUUCGGAGAUCUAAUUAAAGGGGAGACCAUGCAAAUUAAUUAAGCCUUUUUGUGGUCCAUCCGUACGGUUGAGGAGCCGUGCUGUUUUUUUUUUGGAGUCGCAUGUGCGGAUGCGGAUUUCGGCGUUUCUGAUCUAAAAUAGAGUUCGGGUUCUUUGAGAGAUUUUCUAUGUACUCCGUCUUUUGACAUUAAUUAAAUAUUUGCUCCAUCCUUGUCCGUGGACGUAGGCCGUUGGCCGAACCAUGUAAAUAUCGGUGUGCUCUUUUCUCUUUUCUUUUCUUUUUUGUAUUAAGGGAUUUUCUGGAUUUAUUUUUUGUCGUUUCGAUUUUAACAUCUCACCCAAAAUCUCUCAAUAUGAUAACUUUGCCAACCACCCCCCAAAACUCCUCCUAUAACAAAUGCAUUGCAAAAAUUAUGGUCUUGAAGCGUGUAAGUUCACUUUUUUAAGGUGAUAUUUGCCCCCACUGAAUGUAUGCUGUCAGGUUACCAGCAAAUCACUUUCAGAAUACAGUAAGACCACCGAAAGACUGCAAACAAUACUUUUAAAGACUUUUCCUUAAAAACUUCUCUAUUAUUAAUCGGUAUGAAAACUUAGAAAGGAGAAAGAAUUGAUUAUGCUGCUCUUGAAGCCAUCAUACAUCUCCUAUUUAUAGGAGAUGAGUAGUUACGAUAAAAGGACAUAAUUUUUAAAGUUAUAUUUUUUUCACAAAAGGAUACUUCCUUUCACAAAUAGUGAAAAGAUAUAUUUUUUCACAAAAGGAUUCAUCUCUCUGUAAAGAAACAUAUUUUUUUGUAAAGAAACACAUCUUUGCAUCAAAUGAAAAGACAUUUUUUUAUUUGAAUUACUAAUUCACCAAAGAGAUACAACCAUUCAUUUAAUUUUAAUUUUAAUUCCUCAAGUUAUUUUGCAUCCAUUAUUAUAAUCUAUGUUAACAAUCCCCCAUUAGAUUGUAAUGUUGAUUUAGAAAUAGCAAGAAGGUGUUUUUCGAUUAAACCUUCAAUUAGUGUAAUUAUCUCAAAGUUCCAAUAAAUCAAUGGUGGCCAAAGCUUAAACCAGGAGUCUUUAUAUUAUAACCAAAAAUAACACAUACACUAAAUAGGUUUAGUUUCUUUAUGGCCAUGUGCUCUACCUCCUGAUUUCAUGAACAAACCAAGCCCUAAACUGCUAGAAGUGGCACCACUUCUUAUGCUCAUAUAGGUGAAGCUCCUUUUCUACUGCCUUUAUUAUGAUAGGCAUCAAAUAAACUUGAACUUCACUAAGAGUAUUUAUCACUCAUCCUCGAAUUCUGUAAUAAUAUACACUUAAUAUUUUGUAAUAAUAUUUAAACGACAUUUCUAGUAUAUUGAUAGUCACUUAUCAAUAACUUGUUUUUACCUAUUAAAUCUUUUCACUGGUGAUGUAACUAGAUAAAGGUUGGGUUUCCAUUAUUGGUGACUUUUAAAAAAAAGGCUUCAAACCCAAUCCAACUGAUAUAGAUUUUACUAUAUCUCUCGAAUGUUCUUUUGUAAAAGGGUCUGUUAAAUUACCACAUGAUCUCACAUAUAUAAUAUAUAAUAGUAAUUAGUCCUUCUUUUAUUAAUUCUUUAGCAUAGUCAUGUCUUAAACUUAUAUGUCUAGACUUGUCAUUACACACCUGUCUAAGUGCCAGAGACAUUGAUGCUUGACUAUCGCAAUGCAAAGUGAUGGGCAGCAUCGAUUGUGGCCACAACUUUAUAUCAAACAACAAAUUUUUCAAUCGCUCCAUUUAUUUGCCUGUAGUUGCUAACGCUAUAAAUUCAGAUUUCAUUGUAGAAUAUGUUAUACACCUAUGUUUCUUUGAAGCCCUUCAGCUCUAUUGGGCAAAAGACACUUUUAGAAGUAGGAAAUCAAGUGAGUAGAUAUAGAUAUCGCGAAUAGGCUAGAGAGCAUUGAGCUGCUAGAAAACUAGAAGCUCCAAUUCAAAGGCUAGGUCUAUUAUGGGAACAUAUGCCUGCUCUCGAUCCAAAUCUCAUAGGAGAUUAUAUGCUCUCUCUGCAAACAUAAAUUCAUUCUCUUGACAAUGCAGAGAGGGUGCAAAAGACAAGAAUUAAUAGUUCAAGCUGUCACCCACGGCCACCUUGGAGACUAGAAGACUCCGUCGACUCUUUCUAGAAGAUUCAAAUAAGUAGUCCGUCGAUACAAACUAGUGUGAAAUAAUGUAUUGCUUUCUUUCACUUUGUUUGGUGAAGAUCUACUCCUAACGCUUACUAGACCAGGAGAUUGCUCUACUUUCUAAAAUAAAUACCCAUCUAGACGUAGAGUUAUUAUCACUUAAGCUAGUUAUCCAACUAGCAUCAAUAAAACCUUCUAGCAUUGAAUAAUUCUAGAUUUUUAGUUCUUUUAAGAUAUCCAAAAUCUCCACUUGUAGCCUUCCAAUGAUCAGUACUAGGACUACUUGUAUAUCUAAAAAGUUUGCAAACUGCAAAUACGAUAUCUGGUGCACUGUGUUGCACACAUCAAACCUGCUUAUUGCACUUGCAUAUUCUAUUUGAACAAUUGCUCUUCCAGAAUUUUUGACUAAUUUAACAGAAACAUCAUAUUGGGUACUUACUCCUUUGAUUCCUAAAUGAUUAUAUUUUAAAAUCAUUUUCUUGAUAUAGUGCACCUGAGAUUAAACAUAACCUCCGCUGUGUUUCUUCAUUUUUAUUCCUAAAAUAGUAUCUAUUUUAUUUAAAUCUUUUAUUUUGAAUAUAGAAGUUAGAUAUUUCUUAGUUUUAUUUAUCUCAUUCAUAUUUUUCCCAAUUAUAAGUAUGCCAUUGACAUAUAGAUAUAUUGCCACACUAUAUUCUUCUAUGAAUUUAGAAUAAAUGCACUUAUUCACAUUAUUGUUUUUAAAUCCAUGGGACAAUAUUACAGAAUCAAACUUUUCAUGCCAUUAUUUUGGCGCUUGCUUCAACCAUAUAAUAACUUAAUUAAUUUACAAUUUUUUUUUUCAUUUCCAGAUACUACAAACCCUUCAGAUUAAUGUAAUGCAUGUUAAACAAACAAGUGAUCUAUGUAUGCGAAGUCAUUUCAUAAUUUUCCCCUACUACAUAGAGGUUUCCUUUUAUCCGAUAUACUAUGCAGAUUUAUGCGUGCACCAAUCCAUUCAAAUAUACAUAUAUUCACACGAACAUGUAACAAUUUCACUUUCAUAAUGUCAAGAAGACAAAGAGGGAAUUCACCCAUUUCAGUAAGGUCAAACCCACCAAAUCGCUGUCGACUCUCAUUAAUUCCGCAAACGAAGGUAAUACAAAGCCUCCAAGCACCCUAGCAAUGAUUCUAAAGUCAGCUAGAAGCUUAACUCAAAUCUCUACAUAUAAACCUCACAUAAUCACAUAGUUUAGGCUAGAAUCUCACCUAGUAUAAUAUCAAGGCUUAAAUCCUCACUUCGGUUCAGGUUGGAACACCAAAACCAAUCUUUGAAAGCUCCCAAAUCUCAGCCAAAAGAGAUCUAAUACCCUGCUAUGAACCAUCACACAUAAACUCCAUCAAUACUCUACCAACACAUCCAAACUAGCAAGAAGUUAGGUUGCUCACCUUGCACAGCUCCAACUCAGGUUGAAGCACACCAAAACCAAUCUACAAGGGUCACUAAAACUCAGCCAAGGUGGUUCACAAACCUGCUGUGAACAUACAUCAAAACAGCAUCACUACUAUCACCAAUAUAACUAGUAUAGCCUCAAAAUAGAGAGAGUAGUUAGCUAAUCACCUUCCCAAAGCUUCAAUUCAGCUUUCCUCUAGUUUAGGAUUGGAGAAUUACAGCCAAAACACCUUCUCUACAGCUGCUACAAGCUUCCCCAACUCAGCUGGCAGCAAGGAAGCAAAACAUAAUCUCAAACCCACAACUAUAGCAUCAAACUAGAGAGAAAAGUUGGCUAGUCACCUUGUACAGCUUCAACUCAGUUUCUACUGAAUUAAGGUUGAAGAAACACAGUAAAAUCUUGUUGUAACAUUUUUAUUAUUUAAUGUGAAUCUUAAUUCUCAUAACCUAUGCUAGUGGAGUUACAACUUCACUAAACUAGCAUUCAUCGUGAAUUAGUUCCUACAACCUAUACAUACUUGGAAUCACAACCGAAUUGUGAUUUAAAGUAUAAUAAACUCCUAUCGUUAUUCCUUCAAUUUAUGAACUACACUAAAUGUCAUAUAACUUCUAUCCUAUGAGCCUAUCAAUAGAGGACUUCUCUAUUCACUUGGAUAUAACUCAAAAAAACAACAAAGUUAUUUUAAUUAUACUUGAGAGAGAGAAGGUCAAAGAAAGGUGUUUCUUUUGGUGGAACUUUGGGCUCAUCUACUUGUGCAGAGUUGAUGAAGCCACAUGACGAGGGUCGAGCCGUUGUAUCUUGGAGGGGACAAGUCAGUGCUCUACUGCAUCGGUUCAAAGGCUUUGCCAACCGUAGAGGGCUUGAAUCUCCUUAAAGAGAGCGAGAUAUCCGUGCCUCGGCUUGAUCGACUCGUUGACACUUUUUAAAUUAUUUUGUAACUAACCUCUAUUUUUUGAAUAUAUACACCAAUAAUUUUAAGGAGAGUUCAAGAAUGGGGGCUACACGUGAAAAGUUCAACAAUACUGCCGGAGAUCUCAACAAGCCCUUUCGCUUCAACAGAAGUCACUUCAAGAGGUGGAAAGGAAAAAUGUUAUUCUACCUCAAUUUACUUAAAGUUGCAUAUGUUCUCACGGGGAAGAACCCAAAGAAAAUGAAUACCGACGAUAUGAAUGAAGAAGAACUUCUCAAACACUACGAGAAAAUUGAAAAUAUGAGAAGGAUGAGUAUAACUGUCGGUAUUAUCUUCUUAACUGCCUUUCAGAUCAGUUUUAUGAUUAUUAUGAAAAUACUUACUCCUCUGCAAAGAAGAUUUGGAAGGCAUUGUAGCUAAAGUAUGACACAGAACAAGCUGGUGCAAAGAAGUAUACUGCUAGCCACUUCUUUCGCUACCAAAUGGUCGAAGGAAAAUCUGUGGUGGAGCAAGUUCAAGAUUUUCAGAUGAUCGCUCAUGAAGUUCAAUCUGAAGGAGUCAAGUUUGGAGAUAACUUGAUCGUACUGGGGAUCAUCGACAAGCUACCACCAUCAUGGAGGGAAUUCCAAAAGACCCUUCGACAUAAGCAAAAGGAGAUGUCUCUCGAGACAUUAAUUGCACGCAUUCGCGUGGAAGAAGAAGCAAAAGGCCAAGAUGCACUUAAAGCAAAAGAGAAUGAUGCUAGCGCCACUAAGGUAAACUUAGUAUCUUCUAAUACUUUACCUAAUAACAAUCGUUCUAGAAAUACAUACUUGAAGCCUAAGAAGAAAAUUAAAAAGAACAGUGAUAGACCUCAAUUUAAGAAAAAUGACCAAGGACCUCCUUCAAAUGUGAAAAAUUCUAUAAUUUGCUAUGUCUGUGGCAAAAGUGAGCAUAUUGCUCGAAUUUGCAAAUUCCGGAAACAUAAAGCUUUACCUCAAGCUAAUGUUACCGAGGAGCCACUUGUGGCGAUGAUAACAGAAAUAUGCUUAGUGGAGAAUACUGAAGGAUGGUGGGCAAACUCUGGUGCCAAUAAGCAUGUCUGUCAUGAUGAAGCUUGGUUUAAAAAGUAUACUCCCUAUAAACAACCAAGAAGUAUAAUGCUUGGUGAUUCGCAUACUUCUGAAGUUUUAGGGAGUGGUGAGGUCGAGUUAAAAUUUUCUUCUGGAAGGGUCCUUAUCUUGAAAGAUGUGUUGUAUACACCCUCGAUUAGGAAGAACUUGAUGUCAAGUUUUCUUCUUAAUAAAGCUAGCUUCAAACAGACCAUCGAGUUUGAUCAGUAUGUGAUUUUAAAGAAUGGAAAGUUUGCAGGUAAAGGUUAUGCAUGCGACGGAAUGUUUAAACUAAAUAUUGAGAAUAAAGUAUCAUCUACUUAUGCUUACAUGCUUUCUUCUGUGAAUUUUUGGCAUGCUCGUUUGUAUCAUAUUAAUAGCAGAUAUGUUAGCAUGAUGACUAGUUUAGGAUUAAUUCUCAGACUGAAUAGUGAUUUUGACAAAUGUGAAAUAUGUAGUAAGUCAAAAAUCACUAAACGACCUCAUAAGAGUAUUGAAAGAAGUACCGAAUUACUUGAGCUAAUUCACAGUGAUAUUUGUGAAUUUGAAGGUAAUCUAACUCGUGGAGGAAAUAGAUAUUUUAUCACUUUUAUCGAUGAUUUUUCUAAAUAUACUUAUGUUUAUUUAUUAAAAAAUAAAAGUGAUGCUUUUGACAAAUUUAAAGAUUUCCUCCAUGAAGUAGAAAAUCAAUUCGGUAAAAAGAUAAAGACAAUUAGAAGUGAUCGAGGUCGUGAGUAUGAAUCUAUAGGAUUCAACACUUUUGUUCAGUCUUUAGGAAUUAUCCAUGAGACUACUGCUCCAUAUUCACCUGCCUCAAAUGGAGUAGCUAAGAGAAAAAAAUAGAACACUUAUUGAUCUAACAAAUGCUAUGAUAGUUGAUGCUGGUGUACCCCUAAACCUUUGGGGUGAAGCCAUUUUAACUGCAUAUUAUGUCUUGAAUCGUGUGCCACAUAAGAAGUCUAAGAUGACACCCUUUGAAUUGUGGAAAGGGUAUAAGCCAAAUUUGGGAUAUCUUAAAUUGUGGGGUUGUCUAGCAUAUGUGUGGCUACCAGACCCCAAAAGACCCAAAUUGGGUGUUAAAGCCGCCGCUUGUGUUUUUCUUGGAUAUGCUUUGAACAGUACAGCCUAUAGAUUUUUAGACAUUGAAAAUAAUGUGAUCUUUGAAUCAAGAGAUGCUAUUUUUCAUGAAGAAAAGUUUCCUUAUAAAUCGAAAAAUAGUGGGGGUCAAGAUUUUAAAAGUGUUUCAAAUAAACCGAGUUCUUCAAACUCUUUUUUGCAAAAUCAAGAAGAAAAUAUUUUUGAACCAAAAAGAAGCAAACGGAACAUAAUAGAAAAAGAUUUUGGCCCUAAUUAUGUUGUUAUGAAUAUUGAAGAAAAUUCACUUUCUUUACAAGAAGCUUUAUCUUCAAAUGAUGCAAUGUUUUGGAAAGAGGCUGUAUCUGAUGAGAUGGAAUCCCUAAUAUCUAAUGAAACAUGAAAAUUAGUGGAUUUACCACCUAGCUGUACAACAAUUGGUUGUAAAUGGGUCCUCAGAAAGAAAUUGAAACCGGAUGGGAGUGUAGAUAAGUAUAAAGCUAGACUUGUUACAAAAGGUUAUAAACAAAAAGAAGAUCUAGACUUCUUUGAUACCUUUUCUCCGGUGACAAGAGUGACAUCCAUCAGAGUUCUGAUUGCUAUUGCUGCAAUUCAUGACUUACAGAUUCAUCAGAUAGAUGUAAAAACUGCCUUUCUGAAUGAUGACCUAGAUGAGAAAAUUUAUAUGGAUCAACCUGAGGGGUUCAUUGAGCUUGGAUAAGAAAAUAAAGUGUGCAAGCUAAAUAAAUCCCUUUAUGGCUUAAGGCAGGCACCUAGACAGUGGAAUGAAAAUUUUGAUUCUUGCAUGAUUGAGAAUAGCUUUAAAUUAAACGAGUGUGAUAAGUACAUCUAUUACAAAACUUUUGAAAAGUUGCAUGUUAUUAUUAGCCUUUAUGUGGAUGAUUUGCUAAUUUUUGGCUCUAAUUUAAAUGUUAUAAAUGAGACAAAAAUUAUGCUAAGUCAUUAUUUUGAAAUGAAAGAUCUUGGUGAGGCUAAUUAUAUUUUCGAUAUAAAAAUUACCAAAACAUCAGAUGGGAUCAUUCUUGAUCAGUCGCAUUAUGUUGAGAAAAUUUUAAAAAAGUAUAACUUUCUUAAUUGCAAGCAUGUGACUACACCUUUUGAUUCGAGUGUUCACUUGUUUUCUAUUAAAAGUGAAAAUGAAAUUUUAAAUCAUAAGGAAUAUGCUAGUAUGAUUGGCAACUUGCGGUUUAUGACUGAUUGUACAAGACCUGAUAUAGCGUAUGCAGUAGGGAUACUUAGUAGAUUUACAAGCAAACCGGGUACAGAGCAUUGGCAUGCCAUGGAACGUGUGAUGAGCUAUCUCGUUGGUACCAAAACUUAUGGCUUGUUUUAUAGGAAGUAUCCUGCUGUGAUUGAGGGUUACAGUGAUGCUGACUGGAAUACCCUAUCAGGUGAUUCUCUCUCUACCACUGGUUAUAUUUUUACUUUAGCAGGUGAUGCUAUAUGUUGGAGAUCUAAAAAGCAAACUAUUAUUGAUAACUCAACUAUGGAAGCCGAGCUAAUUGCCUUAGCUUCAGCUAGCGAGGAAGCUAGUUGGUUGAGAGACUUAUUGUCUGAGAUUUUAUUUGUGGAAAAACCAGUUCCAUCCGUGUUAAUACACUGUGAUAGCACUGCUGCUAUUGGUAGAGUAAGAAACUGUUAUUAUAACGGUAAAUCCAGAUCCGUGAGAAGAAAACACAGUACUGUGAGAUCAUAUAUGAACAAUGGUAUUAUCAGUGUUGAUUAUAUUAAAUCUACUGAUAAUCUGGCAGAUCUAUUAACCAAGGCCUUGGGAAGAGAAAAGAUCUGGAGCACAUCGAGGGGGAUAGGGUUGAAGCCCAUAACAUCAUGAACCACGUAUGAGGAUACCCAACCCGAUGAUCAGAGGUCCUGAAAAUUGGGUUCAAUGGAAAAAACGAAUCAUAUGAUGGUCGUAAAGAAUGCACAAUAUAUAGAUCUAUAUGAUCGCAUCUUGUCACGCCCCAAGCUCCGCCUAUUUGGUCGGAUUCGGGCACGUCAACAGACGCUGAACGGACAGCACCUCCCCUGUCCGCCCAAGGCUCCAACAACAAGUAUAAUCAUGCAAUCAAACAACGAGAUUUGCAAUUAUACAAGGCUUGCACGAGGGCAAACAACAACAAGUAGUGAAAGCGCUAAGCUACUACAUACAACCAUAUAUAUAAUAUUUGAUUACAUUUUAACCAAAUACAAGUAAACUAAAUUAUUACAUUCAUUUUCUUUGCAUUCAUGAUUCUUUACAUCACAUAGUCAUUCACCCAAAAUAUAUGAUUUACACAUCUUUUACAUCACUUCUUCAACAAAAUAAAAGUUUAUACAUGACACAAAAAGGAAUGACUAUAUAUAUACUCUGGUGGCCACUAGCUAUGGCGUUAUACCCUUGCCUCGAUCCUCCGCCCCCCCCACUUGCGCUCGGAUCUGUAGGGUUAGUGGUGUGAGAACUACAACGAAAUUUCCAGUGGGUUCGGCCGCCGACAUCGCCGACUUACCCACUAGGUCUAUUCAGGGAUAAGUAUUUCAAAGAAAGAAAAUAGCAAAUCAUACUAAUGCUAAUACUAUGCCUGCAAAAAAACUGUUAACAGAUAGAUAAUCAUAUGUAUGAUGAAUAUGCAUGCAUGCUUUUCCACAUUUACUUUGGCUUAUACCCAAUUAAACCGGUUAACAUUUGUUAACCCCAACAACUCACAACCCAAAAUUCCUAUCAUUCGGGGAGGCUCUAAGCACUACCACCCGAGGGACCGUCUUCGGGGACCGCGCUCCCCGUGGUGACAAUUCCGGAAUGCACCGCUUGAGAGGGAGCUACCACCCUUAAGCCAAGACUCAAUGUGAGUAUCGAUCCAAUCCUCAAUUUGAGGACGUAUAGCCACUAGCCACAAUGUCAAUAUCACAACAGGUUUCUAUCUUGUCAUUUAUGCCACUCUCUAGGCUACUCUUGCCAUAAUGCCACAAUUGGUUAAACUUUGUUUAACAAUUCAUUUCUCAAUACCAAUCUCGUCACUAAUGUCAAUGUCACCUUUGUUUACUAUUAUCAUAGUCCAAGUCUCACAAUCAUACAAGUAUAGGGUCCAACAUACAUGUCACAUAUGGCUCUAUAUCAAUCACUAUGUUUAUCUACGUUAGAAGCAUAAUAUUGAAUGCCAACCAUUAUUCUCAUAACAACUACCCUAUCAUGCAUGAAUGUCACUAUUCACAUAUAUGUUCAAUAAAAAGGCAACAUAGAUAUAGAAGGGAAUUCAGAAAUUCCGGAUAGCACCCCCCACCACGUAUGGUAGCAAAGGUGUUGCGGUUCGAAUUUGAUAAUUUUUUAGCGCCUAUUCUCUCGCCUGCGGCAAAACGAAGCCAAAUUAGGCUUUUUCCCCCCUAAUCUAAUGUAGACUCGUCGGAUCACCGAACCGAGUUUAUUUCUAGUUAUAAAUACCCCCAAUUUGGUUUCUACAAGGUCAAUUUGCUCCAAAACCAUCCUAGAGCAAAAGCCCUAAUUUUGGUGCCCUAACAAUAUUAUUUUGCAAUUUUCUUGAAUUGAUCUUAGAGCUAAGCAAAAACUAGUUUAAAACCAUCUAAGAACUUCUCUAAAACCAUUUCUAGGUCAUUCAAACCAUUCCUAGGGCAUCUAACAUGAACCCUAGAAAUCUACCAUGAGAGCUCAUGAAGAAAAACAUGGACUUUCAUGUGUUUAUGGCCUUAAUAAGGUUUCUAGCCUUGCAAGAAGAUCAAAACCAAAAGAUUUGGGGUCUAAAUCCAAGCCCUAGCAUCUAUCUUGCAUAAAACCUUAUCUUAGCCCACUAGCUCUCCAAUGUCCACCUUGUAGGAGAGACCUAGACCUUCUAAUCCUCCAAAUCUCCUCCAAAAUCCCCAAGUUCUCCUCCAAAUCCAUCUUGGGAGAGAGCUUCUAGAGAGAGAGAGGGAGAGAAGUGAGUGGGAGGAGUGUUCUCAACUGCUGUGAACAAGAGAGGGGUGUUGGGGUCUUAUAUAAGCUGCUAUAUUUGCAAAAAGGCCCCCCCAAUCUUCAUAUUUGCAGCAGACAUCAACCUACUGCGAAGUGCACUGCGUACCGGUACACGGGAUCCUGUCACCGGUUUAACAGCCUUUUUUUCUCAAACCCGAGAACUGCUUCUCUCUGUCUGCCAUAUGGUACCGGUACAAGGUCAAUGCAUUACCGGUGACAAAAGCUCCAGACUUGAGUUUUGCACCUUUUCCACUUCAAUUCGCGCCGAGCAAUGCUAAAACCUUUCUAACUCCUUUGGAACUCAACUUUAACCCUUCCAACGUUGUUGGAAUGUUAAAUGAAAUUUGUCCAACUAUUCUCUCGGACACUUUGGUCAAUUUGACUAAAGUUCGAUAUAGGCUACCGAGGUUUCGAUAUAUUACACAUCUUUACCUAUCCCUAUGGUGAGGGUGCAUUCAUUCUGUAAUGAAAAGAGGGUUGAGUUUUUGCUCUUAAUGAAAUAUGUGGUUCUUAUGAGCAGGGUGUCAGAAUUACAGGAGCACCCUUGACGGAUUUCACCUAUGUGAGCAUGGAAGUGGGGCCGCUUCCUAUGAGAAUGGGCAUAUUCUCAAAAAUGCUCAUGAAAAUCAGGAUCAGCACAAGGCCGUAACGUGCUAGCUAUUAAAGCUCAUGUCAACACCUGAAUUGUUAUAUGUGAGCAAUAACUUUCUAUUUUUCCUAAGCAGCCAAAGUUCAAGUCUGAGACCACUCUGGCUCUGGAGUAGAGAUUACUAUUUCACUAAGUGAAAGUUCAAUGCAGAGCACACCUUCAUUAUGUAUAAUGGUCCCUCUUUGACCAUCAAACUCUCAUAUAUUUUUAAUAAUACAUACUUGGAAUCACAACCGAAAUGUGAUUUAAAGUAUAAUAAACUCCUAUCGUUAUUCCUUCAAUUUAUGAACUACACUAAAUGUCAUAUAACUUCUAUCCUACGAGCCUAUAAAUAGAGGACUUCUCUAUUCACUUGGAUAUAACUCAAAAAAACAACAAAGUUAUUUUAAUUAUACUUGAGAGAGAGAAGGUCAAAGAAAGGUGUUUCUUUUGGUAGAGCUUUGGGCUCAUCUACUUGUGCAGAGUUGGUGAAGCCACACGACGAGAGUCGAGCAGUUGUAUCUUGGAGGAGACAAGUCAGUGUGCUGCUGCAUCGGUUCAAAGGCUUUGCCAACCGCAGAGGGCUUGAAUCUCCUUAAAGAAAGCGAGAUAUCCGUGCCUCGGCUUGAUCGACUCGUUGACACUUUUUAAAUUAUUUUGUUGCUAACCUCUAUUUUUUGAACAUAUACACCAACAAACCUCACUUCCCACACUUCCAUAGCUGGCCCCCAAGUCUUCAAACCAGCUAGCAACAAGAGAAGAAAAGAAACCAUGCUCAAAUCACUAGUUUUCCACUUCAAAAUGGAAAACCUAGAGGGAGAAAGAAAGAGAAAGGCUCACCCCUGUUCUCUGAGCUCCAACAUAAUAAGAACAAGCUGAGGGGUCAAGCUGGACUGAUAAGGAUAAGGCUGGAGAAGGAAAUGACCAAAACAACCUCAGCCACGCAACUGCUGUGCUGGGUACCGGUACUCAGUGCAAAGUGCAGAUUUCGCAUUUUGCAAUGCACUUUCGCUCUUCCGGCCGCUUAAUCACUCCAGUAACUUGCCGAAAACUUCUCGACAACCUCUAAAAAGAUGUGGAAUAGUUUCAAUUACUAUUCCAACACUCGAACUUCGCAAUUUACCAAAGUUCAGUGUACUACAAUAGCAAUAAUCCAAGAGUAGAAAAAUUGAUAAUAAACACUAUUUAUAUAGUAUCAAUAGUAUACUAGGUGAACUCUAUGCAUGUGUAUAUUUUUAUUAUUAUUAGCAAAUAGGUUUGAUGGUUUUGUCUCACGCCUUCUCUUUGUCAGUAAGUAUGUAUAAUUAUAAUUAUACUCUUUGUUUCAUUAAUUGUAAAGUUAUUGAACUUGAGAUUAAAAUUUGAAUGCAUAUUAUAAAUUAUUCAAUUAAUCAUUAAAAGAAUUAGCCAAUAUUAAAUUUUCAAAUGUAUUGUGGUUUCAAAUUUCUAAUUUGCUUCAAAUUAAUUUGAACUUAAAAAUUGAACUCACGUUUUAAUUGCACUAUCAAUUGUAAAUUAUUUGUGAUAUAGAAAUUCUAAAAGACAUUCAAUAUGAAUUCGUUAAAAGUGCUACGUGUCAAAUCAAAAUUCUUACUUCCAAAUUGAAUUUUAAUUAAAAUUUAUAUACAGAUUAUAGAUUGUUCAAUCAAUUUAAAUAAUCAUCCAAUAUUAAUUUAAUUUCCAGAUAUGCGGCAGUUUUAUUGAAUUUGGUCUUAAAAAUCAAACUUAAAUUUAAAAUUGUGCCCUCAAUUAUAAAUUUUCUGGUAAAUUUCAAAUUGCCGCUAAUUAGUUCAGCUCCUUUUUACUUUGCCACAUGUAGUUCAAAAACUUUACAUGAAACCCCUGUGGUUUAAUUUUUAUUUUACCAAUUAAAUUAGGAUGGCGAAUUAAAACUAUUUAAUGAAUCACAGGGUGAUAAAGUGUAAAAAUAUGCUAAACCACAUGAGAGGCAACGUGUUAUUUUUUGAAUCAUGGGAUAACAAGUGAAAUGAGCUAAACCAUAGGAAGACAUAGUUAAAGUUUUUGAACCACAGGUCACAAACCGAGUGCAACUUGAAGCUUUAAAUUUUUUUGGUAUAACAAAUUCUAAAAGAUGUGUAAUAUAAAUUUUUUACAAAUGUCGCAGUUUCAAAUUUAUAUCAUAAACCAUAAUUUUACCUUUAACUUAAAAAAUUUUAAAAAUUGAGUUUGAUUGUCGAAUUCAAAGUAUUUUCAGUGGUUAUUUCGAUGUAAGAACAUUUUGAAUUAAAAGGACUCGAUCUCAGUUUCACAAUUUGGAUGUAAAAUUUUAUUUAGUAAUAUAAAUUUAAAUUGAAUUGAAGAUACCAACUUACAUUUUGAUUUUAAGCUUCUUCUAAUUUUUUUAUUUUAUCAAAAAAGUGUAAAACCAAAUUAAAUCCAAAAUUUCAUUGAAUUUUCAAUUUUGGAAAUUGAACCCAUAUUUUUAAUUCAACUUUGAGAUGAAAUUAUAAAUUCAAAUUUGAAUUUAGCAAAUUUAAAUUUUAUUAAGAAUUUGAAUUAUGAAUUCAUAUUUCAAUUUUCAGUUUGACAUAAAAUUUGAUUCCAAAUUUUUCCUUAAAUUUUUAAAAUAAAUUUAAAUUUAUUUUGAGAAUACGAAUUCAAAUCUUCUAAUUGUAUUAUCAAAACAUUGGUCCUCAUGGCUGAUUAAAAUUAAACUUAAAAGUGCUUUUUGAAUGGAUGAUAUUGCGAAAUGACCAGUUUCGGUGCAUCGUUGCAUCUACACGCUGUUUUUAAAAUUUGAUAUCCUUAAAAUUUAAUUUAACAGAUAUUAUCUCAAAAAAAUGGAGAUUUUUAUACAGAUUUGUGUACAAUUUCUAAAAUAUUAUAAUUUUGGAAAUAUAAUUCUUACGGACGAAGCAUGUGCCAAAAUCAGCCGCGUUAACUUUUAAAGUUCAUUAUACUAUAUAAAAAAAAUUAUAAUUUUUAUAGUUAAAUAUUUUAAUGGUGUAGAAUACAGUGGUUUGGAUUUAAAUUUCAAAAUAUUUAAUAUUCAAUUAAAAAGCUUAUAGUGUGUUUGCAUAAGCUCUUUUGAGCACUUUUUUUUUUUUAUGCACAACAUAAGAAUUCUUAGCCUUUAAGUAAUAUAAAAAAUGAAAAUGAAAAGCCACCUAUUCUCCUGCAAGUGAAGAGUUAAAAAAAAAAAAAAUCAGUUAAUAGAAAAAUUAAUAAAUUUAUUAUUUUUUUUAUAAAAAAUUCUUUCAUUUUUUGCUCUAAAUAAUAUAAAAAUAAAUUCUAUAUUAUUGGUUUCCCUUCAUCUCCACUACCAUAUAUAAUUUUUUUUAAUCAUUUGGAUUUUACUAUUGAUAAAUUAAUGGAGCACAUGUGGGUACGUAGAGUAAGCCUUCAUGUUUGCGGCGUUGACAACUCGGGUGCCGUGGAGGCUGUUCACGGAGUGGCACUGACACGUAUGAGACGUACAACGCCUUUUGUGUUUCACCUGUGAUGUCUCCUCGCAAUCCUUAGCCUUCAAUUAUUGCACAUGCUGUGUGUUUGUAGUUUGUGAGAAGCUCCCUUACAGAGUUGGUACUGAUGGAAAUAAUUUAAAAAAACAAAUUAUUACCUCGAUCUGGGCUACAAUGUUAUUUUGUUGGACCAGAAUUACCAGAUCGUAGUGACAAAUUUUACCUGAAAUUAUUGGGUCAACACAAACUGAUCUCUUUUUGAGAUCAAUUUUCAAAUUUUACCUGAAAUUAUUGGGUCAACACAAACUGAUCUCUUUUUGAGAUCAAUUUUCGUUCACCUAUUCUAUAGUCUGUUAGUAGUUUGGGUCAUCGCAACCUCCACCUGAAUUAUUCCUGGGACGAUUUCAAUCUAGCUAUUGAUUUGUUUGGGUUAUCAACGCAUCAAUUUAGGAUGGAUGCGUUGCGAUGGAGUUACUUAUGUUGAAAAAAUCUCUCUAAUCUUUUAACGAAAAUUAUAAUUUUUUUAAAUAUUUUAAAACGCAAAAUUUAAACAAGUAUUUAAAAACACAUGCAAAAAUUAAUAACUAAAUAUUAUAUGAAAAUGAAGAUCAAAUGAGGUCUGUGAGUCGAGACGUGCUAAGCACUAUCCUAGAAAUGAGAUUGCCCCUUUACGUAUAAGACUCCGACAAUCACUCCUAGUAAUGCAACUCGAUCUCAAUGAGCAAAAGAACAAAAGAAAAAAGAAGUAAGUCUCAGUUAACCCCAGCCAAAGAUAGGGUCCAACGGACCGGCUCUGUUUCGGAUAAGCCGUUGAAUCUUAUUGAGAUAUAAGAUUUGGGGCCUUACCGAUCUCAAUGAGCAAAAGAACAAGAGAAAAAAGAAGUAAAUCUCAAUUAACCCCAACCAAAGGUAGGGUCCAAUGGACCGGCUCUGUUUCGGAUAAGCCGUUGAAUCUUAUCGAGAUAUAAGAUUUGGGGCCUUACCGAGGUAAGAUAAGAUCUGUGUAUGUUUUGUGAAAAGCAUCACUAUCAUUAUCUCCCAAACAACUAAUCUAAGAAUGAUGGAGUAUAAAUGGUGCAAUAACUAAACUUUUGUUCCCAAUAUGGGACUAACCUCGCAUGUAAAAACUUAAGCACGAUGUCACGGCCUUAGCGGUUCUGUUCGCAAAGUCCGUGCGGCGCCCGCCUUCCUGCUCGAAGAUGGGCAAGCCUUCGUCCCUAUUGCUAGCCCGGACCUUCGCGUCCUAUGACUAAGUAUGCAAAGGGAAAUGACAGAGAGAGAGAGAGAGGCAGAAGUUCACUUAAAAAACUAAGUACUACACUACUUAGAAAAGAGAUUACAACCCACACAUACACACACCCUCUCUUGUGUGUCAUGGCCUUAGCCAAACCCCAUUACUUAUAGGCUUCUAGAUACAAUGAACCUAGACACACACUAACUCUCUCAUUAUGAGACACAUUAACUCACCCUCAUAAUGAGCCCUCAUAAUGACCAAAAGCUCAAGAGUCACCCAUAACUCAUGGGAGUUUCAUAACCCUUGAGUUUCCAUCAUUGAUGAAGGAGUUACAAAACCCUUUGUCUCCCCACAGCGGGUUGGGUUUGAGUCUCCUUGACAACCCGAUUCAACCCAUUUUCAACCCGUUUCGCUAGCAGAUUUGGGCCACUGUCAAGGAGAAGUUAACGGAAAACAUUUUGUCCAUGACAUUCUCUCCCACCUAACGCGCAGACGCCCUCGUCGCGCGCCGAGUUGCUCCCGGUCCACAUAACCUUCCGCGCGGUCCGUCGUGCCUUCACGCGCGAUCGGCCCCAUGCCUUGCUCCCAAUGUCCGCACUUGUCCCCGCACCAGCACCUAGUGUCUUGCCCCUCUGAGCAAGUGCACCAGCAAGCCUGCUGUGCGAAGAGUUCGCCGGAUGUGCAUGUCCUCCGUGACACGCACGCGCACUCUGCCAAGCUGCUGAACGCCCCAAGUGUGCAUGUCCUCCGCGACACGCACGCGUACUCCGCCAAGCUGCGGAACGCCUUUUGGUCCUCACAGGCUCCUUGGCAGAAUGACUUGCACUUUGCUUCGACGCUGGCCACUUCAGCGCCAUAUGAGACUCGAUAGUUUCGCCGCCGCUCAGGCCCUCCUCCUCGAGGUCCUCGGCCUUCCCACGCUUCACCUCCUCGCAAAGCUGCAAGGCUGUCAGAGUUGAACUCUCGUUGCACCCUUUUGCGUCCCCUGGAUCGCGGUGCUCUCCCCCACCUUUGGCCUUGCUCGCCUUUGAUGGUUCACCUCGAUCGCCCUCGGUUCGCUCCCGCUCGGGCACAACGUCAACGACGACAGCUUCCGACAAAGACAUGGUUCCUUCUCGAACCGGCUCUGAUACCAACUGUCACGGCCUUAGCGGUUCUGUUCGCAAAGUCCGUGCGGCGCCCGCCUUCCUGCUCGAAGAUAGGCAAGCCUUCGUCCCUAUUGCUAGCCCGGACCUUCGCGUCCUAUGACUAAGUAUGCAAAGGGAAAUGACAAAGAGAGAGAGGCAGAGGUUCUCUCAAAAGACUAAGUACUACACUACUUAGAAAAGAGAUUACUACCCACACAUACACACACCCUCUCUUGUGUGUCAUGGCCUUAGCCAAACCCCACUACUUAUAGGCUCCUAGAUACAACGAACCUAGACACACACUAACUCUCUCAUUAUGAGACACAUUAACUCACCCUCAUAAUGAGCCCUCAUAAUGACCAAAAGCUCAAGAGUCACCCAUAACUCAUAGGAGUUUCAUAACCCUUGAGUUUCCAUCAUUGAUGAGGGAGUUACAAAACCCUUUGUCUCCCCACAGCGGGUUGGGUUUGAGUCUCCUUGACAACUCGAUUCAACCCAUUUUCAACCCGUUUCGCUAGCAGAUUUGGGCCACUGUCAAGGAGAAGUUAACGGAAAACAUUUUGUCCGUGACAACGAGCUCCCAAACAAGCCCACAGAACGUUGGGUUGCUUAGAAAGCCCAUGAACUAAAAUAAAAUUUUAAAUCACUAAAAUCAAAUUAAUACUAACAAUUUAUAGGACGGAUUAAGUUGAUUGGGUUUGGUUGACGGGCUGGUCUAUAGUGUUGGAUUGGAUUGAGCGAUUGGGUUUUAUCCAAUUCAUAAAGUUUAGUUAGUUAAUGGAUCAAGUCCGUUUUAAUUAGGCUGCCCCUAACCCAAAAUUUUUACAUUCAUUUGUGUUCAAUUUUAGUGACCCCUUACGCGAAAUGGAUGGCUUCAGAUUCAGAUUCAGGUUUAUCCAUAAGUUAAAUUUUAAGGCGUAUUCUUAAAUGAAGUCUCUUAUAUCAACUCCGAACAAAACUCCACUCGUUCAACGUAAUUAACUUUUUGUUUAGUUUAUUAUAGGCUACCAAUAUAUGAAUCCCCAAUAUUUUGCUGACAUGGCGUCACCUCCUUAGUUUAGAAUUUUUUUAUUUUUUUAAUAAUAGUAUAUUCUCUUUCUUCUCUCUCUUCUACCACCGCAUAUUCUCUCAUUUACUGUUCGCGCCCCCCAUCUCCCCCAAACCGCACGUCCGCUCAUCGAUCUCCCCCCCUCCCGAAAUCUCUCUUCUCUCCCUCCUCUCCGCUCCCCUCUCCUCCCUCCCCAUCCCUUCCGUCACCCUCCACCUCUCUCAUCCUCCCCGACCUUGCCGACGCGCACCCUUCUCCCCUCUCCUCUCCUCCUUCCUCAGCCGCCACUCCAGGGACCCCACAAAGGGUUUUUUGGUUUUGGAAUUUUUUUUCGCAGUGACGUGAAUAGGGUGUUUUUGAUUCGUACAUUAGGUAUGCUCUCAGAUUUGGUGUUGAGUUUGGUUUAGUUUGAUCUAAUUUCGAUUAAUUUUAAGAGAAAAAAGGGCGUUUUUUUAAGGGUCUUUUAGGAUCUUUUUGGGUUUUAUGUAAUUACAGGAUCAGUGCGAUGGAAAAAGAUGAUGACGGCCGUUGUUUCUUUCCUCUCACCAAUUUGCAAAUCAGGUGUGUAUGGCCGAUUUCAUUUUUUAAUUCCGUUGGUGGAUUCAAGUUAAUAAUUUGGAUUUAAAGAUUUAAUUUUUUAGUAAUUUUUUGAAUUUGAGUACAGUAAUUUUUCAGUAGUGUAUAAUUUUCAACUUAAUUGGGUAUAAUCUAUGAGAAAGAGAGGAAAGAAGACAUAGGAAAACUAAUUUAGUCUCCAUACUAUGACAUAGGUGCAAAUGUUUUCCAAUUUUAGUGCAGUUUCUUUGAAAUGGCCUUAUCCAUACAAAUACAUAAUUUGAUGAUUUUGAGGAUACACGCAGCAAAAUUUUAUGUCUCCACGUCCAUAGAAUUAGAAUCCGCUCCUCCUUUCUUUUCUUCUCCUUUCAUCUCUUCUCUCUCCUCCAACUCAUACCAAAUCUUUACGACAAAUACAUAAUUUGACAAUUUUUUAAGACAUACGUGGCGAUUUUUCGUGCUUCCACGUCAUGCUCAAUUUUUCCUGUGCCCUUCUUGGCUCCUUCCCAAGAACCUUGGCUCCUUCCCGAGGUUGGACCAGGUUGGACCAAAAUAUUCGAGAUUUUCCAAGACAACUUCUUAUUCCCGAGGUUUAGCCCCUUCCUCCCCUCUCUCUCUCUCUCUCUUUCUCUCUCUCUCUCUCUCAUCCAGCUGGCUCCAUGUUUCUCUCUCUUUCCUUCUCUCACAUACUCUCUCUCUCUCUUCCCUUCUCCUCUCUAUCUUAACCCCCUUCUCUCUCUCGCCGCCACCUGGGGCCAGCAAAGGAGAGCGCAGCGACAGCAGCAGUAGCCGCGGGGGCCACGGCGAGGGCCGCGGGGGUGUUGAGGGCGGAUAUGUCAGCCACCGAGGGAAGGGCAGGCGCGCGGGUGGAGAGCGAGUGGCGGCCGGCGGGGAGAGGGCUAAUGAAAGGAUGGAGGUUGGGGCUGCGGUGGUGGUAGCGGUGGCGGCGGCGGUGGUGGUGGCGGCCCGGAGCAAACUUGCCACCUUUGGAGAUGAGCUUUUGGGAUCCGGUGAGGGGCUGGGUGGUGGAGAUGGUGUCUGCGGCAAUGGAGAAAGGAGAUUGAAGAGAGAGAAAGAGGAAGAAGAAGAAGAAGAAGAAGAAGAAGAAGAGAAAGGAGAGAAGAGAGAGAGGGAGAGUGGAGGAGUACGUAGAGAGUUUUUGGAGGAAAUACCAUGGGACUAUGGGAGAGAGUGUGUUUUGGCAUGCAGAGAGAGAGAGAGAGAUAUGGGAGAAGGUUAGGGAGAAGUAAUUAAUUGGGUAAAUAUACUCACAAUAUUGUUGAGCUCUAAUUAAUAUAAGGUUCAUCGUAUAGCUUUUAUUUAAUUAAAAUUUUAAAUACACUAAUUUUUUUCCUCUAAUGAGUUGAAUUUUUUCAAUUUUUUUAAAAUAAAUUUUAAAUUUUAAUUAAUUUUUAAUAUUGAGUUUGUAAAUAUCUUGAUAUUGAAAAAUUAACGAUUUUUAUUAUGUUUUUAAUUUUUUAAAAUAAAUUUUAUAUUUCAAAUUUUAAAUUUUAAAUAAUUAUAUAUUAAUUAAUUAAAAUUUUAUUUAUCCGCAGCGAAGCGCGGGUUUUAACGAAUCUUCCCUAGGAAAGAUAAUAAAUCUUCCCAAAUCAAUCUUGGGAAAUCCGGGAUCACAGAUUUCUUCAAGAUCUGAAGAAAUCUUCAGUCUUGAGCUCUAUAAAAGGCUGGAGAGAGGAGCUCGAAGGGGGACUGAUCGCACAGGACCAGAGAGAUGGGUGGGUGGAGCUAUGCGAGUAGAGGUCGUCCACAUCCGGUGCACACACUUCACAGGUUGCACACAUAAAAAAAAAGUUAAGAGAAGAUAAAAAAAACGAGAGAAGGUCACUAAAAAAAAAAGAACAAACAAAAAGAUUUAAAAAAUAAAAUAAAAAAAAAAAACUGUGCUUCUUCCCUUAUUCUGUUUGCUGCUGUCGUACCGCCGCCGACGCCACCGACGUUGCCCCAACACCCACGCCGUCCGCUGUUGUGCCCACUACCGAUGUCGCCCAAAUCCGCACGGAGUCACCCCAAUCCGGCACUGUAACAUACCGAAACUUCGGUAGAAUGUUGGACUCUAGCCAAAUUGGCCAAAGAGCCCAAGAGAAAUGGUGGGACGAAGUCUAUUUAACACUCCAACAGUGUUGGAAGGGUUAAAAGUGAGUUCCAAUGAGGUUAGAAAGGUUUUAGCAUUGAUCGGCACGAAUAGGAGUCAAAACAAUGCGAGAUUGAGGUUCGGGAGCAUUCGGGCGUUUUCGGUGCACGUAGGCAUGAAAACGGGACCCGAAAGGCUAUGUUGGACCAUGAGCUAAAUCCGGCAUUAGCGUGGAUAAAAAGUUGAUGAAAUCGUGCUUGAAAACAUGUUUUGGGGAUCUCAGUGCGAUUUGAAAUAAAUCGGAGGCCUAACGAGCGAAAACAAGCGAAAACGGAAAAAAAAAAAAAAAAAAAAAAAAAGUUGAAAAAUUGGGUAAGUCCUGAAAAAUGGCCGUGUACCGGUGACACCCCUAGUGUGUACCGGUACGCAGUGUAAAAUCCUAGAAGAAGGCUCUCGGGUUUGGCUAUUGCGCGAUCGUGUAACCGGUGACACCAGCCCGUCUACCGGUACGCUGUAGUAGAACAGCACAAAAUUGGUCUAUUGCAAAUAUGAUUAUUUGGAGGGCUUAGUUGCAAUUGUUGCACACUAUUAAUAAACCCAAACCCUCCUUCCUCUCACAGCAGCCCCUCUCCUCCUCUCUUCUCCCAUUUCUUCUCUCUCUCUCUCUAAAAGCUCUCCAUCAAGCUCAAGGAGAAGGAGAAAAAGAUUAUUAGAGGACAUUUUGGAGCUUUGGGGAGAUCUUGGAGCUCUCCUACAAAGAGAACUUGGUAGAGCUUGGGACUUGAGGUGAGUUCUUGCAAGAUUUCAUCUAGGGUUUAGAUUUUAUCCAAAGAUCUAGUGUUUUGGACUUUCUUGCAAGCUUAGAAGCAUUGUUGGGCCAUGAACACCAUGAAAACCCAUGUGAGCUUCAUGUGCUCUAAUGGUAGAAUGUUAGGGUUCCAAGUAGAAACCCUAAGAAUGGUUCAAAUGGUUUAGAAAUGAGAUUAUAGAGCUUCUUGGGUGGUUCUAAGCUUGAUUAUGCUUAGUUACAAGAUCAAUCCCAAGAAAUUUGAUUAUGACAUUGUUAGGACACCAAAAUUUAGAGCUUUUGCCUCUGGAUGUUUCUAGGGCAAAUUGGCCUUGUAGAAACCUAAUUGGGGACCAAACAAACGCGAUGGAACGCUCGGUUCAACAAUCCGACGAGUAUACGCGAAGUUAUUGACGAAAUAACAUUGUUUCGUACAGAUAGCCGCAGCACGCGGAAUAAACGUCUAAAAAUCAUGAGAUCGGAUCCGAAGCAUCGUGGUGUCGAGGGAUAAACUCCAGAAUUUUCAAAUCGCGGAUUGGUGGCCGUUCGGGUGGUCGUGCGAGAGUUCGGGCCGAACCGGGUCACGGGUGCCGCGGGAGGCCGAUUGUAAGUGACUACAAGUAAUCGGAGAGCAAUUUAAGGCGGGUUGUGCUUACCGAAGCGACUAGGUCGCCCUUUAUGUCUAAGAAACAUACGAAUUCAUAUUGAUGCAUAUUAAUAAAAUGACAUAGCUAAUGCAUGUGGACAAUAUGAUGCAAAAUGCUAAGUAGAUUGCAUAUGAUGUAGUAUAGAAAUGCUAAAAUACAUGUAUGAAUGAUGCUAGUUAAAAGCAUGAGAUAAAUGACAUUUGCAUGUUAACAUAAAGUAGAGAACAUGCUAGUUGUAAUGUAUAAUGGUAAGUUGUAAAGAAUGCUAGUUUGGAUAAGCAUGUUAAUUAUCUAAAGUAAGAUGCUAAGAGAUUGUACAUGAAGUGACAUAAUGUUAAUGUUAGAUGAUGCAAGCUAACAUAUAGAGGUUUAUGUUAAUGGAAAUGUGCAUAUGGACAAUCUAUAUAUAUUAGAUCGAGUGGCAUUAAACCUAGCGUCUUGAACAUAGGUUGAACAUGAAUGAUAUGAACCUAGUGUUAGUAAACCUAGGUCAGACAUGAAGGACAUAUGAACCUAGUGCAAAAUAACAUAGGUUGGACAUCAAGUGGCAUGUAACCUAGUGUUAGUAAACAUAGGUUGAACAAGUGUGGCAUGUAACCUAGUGUUAGUAAACAUAGGUUGGACAAGAGUGGAAAUGAACCUAGGGUUAAAAAGAACAUAGGUUGAGAACUAAACCUAGAGUCAAGUGAACCUAGGUUGUGUGAUAAAGAAAUUGAACCUAGAGUCAAGUAUACCUAGGAUGGAAAGGACAUUGGAUCUAGAUAGGUCGACACUAUAGGGUUUAGACCAACCCUUGAGUUAUGUGAAAUGGAUUUCGGAAUCCUAGAGCUUAUGGAACACCGAGAGUGGUGUUGGGCAUGUGCGACGAUUUCACCGCCUGGGGCUAAAGAACCAUUGACGUGGCGUGUGCGACGAUUUCGCCGCCGGAUGGUUAGCCAGUUUGAGGAUUAUACUGCCAGUGGACUGAACCAUCGACGUGGCGUGUGCGACGAUUUCGCCGCCGGGUGGCUAAGUCAUAACCUAGGCUGUUGUUGGGUGAGGUGCGAUGCGUUCGCCGCCAGACGGCUAGGUCACUAAGCGCGGUGAGCUGUGGUUGGCUGAGGUGCAUGUGAGAGUUCCUUCACCUCGAGCUAGACAGUGCGCGGACUAUCCGCGAUUGAUUGACUCAAGACCGAGUCGGGUGGCAUAGAGAACUAAGAUAAGAGUAACCUUAGAAAAGAAUGGCCGAUGAAUAAAUUGGAACUAAGAAUAAAGAAUAGCUAAGAAUAAAGAGAGAAUUACAAGUAGUAAAGAAUGGCUAGUAUAAAGAAUGUAAAUGAUAGAAAGUAAAAUCAUCUACUUUACUUGCAUAGUUGCAUACAUUUCAUAUUAUAUAUCGCGAGGCAUGACAUGUAGUUCAAUAUCGAGUAAAAGCAUAAAUAUCUUUUGUAUAUUAUUGGACUAACUUGUUGCAGUGCCUCAUUGGACCUAUUGGUCGAGCUUUUCGCUUGGGUGGCCAUACCCACUGGGAACCAUGAAGUUGGUUCUCACCCCACGUUGUUUUGGGGUAUUACAGGUACACACGUGAGCGGCGCAGCGGCGCGAGGUAAGGGCGUAGCUCCGUAGAUAGCCCCCUAUCCCAGAGACCUGAGGUAGUAGUACCCGAGUUGGUGGUCUAGCUUGGGGGGUUUAAAGACAAAGUACAAACUUGUAAUAAAUUGUAAAAAUUGUGAUUGUAUUUGGAAGUUGAAUAUAAAGUGUAAAAUGUAAAUGUGUUGUAAAAUGUAUCUAAGUUGAAUGUUGUAAUAACUUAGUAGUUUUAUGUUUAUGAUACUUCCUUAUGCAAUCUAUGAGUAAAUACUGUUUCUGGUUGGAACCUCUCGUAUUGUAUUGAUUGCGACGCCUUGGACGUACAGUGGAGACUCUGUCCGUUCGGUGGUCUGUCGGCGGCUCCACGAUCCGGCCAAAUAGGCGAGUGGUCGCGGGUUGUGACAGGCACUGUCCGCUGUCGUGUCCGACGCCCACGUCGCCAACGCCACCCAAGCCACCGCCACUGCCAUACCCGUCGACGUCACCCCAACGCCGCCGCAGCUGUCGCUGUACCUGUUCAUAGGCAACGCCCAAGCUGCCGGGUCCGCCAUCUCCACGGACGGCAUCGCUAUUACCGCGUCCGAGGUGGUUGCCGUCCAAGCCUCUGACGUCGUUAAAGCUAAGGUUGAAGCCAACAACUUCAUUGCUUCACGAGUAAGGAGGAAAUUAAUUAAAGGGGUGGAGUGGUCCUUUUCUUCUAUUUUUUAUUUGCUGUUUGUUGUUGCUAAUAUGUAACCCAUAAUAUGCCUUGGGUAAUAAACUAUCAUGUUAACUCCGUUUCUUAACUUAUGAGUCCAUCAACAUUAAUAUCGAUCGAUGGCAAAGGCGAACGGAGAGGGAGCAAGACGGAUGCAGGCAAGGUUUCGGGGAAUUGGAUGAGGGGAUGCCGGAAGGACGGGAGUGAGGGCGACCGCCGAAGAUGGGGUCUGGACGGGAGUGCGCAGACUAAGCUAACUACCUGGCGUGUAAAGGAGCCCCCCUCCUCGCCAGCUCAGAGGUGCUUGCGCUCACAAGAGGUGACACCUUUCGAACCAGAGGUGGAGGCUAGGUUCCUUUGGCUCAAGGCUACGUUGAAGGACUCUGAUGGUAUUGUUCAUGUAGAGGGAAAGUGUGAAAAGGUCGCCAUACGAUCUCGGUCCUACAGGGAGGCGAGUGGUGCUGGGGCACUGGGAGGUAAGAUUCUUGCUCAUUAUGUCGGGUCCACAUCACGCCUCGAGGUGGGACGCCCUGUCCCUAUCUCGGACAAGGGUAUCCUGGAUGAUGGAUCUGGCGGGAAGGCAGUGUGGAAACCCGAGGUCUUUGACCAAGCUCAGAGGGUAGGAGGUGGUGUAAAAACCUAUCUGCAGGCCCUUCUUAAGCAACCAACCUCCCUCUCACAAAUGGAUCAUCAAACUUGCAAGCUCUCAGCAGGGAGGAGGGAGGGUUCCAGAGAUGAGAAGUUUUCUUCUUUAAAGGGAAGGUGUUUUAGAUGUUUGGCCCGCGACCAUCGAGUGUCUUCUUGUCGUGAACCUCUUAGGUGUUUCCGCUGCUUCAAAUUUGGCCACCCUUCUUGGCUGUGCAGGGGUAAAAGUAAGAGCAGACCUCAAGGAAGUGUAGAGAAAAUGUUCAGAGGGAGGAACACGUACAGAGGUAGAGCUAUCCGAGGGAGGAGGACCACCUUUCCUGUUUUUGUUCCUUUCUCUGAGGAAUACUUCAAACACAGCGAGGAGAGGCGGAACGCUGUGCUAGCUGAUGUUCUCCCUCCUGCCGAGCUUGGACACUACCCGCAAGCAACGAUCGCCGAUGGUCUAGCUAGGCAUUUUGUAGGGUACCCAACGGAUUUUCAUGUCGCACUCUACCAGGAGCGGGACGUUGUCAUCUUUCUCCCAGAAUGGGUCCCUGCUGAAGAUGUCACCCGUCGAGAAUUCAUACCCCUCGACAAGUGUCGUAUCCGUUGUUACGACUGGGCCCCGUAUCAUGAGGCCGCCAGCCAUGACCUCUCUUUUAAGGCGUGGAUUAGGCUGGUGUCCCUCCCUUAUGAGUGUUGGUCUCCAGCUCGGGUCGCUGCCAUGGUUUGUGGGUUUGGCAGGUUUUUACGGGCGGAUGAAGCGUCGACGUCUUAGGUAGUGCGAUAGUCUCCCCCAUGAGGAAACCAAGAAAGUCCUAACUCUCAAUCAGUGACAAUACUUGUGUUUCCCAGAGCAGAUAGUUGUUGUCAUUGAGCUUCAAUGUGACGAAAUUUGCCACAUUAAUGGUGGAGAGAAAGGGAAAUUUCGAGUUAGAUAACGAUGCCAUUUUUUUAAAAUCUUUGGUUCCUUAGCGUGUCUCUAAUACCAUAAGGAAAUUAGUAGACCACACACUUCAUUAAUGUCCUAUUGAGAAGUUUAUACAACUAAAGGAGUACUUCUCACUCUUAUUGUGAAGGAGGUUACUCCUAUAUUGUGGAGGAGGUUACAACCAUACAAUCUUAAGAAUAGGAAACGAAUUUACAAAUUCUAAAACUAUCAAGUUGUGUUUGGUGUGGUUGGAUCGUUUGGUGUGGUUGGGUUGUCCUCUUGAUUCCGAAUUGAUUUUGAUUUAGUAAGUUGGUUGAACUGGCUCAAUGUGGUUUGAUUUGAUGCUUCAAUAAAAGGUUCCAUACAGUACAACAAGAAAAGAAAGAGAAUCCAUUUGCAAAAUACAAACUUGUGAAUAAAAAAAAUAAUAUAGAAGCACAUUUGUUAUUUCAAGAGAAAAGGAAUUCACAGAGAGAGAGAGAGAGAGAGAGAGAGAGAGAGAGAGAGAGAGAGAGAGAGAGAGAGAUUACAUUCUAAUCAAGUAUGGUGACAUCCUUGCUUUUCUCAUUAGUUCGCCCUUUAAAAUGUUUCAGAACAUGAGCAGUUGGGGGAAAUGCUUUCAUAUUAGAACCACGAGGACCAUCUGGAAUUGUCCAAAUUCUUGCCGUUGAGUCCCCAAACCGGCCCAAAAUGACUCAAUUGCUUCUUGUAACUGGAGCAAAUAUAUAAAACAUAUGCACAAAGAAGCAAAUUAGCAUUUUAAGUGCAAAAUUUGUGCUUGAAGAUUCUGGGAGGAAAGCUAUUACCAGCUUAAUUGAAGCUCUUGGUGCUUAAUGUCUGAACUUGAAUAUGUCAACCAGUGCAUAUUAGGGUUGGUUUGCCAAAAGUGAUCAAUGUAUUAUGAAAAUCCCUCCUAGAAAUCCCUCAAAACCCCUCUUUGAUCUCAAAUUUGCUGCAAAAUUGACUCAAUUCUCAACAUCGCCUAUCUUUUAUACCCAAAUUUACAAUGUUUAAGAGUAUAUCCUUUAUAUAAAAUGCAAAUUGUUUCAAGAAAUCCCAACAAAAGCAUACAGUUACUACUCUAAAUACAAUUUUUCUCAAGUUUGUGCAUUACAUAUGCGAUUCAAAAGAGUUCACAAAAGAGUUCACCAAUUUAGACAACUUAACAAUCAUACUGUUCUAGCACAACAUAAUGAGGUAUAGAGUGGAUGUAUUGGACUGAUCUUUAUUAAUAAAAUCGCAUUAGUUAUGAUUGCGGCUCUAAGUUGAGUAUUAAGAGAACAGGGACUGUAAAGCAAAAGCAUGCAUUGCCCGAAAAAAAGGAAAUCAAUCAACAAUCAAUAAAUUAGCUAAUAAAUGAAACAGUAAGCAUCUAUCUAUAUAGAAUAUAGAAUCGACAAUUCGGUCACAUCAUAAAUGUGGCUCCCGGAGGAGCCACGUCUCCAUUGUAGCCCUUAGCCAAUAAAAACAUGCCAUAUAUUCAAUAGAAAUUUUCAACGUGCGCCAAUUGCGCUGUAGACCGGAUAUAAAAUAUGAAUAAAAAGUAAAUUUCUAUAAUAAAAUAAAUUAUUAAAAUAUUUCAUAUUUUAUAUUAUAUUACACUAUAUUAUAUUUUAUUUUAUAAUACUAACUAUUAGGUAUUUUAUCAAUCAUCUAAUAUACUUACGAUGUAUUAAAUAUUAGUAUAUAUCGGUAAGGAAGGAAAAAUUUCUCUCUUUUUGAAUUAUAAGUACAUUCUAUUAUAUAUUCUUUAUACCAAUUAUAUAUUUGUAUAUACACCACAUAUCUNAAUCAUCUAAUAUACUUACGAUAUAUGAAAUAUUAGUAUAUAUCAGGUACAAGCAAAAUUUCUCAUCUUUUUCUUAGAACUAUGAAAAGGAGCUUUUCAAAGAGCAUGAUCCAUAGUUAAGUAUUCUCUACAUUGAAUGUAUAUAAUUACAUACAACAUAUGCUUUAAAUCUCUAAUAGUGAUUUAAAAUUUAAUUCAGCAAAUAUAUUUAAAUUAUUAGAGUUCAUAGCUUAGAUAUAUUUAAUUACAUUUUGAUAUUAGAAAUUAGUUCUCUAAUAUAAAUCGCGGUAUAUGGUGUGUUAAUAUACACCAUGUGCAAAUAAUAACAUCUUUUUUCAAUAAAUUUUAGUAAGGUAUAGAUGAGGGCUAUUUUUCCAAAUGGCCCCCUGAAAAAAUUUUAUUUUAAAACUAGCCCCAAUAAAUUUAUAAUUGCAAAAAUAGCCUUACUCCUGCCACGCAAGCGCCCCGUGGGCGGGCUGGGAGCCUAAUUGGCAAGUUGAAUACGGCGAAUCAUUCACCGUGGUGUUCAAACACACUGAAUGAUUCCCCGUGUUUCAUAUUUAUAUUCCUUUUCUUCUCUUUUAGGGAUGUCAACGAGUCGGGUUUGAAUUGGGUUUUCAAAAACCCGAACCCGAAUCCAAAAAUCACAUUAAAACCCGAACCCGAAUUUGAAAAUCAAAUUAAAACCCGAACCCGAAUCCGAAUCCGGCGGGUUUUAAAAAUCCAUACCCAUAUAACUUUAAUAUAUGGAUAUGGGUAUGGAUUUUUAAAACCCACCGGGUUCAGAUUUGUGUUCGUAUUUUAAUUUGAUUUUCGGAUUCGAUUUUCGAUUUUUGAAAACCCGAUCCAAACUCGACCCGUUGAAAUCCCUAAAAGAGAAAAAAAGGAAAAUAAAUAUGAAACACGGUGAACACGGUAAAUGAUUCAUAGUGUUCAACUUGCCAACCGGCCUCCCAGUCCGCCCACGUGGCGCUUGCGUGACGCCUGUGUAGCAGGAGUAGGGUCAUUUUUGUAAUUAUAAAUUUAUUGGGGCUAGUUUUAAAAUAAAAUUUUUUUAGGGGGCCAUUUGCAAAAAAAGCGCUAUAGAUGAUCUUAUGUAUUUGGCAAUUUAGAAUAAUUUCUCCUAUUUUAACUCUUAAAUUAAAAUUUUAUUUAUAAAAUAGCUACUAAAACUAUUAAGUUUGAUUGAAUUUUUGAAUAAAGUUAUUAGAAUACUUUAACUCUACAAAUAUUAAAAGUUAAAAAUAUUAAUAAAAAAAUAGCUUUUAUUAUAUAUAAAAGGAUAUAUAAGUUUGUUUUGUAUUUUUCAUUAUAAAUUUUUUUAGUUUUAAAAUUUUAAAAAUUAUGUAUAUUAAUUUACUGAAAUAUUAUCUACCCGCCAUGAAGCGCGGGUCCUAUACUAGUUAUAUAAAUAGGGGAAUUUAUUAAGUAGUGUUUAAUAAGGUUUCAGUAUUCAUAUUCUGAUUCUAGAGUGAUUCAAAUGAUGACAUAUUUUCUUGAAGGGUCCAUUUAAAAAAAUCGUGUCACAAGCUUAGGCUCCUACAUAUGAGAACAAAGGUAUAAUUAAUGUUGUAAUUAUAUAAUAUCAAAAUCUGAGCAAGUAGAUGAGGGGCGGGCAAACCAGGGGCGGAGAAGAGUGUAGAACAAAGGUAUAAUUAAUGUUGUAAUUAUAUAAUAUCAGAACCUGAGCAAGUAGAUGAGGGGCGGCCAGACCAGGGGUGGCCAGACGAAGGUCAGAGAUUGAGAGGGGAAGAAGUACCUCUGGAGGCAGGGGAGUGGUGUGAGCGGGGACGGGAGGCGCGUGUUGGCGUCCCAGACGAGGCGGGGACNGUUAGAGACUGGAAGAGUGGGGGGCGGACCAGGGGCGGAGUAGACAAGGGGGGCGGGCGAACCAAGGGCGGAGCUCAUGGGGGACGGAGUCAGACGCCGCCCCGAAGGGAGGGGGGAAGGGGGACGGGGUGUGUGUCUUGGGGGGCGGACAAGGGGUUGGGCGAAGCCGGGGGUGGAGCAGAACCAGGGGCGGAGAGGGUAAGGGGAGAGGGGCGGGCGCAGGAGUAGAUGCAGCGCCGAUGUGGGGGGGGGAUAGGGUUUUUUGGUGGUGGCAGUGUGGGGAAGGGGGGAGGACAUCUUUUUUGGGGGGGGGAAUUAGGGUUUUUUAUGAGAGAGUUGGCGGGAAAGAGAAAUUUGAGAGGGAACUAGAGUUUUUUAAAGAGAGUUGGGGGAAAGAGAAAAAAAUUGAAUUUUUUUUUUACAGAUAUUAGAGGCAGUUUUGAAAAACUACCUCUAAUCUGCCUGUAAUAUUAUAGCUUAGAGGCAGUUAUAACAACCGCCUUUUUACAAUCGUCUCUACGAGCGUUUUUUUUGUAUAGCCUCUUUGGGAAGUGCUUCAUUUUCACAAAUUGCUAAAAUUGCAAUAUAACCCUCCAAAUUCAAAGUUUCUUACUGAGAACUCACCAGUGCAUGUAUUUUCGCACAGUUGCAUUUUUUUCUGGAGUUUCAUGCAAUUUGGCAUAUGAAAGGUUGUGCCUUUUCUAUAAAAAAAUUCAAUCUUUUCAAAAUGACCACUUUUUUUUUUCACUUAAUACAGCACUUUAAUUAGCCUCAUCGAAUUUGAAAACGGGUUUCAUCAUGACCUUCAGCACUGCCAAACCAUUAGAGUGGUGAUUUCGUUUCAUUAGAAACGGGUCCAAGUAGCAAAAAUACUUUAUCCUCAUUUAUGUUUUCCUAUUGAACUUGGAUUCCAAAUUAAUAUUUAAACUUAAAAUUUGAAAUAUUAAUUUUUCCAAAUUUGAAAUUUUGGUUUCCUACAAAUACACAAAAAUAGAGGUUUGGUUACAAAAGAAUAUGUAAGGUGUCGACGAGUAAAUCAAGUCUAAGCAAAAAAUCUCGUACUUUUUAAGAAGAUUUAAGUCCUCUACAGUUGGCACAGCCAUCAAACAAAUGUAGCAGAAUACCGACUUGUCCCCUCGAGGAUACAAUGGCUAAACUCUCGUCGUGUGGUUUCACCAACUCUGCACAAGUAAAUGAGCCCGAAAUUCUAUAAAAAAAAAACACAUUUUUUCGACCUCUCUCUUAAGUAGAAUAGAGAUAGUAAAAGUAGAUUUAUAAGUUUUUGUUGCAUGUUCAAAGAGUAAAGAAGCUCACUAUAUAUAGGCUUCACAAGCCUAUAGGUUACAAGAUAUUAACUUGCUAAUAAGUUACAAAAAUUAAGGUGUGAAAGUUAUAGGAAUGAAUGUACAUAGGUUAUGUCUCCUUUAGCUGCAAAUUCAAAGCCACAAUUGAAAUACAUAGGUCUUUUUUUUUCUUUUUUUUCUUUUUUUUGAGAAAUAGAUUGCAUGCUACCCACUUCGUUUAUUUCAUUUAGAAAUAAAUUUAACUGGAAAUGUAAAUCAACUAGGAUUCGAACUUGGGUCUCGGGUACCAACCACCAAGCCCUUUGCCACUUGCUGUAGGGACGGUCGGUUUAAAAUAAAUAGGUUAGAGACUGAAACAUAUAGGUUAAUUACAAGCAAUCAUCUUCAAUCCAUACGUUAUCAAAAUUAAAUUUUUCAUAUUUAAUAAUAAAAUAUUACAACAAAUUCUAACCUUCAUCCACAAAAUAAAUUUUUCAUGUCAUGCGUGCAAGUUAUUACUAGAUAAAAUUGUUCGGAAGCUUGAUAGCUCACGCUGCAACGUGGUGCAUGAGGAACAAACAUUGUGUUUGCGGAAGCAUUUUAUGAGAUGCUUAUUGUAUCACAAAGUGCAUGCAAAACAGAGAAAACAUUAUGCAUAAUCAGUAAGCUAGUAAUUAAUCAACUGGUUGACACGAUAGUUAGAAUAGAAUUGUCAGGUUUCACCAAACUUCUAAUCUUGCAAACGAAACAAGCCUCGAUGAAACAAACACGCGCUGCACUCAUCCAUCCCAUCCUUCUAGUGAUGUAAUGUGGGCAGAGCCAGGCUGGCAAGGUGGCAUGGCACACAUAAGCUUGGCGAUUCUGGCCAACUUGGUUGAAGACUUGGGUUGGGCGACACCAGCCCGCUUUCAAAGAGCAAGGCCUGGCCUGGCCCCUCCAACCUGCCCAGCAUGGGCCGGGCCGGGCCGGUCCGGUCCGGACCAGCUUUGUGCCAGCCGAGUAAUAGGCAAAAUUUUCACUUAUUUUAUUUUUUGAAAAGGAGGCAUCUAGCCCUUAAAUUAUCAUUUUUUGACUUUAUACGAACAAUAAAUUUAACUUUUUAAUAUUAUCAAUUUGUAGUAUCAUAUAGAAUUUAAAACUAAAGAUCAAUCAUUUUAACUUUUUAUUAUUAUAUAGAGUUUUAAUAUAAUUUUUUUAAUUUACUUUUUUUUUGGUCCAACAUCCAACUUUAAUAUAAAAUUAAUAUUAAUUUUUUAAUAACUUUCUAAUAUUAUUUGAAGAGAUAUUGAUAUUCUAUAAAAAGGAUGAUGAUAAAAAAAAUAUAUAAAUUUUGAAUUAAUCAUAUUACAAAAUUACAUUGGAAGAAAAAAAAAUCUAUGAAAAAAGUGAGACGGGCUAGACCGGGCCGCGUUGGGCCGACGGGCCCUGGGAGCGAGGGCGGGCCCAAAGAGCCUGGCUAGGCUGGCUGUACCCGUGCCAGGCCACAGCCCAGCCCAGAGUCAUGCCCUGCCCGUCAACCCACGGGCCUCCCGGCUCGUUUCACAUCGCGACAUCCUGCCAUACAGAACCUUCCAACACUUGCUGCUUGCCUGCUUGUUACAAUUUGGUUAAAUUCAUAAUUCAAUUUUGGAUAAAUUAAAAUAAAUAUUUAAAUUUAUUUAAGACAAAUCGAGUAAAAUUUAAUUUAAAUUAGAAUAAAAAUUCUAAUGAUAGUAAAUUUGGGGUACGAUUUCAUAGAUGCAUUAUGUAAUGCAUAAAAUGCUAAUUAGUUGUUCAGGGUGGUGCGGCUGAGAGGUGUGUGCCCUGAUGAUCCAUCCCGGGUGGAAUUAAGAGAAAAACUUGGCCGGUUUGCAUGCACCCAGUGCUGGGAUGUAAAUGAAAGAGAGAGAGGAUAGUCUCCUCCCCCGGGCCCCUUAGGUUCAACAGCUAUGUAGCAAAAUUACGAAUUUGAUCCUAUUUGGAGUCAUAUUUCAAACCAAACGGAAAAUGCUUCUUGCACACCCAAAGAAAGAAUGUAGAUCUUACAUUCUCCAUCCUAGAAUUAAUAAAAAUUCAAAUAAUUUUUAGUAAAAAUAAAAAUAUUGAUGUGACAAAUAGAGCGUUAAUAGUUUUGUAAUGGAAUUGGUGUAAAAUAUAUACCCUAUUUUGGAGUAUAUUUGUAGCAUUGCUUUAUUCCAAAUUUUGCCCGGUAAAAGUACCCUCUCCAACCAUAACUCUUACUGCCAAAAGGGAAUGUCCAAAAUCAUGACGACCUGAAGGUAUGACGGAUCAUCCAUCCAAAACUAGAUACAAAAGGAAGCAUCAAUUAAGGGCAACUAUAAAGGUUAAUACUCUUUGAAAAGAAAUGUUAGUGAUGUUUGUAUGGUUAGCCAUUACUAUAUAUUAUAUGCUCAUAGGUUUAGUGCAGUUGUUAGUGUUCUAGUAGUUUUUUCUUUCUAUGUAGGAUAGUUAGUGGGGUAUGGAUAGUUACUAGCAGUAUGAAUGUUUUAAGUUGUAUUUAUUUGAACCUCGUGAUAGAAAAAUAUUAUCUAUGUUCUCUUAUCCAACAAAUACUAUUGUAUCUUGUUAACAAUGGAGGAAGGUUCUCCCUCGAAGAAGACCAUCAACUUGCAAGAGUUGAUUAAAGCUUGAAUCUCUCAAUUUAUCUUGCAAUUCUUUCAAACAACAACCACGGGAAAGAACAAGAAGAAGUCAUCAGAUUUUUGGCUAGUUAAGCCAUCAUCGGACUUGCCUGAGUCAAUUCCAUCAGAAGCUACUCGAAGGGUUACAAGAUCCCAAUCCGUCCGUAACAUAUUGGUAUCAGAGCCAGGUUUGUCGGGGCAUGAUAAAGAUUCACGAAUCAACCAGUUAGAAGCCGAGGUAGGCCGACUAUCCGAAAAUUUGGACAAAAUCUUUGCAGCCAUUAAUGCAAGAUUUGAUAGUUUGGAGACUCGACAAAGAGAGAGAGUUGAGUCCUCAAACAAUCAGAUGGGAAAUAGAGGCUCUAGAUUCACGAGGUGUCUACAAGAUCUCUAAUCCCAAAGUCUGUUAAAAUAAAUUUUCCUCGAUUCAAGGGCACUGAGGAUCCAACUAGUUGGUUAUGUAGAGCAGAAAAUUUUUUCGAGAUACAUGGCAUGCUUGAAGAAGAGAAAGUGCAGAUUGCUUCUAUCAAUAUGGAAGGGGAUGCACAACUUUGGUACUAAUUAUUCAAAAAGGAGCAAGGUCUGGUCACUUGGGAGUCAUUCAAAGAAGGAUUGAAUAUUCGUUAUGGUCUGAUGCAAUAUCAAGAUUUCUUUGGAGAUCUGACCAAGCUUAAGCAAAUGGGAUCAGUAAGAGAUUAUCAAACCCAAUUUGAGAGAUUGCUUAUUCAGGCAGGCACGCUAACAGCAAUACAACGAGUUGGAUGUUUUGUAAGUGGGUUGAAAGAGAGCAUUCGUACAGAUGUGCAAGCUUGUAAGCCGUCUACCCUUUCAGCGGCUAUAGGUUUAGCACGGUUAUAUGAGUCUCGUGAACAGGCAUCUCGACGCUCUAUCCCUUCUACAACUGAUCUGAAGCGCACGCCAACUGAAAAGGAGCAAAACCAAAGUCGUUCAAUAUUACCGGUCAAAAAGCUAACACCCGCCGAGUUAAAAGAACGUAGAGAAAAGGGGCUUUGUUUUAAUUGUAAUGAGAAGUUUGGACCUGGCCAUCGAUGCCGUAAAUUAUUUUUGAUAGAAGGAAGUUGGACAGAUGAUGAAGAAGAUGAUGUCAUUGAUAAAGCAGAAUCACAAUUGCUUAAAGAAAAAACAGAGAUGCCGGAGAUUUCUCUUCAUGCAAUAUAUGGAGCACAAAUGCCACAAACUAUGCGAGUCCGAGAAAGAAUUGAUCAGCAACGCAUCACAAUUUUAAAAGACUCAGGUAGCACUCAUAAUUUUCUUGAUGAUUGCAUGGCUAAAAAUUUGGGCCUUUAUCCUCAUCAUAAAGGAAAAUUUGAAGUCACUGUUGCUAAUGGAGAAAAAUUAUGUAGCAGUGGUAGGUGUAGAGACGUUUGCAUAUUAUUGAAUGGCCUUUCUAUUGUUGUUGAUCUAUAUCUUGUUACCUUUAGAGGGUUGUGAUGUUGUAUUGGGUGCUCAAUGGCUUUAUACACUUGGCCUAUUAUAUGGGAUUUCUCAAAACUUCAAAUGAAAUUUAAUUUGGAUGGAAGAGAAGUGGCAUUACAAGGAGUUUCAUCACCUGAUGAUAAAGUUGUUGGAGAAGCCAAAAUAGCAAAAGAAGUGCAAAAGCAAAAGGAGGGGAUUUUGCUACAAAUAAAUUCUCUUUCAUUACAGGAUCCAUUCGAUAUUGCUCCAUUUCUAAAUCAACUCAUCAUUAAUCCAGAUUUAGAACAAUUAAUGCAAGAAUUCACUGAUGUAUUUAGUGAACCCCAUGGAUUACCACCACCUCGUGCGCAUGAUCAUCGAAUACCAUUGAUUUCCGGAAGUGGAACACUAUGUGUGUGGCCUUAUAGAUAUCCACAAUUAUUGAAGAAUGAAAUUGAGAGGCUUGUGACUGAUUUGCUUGUUAAUGGGGUUAUACGCCCUAGUAAUAGCCCCUAUUCCUCACCGGUAUUACUUGUCAAGAAGUCCGAUGGUUCAUGGCGUUUAUGCAUCGAUUACCGUGCACUAAACAAAAUUACAAUUAAGGAUAAGUUUCCAAUUCCGGUGAUAGAUGAGCUUCUUGAUGAGUUGUAUGGUGUGAAAUUCUUCACUAAAUUGGAUCUCCGUUCCGGCUACCAUCAGAUCCGAAUGAAUCCGGAUGACAUAUCCAAAACUGCAUUCCGCACACAUCAGGGGCAUUAUGAAUUCUUAGUUAUGCCCUUCGGCCUCACAAAUGCACCGUCAACCUUUCAAUCAUUGAUGAAUGAAAUAUUCAAAGAACAUCUCCGUAAGUUUAUUCUAGUCUUUUUUGAUGAUAUAUUAAUUUAUAGCAAGACUUGGUUGGAGCAUCUUGAACAUUUGAAAAUCACUCUACUUAUUUUACGUGCUCAUCAAUUAUAUGCAAAGAAAGAAAAGUGCAGUUUUGGGCAAAAAGAAGUCAAGUAUCUUGGUCAUAUAAUCUCUCACAAUGGUGUAGCAGUUGAUCCAGAAAAAAUUUCAGCAAUGAUAGAAUGGCCAAAACCAUUAACCAUCCAAGCACUUCGUGGAUUCUUAGGCCUAAUAGGAUAUUACCGGAAAUUUAUUCAAAACUAUGGCAAGAUAGCGGCUCCUCUCACUAAUAUGCUCAAGAAGGAUGCUUUCCAAUGGGAUUCACGAGCAGAGGCGGCUUUCGACAAAUUAAAACAUGCAAUGACGGAUGCUCCGGUACUCUCUUUACCAGAUUUUUCUAAGCCUUUUAUAGUUGAAUGUGAUGCUUCUGGUAUAGGUAUUGGAGCAGUUUUAAUGCAAGAAAAUAGGCCCAUUGCGUUCUUUAGUCAUGCUUUAAAGGAAAAAAAUUUGUUACUAUCAACUUAUGAAAAAGAAAUACUUGCACUUGUAUUAGCUGUGCAAAAAUGGAGGCCAUAUUUAUUGGGUCGAUUCUUCAUUGUACGUACAGACCAGAGGAGCUUAAAAUUUUUAUGGGAGCAAAAGAUAACAACUGCGAUGCAACAAAGGUGUUGGCAAAAUUAAUGGGUUAUGACUUUAUCAUUGAAUAUAAAAGAGGAGUGGAAAAUAAAGUUGCAGAUGCUUUAUCUCGUAGAGAUAAAGAAUCAAAUUUAUAUGCAAUCUCUAGGCCUAUUCCAAAUUGGCUUGAACCCAUCAGAGAAGACAUCCAAACUAUACCAGAGCUUCAAGCAUUAGUUGAGAAGUGCAAAAAAGAUGAAGCUUUGGGUCCAUGGGAGUACAUCGAUGGAAUUCUUUUCUUCAAAAAUCGGAUCUAUUUGCACCCUAAAUCUUCAUUAAAAAAUACCAUUCUUGCUGAAUUACAUGGGAGUACUCAUGAAGGGUAUCAUAAAACAUUGCAUCGAGUUCGAUCAAUGUUUUACUGGCAAGGAAUGCGGAAAAACAUCAAAGAGCAUAUUAAGACUUGUGAUACUUGUCAACGGAACAAAGGGGAAAAUACAUCUCCAGCUGGAUUAUUACAACCACUUCCUAUUCCCUCUAAGGUAUGGAGUGACAUUUCUAUGGAUUUCAUUGAUAGCCUUCCAAAUUCAAAGGGCAAAAGUGUUAUAUUUGUAGUUGUGGAUCGACUUUCUAAAUAUUCACAUUUUAUUCCAAUCUCUCACCCAUACAUAGCGACCAUUGUGGCUCAAGUCUUCUUUGAAAAUAUUUCAAAUUAUAUGGAAUGCCGGAAACUAUUGUAUGUGAUAGAGAUAAAGUAUUUACAAGUUUGUUUUGGAAGGAAUUAUUCCGUUUACAGGGAACUCAUUUUAAUUUUAGCUCUUCAUACCACCCUCAAACGGAUGGGCAAACUGAAGUAGUUAAUCGAACUUUGGAGAUGUAUCUACGUUGUUUCACGAGUAACAAGCCAAGAGAAUGGGUGAAAUGGAUCCCAUGGGCUGAAUAUUGUUACAAUACAAGCAAACACUCAUCAACAAAAAGAACACCAUAUGAGGUGUUAUAUGGCCGAGAACCACCUACUCUUUUGUCGUACGUAAGCGGCACAACAAAAAUUGCAGCAGUUGAUAUGUUAUUAAAGGAAAGAGAAUAUAUCAUGAAGGAUCUAGAACAUGCAGAAGCACAGAAUCGUAUGAAAAAAAUCUAUGAUGCACAUCACACUGAUCGAGAGUUCCAAGUGGGUGAUUUUGUUUAUCUAAGGCUUCAACCUUAUCGGCAAGUUUCGCUCUCUCUUCGCAAAAAUUUAAAGCUUUCACCGAAAUUUUAUGGGCCAUAUGAAGUGCUCAAACGUAUAGGGGCAGUUGCAUAUGAGCUUAAGCUACCACCUGAGUCGAAACUCCAUCCGGUAUUUCAUGUUUCAUGCCUGAAGAAGAAACUUGGUGAUCAUCAAUUGGCUCAAGAUACCCUUCCUAUUGUUCCAACAACAGAAGAUUCAAUUGUACCAUUACCUCAAGCUAUUCUAGAUCAACGAAUCCGUAAGGGUAAGAAGGAAGUCUUAAUCCAUUGGCAAGGGCUCUCACCAGUUGAUGCAACAUGGGAAAAUUUAGACGAGAUGAAAAUUCGAUUUUCUGAAUCAGUCCUUGAGGACAAGGACACUUUUUAGGGGGAAGAAAUGUUAGUGAUGUUUGUAUGGUUAGCCAUUACUAUAUAUUAUAUACUCAUAGGUUUAGUGCAGUUGUUAGUGUUCUAGUAGUUUUUUCUUUCUAUGUAGGAUAGUGGGGUAUGGGUAGUUACUAGCAGUAUGAAACUGUUUUUAAGUUGUAUUUAUUGGAACCUUAUGAUAGUAAAAUAUUAUCUAUGUUCUCUUAUCCAACAAAUACUAUUGUAUCUUGUUAACAAUGGAGGAAGGUUCUCCCUCGAAGAAGACCAUCAACUUGCAAGAGUUGAUUAAAGCUUGAGUCUCUCAAUUUGUCUUGCAAUUCUUUCAAACAACAACCACGGGAAAGAAUAAGAAGAAGUCGUCAAAUUUUUGGCUAGUUAAGCCAUCAUCGGACUUGCCGGAGUCAAUUCCAUCAGAAGCUACUCGAAGGGCUACAAGAUCCCAAUCCGUCCGUAACCAAAGUACAAGCGAAAACAAGAUAAUUCAGGAUAUAUGUAUUGUCAUAUAUUUUUUUUUUUUUUGAGAGAUAGGUAGCACGCUACCCGCUUCGUUUAUUUCAUUUGGAAAUAAACUCAGCUGGAAAUGUGAAUCAACUAUGAUUCGAACUUGAGUCUCGGGUACCAACCACCAAACCCUUUGCCACUUGCUCUAGGGACGAUCGGUAUGUAUUGUCAUAUAUUAAUAAGGAUAAUUCUAGGGCAUGUUUGGUUUAUUGUUUUCUCAUUCUGAAAUCGAAAUCGGAGUGGACGAAUCCGUUUGUCCGUAUUUGGUAUGCGGAAUUUUUAUUUCAAUCUCGAUUUUCGGGUGAACGAGAAUCCCCCAAUUACCUAUUUUUCUAAUCCGGCCUAGGAGGACGAAUUGGAAAUUGAAUCUGGGCGGAAUGGAUUUGUUCGGAUUAAAUUUAACUUCUUUAAGCUUAUUUUUUAAUUAAAACAUAAGUUUAAGUUUAAAAAUUAUAUUUAUAAAUUUUAAUUUUAAUUUGAAAUUAAAUUAAAAAUUAAAAUUCAAUCAAGAAUUUUAAAUCUAAUUUACAAAUUUGAUUUUAAAUUUAAAUUAAAUUUCAAAUCUAAAGUUUUAUUCAAAAUUUAUUUAAAAUUUAAAUUAAAUUUAUGGAUUCAAAUUGAAAUUUAAAUCAUAAUUUUAAGUUUGAAUUUGAAUAAAUUGAAAUUUAAUUUUAUAAUUUGAAUUAUCCAUUCAAUUUCAAAUUUUAAUUUUUUAAAAAAUAUAUAUAUUUAAAAUUUUUGACAUCAUUUUAAAAUUUUGACCUAUAUUUUUAAUAUUUAAUUUUUCAAUUUGAAUUUAAAUUAAUAUAUUAUAAAGAUAAAAUUUACAUAUUAAUUUGAUUACGUUUCUGAUAUCUAUCUAAACCAAUCGUCGACAAUGGGAAUGAUUCAUUCCGAUUCCGAUUGAGUUGACGAACCAAACAGAAUGAAGUAAUGAAUCAUUCUGAUUCCGUUUCCAGCUUAUUCUCAUUCCAAUUCUGAUACCGAUUCCGACUUCGAACCAAACACACUUCUAUAGUGUCUCUCCACCCAGCAAUUACACAACCCAAAACAACAGAAUAUUUUCAACAACCAAAAAGAUGAGCACCUAGUAUUGAUAGUACUAAUCCCAAGUGUGGCUCCCACCAGUACUCUCAACUAGAGGUGGCAAUCCAGCCGGCUAUUCACAAGCCAGCUCAUGUUCAGCUCGCAAUGAGCUCGAAAUCGAAUCGCUCGUUUAGUAAAUAAGCCGAACAUGAACUAAAUUUUUCAGCUCGUUUAAUAAACGAGCUAAACACGGGCUAAGAUCAGCUCACUCGUGUUCGACUCAAUAACAGCUCGAAUAUAUAUAUUUUAUAUUUAUAUAAUUUAUAUUUAUAUAUAUAAUACAGAUUUUUAUUAUUUUAUUUUUAGUCCAAUCUAAAUAUAAAAUCCAACUAAAUUAUAAAAAGGCUCAGUUAUAUGUAAAGUUUCAACCAUUAGAUCAAAGUCUAAUGGGGAAGAUCUCACAAAUUUAUUUUCUAUACAUACCCUUUCUAAUCUUUUUAACUUGUUGUUCGUGAGCUAGUUCGUGUUCGGCUCAUUAAUAAACGAGCCAAAUACGAGCUAAACUUUUCAACUCAAUACUUUAAUGAGCUAGCUCGUGUUCGGCUUAUCAUUCGAAAAUGAUUGUAUCUUGAAAAUGAUUGUACUCUCGAUCGGAAUGACCAUUCAAGAUAUCACAGAUCAAUUGAUGGCCAGUAAAACGUCUGGUACAACAUUGUCGUUUAUUAGAUGUAUUACUAUAUGUCAAAUAUCCUUGGUCAAUGAGCAAUACGAAUACGUGAUCCCAAUAGUCAUCAUCUUCAUCUAAUAUUGUCAUCAGAUUGCUUAUCACUGGUGAAGAAAACACAAUGGAAUAUAACGACUAACCCAUCACUGCUGUAAGGAUUUCAUAUUCAUCACCACAAUAUUAGAAUCAUUUAUACAAUUUCAUUGCAUGACAUGUAUUCACAAUACAUGUUGAAAAAAAUAUAUAAAUCACACAAUUAACAUGUAGUAAUAAAGUAAAUAAAACAUAAUAUAUGAACAUGAGCAUUCCUUACCAAUGCAAUCUACCUCAGUCAUCAUAGUAUGCGAAAGAUAAGCAUUACAUGGAAGUAAAGUCACGUACGAUUACAUACACAGUACUAAAUUAAAACAUAAUAUAGAUACAAAGAUUAAUGCUGAAAUAAGUAAACAUAAAUAGUAAGCACCGUCCACCAACAUUUCAGCCUUGUUCUACAAGCCAGGAAAAUAUUAUUUGUAUAAAAUAUUUUGAGCUGCAACUUGCCGGUCGACCCACAUGCAUGCUAGCUCAUCAUAAUAGUCAUAAAAACUUGACGAUUCUUGUUGUCUCUUAACGCAUCAUCCGCUACCAAAAUUCGCUCAUUUGUCAUCCGAGGGAGAUUAUACAUUCUUAUCAUGCAUGUUUCGAUUGUAGGGAUGCUUGCUCGAUUGCAGACCUCAGUAUGGUAAAUUUGUCGUACUAGAUCUAGUUUUUGUUUAUCAAGUUCUACCAUCUCUACUACCGCGUCACUCGUGGUAUUAUUUUUUUUGCGUCGUCCUCCAGAUGAUGAUGCUUGUUUCCGUGGAGGAUUGCAGGCUGUGGGGAACGAGGCUUUUUCCUACCAGAGGAGUGGCCAGAGCCACUAGCACUUGCUCGUGCAAUGGUGGGAAUAGCGGUAGGGCUAGGGGACCGUGAGAUAUCACUGCUUCUGAGAUUAACAUUGGAAGCCGAGCUAGAUGACCCUGCUUCGAAGGGUGUAGGUUCGAGAUUGAAUGCAAACACUCUCUCCAAUCAUACUUUCAUCCUCACCAGGAGACGAUAAGGAUGAGCUAUCUAUCGAAGGGGUUGCUAGCAUUCCUGACGAAAAAUCAUAUCUUCCUGUAGCCGUUGUCUUUGCAGUAAGGAACGCAAUGUCCUCAUAAGCUGGAAAGGGUUUAUCCCUACACUUUACAUACACUAGAUUCUCCUGAAUACAAGUUAUUAUAGUUAUGAAAAUAUAAGUAUGAUUCUUGUGUAAUAAUAAGUUGAAAUGAAAGUCGUUAAAUUGUACCGCUAUUAUUGCAUCCCAGUCACUUGGAUCACCAACCAUAGGAAUGUUCUGGACAUAAUCCCAUCCCCACCCGCUCUUAUCUGCAUGAUAGUUGUACAAUAUAAAAGUUCUCUUUAAAACUUUAAGCCGAUUCUUUAUUUGCUCCCUGGUCAAGUUUAUAUUGGUCCUACAGUUGAAAUCAGUUAUUAUCCUAGUCUACGCAACGUUUGUGAAUGACCCAUUGGUGUAGUUUCCUAAAGCGUGUUCUUCUAUCAACAGACUUAGCAUGCUUGCAUCCAUACUGUCGGUUCAAUUUGGAGUUCGCUUUCAUGAUUGGUUAUACAAUCUGCUACUACCAUCAAUCUGUAUAUUUUCCAUUGGUGUGGUUUCAAUCACCACACCUUUCUUAUGAGCAGACUUAGAUGGUUUCUUGACAUGAGGCAUCUGUGGUUCAAGCAAAUAGCAGUUCACCAAAACCAUUCAUGUGGAUUGACACAAUCAAGCAUGUGUACGCGGCAAGCUCACAACAUCAGACAUACAUUACAGCCAAGAAGCUAAUAAAGAUGGCGAGGGAACUGUACAUAAUGUAGCAGCUAAGCAUAUAUAUGUUUGAGUAUGUCCAAACACUUGCACGACUAUUUCCAAAACUGAAGUAUUAGCAACUUAUUACAAUGAAAUACAAGUGUGUCUGCCGCGAACGAACCGGCCCCGCCGUAGGGUGUUUCUAGGACGAGUGGUCAUGCAUGGUAGAAGUUAAGUUUGUUUAUGUUUUAUUUUGAAAUCAGGAUUAUAGGUUCAUGGCUUCCAACAGACUCAAGAAUCUGCUAUUAAUUACCACACACUUUCGGUGUUAAGGAACUCUCGAUUAAGAGACCAAAUAUAAAUGCUGAUAACAAAGGAGACAAAACAGGCAAAUAAAAUUUUAUUCAUAUAAUUUGCCGUAUACAUUGCUUAAGCAGGGGCAUACCCCCACUGUACAUGAAUUGAAUCCUAAGUAUAUGUAUUAGGAUUCAGUUGGAUUUGAGAUUGACUAGGUCCUAAGUAUAUGUGUUAAGACCUAGUCAAUAUUAGACUCUAUGUAUUAGAGUCUAAUUGGCUCUAAGUAUAUGUUUUAGAGUCCGAUUAUAUUCACCUUAGUUGUAUGUUCCAAGUUAGAGAUGUGACCAGACCUCAAGUAUAUGCAUUGAAGUGGGUCAAAUUACUCGAAAAUAGAGAGUGGCUAAUUCUUGAGUAUAUGUAUCAGGAUUAACCGAGUUUAAUAUAUUUUCACUCUAGUUAUAUGUGCUAGAAUGAAGAUCUGACUAUGCCCUAAGUAUAUGUAUUAGGGGUAGUCGGAUUUGAUUUGUAUGAGCUCCAAGUAUAUGUAUUAGAGCUCGAUCAGGUAUGAAUUUCACUCUAAGUAUAUGUGCUAGAGCAAAAGGCUGACUAGACCCUAAGUAUAUGGGUUAGGACUAGUCAAGCACGGUUUGACUUCCAUUCUAGGUAUAUGUGCUAGAGCAAAAUAUUGACUAGACCCUAAGGAUAUGUGUCAGGAUUAGUCGGAUGAACUCUAAGUAUAUGUAUUAGAGUUCGAAUGAACUUGACAUCAUUUGACUGAAUUCUAAGUAUAUGACUUAAAACUCUAUCCAUUUAGAGAUAUUUUCCCUUAGUUAUAUGUACUAAGGUGAUUGACUUAGCCCUAAGUAUAUAUAUUAGGAGUAGUCGAUAUUUAAUUUUCACUCUAACUAUAUGUGCUAGAGUAAAAAAGGUUCAUGAUGAACUUAGAUUUAGUUUAACGACGUUUCGGUCGUUUGGAUUUGGGUUUAGUUUGACAACGUUUCGGUCGUUGGGUUUGGGUUUAGUUUAACGACGUUUCGGUCGUUUGGGUUUGGGUUUAGUUUAACGACGUUUCGGUCAUUUGAAUUUGGGUUUAGUUUAGCGACGUUUCGGUCGUUUGAGUUUGGGUUAUUUAGUUUAACGACUUUGCGGUCGUUUGAAUUUGGGUUUAGUUUAGCGACAUUUCGGUCGUUUGAUUUUGGGUUGUUUAGUUUAACGACUUUGCGGUCGUUUGAAUUUGGAUUUAGUUUAACGACGUUUCAGUCGUUUGAGUUUGGGUUUAGCUUAAUGACGUUUUGAUUGUUUGAAUCGAGAUGUUCAUGAAACUGAUUCAUGAAAUUAAUUCAUGCUAGGAGCCCGUUUGUAAAGUCCAUUGAAUUGAUGAAAUUAAUUCAUGAUAGGGGCCAUUUGGAGAACCCAUUGAAUUAAUUUAUGAUAAGGAGCCAUUUGGAGGGCCCAUUAAUUCAUAAAAUUAAUCUAUGACAAGGAGGGCCCAUGAAAUUAAUUCAUAGAAUUAAUCCGUGAUAAAGGGCCUCUUUGGCAAACCCAUGAAAUUAAUUUGUCAAAUUAAUUCAUGAUAGGGGCCUUUGGAAAGCCCAGGAAAUUGAUUCAUAGAAUUAAUUCAUAAUAAAGGGCCCAUUUAGAUAGCCCAUGAAUUCGGUUUGGGUUGGAGAUAUUUGGAUGACAUAAAUUUAGUUGGAUUUUAUUUAUGGACUUUGGAUCUUGGAUCUUUGGGUUUUGGGUUUUGGGUUUUGGACUUUAUUUGUGGACUUUGGGUUUUGGGAUUUUAUUUGUGGACUUUGGGUUUAGGAUUUUAUUUGUGGACUUUGGAUUUUGGAAUUUUGUUUGUGAACUUUGGGUUUUGGGUUAAGAAAUGAAUUUUUAUUUAUUCUGGGCCCACAUCUACAUAUGGGUUGAGAUGUGCUGCGGGCUUUACAUGUUCUGGGCCCGAACCUGUAUGUGGGCUGGACUUUUAUUGAUUUUGAAUUUAAAUCUGCACAUGGACUGGAUUUCGGGCUUUACAUGUCUUGGGCUUUGAACCCGAAUCUGCAUGUGGACUGAAAUCAGUCUUGGACUUUACAUGGUCUGGGCCCAAAUCUGCAUGUGGGCUGAGACGAAUUUCGUGCUUUAAUGCUCUGGACCUUAGACCCGGAUAUGUACGUGGGCUGGAUUUCGGGCUCUACAGGUUAUGGGCCUGAAUUUGCAUGUGGGUUUGAUGCUUUAUUAUUAUUUUUUUUUUUACUGCUUAUCGAGUUUUUUCAUUGGGCCCAUGAUUAAGUAAUGAAUUGGAUCAUUUUCAAAUUAAAUAGCCCAAAUCCAUUCCCUCAACAACUCUGUAUUUUUUUUUUUUAUUUCUUUUCUUUUCUUUUCUUUCUUUUUUUUUUUGUUGACUAUAAGAGAGAGAGAGAGAGAGAUCCAACCAUAGUUAGUUCAUUCGGAUUCGGCAAAAAUUCGGUACAGGUAUAAUUCGGAUAAAAUUCGUCUUCGAAUUUUUAAAUUCGUUGAAAAAUACGGCUAAAAAACGGAUUUAUCAAUUAUUCGGAUACGUGAUUUAUACGGAUAUUAUACGUUUACUAAUUAAAAAUUCGGGAUAAAAAAUUCGGCUAUUAAAUUAAAUUUUUUUCUCUCAAGAUUUAUGCUAUUAGCAUAAAUAUUCAUAUCUUUUAAAAAUANUAGGUGCAAUGUAGAUAUCAGCAACAUGGUUAGACCGGUUAAAUUGGAUAACCCCUAAAUUGGACCAUUUUUUGUGUUUGUGUGUUUUGCUGUUUUCUUCUCUUUUUUUUUGGUCCAAAUAAACGAAGUUGAUCACGUCGAGCCAUACAAUCGGAUCGAACAAAGAUGGCGAAUCGAAACAGAACCUGUCCAUUUUUUUUAUUAUUAUUUAUUUUAUCACGUUUUGUUCAAGUGUGCGGGAUUUAAUCAUGUCGAACCUAUCACGAAGAUGGCCGCUUGAUUAAUUUUUUUGACCAUGUCGAGCCUAUCACGAAGAUGGCCGCACGAUUUUCGUAGCAAAAUAUCCGAUAUUCGAUUGAUAAUUUCGACCAUGUCGAGCCUAUCGCGAAGAUGGCCGCACGAUUUCGUAGCAAAAUAUCCGAUGUUCGAUUAAUAAUUUCGACCAUGUCGAGCCUAUCGCGAAGAUGGCCACACGGUUUAGAUAAUAAAAUAUCCGGUGCUUGUUCGACCAUGUCGAGCCUAUCACGAAGAUGGCCGCACGGUUUAGAGAUUAGCGAUGCAUACAUAAGACGGAAGCGACGAUUUGAUGUCAGAUUUGAUCGGUUCGAAACCUAUCACGAAGAUGGUCGGAUUGAUCAAACCAACAAAAACCGCACUUACGCUUUUCAUAUACAUGCACAUCUCUUGUUGUCGUAGAAGUCAUUGCAGUUGUCGUUGUCGCGGAAGUCCUUUUUUUUGUGGUACGGACGAAAAGUGGAGGGGUGCAAAUGGCACCCCUCCUCUGCCAGCAAGACCAAAAGGGGCUCCUCCCUUGGUACUUGCACACGAGAGAGAGAGAGAGAGAGAGAGCAGACCCAUAGUGCCCUCCUAGCUCGGGUAAGAGCCACAUUCAUGCGUCGUAUAUCAGCAACAAAUCCCACUCCAUGGUUUGAGGCACGAACGCACGACAUAAUGAUGACAUCACGUUCCUGGCCUUGGAAAGCAUCAACAGUGUUUAUGUAAAUAUCCUUCCCCUCCUCUGAAUUCAAAACAUCCUCAAACUCUCGCUGAAGACACUUUAGUUGCAGUUUGUAUGGUGUAAUAAUGCCAACAGACACUUUUUUCCCACCAUUGGCUUUUAAAAACUUCUGGAGGUGCUCGUACAACCGCAAAGUGAACUGUGCUUCAUGAAUAUUCUGGUAUGAGACUGAUCCCCCUCUGUGGGAUUCCCGACCAUGUACAACGUCAUAAAAUACAUAAGGCUUCAAUAAAGCAUCUCUAUAGUAGGCUUCCUCUGGCGAGUUGGCAACACUUUCGCUAUCCGUAAGGCGACCUUGAUAGAAAUAUCUNGUGUCUUCUCCCUUUUUUUUUUUUUAACUCCAACAAAGUGAAGCCAUAUGACAACUAUAACUGAUUACAUAUGAAAGAUGCACCUGAAAGAGAUUAUAAUGAAGCAGAACUCUUCAUCUUAUAGUGUGAUUUUGGAUCAUGCGGCUCAAAGUGGUUUUCAAGGAGCAUGGGGUUGUGUUGAUUUCUAGAUCCAUGCCAUCCAUCUAAUGCUUUUGAAAACCGUCAUCAUCGUCAAAAUCAUCUUUCGCAUCGUUCAUUGCCAUACAAAAUACUGUGUUCAAUUCCUCUCUAUAUCUUACUUUCCGGCAAUCAUAUACAUCAUAGUUAAAAUCCAAGGUUCACAAUAUUAGGGACGACAUAGAGUCAUCAUGAAUGAAGAUCAGAUAUGGUGCCAUAGAAUAUUGUCAUGCAAAUCAGUAUGUAAUAUAUCCUCCAAACAUAAAAGGUUAGAGAUGUAAUAUAUCCUCCAAACAUAAAAGGUUAGAGCAAACUCGGAUGUAAGAGUAAUGAAACCUGGGUAAAACCAACCCUUAUAGCGGAUUGGGAACACCUUAAACAGGGAGGCUGUCUGCGACCACGAAUAAUGCACCUUGCACGGUUAAUCUUAUUUAGAUUUCCCGUGGAGUAGUAUUCAUGAUUCAGAUUAAUAUUUAAGUAUAUAUGGUUAUCAAGUAUUGUAGACUUAUAGCUUCCAAUAAACGCAAGCGUCUAUUAUUAAUUACCCCUAUAAAAUGUUAGGACACCUUGGAUUAAGAGACUUCUGAAAUAUCAAAAUAGACUGAAAUUGAAUAAAAGAUGAAUUUUAUAAUACAACCCGUUGUAUAGUUACAUAGCUUAACCAGAGGCAUACCCCCAGCAUACAUGAAUAUACUAUAACAUAAAAGAGAAAAUGACGAUCGAUUGAAAUUUGGAUUACACCUUAGUUAUAUAUUUGACUGGGCUCUGAAUAUAUAUUUUAGAGCUCAAUAUAACCACCCUAAGGUGCAGAAUUAACUAAAUCCCAACUGUAUGUAUUAUGACUUAGUCGGAUUUGAAUCGACUAGGCUCUAAUUAUAUUUAUAUAUUAGAGUCCAAUCAGGUUUAAAUUCACCCUAAGAUGAAGUAUGGCUAAAUUCUAAAUGUAUGUAUUAGGCUUAGCUGAAUUUGAUUUAGAUCGACUCUAAUUUUACAUAUUAGAGUCUAAUUGAUUUAGUUGAACUCUAAGUACGUGUAUUAGAGUCCAAUCAUAUUUGAGUUCACCUAAGGUGGAGGAUUGCUAAAUCCUAAAUGUAUAUGUAUUAGGAUUUAGCCAGUUUUGAUUUAGAUUAAAUUCUAAUUAUACAUAUUAGAGUCUAAUUGAUUUAAUUAAACUCUAAGUACGUGUAUUAGAGUCCAAUCAAAUUAUUUUGCUUUAGUGGAAUUUAAUUUAUUAUUCUCUUAUCUUAGUCAAAUGUACUAAGAAAAAGGAUAGUUUGAUUAAUUCAUAUAUGUUAGACUUCAAUUGAGGUUUAAUGCAAUGGCGAUGUGACUCUAGUUUCAUUUGUUAGAGAAUUGGGUUGAAAUAAUUUGUUUCUAAGUACCUGAUGGAAGAAGAGGUUGCAUUAGGUUGUGCAACAUUUGAAUUGGGUUAAACUGGAAUUUUGAUUUGAUUUGGGUUUGAGGUUAGGUUUGGGCUUUGAAUUGGUUAUUAUGGUGUAGGUUUCAUAUAAGGCCUGUCAAAUUUGGAGUGGAUUGGAAUUACUUUUCCCAUUCAAUGGCUUUAAAACUUUAUUACAAUAUUAGAGAAAACAAGGUUACUAUAUACUUGUAUCAGAAAGCUCGAGCAUUCUCCAACACAUCCAAUUUCAAUUGUUUCACGCUAUCCAACAAUUAAAUGCCUCAUAUAAACAUAAAAAUAACACAUCAAUUGGAAGCAGUUUGUUCUAAUUUGAGUGCAAAUCAAGUAAAAGUCCAGUGAAUCAUCUACUGAAAAUAAUCACAAAUGGCAUCAUCUAGAAUAUUUAGUAAAUCAAACAAAAUUCACCAAUCGUGAAGCUGGCCUCUUUGUUCGUUUAGCAACAUGACAAAUUUGAAAGAACAUUUAAACAAAUUUCUAAUAUCCACAAAUUAAAUCUUCAAACUUGAUGCAUGCUCUGUAUCUGUGAAUACAACACAUGCAUACUUUGCAUUAACAAUCUUGGAAAUCACACGGCUGAAUAAAAUUAUCUGAUUGCUCUCCUUUGCUUUUAACUGUGAACUAUUUAAGUGGAGAUGUAAUUCAUGGUAUGAAUAUUACAACAAAGAUCAACAACAGAUCAAAAAAUAACACGAGACAAAAAAAAAAAAAAAAAAAAAAAAAAAAAAAAGGGUUACAGAGCAAACAUUUUCACCCUGCGGCAAAGUAAUUACUACACUACUCACAGGAGCAUAUAACUACAAUCCCACCUGUAACUCAUACCAAUUCCAUCAGAAGGGGGUCUCCAGAAGCCAUGACUCUAAUUAGCUUUAUGAAAUCCAACUCAUUCUGCACCUUUACGGGAUACACUGCGGGCGCUUGAGCUGUAUAAAUAGCUGAGAAAGACUCAUUAGCCAGCAAAUUUGUCCUAUAAACUGCCUUUGCCAAAGCAUCAGAGUCGAUAUUUUGAUCCGAAUCCAUUGCCAGAAAAAACAUUGGAACUGCAAUCUUGUGAUGAAUGUCGACAUCCCCAACUAGACCGACAAGGUCAGAGAAGUCACCAACGAAUCUUCGAGGAAUGUAGAAAAGUUCGCUGCUGCAAUAUAUGAGCUUAUCUUCGCCCAUGGUUUCUUUGUAACUGACCUGGAAGUGUACGGGGAAGUUGCCCACGACUUUCUUUACGAGGUCCCCUUGCUUUGCAAACCAAUCAGAUCUGUCACUGCCAUUUAGUGGAACAGUAAUCCAAGAUUGCGUGACCUGGAGAAAAAGGAUAAUUAGAUGAUGGCGUAUUGUACCAGGAAUAAAGAAAAUUUUUAAGUAGAAGAAAUAAAAUGUAAGUUACAAUACUAUGAUGCAUACCUUCUUGGUUAUCCACAGCUUAUUCUUGUCAGCUUGUAGAAGAUUCCAAUAGUUUAUGAUUAUAUCAUCUUGAAGGAACAAGAAUCCUUCUGCGCCAGUGAAUUGAUCAAACACCUUGGGCAGGAACCUUUAAUACAAACAUAGCAGGUUUUAGUUGUAGUGAAGCAGAUCUCAACACAGAACGUAAUUAUGUAUCAAUUACAACAGUUUAGCUGUAAAACAAUUUCUUUUAUUCUUGGUCCAUCAGAAGCUAGAUUAAAAAAAAUUAAAAAUAUUUAGAAUGAUUACUGAUAGAUCACAUUUAGAAAACAACAAAUACGUAUACAUCUUUUGCAAUAUCAUGCCAGAAACAUAUGAUCUUUGACAUCAAAAUUAUCAAAUGACACAUGACAAGCGAUCAACCGACUUAUCCUAAGACCAAAAACAAGAGGAACGUCAAGCAUUAUUGGCUGAAUCAAAAAACAAAGUAGGGGAAAACUUCUGAAUCCCAAAAUUGAAAAGUCAACCAGAACUUUUGUUCCACUGACAUUGCAGAGAAUGGUAACUAAAAAUUAACAAGAUUUGCAUACAUCCUAGCCAAUAUGAGCACCUAAUUUGACCCAUUGACUGUCAAUUUGAACGGAUAUUCAGCCCAAUAUGAAUGACCUUCUCAUGAUGUAUCAGUCAUCCAUAUUAUUAGAAGCAGCAGUGAAGUAGGCCUAAAGUAGCUGUAAUGUAGUCAACAAACUUUAUAUUGCGUUUAAAUGUUAUCCGUCGGACCAUCACAUUUCAUCUUCACCGAAACCACCCAAUUGAACAGCUCAUCGUUUUGCUUCGUAGUUGUCAUCCACCAGCUGAUCUAAAUGCAUAUUGGUCAGAAGCAAAAAGAGAACACUUAUUGGUUCAAGUUCCUUCACCAACUUCACCUGAAUGCUAUAUAGCCCGCUUAUAGGGACAUCUACAGGAAUUUUUAGCUUCGGGAACAUGAAUGCCAGCUAAUCUGAUAUUCUGCCUAUUAUAUUGUACUUUGAAGCUUGCAUGGCAAUCAAGGUUGUAAAUAGCGGAUAGCGGGUACAUAGCGUUUGGAGAGUCUCAUAGCGGAAAGCGGAUAGCGGGUGCUACAGCAGGCGCUAUGAAUCCAUAGCGGGUUUCAUAAAAGCAAAUUUAAUAUGUUUAUACUCCUUAUAAAAAUACAUAUAAUUUUGAAGAAAAGACAACUAAUUAUUCUCUUUUUUUUUCCGUAUUGCAAGCCUACAUAUAUUUAAUAUCAUUAUCUAUUAAGAAUUUAAGAUUAACUUUAUUUAGCAAACCAAAAAGACAAAAUUUGAAAAUUUAUAAUCCAUUAACAAUCUAAACAAUUUGUAGAUGGAUGUCAAAAAGGAUAUCUUAGGUAAAUAGUUAUCUUCCAAACCCUUAGAAACAGGGUUUGAUAUUUAUAUUUCAUUUAAGAAUCCAACCCGAUAAGCUAUUUUAACUCGUUUGCACUUUUUAAAAGUUUGGGCUCACAGCGCCUCGCUUUCCAACCGCUUUAUAGCGGCUGCUUUAGCGGGCCCUCUGCCGCUAAAGCGGCCGCUAUGAACCCGAUCUGCUAUAUACCGCUUUACAUAUUUUAGCAUAGCGGUAGCACAUAAAAUCCGCUAUAGCGGCCGCUAUCCGCUAUAGCGGCCGCUAUGGCAGGCAUAGCAGCCGCUAUUUAAAACACUGAUGGCAACAGCUUUUCCCCGAACUGUUUUGCAGAUCUAUACUCAAUAGUAUUCUAAAAAGGAUUUGGGGCAACCACAAAGUGGUUGGCCACUUGAUCAACCAUAAUACUUUGCCUUUGGAGCUAUCUAAGAAAUCAGUCAACUAGUCAAUCCAACUGAUAAAGAUGUUUCUGCUAAUAGUGUUUUUGGCAUGUUUCAAAGAAAAGAGCCUAGAAGUUAACUUAAGAUUCUACACUUCAUUUGUCCAUAUUGUAUGGCAAAACCUCAACCCAAGUCUUACGAAGAUAGUCAAGGCUAGACUUUCUAACCCUCGAAGAAGAUCAUCAAAAAACUAGAUGGAUUAGAACAGACGAGUAUAAGAACUUCCUCUCGAAUCCUGAAUGCCUAGAGUGCCCUCAUACUAAGAAGGAAAGGGCAUCCCAAAGCUCUAGAUAUUAGUUGAUCACCGAAGAUAACGACCUUCUAAUUGUUCAAAAGUUUAUUCUACCAGUGCAUGCAGUUAUCAUCAUAAGAAUAUGACAUGUCAAAGUGCAACUGAUUAUCCUUUCAGAUCAAACUUCUUGAUCCUAUAAUUGUUUAUUAGUUAUUCUAAGUCAAAUAUCAAAAGGUGUGGCGAAAAAUCCAAAAAAUCCAUGACCAAACCAGAAUAGUAAGAAGAAAUCUAAUAUUACAUAAGGACUAGAAGGAAAUUAAUUUAGCUGAACUUUUUCAUUUGGAUUCUCUCUUUUGAUGGUUUAAGUACGUCAAAUAGUGAACUAUGACGGCUUAUCUGUUUAUGCAAAAUUUAGUGAAAAUGGAGUUAUCAUAUCAAUUCCAGAAUGUUAAAGACCAGCUCAUAGACUUGACAAAGGAGUGAAGUAGAAGAAGCCAGGAGAAGACAUUGUGAAGCACUGGGUUGCGCUGAGGAAUUGGAAGAUAGCAUCUCAUCUGAUUCAUAGAAGAAAAAAAGGAAAGUGAACAAGAAGGGAUAGUAAAUCUUCAAUAUGUCAUGCUUUGCCCUCAAGAAUCCAAUUGAACUAAAGUAGGCAUAUUUUAACAACCCAAAGAAGUAACAUUAAAGUCAGACGACAUGUUUGCCACUUGCAAGUAGGAAUGCAAACAUUCAAACAAAUAGGCUACCUAAUAAUGUCACACUUUUCGGAAUGAAGGACAAUCCUUCAGAAGUCCUAAUAAAUGUAAAAACAUCGUGACAAAAUUUUUGAGAUGCAGAUGCGUCAAUCAAGCCAAUAUGCAUGAAGCUCUGAGAUCUGAUUUUAAGGGAAGAAAACAAAUGUGAAAGGAAAUACAUAGAAAAACCAUAAUGCCUAGAAAAGUAUGCAAGUAGCCUCAUGAAUCUGUAUAGUAUAACAUACAAUAUGCAAACAUCAAUGCUGAGUAUUGAUCUAAACUUAAAUUUUUGGUUGCAAUUAGUAGAAGGCAUGACAGAGGACCUGCUAAGGCAUUAAUUGCGGAUCAAAAUUUAUGUGAGCUGAAGCUGCAGCAUGGCAUUGAUAAUAUGUCUCACAAAAAUAUCAAAGAUUCACUUACGAUCACGAUCACACUUGAAAAUAUUUACAUGAAAAUCUAAACUGAUCUCUGAAAGGUUUGUUAGAAGAAACUGUCAGCUGAAAAUAAAUCUUAGAAAAACUAUAAGAGACUGCACAGUGAAUAAUGCUGUAGCAUACCACUGUAGCAGUACUCUUCAAAGUAUUGGAUCUAGGAUCCUCAUAUAGCUGAGACCUUACCCUUCCUGGCAGCUCACGCAUAAGGAAAGAUGAAUGCACCUUGCCUUACAUCCAAACAGAACACAUCAGCAGGUAUAGCUAUACGUGGGACUUCAGUCCUUAAGUAACCUAACUUUGGCAAUUCAUCGUUUGGUAAGUUCCUAAAUUACCCAAAAUAUGAAACCAGCCCCUGAUUGUUAUAAUUUGGUCAAACUCAACUGAGCUUGACUGAACACUCCGCAAAACUAGAAAACAAAUCCCAAGUGACUGAAGUAAUAUUGAAAUAUCCUGGUCUAUCAAUUAUGCUCAUCCAAUUAAAUCCAUAAGCUCUAUUGUCGCUGACGUCAGCCUUCUAUGUUUAGGUACAAUCCAAAAGAAAAUUUUGUAAUGCAAAAUAGAUAAGCCUUAUCCAACUAUAAGAUCCAAUCUGAAGGACACCUAACAAAACCAAAACCAUCAUAAAGCCCAAAAGAAAUCAUGCCAAAAGAAAGAAAAUUAAUCCAAGUCCAUAUAUACAAAAGACAAAUCAUGAAAUUAUAGUUCAAUGAAUUACUCAAAAUGUAUAUCUUUAAGCUAAACCAACAACAUCAAGAAAUUUAAGAAGACAUUCAAAGAACUAGUGAGUUCACAAAUAAGCAUUAAAGUCACUAUGAGGUGAAAAAACCAUAUGUGAUGUAUUUACAGUGGAACCAGUUUCCCUACUGGGUCCUCUCGACGUAUAUAAGUAUAUAACAAACCUCCUGCAAAUGAUAUACUAUAGCUCUCCACAGGUUUCACAGGUUCCUACUUACAUGUACUUUCUAGUCCCAGCCUUUCGCUCAUCGAUCCAAGUUCUACUAACGUACAGAUCACCCUUGUUAACAACCAUGUGAAUGCUGAAAACAUCCUCAACUUUAAUGGAUCUCUGAAUACAGACACGAGUUGCACAAAAUGGUCUUUCAAUAGAGAAGAAUCACUAAGGAGAAUUCACUAAGUGAUAGCAGUAAUUUCAGUAUCUCUAUGUGCAUCCAAUUUCAUGAUGAAUAAAUAGACAAUGCAGUAGAUAAUGUGGAACUUAAAAUUAAUCAGAAGCGUCAAAUCAUUGAAUCUGCAAAGUUUGGUGAUUACAAUUUUAAUCUAAUGAAAUAAACAUUGAUAUCAUGUAGUUGCAAGCAGCAAUUUGUGACUGUUAAAAAGUACCAUAUUGCAAACAGAGACGUCUAAUUAGAAAAGUAACUCACUUGUAUGCUUGUGCUAAGUGGCCAUAUUCCACAGCAAGAUCUGAAUUGCUCUGUUCUGCCAUAAUGACCACCGUCUUGAAGAUCCGGCCGUAGAGCAACCUCCACUCAAGCGCAGUCCGAUCCACAGGCCCACUGCAAUGCAUGAUCAGCACGACGUUUCCGAAGUGCUUCCUCCACCUAAUCAGAUUCCCAAUCUCAUAGUUCACCGUUCCAGUCUCCUCCACGCCAAGAUGGACCGAGGGCAACUUCUUGGGGACAAACUCCCUCCGAUCUCCGUGCCCGAUGGUCGCCCUCGGCCGAUCAAUCUCCAACGACAUCAGCCUCGGCUGCCGAUAUCCAACCGAGAGCAGGUCCUGCAGCCAAGCCGCCGUGAACUUCACAUCCUGCUCCCCCCAGAAGCCCUCCUCCGCCAUCGCAUAGCUUAGAUGAAGUAUCCGCUCAAACAGCGUCUGCUUGUUGGAUCUCCACGAGAUGAGGAACUUGAUAAGACGGCCGACAUUGACAUGGAGGUCCUUCUCCUCUGCGAAGGGGUAGGACUCCGUCUUAUCCAUUCGGUGGAUUGUUGGAGGAUAAACAGCAACGAAGCCGCCGAUCUCCCACAGGAUCCUCUGCGCCCAGUAGCCUCUGAUCACGUCGGACGCCAUGGAGCUGACGGAGACAGGGAGCAUGAGGCCCCAGAAGGCCUGCGUGUGGAAGAUCGUAUUGAACGAAUUCACGGGAACCAUGAGGCCCUGGGGCAGGGCAACCUUGGGCGCAUCCUCAUCGAACCGGAUGUCGAAGCCCUCCAGCCCAGAGGACUUUCGGGUGAAGUAGAAUACGGAGUCGAUAUCGGGCAGGCCGUUGGACAGGCCCUGCUGGAUGAACUGCCGGCCGCUGAACACCUCGGUGUAGAACUCCUCGUGGGCAACCUCGCCGACGUUCUCAAGCGGCAGGCCGCGGGGCCACACGGAGCGCUGGCCGAAGUGGAUGUACGGGUUGACGACGGUGCGGUUGGGAUUGGCGUGGCUGUACUGGAGCAGAACGGGGUGCCUGGCGGCGGUGGCCUCGCCGACGAGGUCGACGUCGAAGUGCUUACCGAGGUCGUCGCUCAGGACCUCGGCGCGGGCGUCGGCGUCGAAUAUGAUCUUGGCGCCGUGCUGGAUGGCGAAGAGGUAGCCGGCGGUCUUGCGAGCGAGGGGGGAGGAGUAGGGCAGGAAGUCGAGGGAUCGGAAGCCGAGCAGGGCCUGCCGGUCGAGGGAGAGGAAGAUGGCGCCCUUGAGGGACCAGCCGGCGGGGGUGCGGGAGUCGCCGACGGCGAGGAGCUGCCAGCCCUUGGUGCGGGCGAGGGCGCGGAGGGCGCCGGUCGGCCGGGACGACGAGGCGGCAACGACGAUCCAGCGCUCGGAGCGGAAGGAGGCGUAGCGAUCGGAACCGCCGAGGGGCCGGACGGGCGGGACGGCGGCCCAGUCGAUCCGGGGGUAGGGGGCGCGGCUGCCGGCGGUUCGCGAAGCGGAGAGGGUCUUGUCGAGGCAGAGCAGCGCAGCGGUGUCGCCGGCGCUGCGGAGGAAGAAGAGGGCGGCGACGGUGGCUGCGAGGACCAGGACAGCCAGGAUCUUGUAGAAGUUCUCCGAGGCCCAGGUGGAGAAAUCCAGGUUCUUCGCGAAGCGCUGGUGAUGCCGAGGAGAAGCUGGAGAUGCAGGCGACGAGGGCUUGGGAGCGGCCCGAUCUUGGACCAGCAUUUCUAGAUUUAUUCUAAAUCUAGGGCGAUCCAAAGAAAAUGGAGCACUCCGCGAUCAAGAGUGGCGGUGUUGUUGUUGUUGUUGUUGUUGUUGUUGUUGUUGUUUUCCUUUGUUAACAAGCUCGCUCUCACCUUCUGUCGGUGUGGGUAAUAAUUCUUGGUAUUAAGGAGGAAGGAGGAGGAGGAGGUGUGAGUGUAGCGGUUGGUGGGAAGGCCCCUCUUUCUUUCAGUUGAGGUUUCGCUUUCUUUCUUUAUCCCCCUCUCUCUUGGCGGUAUGCUAUGUGUUCAUUGUGGGUUACUCCAAGUCCAACUCCUCCGUUUGCAGCAACAGCUCCUCCCUCUCCAGCGGCCAGAUGAGGAAACAGAGAGCAUGAAGAAUUAGAUUCGAUAUUUUCUGAUUUAUAUAAAAAAAAAAAAAAAUUCUCUUAUUUGUGUUCCUAAUUUACAGAGCAUGUGCGCUCUAUUUGCGGGUGUUGAGAAGAAGGGCAGAGCACUGCUGCAGCUCAGCAAGUCAACUGCAAGCCGCUUCGAGAAGUGUCGGUGUGGCGAUCUCAAUCGUGUGGGUGCGGAAGUAUCGGUUAUCGGGUCGGAUUCACAUCUAGAAUCGAUGGGCUGGGAAGAAAUAUAUCUUUUUUUGGGAUUGCCAAGAGUGUGCACUGUGUAUGGUAGAAAAACGCGCAGUAAAAAAAAUUUUAGACUACAGUAAAAACUUUUUUUGUCCUUUCACGUGUCUCAAUUACCAAUAUUAAAGUAUAUAUAUUAUGUCGUAGCCGAUAUAACUGGAGUGGUGAUACAAUAGCUUCAUCAGAUCUUAAAAUAGCUUCUCCUCUCUUGUGUCGCUGCAACACCUAACAUCCUAACCCAUGAUUCACCAUCCAAUAAGGUACACCAUAUGAUGAGUGCGGUAACAUUGCAUCUUCUUUGCACCACGAUGAUAAAGAAAUUGCGGGCUAAUCCCACUUUAUUUUGCUAACUAUAAUGUACUGAAAUUCAGUAUAAUAUACCAAACUUUAACCAAAUUAGAAAUGUGAAGAUUAAAAUCAUAUUAAACAUGAUUAAAAUAGGUUUGGAGAAAUUUGGGCCGUGUUUGAAACGAGUUAGAAUCAAUUCAUCAAAACGGAGCUUUGAAAGAAGUAAAAAUUUGACGCCCGAAAAAGUAUUUCGCAUAGCCAAAAUCUUUCGAAUCAUCCGACCAAGUGCCCGAUUCUAGCAAAUGCUCUACCGCAAGCAAGGGUUUUGUCACGCCCCGGGACUAGACGGAGGCCCGCCCGGUGCGUGUCCAGACCCGCCAUAUGUCUGCACAUAUAAGGCGUCUACAAUAAGGCGAUAUAAAUAAUAAUAAUAAGCAAAUAUCUAGAGAUAUCAGAGUAAGUAGCAGCUAAAUUCUAACAACAAGUAGAAUGAAAGAACACUAAACCAGUAUGAUAAAACAUAGAGUGAUACAUCGUAAUGUCUCUGUUGAGCGAAUUAGGUGCGGACAGGUGGUACGCCGGUAUUCCCUUCAAAGGCAUCAAUCUGGCCGUGCACCAGGAGCACCGGAAAAGUUUUAAAGUAAACCGUCGCGCCAAUUGAAGGAAGUUACAAUAACUGCAUGCGGUUCCGAUUGGCUGGAGGUGGUCCUGGAUAUUAGGAGAUAGUUGGCGAUCGUGUAAGAGCAAUAAUUGAUCACGGGGCGAUCUAUAAAUAGAUCAACAACGCCCUAAAAAAGGGUCUUUUCUCCUGUGAACAAAAGGCCACCCUUAAUUCCUCGCAAUUUUUUGCAUUUUCUAGGAGUAGUCUACUUGUAACUUUUCUCUUCCAGUAUUUACUGUUCUUUCUAGGAGUAGUCCGCAAAGUAGAUCAACCGAGUUGCAUGCCAUCCGGCACACUCGACCCAUGUACUUCCUUCCACUCAAUAUAAAGGCAUUUCGGCUCUUGAAGCCGAUCCAUUCCUUUGUUCUCUAAUCAUUCGGCUCCUCGGCCGACUUCGGUUCUUGUUCGGUCCGUACACUCGGCUCAUCCCGCUGAACCAAAUUUACUGUAGAAGUUUCGAACCCGGCUGAUUUGAUCCCUCAUCAGCCUAAUCGUUUGAUCAUUCGAAUGGCGCAAACUUCGAGGGUCAAUACCAUAAGCCGUUUCAAUCCCGACACGCUUUCGAGAAAGGUCUUUGAUCGGGACAAGGACCGGGGAUUGUGGCUACCAACAAUUUUUGGCACGCCCAGUGGGACACAUUUGAGGUAACUUUUAUUUUUAUUAAUAUAAUGACUGACGAUAAUGCCAUGAACUUACGUAAUAAGGCCGUUCCUAGAAAUUCUGGGAGUGAACAGCCCAUCAAUUCAGAAAAUAUUGCCGAACGCCAAGCGGUUUUGCCUGCUGAAGGUGAAACUAGCGGCCAAUCCGGCCAGCAAGAGCCUAGUUUGGCUCAGGCGCUUGGGCAAAUGACUCGAGUCCUGCAAGUUCUAGAUCAAAAUAGUCAUGCUAGUACUGCAGAGCUAGACGCAGUAUUGGUCGCAAUCACGGCCUCUAAUGAGAAUAUUGCUCGAAUAGAGAAAUUAUUAACUCAUAAUGAACAACCGAUAGCAGGUUUACAAGCGCAUGUGAUUACACCAGUGUUACAAAAUCCCGUAACACCGGUAAAUGGACAGCCCCAAUACAAGGGGGCACCUUACCAAGCAGCUUAUAGACCGGCUGUCGUUAAUGCUGAUCAACAGCCAGAGAUAGCAUGGGGGUUAUCGCCUCCUCCACCAGUAGCAGUAUAUCAGCCCCAAAAUGUAGGGGCUAGGGGGCAGGCUCCAAAUGUACAAGGGGUUAACGCUGUGGUACAAAAUUUCGGUCUGCCGCAAGGACCGAAUCAAGCACAAGCGCAAGUCCCCUUACAGGGGAUUAAUAAUGAAAUAUAUGCACAGAUCGAGGAAGCCAUCCGAAAUACCUUCGGAGAAGGCGCAAGGCCGGCAAUGCGGCUUGUAUUCAGAUCACCUUACCCUGCGAAUAUAGACGCAAAACACCUAUACCCGACAAAUUGGAAAAUGCCAAAGUUCGACAAGUUUUCUGGGGAUGAGACCGAAAAUACGGUCGAGCACGUAGCGCGGUUUACAGCACAAUGCCGAGAAGCCGCAGCAGACCUAUUUUUGAAGUUAAGAUUAUUCAAUACCUCGCUGACCAAAACGGCUUUCACUUGGUAUACAAGUUUGCCGGCUAAUUCUAUCCGAGAUUGGGACGAAUUAGAAGAAAAAUUUCAUGAACAAUUUUAUAGAAUGGAACUGAAAUUAUCGGUUGCCGAUUUGGCUCAGUUCAAACAGAGAACGGGCGAAUCGGUUGAAGAAUAUUUGAAUAGGUUCAAAACGGCUAGGAGCUGCUGCUUUGUGAGAAUGCCAGAGUCAGAAUUUGCUAAAAUGGCAUUUAAUGGCCUGCAUUUCAAAAUUAAAGAUCAUUUCGAAGACAAAUACUUUCCAAAUCUUUUCGAUUUGGGAGUUCGGGUUGAUCAAUGAGAGUAAUUCCGAAAGGUAAUAAUGAAGAUCGGCCCAGAUGGAGUUGAAAUAAAGAGUGGAACAAAGAGAAUGAGAAAAUUAUCUCAUUCCUUGAAGAGUCUUGGGCCCAUGAAGAGCCGAAUUUAUCUGAAGAGACUGAAGAUUCAGCUGAUGAAGCCGAAAUAUAUGCAGCCGAGAUUGUAAAAAGUCGACAGCCAUACAAAUGUGCUUUGUUGAAGCCCGCUAAAUCAAGCGAGGCAAAAGCACAUGUUUCGGCUUACACAUAUUCUUUCGAUGUAUUGAAAACCGAUCUAAUUUUUGAUCGACUGUUGAAAGAUGGUCGAAUUCAACUACAAGAGGGUCAAACAAUACCCCUUGUAGAAGAAUUAAAGCGUAGACGAUAUUACAAAUGGCACCACUCAUGGAGCCAUAAGACGAAUGAAUGUACUGCCUUUAAGAGGCAGAUUCAAAAAGAGAUAAAUGAGGGUCGGCUCAUAUUUACCGACCAAGAAAAUAAAAGUAUGAAAAUUGAUACGAAUCCUUUUCCAUCCCAGGUCAACAUGGUGAAUAUGAAAGGAAAAGAAAAGACGACUGCAAAAAGGCAGAUCCAAGAAGAAAUAGACGAGGGUCGACUCAUUUUAGCCAAUCAAGAAAAUGAGGAUUGACAAAAAUUUGUUUCCUUUACAGGUUAACAUGGUGAAUGCUAAAGGAAAGGAGAUUGCGGACAAGACGACCUUAGAAAAUAUUGCACACGCCAAAAGAAAUCUUUGGCUUUGCAUAAGAUGUAAAGUCGAAAUGACAAAGAAAGAUUGGGAAGCCAUCGUCAACGACAAGAAAAAAGGCAACGAAUGGAAUGAAUUGAUAGUAUUCCCCGAGGAAUAGGAUGACAUUCCUGAAGGAGAUGAUCAAGAAGAAGAUGGCUCAGAUGAAGCCUCCAACGAGACGGAACCGCAAGUCGAUUCGGUUCAACACAAAAAAGACUUAUUGAUGCAGAAAGUUCUGCAUGACUACUAUCACAACCGACAAGGUGAACGUCAUAGCCGAUAGAAUUAUCCAGAAAAACCAUUCGGCUCAAAGCAAAGGUUUCCUGGGUAUCAGCCGCACUGGCAGCAUCAAGCCAGGCCGAGACCAGAACCGGAGUUCGAAGGAAUGACUAACGGAGACAUAGAAUUCCUUGGUCAAAGAUUGGUUAAUGAGCUCGGCAUUCAGCCCUGGCCGAGACCUUAGGAGAUGAGAGAAAUCUUAAAAAAUCAUUUAAGAAUGGUGAAGGUACCGGCAAAUGUGCCGGUAGACAAAUGGCACAAAGUCGAAGUAAAACCAUCGGCCAGAUGGCAAGGGCCGAUGUUAAUAAAAACUCAAAAACGUCGGCAGCAAAGGAUGUAAGCCGAGGCGAUGCAACAGUACGACGAAGCGAAAGGGAUAAGACUGAAUGUGUGCGAACCACCACACCCUUUUCGCCCGAUGCGAAACGACCAUGAAGCAGGUGGCUCAUCGCCUGUCCCUUGGUUAAAAUCAAAGAUCGAACGGCCGGUCUCGGCCGAACUGGAGGAGAAGAUGACCAGGAGGGAGUUAGAGGACAAGAUAGCCUCCCUCGAGACAAUCAUUAAACGAGAGAGAUGGCCUUCUAAGAAGAGGGAGGUACGGUUGGAAAGCGAUUCCUCGGCCGAGACGGCUAAGGAGUCCGAAGAAAAGAAACAAAGGAUUCAAGAAAAAUCGUCUGAUGAAGGACCAGCCAAUGUCAACAUGGUUUAUACGCUGCCACAGUCCUUUAAAGCAGAGUAUACUGAGUAUGAGGAGAUGGGGGAAGAAGUUGGGCUCAAUGUGGCCCAAUUACAACUAGAGGAUGCCAAACCGGCCGAUGCAGUGGUUUUCGAGUAACCAUCAGCCAUAUAGACGAGGUUCAUGAGGCCUUUGUUAUUCAAGCCGCCCGAAGCAGAGCGAGAUCAAAAAUACGAUCAGUAAACUGAUCCCAAAUUGUGGCAUAGCCUUCGAGAGCUACACCUGUGUAAUUUGGCCUGAAGCUUACUAACUUGAAGAACCGUCGAAGACGAUUCCCCAUAGUUGAGAUAUUGUCAGCUUCGGCUAUACCUUUGGUAGGAGGUCGAUAAUCGGCCGUAUUGGCCGUAAAGAAUUUAGACGGAGCUGGAAUCGACUGAACAAAUCCAAAUUGGCGGGCCACAUAUUGAGGGGAAUAAACGUCAGUAUUGGGUAAUAACUUUGAACGCAAUUUGAGCCCCAUAUGAAGAUCCCUGGAAGCCAAAUAAGAAUACCAUACUUCUGAGUACUCACUCGUGUGAGAAGAAGCUAGUUUGCCUUGAAUAGCCUCAAACCGAGCAAGGAACCACGAGAGGCCAGUAAGACGAUCAACAAAAGGAGCCCAGGAAAUAGCUGAGUCAGGAUUCGGCUCAUAAAAAGUUUUGAAAUAAGUAAGAAAAUCAGAAGGUUGACCCGAAGUCAUCGGCUGUGGACAGCCGAGAGCUAGCCCAUAAGAAUCAAAUUGGGCAGCUGAAAUCAAAUUAAAAGGAGAUUGACAAAGAGCAGGAAUAUAAAACUGCAGAAACAUUUGCAAAAAUCAGAAAACGUCGCAACCAGAGCUGAUGGCAAUACCAUCUCCAGAAGGCAGCAGUUUGAUGAAAUCAAAAAUUUCUCUAUAAACAAAGGCAAGAAAAUAAGGCCCUAGAGCUAAUCUAUCGCCGUUAGACAGUCCAACGGCGAUUGGAACAAAAUCACAAUUGAUCUUCUGCGAACGAGUGCAGAAAAGAUUAUGACACAAUCAAUAUAGGAGGAACGCUGUAUGUUCUUUCCUAGUGACAGGAGCAGGGGAUUCACCUGCAAACUUGUAGAUAAACUUGGAAUAGGCCAAGUCAUUGGGUCUAGAUAAGCCUCAAAAUUAGAUACGCCGUCAGGAUUAUAAAAAGUGGAGACAGCAACUCCAUGAGGGCGUAAGCCGAUAAUGACAGCAACAUCAAAAAGUGUGGGAGUGAGAGGCCCUCUUCUGAAAAGAAAAAUAUUAGAAGCAGGGGACCAAAAACAGAGAGCGGCGGCUAGAAGAAGGUUAUCGGCUAUAAGAGGGUGCCUAGACAAUUCAAUCGCUUCAUAAAUACCUACUUCCCACCAAAAAUCACCAAAGGCGGCUUCUACCCUAUCUAACCAGGCCAAAUAUGGCUCUGAGAUGCUUGGCCAGGUUCGAAGACUCUUUCCUGUCGAAGCUGAUGAGUACCAAUACUGAAGAUAAGUGGCUUUUCUCAGGGGAAGUCCAUCACUAGUAAAAUGGAAGUCAGCAGGGAAUGGCUCGUCUGUAAGAGAAGGACCUAAAAUAAACCGAGAUGGGUCUAAAUCAACGAAAGAUUUUAGUAUAGUAUAAUCUAGAGACGAGUGAGAAGGAAGAGGGGCAACCAAAGCCAUUAGUUAGAAAAGAAGAAGAGAAUGAGCAGAAGCUAUGAACGAAGGAUGGAGAACAGAGAAGUCAAAGAAGAAAUAAAGAGAAGCGAAAGAGAAGUUUCGUCGGAGAAGACGAGAAAGAAACAAAAAAGGAACAGAAAAGACAAAAGGAAUGAGAAGCUUGGUGAAGAAGAAAAGGCUGUCGCGUCGAACUGUCGCAUCGAAGCGAGUUCCGAGAGCGACUAUAAUGAUGAAUAGACGGCGGUAAUUAAGAUGACCUAAUUAAUGCCGCAUAUAAGACAAAACUAGAGGGCGAGAUCGGGGCCGCAAAAAAGAAAAUGGACAGCCAAGAUUAAACCGUGCAUAAGAUCACGCCUCGGAUUACGUCAGUGACUCGUACAGAGAAUUUGAAUUUAAUUGGAUCGAGAACCACGCCUCGGAUCGCUUUUGUUAUUGAAGCGAUGGCAGGAUUUCGGCAGGCGAAAAAGUGGACGGUUAAGACGAAACCGUACCAAGAGUUUGAAAAGUAAUCGCGCCUCGGAUCAUGCCAGCUACCGAAGCAUUACUUCAAAAGCUGCCGAGGGGGCAAUUGUUGAGCCAAUUAGGCGCGGACAGGUGGUACACUGGUAUUCCCUUCAAAGGCAUCAAUCUUGCCGUGCACCAGGAGCACCGGAAAAGUUUUAAAGUAAACCGUCGCACCAAUUAAAGGAAGUUACAGUAAUCGCAAGCAGUUGCAUGCGGUUCUGAUCGGCUGGAGGUGGCCCGGGAUAUUAGAAGAUAGUGGUGGAUCGUGUAAAAGCAAAAACUGAUCAAGGGGCGAUCUAUAAAUAGGUCAAUAACGCCCUAAAAAAGGGUCUUUUUCCCUGUGAACAAAAGACCACCCUUAAUUCCUCGCAAUUUUCUGCAUUUUCUAGGAAUAGUCUACUUGUAACUUUUCUCUUCCAGUAUUUACUGUUCUUUCUAGGAGUAGUCCGUAAAGUAGAACAACCGAGUCUGCAUGCUAUCUGACACACUCGACCCCUGUACUUCCUUCCACUCAAUAUAAAGGCAUUUCGGCUCUUCAAGCCGAUCCAUUCCUUUGUUCUCUAAUCAUUCGGCUCCUAAGAAAAAUUCUUAGAUAUUCAUAGAUAUUCUAAUUGGCACGCUAGACCAUGAAACAAACUCAAAAAGGGAAUUGAAGACGUAGGGGGGAGUUCACUAAUUUCGAUUAGGUCGAGCCCGUCAGAUAGUUGCUAAAAGUCGUCUGUUUCUCAGAUUAAAGUUUUCUUAUUUUCCUUUGGCCCUAAGAAAAAUUCUUAAUAGGUCAUAACCACUUAAAAACCUCUCCACGAAAUUCACCAAAAAUCACAUAAAAAAUAAAUAAAAAAUAUCUCAAAGCAAUAAAUCCUUGCUAAUCCUCCAAAUCAAGUCAAUGGGGCUUCAAUUUCAACAUACAUAUUCUAAAUGCAUCAAUUUUAUCCCAAAAGCCCUCAUUUGAAAAUUCCCAAAAUAAACCCUACUUUCAUCAAAACUAGAAAUAGGCUGUAACAAAAUACCCAUAAGUCCUCUAAAUUUCAAAAAUUAUAAGCUGUGCGGAAACAUAUUCUGCAACAUUAAGUACCAUUACUCGAAGCUGGGUAUUUGUACACGACCACUGUGUUCUGAUACUAAGUGUCAGUUCUGCAAAACUCAAACCCUGUACAUAGUUGGUUUCUACUGCAUAUGGGUACUCCAAACAUUAAUAUCGGUACUCCCAAACAUCAAUACAGCUACUCUUAGUUUCACAAAAUUCUAGAGUUUACCAACCAGCUUUCUACUAUGUACUAGUACACCACUCCCACUAUCGAUACGCUAUACCGAAACUACAACCUUACAGAUUUUGGUCUUCGAAGUACUUUUCGCGUCGUUUUUGCACCAAAAAUGCUCGUAUGCUCUCCAAACUCGGUAAAAAAACCUGAAUAGUAUUAAAUCCUAUUUAUCUCACUAGAACUUUACAAUUUGCCCAAGUCUAGUAUGCUACACACUCUUUCUCUCUCUACUUUCUUUUUCUAAAGAGAAAAGAAAAUCCUAGACUCCUUUUUUGGAUCUCGGAGCUCCAUCUCCUAGCAAGGUUGGAGAAGGAUAAGAGCACUUGGAGGGAGCCCUAGAAAGGAGGAGACAAGCUUCCCACACUUCAUUUCCCUUGUUGAGAAUAGUAACGGUAAGUUGGUUUCAGAGUUUAAAUUAAAUGUUUUUGUCUUGCCUUGAACGGUGCUAGGAGUUUUUCUAAAUAAGGGUUUUAAAGAUUCUAGCUUGGUUAGAAUUUUCUUUUUAGGACUUUUUUUGGGAGCCACAAGAGCCCAAGGGAUAUUUUCCAGAGAGUUUACAAAUCGAAGUGUGGAACAUCACUAAAAUAGGCUUAAUAUCCCCUUCAUCUAAAGUAUUCCUAUUUCUAUGCAUAUAGCUUAAACUUUCAUGUUAUCUUAGUAGCAUUCUUCAUGAGCAAGUAGAACACUGAAUUACAUGGACAUUCGGACUUAGUUGACAUAGUGUGGCACUUAACAUAAAGGGGAAAUCCAUGGUGUUGAACAUAAUGAGAUAUAGACAAAUUAUAAGAAUUUGAUAGUAAAUGAUAUAUAUAUAAACAUGUGAAUGAAUUCAUAGGUUAACUCUAAUAUUAGUAGUGACCUUCGUCUUGAAAGUUUUGAGGAGAUCUAAAAGUUCAAAAGGAAGCUCUAGAAGGGUGAAGGCAAUCCUCUCAACACAUUUUCCCCAUACUAGGAGGUGGAGAGGUAAGUUGGUAUUUUUAGAAUCUUAUUUUUGAGAAUUUUUCCCAAAUAAUGGAUUUGUGAGGUUUUAACUUUGUUAGAACUAUUUUUAGGAUUUUCUUGAUAUUCUUAAGAGGUCAAGAAAUAUCCCUUCUUGAAAAAUAAAGAGAAUGUAAAGAAUAUCACUGAAAUGGGUCCUUUUUCCUCCUCCUCCUUCUCCUCCUCCUCCUCCCCUCAGCGUGUGGUUGUAUGAGGCCACCAAGGCAACCUAUCCCAUUCGCCUUCCUCUCGGCAAUUGCCUACAAAUAAGUCUGCAUCCAUGCAGAGAGGCUGCAACUUGCUUGCCCCCGUUUUAAAAGGUCUAUUUCGACUAAUAAGAAGUCAUGAAAAAAAAAUUGUAUUACCAUAUUUCUUUAAUAGAUGGGAACCAAUUAACGCCUUUGUUUUCCAUGUGCUGCUAGGUCUUCCUCUAAGGUUCCCACCACUUUACCUGUGCCCGCCCUUUUGUUUUCUCAUUGUUUUCGGUUGGUGGUGCCUGAACUGGUAGCCUUUUCGGCUGGUGACACCUAAGCUUGUUGCUUACGGUUCAAAGGUUGGCUUAAAAAAAAACUCCGCCCUGUGCCUGCUCUCCUAUACCCUCAUUACUUUUGGUGAGUUGGGCGGCACUAUGCUCGCUCUAAAUUAUGAUGUUUUUUUUUUUUUUCCCCCCUAUUUACUUUGGCGGUUUGCCUGGGCUUCUUGAGACUACCGAAUUUGAUAUUUGAAAAGGCACCUCCUCAAAUUCUUAUACUUAGCAAGUUAAAAAAAAAAAACAGGGACACUAAGCCUUUAUACUUAACACAAUAAAAAAGGAAAACAUGCGGGGGUCCUCUUUGGGCCUACAAGCUCUAAUGUUUUUAAACGUGCCUUCUCAAAACCUUAUGCUUAACAAAUAUAAAUUAUGGCAAAAAGACAAGCAUCCAUGCAUCACACUAGGAAUGUCCCUUCUAUUACUUUCGCUAAUGCUCAAUAAAAUGUCCCCACUAUUACUUUCACUUAACAUACUCUGCAGCUGGCUGAGAGCAUGUUUGACAUUUGUGAAUACUUGUGCUUAACAAAUCUUUAUUUUGAAGAAAAAAAGUAGGGAUUCCUUUCAUUAUGUAGCUAUAUGUAUUUUCCUUUGUAUUGAUUGUUUUUUCCUCCAAUUUGCAUCUUGGUGACAAUUACUGAGAUGUCGGUUAUUCAGCUUUCAUAUACUAGACUAGAUUAUUUGAUGAAAUUGCUGGGAAGCUGGGCAUUGAAACGCCCGAGUGCAUUGUAACUAUUGCUACAGAAGGUUGGUUUCUAGCAUAUAUAGACCUUCCAAUUGCGCGUAGUGGGACCGUUAUUGAAAUUGUGCGCAAUUGGGGUCUCCAUCUUUUGAUUACAUAGCGGCAAAGAAAGAUGCAGCCUGUGUAGCUAUUCAAAGGAUGAAAGAUGAGCUCGGUUUGCAAAAAUAGGAUGCAAACUAUGAUGAUUUUAUAUUGUACAAGAGUUUGUAUUCAUAAUAGUGAUUUGCUUGGGCAGUUCACGAAUCUUAGGCGGGAGCACAAUCUUUUGAAAGAUUGUUAUGCUACUGCUGUUUCCGAAAAAGCUGACGCUAUAGCUGAGCAGGUGAAAAUGCAUCGUGAAAUCAACGAUUGUCAUGCGACCAUUAACUGUCUACGUGCUGGCCGAGCUGCUACGGCGGGUGGCCCCUCCGAAGCAGGAUCUACUUUUUAGCUCUAUACUCCGUACCCUUUAGUAUUAGAAUGUUCAACCGCCUUCUUUUGUCCUAUAGAGCCGGUACUCAUGCCUCAACAUAUUUGGUGCUUUUGUCGAUAUGUAAAAUUCGGCAUGUAUGAUUUAGCUUUAAAAAAACUCACGGCUCGCCCAAAAUAGAAAAAAGUAAAAAAAAAAAAAAACCUUUAGUCCGAGUCGUAACGUUCGCUUCCCUCCCCGGACUUUUUUUACAAAAUAACCAUCUAAAAUUUUAUAAUUUGCGAAAUAACUCUAUCAAAUUUCUAUUUGGCAAAUUAACACUUAAAACGCGGUGAAUCAUUCACCGCAUUAUGAAAAGUCUAAGAUCUUUUAAAAGCGGUGAAUCAUUCACCGUCUUCUUCAUGAUUUUUUGGAAUAGAGAAAACAAUGAGGUUGUUAAAAUUAUACGUAGAUUAUACGGGAAAUAAAAAAGGGAAAUAAAAAAAGUGAGGUUGUUAGGAUUGUGUGUGGAAUAUUAGAAUUUUUGUUUGAUUGUUAGAAUUGUAUGGAUAGAUUAUUAAAAAUUUAUUGAUUGUUAGAAUUAUAUGGAUAUAUUAUUAGGAUUUUCAAAUGGUUAAGAUUAUAUAUGAUGUUUGAUUAUUACGAUUGUUUGGAUAUAUUAUUAGGGAGUUCGGCUAUGGUGCUUGUAAAAGUACCAAGCACUUGGUGCUUGUAAAUUUUUUACCGUUAGAUCUUUGCCUUUGAUCAUUUUUACCCGUUAGAUUAUACUAUUCAAUCAACCACCCACUCAACCCUACGGGGUCCACAUUACCCUAAUCGCACAUCCUUUAAUCCAAGGGCCAAAAACUUACAAGCACUAAUGACUUGGUACUUUUAAAAGCAUAGGAGCUCAAUUCUAUUAUUAGAAUUUUUUUGAUUGUUAAAAUUAUAUGGAUAAAUUAUUAGAAUUUUUAGAUUAUUAAAAUUAUAUGUGAUUUGUUGAAAUAUUUAUGUGGUUGUUAGGAUUAUAGAAAGAAAGAAACAAUAAAUAAGUGAAAGGUGGUAAAUGAUUCACCGUUUUUCUGAAAAAUUAAGAUCUUUAUAUAAGCGGUGAAUCAUUCACCAUUUUUAAGUGAUUAAUUUUUUUUAAAUAUAAUUUUGGCCAGGUUGUUUCACAAAUAAUAAACUUUUAAAAGGUUAUUUUAUAAAAAAAAAACCCUUCCCCUCAAAAAAAAAAAAAAAAAAAAAAAAAAAAAAAAAAAAAAAAAAAAAAAAAAAAAAAAAAAAAAUCACUCGGUCAAAAAGUUUUUACCCUAACUUCUCACCCCUGCGGCCCUGCCACCGACUCCAGCCCCCAUUCCUUCCCCUCCCCCUCUUCCCUUCCGGCCGUUCGCCGAACGCCAUCGGAAGCCCCCGCGGGGCCGCGUCGAAGAUCGGGUUCUUCACUCUUCAGAAAUCAGAACCCUCCUCGUCGCCUCUUCCUCUUCCGCUUCAGCUUCAGCUUCCGCUUCCGCUCUCCAACGAUGGAUCAGUAAUCGGGUGGUUCUUCACAAACUAGGUACGAAUCGUCUGAAUUUUUAUGCUUUAGUUUCUCUCUCUCUUUCCUUUAUUUCAUCUUCUCUUAAUUGCUGACUGUAUGGUUCUGAGUAACAAGACCAUGACUACAAAAUGUGGCAUCAUUGUGAACAUGCAUUUAUUAAGAUUCGUUACUUCUUUUUUAUCUUUAAUCUCUACAGCAUACAUGAAUAUUCUAAGAUACCAUAGAUAUUCUUAAAAAAGAAUAAUCAGCAAAUAAGGUUUUAAGACCUCAAAAGGUUGAUAUGCCCAGCAGGUUGUGAGUAAGGUUCGAAAGUCAGAAGCGUAUGCAUUGAUUAAAAACCAAGGGAGAUCUAGCAAACUUAACAAAGGCUAAAAAACAUGGGCGUUAACUGGCAAUACUGUGAAUUUCCGAUGAUUUUGGAGAAAUAGCAAUAUGGAGAUACAGGUUUGAGUUUUCAUUCUUCAAUAAGAAUAUACAAACAUUGUUGAUAAUAUGAUUACAGAAAAAUAAUCUGCAAAACAUAUCUAAAAAAAGAGAAAUCAUCUUACAUUUAUAUGUUACUAUAUAUGUACCUCACUGAAAAAUGAGAAGACCUGAGGAAUAAGAGUUUGAAGAUGUCUAACUUUAAGAUUUCCUGCUCCUAACAUUUGUCUUAGAUUGUGUCAAGCUCCCAAGUGGGAUCAGUAUAGGGAACCUCUCCAUUCCUAUUAAGUUCUUAGUAAACAUUUUUUAUUAAUCAAGAACUACAAAUCUCAUCUUUAGAUGAUUGGAAAACCUUUUUUCUCACUAUUUCUAGGAAAUAAUAAUGCACUGAAACAAAUCCAUGCUUGCCAUUCAGAUAUUAACCCUUGAUAUGUCAAGUUUCUUGAAGAACCUACCAGUCCAUUUAUUAGUUAAAAAUAAUAUAUACUAUAUAUAUAUAGUGUAGUCAAUUGUUAAUUAGUUUCGUAUUGGAUCUGAAUUUUCAAAGAUAGGGCGACUGAAUUUUGGUUUUCCUUGAAGAUGAGAAUUCUUGAUUAAUAUUAUGCAACAAUAAAUCUAUUUCCUCCUUUACAAUCUUAAGAAUUAUGAGUAUUUAUGCUAAUAGCAUAAAUCUUGAGAGAAAAAAAACUUAAUUUAAUAGCCGAAUUUUUGAUCCCGAAUUUUUAAUUGGUGAACGUAUAAUAUCCGUAUAAAUCACGUAUUCGAAUAAUUGGCGAAUCCGUUUUUUAGCCGUAUUUUCAACGAAUUUAAAAAUUAGGAGACGAAUUUUAUCCGAAUUAUACCCGUACCGAAUUUUUGCCGAAUUUGAAUUCUAAAUCUGUAGUUUAAGUUGUACGUAUCCCUGUAAGCUUACUCGACAUGGCAUGCAACGCUUUUCUCAUAAACCUUAAGUAUUAAAACCAAAUGAAAUGUAUUCCAAAUAUUUUUUACUACCUUCCAUUUAUUAAAUAUUUUCUUUACUCUUUUAAUUACUUUUCAAUUAUUUUAAUAUUGUCUUUUUGUUUUCAGCUGCGGUUUAAUAAGUUUUUCAAGAAUUUUAUAUUUUUUUCCCCUUUUUGACCAGGAUUUACAUUCAAAACGAUUAGUUGAAAUUAAGAAUUUGCAUGAAGAGAGAAUUGCAAUUUUGAAAAAGUUAGCAGAUUUUCAGGUUGUUUAUCUUUCUUACUAUCCAACAUUUUUAUUUAUUAUAAUACUUCUUUCUUGCUCAUAAGGAUUUACUGUACACAAUAUAUGAUUACCAGAAUACUUUGAUGGAUCUCAAGAGUAUAGCUUCAUCCAAAGCUUUCCAGCUAUUGAAUGCUCAAUUGCAAAAGUCGAAAGCUAAAAUGGACCAAUAUCAGCCAUUAUUGGAGAAAUUACAUAUUGAAGUUGUCUUUGCAUAUAAAUAGAAUCUUAUAAAGCUUCAAAAUUCCUGGGGGUGCUAUAGCUAAAAACAUUGUUGGCAGUAGAAAAAUGUGGAGCCAAAGAGCUUCAAUGCAUCUAUGACAAUAAUUUGAAGCUCCAGAAACCACAUAUCCCAUAUACCAUAGCUUUGGGACUAGCAAUAUUAAAAUAUUUUAGGAAAAAAUAUUCGAAGACUCCCUCAACUGUAGUCAAUUCGGAAAUAGACCAUCAAAUUUCAUUAUAAGAUCCUUUCAACCUUUUUUUUACUGCGAGGAAUGCAAGCAUUGAGUAAUAGCUGAUGUUUUAAUUGCAGCUUUGAAAGAGGUGAAAAAUUCUCUCGCUGUGCCGAUAUCAAGGAAUGGAUUAAAAGCAGGUAAUAUCACACUAAUAUUUGGAUCCGUUAUUGUUAUUAUACUCUUUCUCAUGAAGAGUUCCUGUGUUUAACUUAUUGAGAAUACUAUCUUUGAGUAAUCAAUUUAUAUUUCUUACGACAUAUUCAUUCUUUUUUAAUGCAUUUUUUAACAUUUCCUUUUAUAGGAUAUUGGACAUUUUCUACCAGCAUUUCCCAAUAAAGUGAAGUUGAGUAUCCCGUACUCUGUUCCUAGCUUUACUCUUGGCAGUUUUGGUGUAAUCACUCAGUUAAGCUACUUUAUUGGUAUUGUAGUUUAGCUCAAUUUACAUUUAUUAGUUUAAUUAGUGAUAUUUCUACGGUUGUUCCCAUCAAGGGAGUAACUUUUACCACACUAGGCUACUGCUUUUUAUUUCUAUUUGACCCAAGUCUUCUUGAUUCUCCAAGCCAUAACUCUACAAUUUUAGGAUGUGUAUGUGUAAUCAUCACCGCAAUGCUUUGGAAUUUUCACUUUAUUAAUCAUAACUUUAUAGUUCUAUAAGGCUGGAAGUUGGAAAAUGAUUUUUAUCUUCCUGUAGAUGCUUUUCUCAAUGCUAGGAAAAUGCCAAAUGUUCUUUCAUUUUUUUUCCUAUUUGCUCAGUAUAUUACUUAUCUUUAGCUCUACAAUAAUAUCUAUCUGCUGUGUAGAGCAAGUAGCGACGCUAUAUUAACUAAAUUUGAAUAGAUUAUAUCUCUAACCCUAAUUUUUUUUUUCGUAGUAUUAAAUAUUCCAAUCCUUAUCCACAAGGUUUAAAGUGCCGUGGCACGGGGGCGUGCUGUUAUGUCCCUGGCACGGUACGGCACAGGCACGCUUGCGUGCCGACACGUGGCACGCUUGCGUGCCGAUAGAUACGCAUGACCUUCUACUGGCACGGACUUCAAAAUAUAAGCUAAUGACUUAAUUUAAUAUAUUUAUAGUAGUGAGUAUUGCAUAAAGCAUACUAACUAAAUUUGUAAUGAUAAACAAUGCAUUCAAAUUUUAAAGUCAAAAUGUUGUUGACUGGCGCAAAUUAAACAUAUUGAGAUGUUAGGUAGUAAAAUCAAAAUUUAGAAAGGUUGGAUAGCUAAUUUAAAAUAAUCCAUAAUUCAAAUAAGUUCCGUACGUUUUUAUGAAAAAAAUGAGAUUAUUGGAUAAAUAUUUCACCUAAAGUUUUUCCCGUAGUUCUCUUAAGUUUUGGUGUGUUGAUUAUACUUGAUAUUAUGCCUCCGUGUUGCAAAUGGAGUGCAAUAGUCUAUUUGCAUUAAAGGUGGGUCAUAUUCGUUGAGCUUCACAAGAAUAACAAUUUGCAGUUAAUAAGUAUGUAUAUAUAAAAAAAGCAAUGAUGAUAGAAAAUUUAAAGUCAACCAGUCUGAUGGUCUAAGGGCAACUCUUGCUUUUAUUAAUUGUUCACAAGCUAUCGAUUUGCAAAAAGGAAAAGGGUGUAUUUUGUGCAAAAAUACUGAUGAAAAUCUAACUAUUUGAGCUCAAGUCACUAAAUCUUUUUUGAUCUCUUUGCUUUUGCUUGCUGCUCAGCUGGCAGUUGUGUAGUAGCUCUGUUCUUGCUUCGUGCUUUUUUCCGUCGUUGAAUUUUUGCUCUAUCAACUAUUCAGUGGAUUAGAUAUAUUUCAUCGCACAACAUCAUGAUGAUAAGUGCAUUUGCAAUUAUUCUAUUCUUAAGUAAUUUAUAUUUUCUAUUUAAAUUUUAAAUUAUUUCAACCUAAAUUAUUUCAGUUUUAGUGCGUUAAGAGCUAUGAUACAUUGAGAAAGACUUCUGACUACACAAGACAAUUAAUGAAAUCCCUCUACACAUUUGAAGAAAGGAAAUUAAAGUUGUAGGAUUUGCGAAAGUUUGUAAAUUAUAACGUACAGGAAUUAGUAAGUUAAUUCUAAGCCUUUUUGUAUUGAUAGAUCAUAUAUUCUCUCAUAGCUAUGACAAAUAUAUUUUUAGACCACAUAUCUAACUAACAUAGAGUAGAGUUUUCCACUAUCAUUUUAUGCAUUGGAAGAGUGGAUUUUGUAAGUGCUUUUAGAUGUUCUGUGUAUUCUAACAAAUGAAAGGUGAUUAUAUAUCAAGGAUUUAAGUGCUGUGGCACGCGGUCGUGCCGGAAACUUGUUGGCACGGUACGGCAUGGUGCGUGCAGAGCCGUGCCGAUGGGUGCCGGUCAAAAAAAUUCUUGUGUGCCGACACAUAAUAGCAUAAAAUAUUUAUUUUCUUUAGCAAUAAAAUAUUCUAACUAUUUAUUAUAUUUUUUUAUCACAUCUUUUGAACUUUGUUGAUAAAAUUACUUACUAAUUUAAAGAAUAGAGGGUUUUGAGCUGUGCCAUCGGUACGGGGUCUGUAUCGUGCCGGUAUCUUGUUGGCACGGUACGGCACGGUAGAUACGGCCCGUGCCGACGGGCACUUAAAACCUUGUUAUAUAUUAUAUAUAUUGAUUAACUUCUAUAAAAUUGAUCCGCCGCAACGCGUGGGUGCCUACACUAGUAUGAUUUUAAAGUCUUUGAUGUCAUUUAACAAUUGUUUGAAAGUAUCUUAAAGAGUUGUGCACCUUGCCUCUCUCAGGUGCGCGUUUGCUUUUUCAAACACCGAUAGAAAUCAUGUAGAUAUGAUGUGUAGUGUAGAUGUCUAGCCAUGAAUACUAUUAUUGAAAAUCCGUCUUGUUUAUCCCACAUUCGAUAAAUGCGAUUUUUUCGUACUCCUUAAUUUUCUCUUGGAUCGCACCUUGUGCGAGUGCGGAACCCAUUAUUCCUAAUGUCGGAAUUCCAUUUUACAAUGUAAACGGCAUUGAGAAUCAUACUUAUUUUGCUUCAGUUGAUAUUGAUAUAUAGAUUCCGAAGGGAUAAACAUUGGCCACAUGAUAGAGAGUGAUGAGAUGGUGGGGGCAAGUAAGAAUGGCAUGGGAACGUCAUCUCCCCACGUAGAGAUACUCAUACCGCCAUGGUGGGCAGAGGCGGCAGAGGCUAUUGCUCGCGCCGCUUCUCAGCCACCGGUUGCCUUCAUCUGCGGCCCUAAGAAUAGCGGGAAGUCUACAUUCUCUCGAUACCUUCUCAACAUUCUCUUGGAAAGGUUCUUGUCUCCUUCUCCUCACUGUUCCUAUUUAAUAGUCGUAUUUAUUCUCGGUUCUUUCGUUCUUGUGGAUCAGUAAAGAUUUGGGAUUGUGUGUAGGUAUAAGAGAGUAGGCUAUUUGGAUACCGAUGUGGGGCAGCCAGAGUUCUCUCCUCCUGGUUGCCUCUCCCUUCAUAUUAUUGGUGAAAAUAUACUAGGUACAUUUGUUUCCUGUUCUCUUAGUUUUUGGUUCUUUAUUGACUUACUGAGAAUUUGUGGAACCCGUGCUAUACUUUCUUUUAAUUCUCAUUUAUUGAUUCUCUUUUAGAUUUGAUGAACACAAGUCUAAAAACACCUGAGAGGUAAGCUUUUGUUCAUUCCUCUUGUUUUCUGUGUUUCUUCAAAAUAGAAGAUUUUCUUAGAUCAACCAAAAAAAUCAAAUUGGAACUCUUCUAUUAAUUUCAUUGGACUAAGUUGGAAGUUCAGUUCUAUUCAUUUGGGGAGCCAAAAUAAUUUGGUUUUUGGUGUCCAAUUCUUUAGAUAGACAUCUAAAGAAUUAGAUAGACAUCUAAAGAAUAUGUUGCAAGUUACAGUUUAGAUGCCAAUUUAACGAUUGUAGACUUGUAGUGCUUAAACACUAUAAUGAUUAUUGUACAUCUCUUGGUUAAAAUUCCGAUAGAUUUUAGGUUCAAAAGUCACCCUAAGGAAUGGGCUCAAGCCAAUUUGAUAGCUGACUUGAGAUUACUCCUUAUGUUAAACUGGUUUCCAUGGUUUGUUUGUUCCUUCAAUUUCAAAAUGACAAACCAUUACUUCAAUUGAAGGCCAUUUUCCUUACAAGAUCAACGAAACUUACCAAUACAUAUCCCCUUGUUAUUCUUUUACCUGUAUUUCUGCAAUUAUACAGCAAUAUAAUUUCUAUGUAUGAUGCAUGAUUAGUAUACUUCUUUUUAGCACUUCAGCUAAAGAUUUAAAGGUUAUAGUAAUUGCGUAAUUAAGCUGAUCGAAAUCUUGAUUUAUGUCCUUUGUUUCUAAAGUGUUCCGUUGGGUUUGUUCAUGGUCCCUAUGCUGGUUUAGUUUUGAUGCUUAAAUGAUCAAGUUUGAUGUUAGAUUGAGUCAUCUAGAGUUAUCCAUUGAGGCAAUAUAGUUCUUGCUUGUGUAGUGACAAAUACUAUACAAUUUGCUGCUGAUAUUAUGCAUUCUUUGUGAAUAUUACUUCCGGUUUGCAUGUGUGGUGGCAACCAAAGCGGCUCGUUUUCUCUUGCAGGGCAGUAUUCUAAAACAACUGCAAAUAUUAUUUUAAGUUCAGCGACUUCAGCCCAGCUUCUUAUAUCAGGAAUUAGCUACUUCUAUCAUUCACGUUCCAUAUAAUUGCUUCGGUAAAUCUAUAGGCCUAUAGCUUAGAGUAGAGAUAAGAGAAAUGAAUGUUUUAACAGAUGAUACUCUGCUAGGUAGAACAUAGAUCAAUUUCAAGACUAGAUUUUACUCCUCUAUAGGUGUCAUUGUGUUGAUGAAUUGAUAAUUUAUUGAGAUAAUGCUCUUCGUCAUAUAUUCAUUAGGAGAUUCAUAUCACUGUCUUGACACAUUCUGCAAAUAUUUUACUUUUUCUACUCAAAAUGGCAAGAUCGUCGCCAAGCAGCUAGGGUUGGGAGUGUGCUAGGGACUUAAAGAUUCUUGGUAAUGAGGAACAUUAUUUCUUGUGAAAGUUGCAUUACCAUCUGGUAUGGGAUUGUCAAAAUUCCUCCUAUCUCAUGGUAAUGUAAGAUUCCUGUGAAUGUGGAAUUGAGGAUAGUUUCACCUCUUCCUAGCAAGCCCUUUUACUCCUCCUGACAUAAUUUCACAGUUGCAAUCUGGCUAUUUUGACUAGAAAGUAGAGCAUUACUGUUGCAACGCCUCUUUGAUCUAGUAAUUAGAGAGGACUAGGAUAUAUGUGAUAUAUUUCUGAGCUUAGAGAUUCCUAUUUCUACAUUGGCAUUAAGGGCUUUAUGGAGGACUUGAAAAAAUUUCAAAUCUCGAAAGGCGAAAGGGAAAACAGGGAAAAAAAUGUUGAGUAUGACAAAUAAAUGUAAUUUAUUCACUAUUUAGUGCAUUUGUGUUUCUUUUAUUUAAUACUGGAGAAAUCAUCACCUAUGAAGUAUGAAACAUGGUACCAUUAUAGCACUCUUCCAGUUCCCUUUCUCCCCUUCCCACCUUUAUGGGUCCAGUAGUGAUUAGUGAAAGGAAAAAAAAGAGAGUUGAAUUCGCAAAAACCCAUUGACCUUUUCCUAGUUGCCUUAUGACCCAUUAACUUUAAUUUGGUGCAAAAAAAAGAAAAGCAAAGAAAAAGCUAUAGUUCCAUUGUAAUUUGGCUCAUAAAGCUUUAUUUAUCGCUAAAAAAUACCCAUCAUCUUAUGUUGUUAAGUUUGAUUUGAUGCGAAUAGCAACAUUUUGUCUACUAAGGUUUAUUUGUUAUAAAAAUCCUGGCCAGUGCAUUACUUUAUGUAGUGACAUCAGAUAAAAGUGAAGCUUCUCUUGGCAAAUCAUGCUUUAAGUCUCAAAUUGAAAUGGUAUAUAAGGUGUUAGGUUUUCUCGCACCAAAUUAAACUUAGCGGGAUGAAGUGUAAUUAGGGGAAAUUUGAUUUUUAUGAUCUAAAUCCCGAAAAAAAGAGGAAAAAGGAAAAUCAAUAAGAUAGAAAUUUAAAUAAACAUAAAAAUUCUAGAACCCUCGAUCAUUAGAAGGUGUUUGAUGUGUGGAUGAUCUUUCAGUGCCCAUUUGGUUUGGCUUUUGAAACAAUUUCUCUAGUCCGAGUAAUAGUAGUCACACAUUCAGCAAGCAAAAAGGUUGGAGCUUUUGAUACAAUGAGAAGCUAAAAUGUGCUUAUGAGCACUGAAACAGAAACUUUAGUUUCAUGUUUGUGUAUCUAUUUGAGGAACUGUUUUCUAGGAGCUUUGAUGAAAUAGCUGUUAGUGCUUUUGUUUGCUUCGCUGCUCAAUGCUGGGCAAAGAUCUCGAUCGCAACACUCGCUGCAUCAACUUCAGCCACCUCCACCAGGGAAGAAGAAGGCGUUCGCUCUGUCUCCGAAGGGCAGAGAGAAGCUGUCUUCGAAGGGCAAGGAGAAGGAAUUCGCUCUGGAGUACACUUUGCCUUCGAAGGGCAAGGAGAAGCUGAGCAUCGGACAAACAAAGGGCAAGGAGAAAGUUAGCAUCGAACAAAAGCCGGCAGGGACAACGUAUUCCCUCCGACCAGGCGCUCCUUCAAGCUUUCUAACAGGCCCGGAAAAACUAUAUUCAUCAUAUGAAUCUGAAUUGAGAUACUCAAGUAUGCUCUUCUGUCAAUGUUUGGUAAAAUAUAUGCAUACAAAUUGGGCUUAGGUCAAAUAAAACACCGAGCUGGACUUUGGAAAUAUGCCAAUCGGGCUUUAGGUUACAAGAUUCUUGGCUACAUAUAUACAUUAUUAGUUCUGAAGUUUGUCAAAGGUUUGCAAAGCUUGGUGGUUAGCGUUUUAUGUUUAUUCUUUGUUCCAAAGUUCAAAGCCCCAGGUAUUAAAAGAAAAACGUAGUUUCCCCCCCCUUUGCCAUUUACUGUAGUCCCACAUUGGCCGCACUCAGGCAUAGAGAGUGUUUUCCAAUAUAUUUAAAGGAUCUAUGCUUGAGCUGCUAUCAAUCAAGUCUAUGAGUAGUUAGCAACUCUUGAGAAUUACAGAUUAUAGAUAAUUGAAACUCUAUAUAUCAAAUUUUGAGUAACUCUUGAGAAUUACAGAUUAUAGAUAAUUGAAACUCUGUAUAUCAAAUUUUGUGUAAUUUGGAUCUGUAUCCAGUUUUGAAAAUACUAAUAACUCAUUGAUCAAAUUUGAGUUUGAAUCAAAUUAUGGAGUAGCUAAUUUAUCAGCUGAAAUGGGCUCUGACUUGAUAUCGAUCCAAGUGAGGUCCGAUAUUAUCUAAUCCUUUAGCCCCCCGGAAAUCUUAUUAAAUGCCAAUAGGUGUUUGAUGUGUGAAUUAGUAAGGCAGUCAUGUCUUAUAACAUGUAGAAAAUCUUAUGAAAUGCCAAUAGAAAAGUAUUACCACCUUAUUUUAUUUAAACCAAAAAGUAGUUGGGAAAAUGAACAGCUGUGUCUUGUUCUAAAGUUGUCUUACUCUCCACUUGGGAUUGUGGGAAGAGUGCUGUGUGUGUGGUGAGAAAGUAUGAUAGGAAAAUAGUUUGUAUAUUUGUGUAAAUAAUAUUACAUUGGGCAUAUUGCAAGAGUUGGUUAAGAUAUAAUUUAUGGGGUCCGAUAGGAAGAUGGAGAAGCAUAUCUCUAUAUGCUUUCGAGCAGUGUUAUGCAGCCCUCAAUACCAAAUUGACCCUAAGAAAUUGAGACAAUAAGAGAUGAAUGAAGGAAACAAAGUAGGAAAGCCAAAAUCCAAAGAAAAAGAGGCCCAUUACAGGCUCAUAACAGGGCCUUCAAAUGACAAGUGUUGCACAUUAUUGAAGGUGCCAGAGGCUGCUUCACAAUCUUAAGCAAUUUGGAGUGAAGGGAAUCGUAUUAAAGCGGUGUGUUAUAAACCUUUUCGUGCUGAUAUUGCUUAUUUUUCAUUUUAUGUGCCACCAAUUUCACUGUAUGUAAGGUUAAAACUGAGCCUGGGGCAAUAGCAGAGUAGAUGGGCAGUGCUGGUCUAGCUAGAAUAAGUGCCUAGGUCAACUGCCUAGGUGCCUAGAUUGCACCUUUUACAACACAGGUUGGUCUCUUGAUGUAACUUGCCAUCGUCUUCUGCAAUGGAAUGUAGAAAAUUCAGAUCUUGAUUUGUGUGUGUGAAUGUUGGCGCUGGUUGAUAAAUCUAUUCAGCUCUCAUAAUGUUCGCAUAUUUGAGGAAACAUAAGCAGUUACAUCAGUAAUUAUUCGAUCUUUCUUUUCUAUACCAAGUGAUCCUCUAACUUAGGAGCCAUUAGAUGUAAUAUCUCUUAGAAAAGCAUACCUCAACCUAGAACACAAAAAUCUCUAGUCUGUCACUGUCAGAUGUACAUUCUCUUGAGUAGAAGUCACGUGGAAACCCAUUUUAUUGAACGCCUUUUUUUUUUUUUUUUUUUUCCUGGAUCUAUCUUAAAUGUUUGAUGAAAUUUCUAUUUUGGAUUUGCCAUACUCCUAAGUUGUUACUGCAAAUGUCAUCCAGUAUUCUUUGGCCAGCUUCUUGUUUUUGCCUAUUGCUUUGUGAUUCUCCAGUGUGGGAAAUAAUAGUUUGUCAUCUUCUUAAUUUCUUUCAGGUGUUUCUUCUAUGGUGAUAUUUCAUCAAAGAGAGACCCAGAAGCGUAUUUAAAUUAUGUUUUCAACUUAUAUGAUUACUUUCUCAAGGAGUACUGUUCCUAUAAUGAAACCGAAAAUACUGGAAAUUCAAUGCCACCUUUAAUUAUCAACACUCCUGGAUGGAUGAAAGGUACUAUUACAUUGCUUGGCAUGGUAAUGUCAAAAAAAGAAAGUUUACAACUUUACAUAGCAUAAAUAUAAUACAUGCUUUUAAACUGAAGAGUCGAACUCUUCUGUCUGUUGCAUCUGUUCUUCAUCAUCUUUCUAUUUGAUCAUGUUUGAUACCUACUAAAUAUCAUAUUGCUGUGAACUUUUUCUUAUGGCUUUCCUUUCCUAUUCAGGUACUGGUUUUGAUCUUUUGGUAGAGAUGUUGAGAUAUAUCUCUCCCACUAUGGUGGUUAAAUUAUGUAUCUCAACUAGGAGUAAAAAUCUUCCUAAUGGAAUGUUUUGGUUUGAUGGUGAACAAAAGGGACAAACUGUUGUUAUUGAUGUUUUUUCCGCACAACAAGACUCCUUAAAUAGAUCGUAAGUAUGAAAUGUAGACCUUUCUCUAGUAAAAAGUAGAUUCUUGAGUACAUAUAAAACCAAAGUAUAUGUUAUAUUAUUCAGUUUUAAAUUUGAUGUUUUCUUGUUAAUUUUCUGGCUGGAUGUUUUCAAAGGUGAUAAUAAAUAGCAAGUAUUCAUAAAUAGUUAACUAUAUCAUGUUAAUGAUGUUAGUCAGAUGUUACUUUCUGAUUCCUCUUUUCACUUGUGAGAUUUACAUUCUUAAGUAAAAAAAAAAAUGAUAUGCUUUUAGUGGAUGCUGGGGAGAGAAUUUUUGCGUUUUCUCACCAAAAGAUGAAUGGUUCCUCAUGGAACAACACUACCGUUGUGUUUCUAUAUGCUUAGGAACCUUCUCAAACUCUUGUGGAAGGUAUUGAAAUUUAGGUCUGCCAACUAAAGAUUUGGUUAAUAUGGAAAUUUCACUACUAACUUAUAGCUUGAAGGUGUAGUUUGAAUUGUUUCUGGAACGGUUAAUGGUAAAUAGAAACUAUGCAAGGUCAUGUUCUAAUAGAAUGAUGAUACUUCCUGUUCUGUUUCUCCUCUUUAUUAUAAAAUGCAUUACUAUAUUGUGGUUUUGCAUGAUGUUAUAUACCAACACUUCAGUAAUUUUUAGGUGAGAACAUGGGUUAUUUCACAUGAAGAUCUGCAAUAUAUUUAACUUUUAUCUAGUUUUCUUUUCUUCUGUAGGGUUUUGAUUCAGAAGGAUGUACGUGGUUUACGUGACCGUCGUCUUUUUGAAUAUUUCAAGCAAUGUUUUCCAACUGAUACGAAUAUUUCAACAAAUAAGGAACUUGCCUAUGCCCUGGCUUCUCUCCCUCCUUAUAUACUGCCAUUUUCGAAAGUUAAAGUUAUGCAUCUUCACUGUCAGGUCAGUCAAAAUAGUUGUGGUUUACAUUUUUCAGAUUUUGAAACAUUGGUUUACAAUUAAUUAUUAGAACAGGAUUCUCUCCUGUCAUUGAUGUUAUUGCUUACUUCUUGGCUGUUGUAUACUUUGUGUCCAUUGCGCAAUGUUGAAUCCUUCAUUCCUCCAUUGCAAUCUUCCAUCAAUCACGUCAUCAGUUCAUGACUAUGAAUUUUUUAGCGACUGUCUUUCAUCUUUAUCCUUUGAAAGGAAAACCUAACUAAUUCUUGCAAUGAUUUGAAAGUACUGAAUGGCUAGAAACUUGAUUGUUACCCACUAGAUUUUUUUUAAUGAUGUCAAAACAGUAUUAUUUUUUAGGAAAAACUUUAAAUAUCACUCCCGUGGUUUCGCACUUUUUCACUUUAGUACCCUAUGGUUUAAAGUGUACCCUAUGGUUUUAUUUUUCUCUUUUUGUUAUCCCCUCCACUAAUUUUUUUGUUAAAUAAGUGACAAAGUUAAAACUAAAGGAUAUUAAAGUGAAUAUUCAAUAAACUAAAAGUGGGGUAUCUGAAGUUUUUUAUAUAUGAUUUAACGAGUUAACGGAGGGGUUGACAAAAAGAGAAAUAAAACCACAGGAUGCUAAAUUGAUACACUUUAAACCACAGGGUACUAAAGUCAGAAAGUGUGAAACCACAAGGGUGGUAUUUGAAGUUUACCCUAUUUUUUAAGUUGGACCAAAAGUUGUACUCAAUUUAUUAUUUUUCUUGUGAUAAUUAUCAAACUUGCUGGAUUGUCAAUUUUUUUUUUUUGGAAACUAGGAUUCUCUUGAGCAAUCUAGUGCCUGUGUGUUCACCUGUUUCUAUAUUUGAACUUUAAAAGAACUUUUUUGGUUUACCAUUUUGCUUAUGAAGCUUUUGGUGUUUGUUAGGUCCCAAGUAAUGAAAUAUGGCACAGCCUGAAUGCUACUAUUGUGGGCUUGGCAGUUAGUACUGAUGGAACUGUAAUGAGUCGAUCCACACCUUGGUGUGUUGGGCUUGGUACUCUCUCUCUCUCUCUCUCUCUCUCUCUCUCUCUCUCUCUCACCUUGGUGUGUGUGCAUGUGUGCUCACGUGAUAUUUGUAUAUCAGUAUUGUUUUGUUAAGACAAUGUUUGUCCCUACUAAUUUUUCAGUGGGACAGAAGUCAGGAAACGGUAUUAAUUUGUAGAAGAAUCCAAAUUGGUUGAAAUUUUGUUGGAAAAUUCAAUUUGAUAUCUAGAUGAACAUAAACAAUCCUGAUCUUGAAUUCAAGAGUCUUAUCAUUGAUUUUCUAGGUUGUUUGAUUUGAUUGCACCUUUUGCAGCUAAUUAAUGCACUCGAAACUAUUAAUUUUCUUAAAUCAUAAAACUUUUUUUCUAGAUACUUCAAAAACUCUACAAAACAAACAAGGACAAAGGCUUCCAUCCUCUUAGUAGUAGUUGGAUUUGGUUAUGUCCAUGCCAUCGGCAUGGAAGAUUUGAACCAUUUCUGUACCUUGUGGGCACCGUACGUGCCAUCUCAAGUCACACGGUUGACAUGUCAAUCCAUGCUAUCAGUCACAGGAAUGCCUUUUCCCGUCAGCUUUCUCUUUGAUAACAUCCUCCCAUAGAAAGGCAAUCACCUUUUCUUCCGUUUCUAGCAACUUUUGGAUCUUCCUCUCCUACUUGUAGUACUUGCCAUUUAAGUUGAAAAUUUGAAACAAAUAAAGCUAUAUUGGGCAGUAAAUCUGGAAGCACAAUGAAGAAGAACAAAUCACUCUUUGCCAGUUAAAGGUGGGAAGGCAAACCAGUCAAAUUGCAGAUUGCCGGUUUCUUUCUCUACGUUUAAUAGACUUCAUUCAUGCCUAUACAUCUGAAAUGAAAUCUAGGUUUCUUCCCUUCUAAUCUAGUCUACAACUUGAUUGGAACUUGAUUAGUGCAAAAGUAUAUACUGCUCACUGAAAUACAUAUAAUUCAGGUAUCGUCAGAGGUGUAGAUGUCACUGAAGGUCUAUUAUAUGUGAUUACUCCUGUUCCUCUUCACUAUCUUCGAAGUGUGGAUCUUCUACUACAAGGCUUUGUUGAAGUACCGACUAGUCUUUUGCAGGUAAUUAAUUGAAGUACCGACUAGCGUUUCCUCUCUUUGUUAUGUAGCACAUUUGCAGCUUGUGGUCUAAUGAAUUAGUUGUGUUUAUUCUAUAUGGUUAUGCAAGCACGCCAAGCAACAUACUUUUUCUUGUCGAUGCUUUGUGAACUAGAUCUUUCUUGCAGUUCGUUCGAACUAAUCCUUCUUACAAUUUUAUGGAGGAAACUCUGUUUUUAACGACAAACUUUACAUUAUGUACCAUAAUUCUCUUCUACUAACAAUAGACCUUUCUUUCCAGGUGCGCGGAUGUGUUUCCCCUUACAUGUCUACUAAUGUGCUGCAUAGGAUAUCAGAUAAGGAUUUAUAGGAUAUCAAGAUGGGGCUGUAAAAACAGCAGCAAAUGCAACACUCAGAGCAGUUGAAAGGGGGGGGGUGGGGUGCAAAUUUUGAGAGCACUGUUAGAGGGUUGCGUCUCACUNUUUUUUUUUUUUUUUUUUAAUUAUUAUUAUUAUUAUUAUUAUUAUUAUUAUUACCCGGUUCUUAUGGAGUGCUGCCUCUAAGUUAAUUGGUAAAUGUUGAGACUUCUCUGAUCAGGAUUUUGCUGUUUGAUGUAAAUUAACAGUCCCAAUAUAUGCUUUAUGUACAAGGAGGGUUAUUUUGGGAAAGUUCAAAAUAAUUUCAGUUAGUGUUUCCGUGUACAAUGUUAGGAUGCAGUUUUCAACGAGUAAUUUGAUUCCGAUGUGGGUUUGUGUGUGGAAUGGCAGGUAGCAUUCUGUUUUCUCUUCAAUUUUUCUUUUUCAAUUUUUUUUUUUCUUUUGAAAAAUUUCUCUUACUUGUAGACACAGACACCCACCGCAGUCCACAAGAAUAUUAUUGAAUGUUCUCUGGAGGUGAACUUCUGUUUGAGCGUUUUUUUUUUCCGUCCUUAAGAUUGAGAACAUUCCUGUAAGCAGUAUUUUCUGUUUUCUUAUUUUCUUCGACUGUAAAGAGGUUAUUAUUUUACGCAAACCUGCGCCGGAGAAGGCUGUAUAUGUGUGAAGUAUAUGUGUGAAAGCUUGCUCGACUAAGAUUCGGAGGCUUGGCAAAAAGAUGGAAGUUCAAAACACGGUUUCUGCGUUGCUUAUGAAUAUCAUAUUUCCUAUAUUUUCUUAAAUAAGAUCGGUAUCACAAUUUAUGUUCGCUCAUGUUAAUGGUGGGUGGUUCCUGAAGGUGCUUCAUCCCUUUCAUUAUUUUGGUUCCAGUUCAGAAAAAUCUGGCGAAAUUUGUGUUCCUAAUUUUAUUUUAUUUUUUAACUAGGGACUGAUUAUAGUCGCCCAGGUGGAAGAUUAUUGAAUUAAAGUAUGCCACUGUUAAAAUUGUAUUUGGUUGGGGAAUAAGCUGUUGGUUGUUCUUGGAAAAGCAACAGUAUCGGUGCGUCCUAUAAUGGGUAUAUAUCCUACACUUUAUCGAUUCAAUAGGUGGGGUAUUUUAUUAGUCACUUCUUUAUCCAUCCAAUAGGUGAGGUUUUUUAUUAGUCACCUCACGUGACUAGUGAAUUUGUUCAUCUCUUGGAUGGAUUGGGGCCGCAGUGUUAGACAGUAUUUCUCAUCUUGAAAUAGGUGGAACUUCUAAAAUAAGUAAAGAGCCAAAUCAAUUUUGUAUUUGCAUGAGAAUUGGUUUAUUUCUAGAAAUUAAAAGAAGUGCUUGGGUGAAGUUCAGUACUGAUGUUCUCAACUUCAAUAUCACUACUUGGGUGAAAUUUCACAAGUCCUGAGAGUUCUUCAAGCCAACUCAUAGUUGAAUACCAAUACUCUAAUUUCAGUAUCAAUAGUAACAGCAGAACUAUAGUUUUGCACAUUUUGCCUUCUUUUUCAAACACAAUCAGGAUCAUCAAAAUAGUAUUAUUACUAGUUUACUUGAGCUUCGCUAUUUACAAAAGUUUAGUGCAUUACAGAGCAUCCGGAAAGAAAUAUGCACUCGAUGCAAGAGAAUUGAACAAUUUCGAGCACCCGAGGGAUUUGCCAAAUGUCUAAAAGUCUAGAUUUCACUCAUUGCGUAUCCAAACUCUUCCAAACCUGUAGUACACUGAACUUGGGCAAAUUGCGAAGUUCAAGUAUGGGAAUGGUAAUUGAAAUCAUUCUACAUCUUUUGAAGGGUUGUCGUGGGGUUUUCGGCGAGUUAGUGGAGCGAUCAAAUGCUCGGAAGUGCAAAAGUGCAUUGCAAACUGCAAUUUCUGCACUCUGCAUUGAGUACCGGUACGAGUGUGAUGGGGUACCGGUACCUAGCAGCAGCAACUGCGUGGUAGCAAGGCUAAUUUGGUCUUUUCACUGCCAAAGCUUAUCCCUAAAAGCCCAGCACAAUCUCUGCAGCUGGUUAGAAGGUGCUGGAGCAUAGAAGAUCAGGUUUAAACCCUUCUCUUUCUCUCUCUCUAUGUUUUCUCUCACCUAGAGUAGGAAACAAGUGAUUUGAGCCUAUUUCUCUCCCUCUUUUGUUACUAGCUGAAUUGGAGAGCUUGGAGCAGCUGUGGAGGAGAGGAAAAGUAGUCUUGAGAGUGGUUUUUCGCCACCCUAACUCAGUAGGAAGCUGGAUUAAAGCUUGGUAAGAUAAGCUAUUCAACUUCUUUGUAGUGAAUGCCAUAGAAGUGAAGUUGAUGUUGGUUCUUUGCUUUUUGUCGCAGCCGGUUUUGGAAGGUGCUUAGUAGUAGUAUAGAAGAGGUGUUUUGCUGAGUUUCAGCUACCCUGAACCAGAGAAGAAGCUGAAGUGAAGGUUGGAAGGUGAUUAGCUACCUACUUUCCUUGUUUUGAUGCUAUACUAGGUGUAUAGAUGAAAGUAAUGAGGCAGUUUUUUGGAUAUGUUCACAGCAGGUUUAUUAACCACUUUGAGCUGAGUUUAGUGACUCUUGUGAGCUGAUUUCAGUGUGCUUCAACCUGAUUUGAGGUGGAGUUCAAGUUGGAAUCCUAAACUAGGUAUGAUUCUACCUAGAUUAGAUGCUUAGGAGAAAUUGUUUAGUAAAGGUUGAAGUCAAGCUUCCAAUUUAAUUAGUAUGUUUACUAGGGUGCCUGGAGGCUGCGGAUUACUUUCGCUAGCAGGAUCGACGAGAGUCGACGUGCUUUUGGUGGGUUUGACCUCACCGAAAUGGAUGAAUUCCCCCUAUGUUCUUAUCUUUUGGCAUAGAACUAGAAUUAUGCUUAUGUGUCGCUAUUGGCGUCAUAAGCGAGUUGUUGGAUGUAAUAGUUGUAUUUACAUCAUAUCGCUGGUUAUACUCUAUUUGGUAGAGAGCUAUAAAGGUUAAAUUCCUUGCAUGAUAACACAUAUCAUUGUGUAGACAAGUCGUGAGUGAAUGUACUAUGCUUGAAUUAGCAAGAAUGACAUGUGGUUUUAUAUCCUAAUGGUUGUUAUAUAUGUAUAGAACAUAUGAAACAUGUAUUAGAAUAUGAUCAAUAUACUUGGGUAGACAAGUUAAACUUGACAUCCUAUUGACGAAACUACCAUGUACUUCAUGUUACUAGCUAUGCUUUAGUUGAUAACUAGCAUUUGUUAUCAUAUUUAAAUUCCGACCUAUAGGUCGGUAGAGGACAUUCUGUGUUGAGACAUGACGAUUGAGGAACUUGUAUUAUGGAUCAUGCUUGCUUGCCAUUGUGCUCAUUCGCACAUGCUUGUGAGGGUCGCUCCCCACAAGCUGGCACUCCGGAGUUGGCCUACGCGAUAGAUUGCUCGCCCCUGCAGGAUUGGGUGCCGAAGUGGAUUGCCGCGGGGAGUGUAAACUACCACGGGGCCAUUAGGCGCGGCGCAAGCUGGACUACCUUGUGUAGCUCAUGAAUUGAAUCAAAAUCCUAAAUUGUGUUGAGAUAAUGGUCACCACUAGAUAAUGUGUAUUUACAAGACGAAAUGACAUGUUUACUUAUGUAAAGUAGUUACUUUGCUUACUGCAUAAAAGUGAUUACAUUGGAAAUAUAGUUGUAAGAUCAUUGCUUAUUAUCUUUGUCAUUUCUAUCAUGUAGCAGUUAUACUUACUUUUCUUUAUGCAUCAUGAACCUAGUGGUAUAAUUCGCUGAGGUCGGCGGCUUACCAACUGGGAACUAUUGUUUAAUAGUUCUCACGCUCUCUUUGUUGUUAUUGUGUUACAGAGCUAUCCAUUACGGGAGAGGCUAGGGAUCGCGGCAAGGGAGUCGCGUCUAGCUAGACAUAGCUUGGAGCCCCGCUAGGUAAUCCCCUCGCUGCUUCGAUUUUGUCGACGAGGGUGGUGUGUACCCUGUAUAGAGAGACUACCACUUGUAUUUUGGGCUGUUUAGUGAUUUUGGGUUAUACAUAUGUUGUUAGAGCGUUGUACUAUAUAGUCUUGUGUUUUUACUUUCUGUUGAUCUUAGUGGAGUUUUAUACUACUUAUUCUCUAGCUGCUAGAACUUUCUGUAUAUUCUAUGCUCUGAUAUCAUGUUAGAUUAUUCUACCGAUUAUCUCUUUUCUGACAUGAUUUUAGUAGACGCCUUGUAUGCUGUAGGUAUAUGGCGGGUCUGUACAUGUAUCGGAUAUGCUUCCGCUGAUUCCCAGGCGUGACAAAACCCUUGUUCAUGCUAGUUUUGAUCCGAAUCAAAUCCAAAGCAUCUCAUGCUCAUCCAAAAGCUUUUAAAUAGUAUCAAUAGUAAUUUAUACCGGAACUUCACUAAUUUGCAAAAGUUCAUUAUGCUAUACUUUGGCCCAAAUCUUAGGUUCUGACCAAUUUAUUUUCAUGACAUUUUAGUAAUCUGUAGACUUUGGCUCCUGACAUUUAAGUAAUCUGUAGACUUUGGCUGAAAUCUCAGGUCCUUUAGAUUCCUUUCAAGUCGAGAGUCCAUCGAACCUGUCUGCUCAAGUUCGGCCAGAGCUAGGUGGCCGAUUACAUCUCUCCGACAUUUCAGUCGUCUGCUGACUUUGACUGAAAUCUUUGAUCCCUAUAGUUCCUUUCAACCAAAAGUGAACUAGAUCCAGUCCAUCCAAGUUUGGCCUGAGGUAAACAGCCGAAUAUAGCGUGCUUUCAUAGAGGUCAAGUCACAACCAAGAACCCAAGCCGAAAGCUUCCAUUUUCUUCCAUUGUAUUCAUUUUCUUUGAAUCAAUAAUAACAUUUUUUUCGGCUUCUCUUUGGCAAACAUGCUUAUUUAAUUUAUGUAAAAUUUUUGAGUAUUUGAUGGUAACUCUUUAACCCAACAACCUCCAAUUAACCUAAAGUGUUCGGAUUUAAGUAUUUUCAUUAGUGAUUUAGACUAAGGACACACUUGUUACAGGUUUAAAGUAGGUAAAAUAUUAAUCCUAUAAAAUUUUUACUCUAUAUUAAACUGUGUUUGGUUCGUUGGCGUUAACUUUUAAGAGAGAUAAAAAUUUCACCUUCCUUUAAUCUUCAACAAUCAAAAUUUGUUUUUUUUUGUUUGAGAGAUUAGGUAGCACGCUACCCGCUUUGUUUAUUUCAUUUAAAAAUAAACUUAGCUAGAAAUAUAAAUCAAUUAGGGUUCGAACUUGGGACCUCCGGUACCAACCACCAAGCCCUUUUCCACUUGCUCCAGGGGCGGUCGGUAACAAUUCAAAUUUGUUAAUGUGCAUGGACUAGGGUAAAAGAAGGUAAAUGAUAUAAUAUAUGAAAAAGUGAUAAAAUUUUGAUCCUCCUUAUAUCAUUUUCUUCACUUUCUAUUUUCACUUCCUCUCUUAAUUUCUCUCAGCUUACUUUUCUCUUUUUAUUUUCUCUCUUUAUUUUCUCUCUCCUUAAUUUGUGGCUCUUUAUUUUCUCUCUCUAAAUUCUCUCUCUUCACUCUCUCCUUAAUUUCUCUCUCUUAAUUUCUCUCAUCACUUUCUCUCUCUUUACUUUUCUCUUUACUUUCUCUCUCCUUUAUUUCUCUCUCUUCAAUUUCUCUCUUUCAUUUUCUCUUUCUUUAUUUCUCUCUCUUUACUUACUCUUUUAUCUUCUCUCUAUACUUUCUCUCUUAUUUUCUCUCACUUAUUUUCUCUCUUCUCACCUUCUCUCUCCUCAUCCCUUCUCUCUUAUCACUUUCUUUCUCAUUAUUUUUUCUUGCUUUACUUUCUCUCUCAUUUUUCUCAUUAUUUUAUCUCUCUUCAGUUUCUCUCUUUUCAUUAAUUAGUUGCUCAUUUUUUUUCUCUUCUCACUUCCUUUUCUUUACUUUUUAUGUCCCUAUUUUCCCUCCCUCACUCUAUCUCUCUUUACCUUCUUUCUCACCUUUCUAUCUUUUAUUUCUAUCCCCUCUUUUGUUUAUUCUCACUUUCUCUCUUUCUUCACUUUCAUUCAUGAAAGACUCAAAUGUCGUUACAGAAAAAAAAAAGAAAUAACCGAAUGGGGCAGUAAACGGGUAGGUGGAGCUCCUGCACCGAUCCGCCCUGAAUGGGGCAGCAAACGAGAAGAAAUAAAGGAAUUUGGGACAAAAAGCGACAGAUUUAGGGCAAGAAACAAAAAAUUUUUGACCCACUCCAAAUUCGCCCCGAAUCCGCUCCACCAUGAUCCGCCCCGAAUCCGCCCCACAUUGAUCCGCUCCGAAUCCGCCCAAAAAAUUAUUUAUAUUUUAAGAAAAUAUUCCUAAAAUAUAAUAUAUUUAUAAAAAAGUCCAAAAUACAAAUAAAUUGGUGCUCUCAUUCCUCAUGUAUUUGAAAUUUUUGAGUUUUGCUUCGAAUUGUGAUUGAUAUUUUUUAUUUUUAUAAUUGAUAUUGUUAAGUUUAUAUAUAACUUAAUAAUAUUAGUUAUUAAUAUUAAAAAAUUAUUAAUUUAUAUUUUACAAAAUAUUAAUAAUAUUAUAAUUUUUUAAAAAAAUAUUAAUUGGCAGGACGGACUUGGGGCAUCGUCAGGAGAUGGGUUAUGAGGAGGAAUGGAUUAUGGGAUAUAUUUUUUUAACCCGUCACGGAUUCAGUGCAAGAAGCGAGGCGGAAUUUUGGUAGUUGGUGCGGGAGAUGGGGCGGGGCUCCCGCCCCCAUAUUCGCUCCGUUUGUGUCCUUAAUUUGUCACACCCCGGGGUCCCUUUACAGUUUGCAGAUCAGCAGAAAAUGCCCAAAAUAUAUUUUUUUUUUAACUUUGACCGAAGGGUGACAGACCCGUCACAAAUGCAAGGAAUCCACUGUUCACACGGACAGAGUCUUCCCUAUAUUUGCACGGCGUCGCAUAUAGUAUAAGUUAUAACCAUAUCCAUUCACAGCACAUAUUUACAAAUACUUAGACACAGGAUCGUAAUCAUAAAUCAUUCACAUCUAUUAGUUGAAAGUGUUUUCUAUCUGGAAACUCACUUUGAAAUACUAAAAUCACGAAAACUGUAAAACCUUUUUGAAAAUCGUUUUCCAUAUGAAAAUCCUUAUCUUUUAAAAGCGAGUUACCACGAGGGGUAGAAAACUAUUUUUAUAAAUCCCCACGAUGUUCAGAAAACAGCUUUAUUUAAUAUUCUAAAACAUGCCAUAAGCAAAGCAAAACCAAAAUAAAACCAAGAAAAGUUAAACUAAACCACAUAAAGUCUAAAUUAUUUAUUAAUGGAAAAAUAGGUGGAAUCUAGAACCGCAUGCCACCAAGUCGAGAUCUCUAACGCUCGCUAGAUACGCACCUCACGCCUUGUUCCGACUCGGUCCACCAAGCUCACUUGAAAUUGGGAAGGUGAGAAACCAAACAAGGGUCUCCCGGUGGGUACCGUAAGCCGACGAGGGCGAGUGUACUCACUGGUAACAAGAAAUGUAACAGCGAAAGGUAAUACAAUAGCAAUGCCAAUAGUAAACAAGAUAUAUACAUAUACAGCUACCGCUACUGUAAAUAACAUGCGUCAACCGAGCGAUCAGUCCAAAAUAUCCAAUUUAGAAUCCGUCGUAUCGGUCUAAGGACCUCAGGCAAGUGCCACGCUGCUCUAAAUGGCAUAUAACCCUAGCAUAAGCUCCUGGGCUCAUGGGUCAAAAUUCCGACCACUUUUUCAAAAAAGAACACCGUUGUGGUGGCCAAACCACUAGUGUACGUGAAAUACAUACGAGUAGUGGUGAUCAAUGCAAAUAUGAUUAAUACCGGUGGCAAGUAGCCAACAAUCAACCCCUCAGGGUGUGCCAACCGAAUAGGUCAUUGUCACGCCCCGGGACCGGCGUAGGCCCGCCCGGUGCGUGCCCAGACCCGCCAUAUGCCUACACAUAUAAGGCGUCUACAACAAAGCGGAAGAAUAAGAUAAGAGAUGAACUACAUCUAGAGAUAUCAGAGCAAGUAUACAUCUAGAAUCUAUAGUAGAUAAAACAUAACUAAACAAUAAAAGUAAAGCAUAACGUUAUACAGUAUCCAUCUCAAAAGUACAAAAAGGGGUGGUCUCUACAAAUAGUACAAAUCUCUCAACCUCUCCAAAAAGAAACAAAAGAGAGGUGGACCACCUAUCCAAUAAUCCCUCGCUAGCUAGCACGAGGCGAUUCCUUUCCCGCGAUCCUGAGCCUCUCCCAAAAUAAAAUAAUAUAAUAAUUUAACGUUCAAAAAAAUAAAUUCAAACUCAAAUUUUGAGUUUUUGCAACCAAACAGAAACAAUAUGCUACAUAAACACAGAUAUUUUUGGCAUCAACUAAAAUACGCUGUUUUUAGCCUGGUUGUGAAACCCACUACCAUUCAACAUUAAUUAUCUUGAAAGAGACUUAAGAAGCAGCUCGAAUUUGAAAUGUUUUAGCUCCACUGAUUUUAAUUUGUACGUAAGUUCAUGUAAAAACAAGAACAUUUUGCAACAUAUGCAACUACAUUGAAACAUAUAUAUCUAUUGAUUGUGAAAUUAGUAAGUGGAUAACAAUAUAGUGGCACAAUAACAUAUUUUCUCAAGUUCACUAACUUUGCUCAAAGAACACAUUGUGAAAAUUAAUGUAUGGAUAAAAUAUAUUGAUGUGUGUUUCUUCUCAUAUUACUUUUACCACCCAAUCUGCUCUCCCUCCCCUCACUCUAAAUUAAGUAGAAAAACUGUAUAGCCUACACCCAGUUAUGGAUCUUAUGCAUUUAAUAAUAUGCAUGUCUUUUUAUUAACGCCCUGAAUGCAUAUCUUAAAGUUUUAAUAUACCUUAUCAUCUCACAAACUACAUAUCUUUUUCUUAUUUAGAUAUUAAACAACGAAACUUUGGGGAAGAGAACAGAAUAUUAUAAAAUAAGGAAAAAAGCUAGUCAGAGCAUCGAUCACUCAGAAGUUUUAAGAACAUAGAAUGGAAACCUUAGCUGGAAAUUUGAGACUGGUUAAUCUAAUGGCACAAUACAUUAAUCCUCUACGGUCCAUGUAUGGAAGAUUGUAAUAUCUGAUAUGUAAGGACUUUGAUUCGGUUUUAUGCUCAUACAAUAAUUAUUCAAGCUAAAGGCUAAUGGUCUGUAUCUAAGAUCCCAAGUUCGAAACUAAUUACUUCACAUUUCUAUUUUGAGUCUCAUUUUUUUUAAAAAAAUGCGACGAGCAGUAGUUUGCCACCGUUUCUAUUCAAAAAUUUAAACAAAAAAAAAGAAAAACCAAGGCACUAUACAAAAUUUUAUGGAAGAAUUAAACAUGUGCUAAACUUUAUAUUUUUGCAAUAAAAGCCCUCCCAAAAAACUUUAUCCAGUAGUUAAUAGGCUCCUCUUGUUAAUUGGAGUUUUCUUUCUUAAUGAAACGCUCAUUUUAGUUAUUUUCUUAAAAAAAAUUUUAUUCUUUUGUUUUAUAUUAUUUUUUUUAAUCCGAAUUAAGGCUAGGACUUUUGUCCUUAAUCAGUAAUUCUACUUAGGAUGAUUAUGCACUAGAAUAUUCGGUUUUAACUAUAAUUGGAUUAGAGAUUUGAGAAGUCAUAUAAGGUCAUGAGGAUCAUAUAAUCGCAGAUUUUUAGAGUUUUUAAUUUUUUCUCUCUCAGAAGAGAAUUAUUUACACACUAUUCCUCGUCAUCCUUUUGCCUUAAUUUCCAUCUUAAUCAUACUUUAUGUUGUGUCACUUGUUUAAGAUUAGUUAUGUUUUUCUAUUUAGUAAUUUGUAUUGUUAAUUUGUUCUAAUUAAUCAGUUUCGUUUACUAUAUAUUUUCAACUGCAUUUAAUAAUAUAUUUAAAGGUAGAAUCUUUGGCUCAAAUCAAAAAGGCGUUGACUUGAUUGGAUAAAGGGCAAAGUGGAAAUUCUGAGAAAUUUAAAAAAGAAUUAUCAUCAAUGUUUGAUUAACUCUGAUAAUUUCUUUAAAUUAGAUGGAUUGUUUGGGUAAUCCACAAUUUUUAGAGGGUUCUUAAUAUAAAUUAAAAGGAUAUCUUCGUGAACCCAAAAUAUUUCUCCAACUCUCGGCAUCCAAUAGAUAUUGCACAUGAGUAUAAAGAAGCAUAUUUUAUUUAAACGAUACAUAUGUUAUGUUAAAUAAAUUGCUAAAAAAAAAAAAUGAGAAGACGAGAGCAGAGAGAGAAGAGAUAGAGAGAGAGAGAGAGGGAAGUUGGAUCGCCUGUACCCGAUCAUAGACGACAAGCGAAUUCGCAGAUUACGGACAGGAGACGGCCGGCCAAGACACAGGCACGAACGGCAGACAACAGGCAUGACGGUGCUAGGGGACGAACGGCGGGCUCCCUGUCCGCAUGCACUAGGGAACGUCAAUUUCAUUCUGGAACUGAGUAUAGACUUGGAGGCGGAUGUUUUCGAGGAGCUUAAACAUCAUCUGGGAUAUGGAGUUUUCGAACGCACCGUCACACCCUCAAGCUCCAUUCGCAUGUAGAUGAAUCGUCCUUAAGCGCUAAGAAAAGUGACUGUCGGAACUCCGCUGACUGGACCUGCUCCAAGUUACCCUUCUUUCAGUCACAGGACGAACUCCCUACUNNNNNNNNNNNNNNNNNNNNNNNNNNNNNNNNNNNNNNNNNNNNNNNNNNNNNNNNNNNNNNNNNNNNNNNNNNNNNNNNNNNNNNNNNNNNNNNNNNNNNNNNNNNNNNNNNNNNNNNNNNNNNNNNNNNNNNNNNNNNNNNNNNNNNNNNNNNNNNNNNNNNNNNNNNNNNNNNNNNNNNNNNNNNNNNNNNNNNNNNNNNNNNNNNNNNNNNNNNNNNNNNNNNNNNNNNNNNNNNNNNNNNNNNNNNNNNNNNNNNNNNNNNNNNNNNNNNNNNNNNNNNNNNNNNNNNNNNNNNNNNNNNNNNNNNNNNNNNNNNNNNNNNNNNNNNNNNNNNNNNNNNNNNNNNNNNNNNNNNNNNNNNNNNNNNNNNNNNNNNNNNNNNNNNNNNNNNNNNNNNNNNNNNNNNNNNNNNNNNNNNNNNNNNNNNNNNNNNNNNNNNNNNNNNNNNNNNNNNNNNNNNNNNNNNNNNNNNNNNNNNNNNNNNNNNNNNNNNNNNNNNNNNNNNNNNNNNNNNNNNNNNNNNNNNNNNNNNNNNNNNNNNNNNNNNNNNNNNNNNNNNNNNNNNNNNNNNNNNNNNNNNNNNNNNNNNNNNNNNNNNNNNNNNNNNNNNNNNNNNNNNNNNNNNNNNNNNNNNNNNNNNNNNNNNNNNNNNNNNNNNNNNNNNNNNNNNNNNNNNNNNNNNNNNNNNNNNNNNNNNNNNNNNNNNNNNNNNNNNNNNNNNNNNNNNNNNNNNNNNNNNNNNNNNNNNNNNNNNNNNNNNNNNNNNNNNNNNNNNNNNNNNNNNNNNNNNNNNNNNNNNNNNNNNNNNNNNNNNNNNNNNNNNNNNNNNNNNNNNNNNNNNNNNNNNNNNNNNNNNNNNNNNNNNNNNNNNNNNNNNNNNNNNNNNNNNNNNNNNNNNNNNNNNNNNNNNNNNNNNNNNNNNNNNNNNNNNNNNNNNNNNNNNNNNNNNNNNNNNNNNNNNNNNNNNNNNNNNNNNNNNNNNNNNNNNNNNNNNNNNNNNNNNNNNNNNNNNNNNNNNNNNNNNNNNNNNNNNNNNNNNNNNNNNNNNNNNNNNNNNNNNNNNNNNNNNNNNNNNNNNNNNNNNNNNNNNNNNNNNNNNNNNNNNNNNNNNNNNNNNNNNNNNNNNNNNNNNNNNNNNNNNNNNNNNNNNNNNNNNNNNNNNNNNNNNNNNNNNNNNNNNNNNNNNNNNNNNNNNNNNNNNNNNNNNNNNNNNNNNNNNNNNNNNNNNNNNNNNNNNNNNNNNNNNNNNNNNNNNNNNNNNNNNNNNNNNNNNNNNNNNNNNNNNNNNNNNNNNNNNNNNNNNNNNNNNNNNNNNNNNNNNNNNNNNNNNNNNNNNNNNNNNNNNNNNNNNNNNNNNNNNNNNNNNNNNNNNNNNNNNNNNNNNNNNNNNNNNNNNNNNNNNNNNNNNNNNNNNNNNNNNNNNNNNNNNNNNNNNNNNNNNNNNNNNNNNNNNNNNNNNNNNNNNNNNNNNNNNNNNNNNNNNNNNNNNNNNNNNNNNNNNNNNNNNNNNNNNNNNNNNNNNNNNNNNNNNNNNNNNNNNNNNNNNNNNNNNNNNNNNNNNNNNNNNNNNNNNNNNNNNNNNNNNNNNNNNNNNNNNNNNNNNNNNNNNNNNNNNNNNNNNNNNNNNNNNNNNNNNNNNNNNNNNNNNNNNNNNNNNNNNNNNNNNNNNNNNNNNNNNNNNNNNNNNNNNNNNNNNNNNNNNNNNNNNNNNNNNNNNNNNNNNNNNNNNNNNNNNNNNNNNNNNNNNNNNNNNNNNNNNNNNNNNNNNNNNNNNNNNNNNNNNNNNNNNNNNNNNNNNNNNNNNNNNNNNNNNNNNNNNNNNNNNNNNNNNNNNNNNNNNNNNNNNNNNNNNNNNNNNNNNNNNNNNNNNNNNNNNNNNNNNNNNNNNNNNNNNNNNNNNNNNNNNNNNNNNNNNNNNNNNNNNNNNNNNNNNNNNNNNNNNNNNNNNNNNNNNNNNNNNNNNNNNNNNNNNNNNNNNNNNNNNNNNNNNNNNNNNNNNNNNNNNNNNNNNNNNNNNNNNNNNNNNNNNNNNNNNNNNNNNNNNNNNNNNNNNNNNNNNNNNNNNNNNNNNNNNNNNNNNNNNNNNNNNNNNNNNNNNNNNNNNNNNNNNNNNNNNNNNNNNNNNNNNNNNNNNNNNNNNNNNNNNNNNNNNNNNNNNNNNNNNNNNNNNNNNNNNNNNNNNNNNNNNNNNNNNNNNNNNNNNNNNNNNNNNNNNNNNNNNNNNNNNNNNNNNNNNNNNNNNNNNNNNNNNNNNNNNNNNNNNNNNNNNNNNNNNNNNNNNNNNNNNNNNNNNNNNNNNNNNNNNNNNNNNNNNNNNNNNNNNNNNNNNNNNNNNNNNNNNNNNNNNNNNNNNNNNNNNNNNNNNNNNNNNNNNNNNNNNNNNNNNNNNNNNNNNNNNNNNNNNNNNNNNNNNNNNNNNNNNNNNNNNNNNNNNNNNNNNNNNNNNNNNNNNNNNNNNNNNNNNNNNNNNNNNNNNNNNNNNNNNNNNNNNNNNNNNNNNNNNNNNNNNNNNNNNNNNNNNNNNNNNNNNNNNNNNNNNNNNNNNNNNNNNNNNNNNNNNNNNNNNNNNNNNNNNNNNNNNNNNNNNNNNNNNNNNNNNNNNNNNNNNNNNNNNNNNNNNNNNNNNNNNNNNNNNNNNNNNNNNNNNNNNNNNNNNNNNNNNNNNNNNNNNNNNNNNNNNNNNNNNNNNNNNNNNNNNNNNNNNNNNNNNNNNNNNNNNNNNNNNNNNNNNNNNNNNNNNNNNNNNNNNNNNNNNNNNNNNNNNNNNNNNNNNNNNNNNNNNNNNNNNNNNNNNNNNNNNNNNNNNNNNNNNNNNNNNNNNNNNNNNNNNNNNNNNNNNNNNNNNNNNNNNNNNNNNNNNNNNNNNNNNNNNNNNNNNNNNNNNNNNNNNNNNNNNNNNNNNNNNNNNNNNNNNNNNNNNNNNNNNNNNNNNNNNNNNNNNNNNNNNNNNNNNNNNNNNNNNNNNNNNNNNNNNNNNNNNNNNNNNNNNNNNNNNNNNNNNNNNNNNNNNNNNNNNNNNNNNNNNNNNNNNNNNNNNNNNNNNNNNNNNNNNNNNNNNNNNNNNNNNNNNNNNNNNNNNNNNNNNNNNNNNNNNNNNNNNNNNNNNNNNNNNNNNNNNNNNNNNNNNNNNNNNNNNNNNNNNNNNNNNNNNNNNNNNNNNNNNNNNNNNNNNNNNNNNNNNNNNNNNNNNNNNNNNNNNNNNNNNNNNNNNNNNNNNNNNNNNNNNNNNNNNNNNNNNNNNNNNNNNNNNNNNNNNNNNNNNNNNNNNNNNNNNNNNNNNNNNNNNNNNNNNNNNNNNNNNNNNNNNNNNNNNNNNNNNNNNNNNNNNNNNNNNNNNNNNNNNNNNNNNNNNNNNNNNNNNNNNNNNNNNNNNNNNNNNNNNNNNNNNNNNNNNNNNNNNNNNNNNNNNNNNNNNNNNNNNNNNNNNNNNNNNNNNNNNNNNNNNNNNNNNNNNNNNNNNNNNNNNNNNNNNNNNNNNNNNNNNNNNNNNNNNNNNNNNNNNNNNNNNNNNNNNNNNNNNNNNNNNNNNNNNNNNNNNNNNNNNNNNNNNNNNNNNNNNNNNNNNNNNNNNNNNNNNNNNNNNNNNNNNNNNNNNNNNNNNNNNNNNNNNNNNNNNNNNNNNNNNNNNNNNNNNNNNNNNNNNNNNNNNNNNNNNNNNNNNNNNNNNNNNNNNNNNNNNNNNNNNNNNNNNNNNNNNNNNNNNNNNNNNNNNNNNNNNNNNNNNNNNNNNNNNNNNNNNNNNNNNNNNNNNNNNNNNNNNNNNNNNNNNNNNNNNNNNNNNNNNNNNNNNNNNNNNNNNNNNNNNNNNNNNNNNNNNNNNNNNNNNNNNNNNNNNNNNNNNNNNNNNNNNNNNNNNNNNNNNNNNNNNNNNNNNNNNNNNNNNNNNNNNNNNNNNNNNNNNNNNNNNNNNNNNNNNNNNNNNNNNNNNNNNNNNNNNNNNNNNNNNNNNNNNNNNNNNNNNNNNNNNNNNNNNNNNNNNNNNNNNNNNNNNNNNNNNNNNNNNNNNNNNNNNNNNNNNNNNNNNNNNNNNNNNNNNNNNNNNNNNNNNNNNNNNNNNNNNNNNNNNNNNNNNNNNNNNNNNNNNNNNNNNNNNNNNNNNNNNNNNNNNNNNNNNNNNNNNNNNNNNNNNNNNNNNNNNNNNNNNNNNNNNNNNNNNNNNNNNNNNNNNNNNNNNNNNNNNNNNNNNNNNNNNNNNNNNNNNNNNNNNNNNNNNNNNNNNNNNNNNNNNNNNNNNNNNNNNNNNNNNNNNNNNNNNNNNNNNNNNNNNNNNNNNNNNNNNNNNNNNNNNNNNNNNNNNNNNNNNNNNNNNNNNNNNNNNNNNNNNNNNNNNNNNNNNNNNNNNNNNNNNNNNNNNNNNNNNNNNNNNNNNNNNNNNNNNNNNNNNNNNNNNNNNNNNNNNNNNNNNNNNNNNNNNNNNNNNNNNNNNNNNNNNNNNNNNNNNNNNNNNNNNNNNNNNNNNNNNNNNNNNNNNNNNNNNNNNNNNNNNNNNNNNNNNNNNNNNNNNNNNNNNNNNNNNNNNNNNNNNNNNNNNNNNNNNNNNNNNNNNNNNNNNNNNNNNNNNNNNNNNNNNNNNNNNNNNNNNNNNNNNNNNNNNNNNNNNNNNNNNNNNNNNNNNNNNNNNNNNNNNNNNNNNNNNNNNNNNNNNNNNNNNNNNNNNNNNNNNNNNNNNNNNNNNNNNNNNNNNNNNNNNNNNNNNNNNNNNNNNNNNNNNNNNNNNNNNNNNNNNNNNNNNNNNNNNNNNNNNNNNNNNNNNNNNNNNNNNNNNNNNNNNNNNNNNNNNNNNNNNNNNNNNNNNNNNNNNNNNNNNNNNNNNNNNNNNNNNNNNNNNNNNNNNNNNNNNNNNNNNNNNNNNNNNNNNNNNNNNNNNNNNNNNNNNNNNNNNNNNNNNNNNNNNNNNNNNNNNNNNNNNNNNNNNNNNNNNNNNNNNNNNNNNNNNNNNNNNNNNNNNNNNNNNNNNNNNNNNNNNNNNNNNNNNNNNNNNNNNNNNNNNNNNNNNNNNNNNNNNNNNNNNNNNNNNNNNNNNNNNNNNNNNNNNNNNNNNNNNNNNNNNNNNNNNNNNNNNNNNNNNNNNNNNNNNNNNNNNNNNNNNNNNNNNNNNNNNNNNNNNNNNNNNNNNNNNNNNNNNNNNNNNNNNNNNNNNNNNNNNNNNNNNNNNNNNNNNNNNNNNNNNNNNNNNNNNNNNNNNNNNNNNNNNNNNNNNNNNNNNNNNNNNNNNNNNNNNNNNNNNNNNNNNNNNNNNNNNNNNNNNNNNNNNNNNNNNNNNNNNNNNNNNNNNNNNNNNNNNNNNNNNNNNNNNNNNNNNNNNNNNNNNNNNNNNNNNNNNNNNNNNNNNNNNNNNNNNNNNNNNNNNNNNNNNNNNNNNNNNNNNNNNNNNNNNNNNNNNNNNNNNNNNNNNNNNNNNNNNNNNNNNNNNNNNNNNNNNNNNNNNNNNNNNNNNNNNNNNNNNNNNNNNNNNNNNNNNNNNNNNNNNNNNNNNNNNNNNNNNNNNNNNNNNNNNNNNNNNNNNNNNNNNNNNNNNNNNNNNNNNNNNNNNNNNNNNNNNNNNNNNNNNNNNNNNNNNNNNNNNNNNNNNNNNNNNNNNNNNNNNNNNNNNNNNNNNNNNNNNNNNNNNNNNNNNNNNNNNNNNNNNNNNNNNNNNNNNNNNNNNNNNNNNNNNNNNNNNNNNNNNNNNNNNNNNNNNNNNNNNNNNNNNNNNNNNNNNNNNNNNNNNNNNNNNNNNNNNNNNNNNNNNNNNNNNNNNNNNNNNNNNNNNNNNNNNNNNNNNNNNNNNNNNNNNNNNNNNNNNNNNNNNNNNNNNNNNNNNNNNNNNNNNNNNNNNNNNNNNNNNNNNNNNNNNNNNNNNNNNNNNNNNNNNNNNNNNNNNNNNNNNNNNNNNNNNNNNNNNNNNNNNNNNNNNNNNNNNNNNNNNNNNNNNNNNNNNNNNNNNNNNNNNNNNNNNNNNNNNNNNNNNNNNNNNNNNNNNNNNNNNNNNNNNNNNNNNNNNNNNNNNNNNNNNNNNNNNNNNNNNNNNNNNNNNNNNNNNNNNNNNNNNNNNNNNNNNNNNNNNNNNNNNNNNNNNNNNNNNNNNNNNNNNNNNNNNNNNNNNNNNNNNNNNNNNNNNNNNNNNNNNNNNNNNNNNNNNNNNNNNNNNNNNNNNNNNNNNNNNNNNNNNNNNNNNNNNNNNNNNNNNNNNNNNNNNNNNNNNNNNNNNNNNNNNNNNNNNNNNNNNNNNNNNNNNNNNNNNNNNNNNNNNNNNNNNNNNNNNNNNNNNNNNNNNNNNNNNNNNNNNNNNNNNNNNNNNNNNNNNNNNNNNNNNNNNNNNNNNNNNNNNNNNNNNNNNNNNNNNNNNNNNNNNNNNNNNNNNNNNNNNNNNNNNNNNNNNNNNNNNNNNNNNNNNNNNNNNNNNNNNNNNNNNNNNNNNNNNNNNNNNNNNNNNNNNNNNNNNNNNNNNNNNNNNNNNNNNNNNNNNNNNNNNNNNNNNNNNNNNNNNNNNNNNNNNNNNNNNNNNNNNNNNNNNNNNNNNNNNNNNNNNNNNNNNNNNNNNNNNNNNNNNNNNNNNNNNNNNNNNNNNNNNNNNNNNNNNNNNNNNNNNNNNNNNNNNNNNNNNNNNNNNNNNNNNNNNNNNNNNNNNNNNNNNNNNNNNNNNNNNNNNNNNNNNNNNNNNNNNNNNNNNNNNNNNNNNNNNNNNNNNNNNNNNNNNNNNNNNNNNNNNNNNNNNNNNNNNNNNNNNNNNNNNNNNNNNNNNNNNNNNNNNNNNNNNNNNNNNNNNNNNNNNNNNNNNNNNNNNNNNNNNNNNNNNNNNNNNNNNNNNNNNNNNNNNNNNNNNNNNNNNNNNNNNNNNNNNNNNNNNNNNNNNNNNNNNNNNNNNNNNNNNNNNNNNNNNNNNNNNNNNNNNNNNNNNNNNNNNNNNNNNNNNNNNNNNNNNNNNNNNNNNNNNNNNNNNNNNNNNNNNNNNNNNNNNNNNNNNNNNNNNNNNNNNNNNNNNNNNNNNNNNNNNNNNNNNNNNNNNNNNNNNNNNNNNNNNNNNNNNNNNNNNNNNNNNNNNNNNNNNNNNNNNNNNNNNNNNNNNNNNNNNNNNNNNNNNNNNNNNNNNNNNNNNNNNNNNNNNNNNNNNNNNNNNNNNNNNNNNNNNNNNNNNNNNNNNNNNNNNNNNNNNNNNNNNNNNNNNNNNNNNNNNNNNNNNNNNNNNNNNNNNNNNNNNNNNNNNNNNNNNAUUCUAUUUAUUUACUACUUUAUUUAUUUUAUUUUAUUUAAUUAUUUUAUUAUCUUUCUUAAUGAGAAAGAAACUAACGGAAUAUUUUCCGUUCCGUUUCUUUCGCAUUACGUUGGGCGGAUUCCGCUUCUCUCUCGUAAGAGAAAAAGCGUUAAAUUCCCUUUCUCUUUUCCUCCUCUGAUAUAAAACAGAGCAGAUAGAAAAGAUUUUUGAUCAUUGGUUAAUCUCUAUCCUUUUAUUCUUUUAUUUCUCAUUUUUGAACAUUCCCCUUAUCCUUAUCCACUGGGUGUUGAGAAUCUCCGUCAACCUCCUUCACGAUCGUGCUCGCAGAAUGAGGAAUUCCGGUCGUACCUUGGGGUGUUAUUUCCGGUUAAUCCCGCACGUAAGGACGGGAAUACGCCUUAGGGCAGUGCCUCGCACGCUUCCGGAUUAAUAUGUUGAUAUUCUUUUUCCACAAUUUUGGGAUUUAGCGAUUAUCUGUGAGUUGAUUUAUUUGCGUUUAUCUGUAUGUUUGUUUGUUUUUAUUUUUAUCACAAAGUUAGUUAGAUUUUAAUUGCAAUCGGAUUCCUAUGCGAUAUUUGUUCCAACAAUCUAAGGCGUAUUUCCCUAUCUGAUUGUGAUUAAAUCUGACGGUGCUAAUUCAUUAAAAUAUAUACAUAUAUAUUUUGCAUAUAAUUCUGUUUGACAACUUGCUUGUAUGUAUAUCAUUCAAAUUUAAAUAAAUUGGGAUUAACAUUUUUAAAUUCUAAUUGGAUAUUGUUUAUCUGCAAAUUAUUAUCUUUUUUAUUAUUAUUAUUAAAUUUUUUUUACCGUACGGAUCCAAUAGGGUGGAUUUCUUUUUUGCUACAGUAAAUAAAAUUUUAUUUAUGUACUGUUUGAGUUUUGCUAUUGUAAAACCCUUAAAAAAAAAAAAAAGUUUUACUGUUUUGUUAUAAAUUUUUUUUAAAAAAAAAAAACCCACUUGUACGGAUUAAAAAUGUUUGCUACUGUAAUUGUUUUUUAAGUGUGCGGUUUUUUAAGGUUUAAGUUUAAUUUAUUUAUAUAAAUAUACUAUUUUUUGAGAAAAAAAAAAUAUAUAUAUAUAUAUANAAUUGCUCAGCACACAGCUCGAACACUCGAACCUCGCAAUUCGCAAAGGUUCAGUGUGUUACAACGGAGGUGGUGGAGGAUCAGAGGAAAAAAAAAAAAAAAAGUCACGGCGCGGCCUUGGCGAGGUCGGAGGCGAGGAGGGCGAGGGGUGCGCGGGCGAGGACGAGGGAGUGAGGGGCAGAGGCGAGGCAUGCCGUUUCCCUUUCUGCCUCUGCCUCUACCUCCGCCUCCACCGCCUUCUUUAGAAUGAUAAAAAAGAAACGAGAUAAAAAAAAGAGAAAAGAGAAAAAAUAAUAAAGCCGUUUUGAUCAGUUUACUAAAAAUUUGAACCGAAUCUGUAAAAUCGAAAAAAACUACCUAAUUUUACAAAAGUUGAAAACUAGUAAGUUUUUUAUACAAAAAAACGUAAAAAAUUAAUAUAAUAAAUAAAAUAUUAAUAACUCUUGAAUCCAAUAGAUACAAUGUGCACUUCACGUUGAAGUGUACUGAUAUCAUUAUUUUUUUUUUCAUACAAAUAAAUAGGGGUGGAAAUGAGCCGAGCUCGAGCGAGCUUAUGUCAGCUCAAAUUUAGCUUGAAAUUAAUUUUGAGCCUAAAUCUAGGCUCAAGCUCGGCUUGAAAUUAAUUCGAGCCGAGCUCGAGCGAGCCUAAUUUCGAGUCGAGCCGAGCUCGAGCUCUAAACGAGCCGAUUGAAAUUCUCGACAUUAUAUAAUCAAUAGUUUAAUUAUUAUAGAACAUUACCUACAAUUUGAUGCAACAUGUCCAAUAGUUCAAAAUACAAAAUAAUUGCAAGAAAUGUGAGCUAGGGUGACUGCCUGACUGGGUGAGGGUCUGAGCGAGAGAGAAGAGAGAGAGAGAGAGAGAGAGGGGGAAAAAAUUAGUGAUUUGGGAAUUUGAAUGUUAUCAUGUUUUAGGGUUAUGUGCAACAGUGAAAGUUUGAAAGGGAGAGUGUGUUAUGUAAAUUUAGAGUUGGGCUCAACUGCACGGUUAUACUUGUUGGGUUUAUUUUAUGGGCCAACAAUAAUGGUCCAAAUUAAAUUAAAACCUAUAUAUAAUUAAAAUACAUUAUAUAUAUAUAUAUAAUAUAUAUAAAUAUAUAUAUAGUAUAUAAAUAUAUAUAACGUAGCUGAAUACUUUACAUAUACCAAUGAUACUUGUGUGUUUUUAGCCAUUGAUUUACUUUUUGGAUUACUAAUAGCCUUUGGAUCAAACACAUUCCACUACCACCACCUACCGACCAUUCAUCUCAACCCAACAUCUUCCAUCCAAGGGCUAAAAACAAACAAGUAUCACUUGGUGAUACUUACAAGUAUUCUAGCUCUAGCUAUAUAGUAUAAUAUAUAUAUAUAAUAUAUAGUAUAUUAUAAUUAUAUAAUAUAUAUAGUAAUAUAGUGAGCUACUAUGGCUAUCGAAGCACGGAGCCUUCUCGUGCUUUCCAGCGUCGUUCGAUGUUUGCGACUUCGAAUUGUCGAUCGCUCCGUUAAACUUGAUCUAGAGUAUUUGAAGUACUAGAAAAUAAAUUUUAUGAUUUUACGAUAUCUUUGCCUAGCUGAACAAGGCUCAAAAAAUCUACGCUCGAACAAUAAAAUCUUAACAAAUAUAAUAAUAUUAAUAUGAAUUUUAAAUCAAAGAUAUUGAUCUUGUUUUAUAUAGUAUAAAGAAUUUUCUAUCAAAAUUUCACGUGAUUUGGAUAUUUCUACACCGUUAAACUUGCAAACGGCUCACUACGGCCAUGAAAUUUGUUGAUUUUGAGCCCAUUCAAUCACUAGGCAAACGAUAUCGAAAAAUAAUAAAAUUUAUUUUCUAGGUACUCCAAAUACUCUAGAUCAAGUUUAACGGAGCCGAUCGACGAUUCGAAAGUCGCAACAUCGAAAACGAGCUGGAAGCACGGAAGGCUCCGUACUUCCGAUAACAUAGUAGCCUCACUAUAUAUAUAUAUUCUCGAGCUUUUCGAAUCUAAUUCGAACGAGCCGAGUAAUACUCAAGCUCGGCUUGAAAUAAAUUUCGAGUCUUUUAUUUUGUUUAAGCUCGACUUAUUUAAUUUCGAGUCGAACUCGAGCGAGCCGAAUAUCGAGCCGAACAUGAGUCAAACACGAGCCGGCUCGGUCGUUUGCCAGCCCUACAAAUAAUGUUAGUCGUGUUCUCGCAGCUACUAACGGCACCGGGUGGUAUCAGAUUCCACCAAUAAUUACCGGUCGUGGUGGAGCACCCGCAAGGCCCAUUACUUCCCUACCAGCAGGAUAAGUGUUUUAAAAAAAAAUACCUUUCCAACCAAUCAGCUUCCUCUCUCUGACACUCUCUUUCUCAGUCCGUAUAACUUGUCAAAUCCACGUUGCAACAAGAACAGUAAACUUAAUCUGCACCGUCCAUCACCCAUCACAGGCAAUCCCUUUCUCGAGAACUCCUUCGUGGUAAAUGUGAAGGUUUAAUAUCGAUAGACUUCCUCUGACAUGCCUGACUCGGAGAGAGAAAGAAUUGCCACAAAAAAAACGAAAAAAAACAAGCCCGAGUAGAAUUAAAAUAAUAAAUAUUAAAUAAAUAAAAAAGAGGAAGUACCAGCCAAACUUAACGGUACGAAAACACGAAAAAACUCCUCCCCAUUUAAUUCAUUCAUUUCCUCGUGGGUUUGCUUGUGGCUGCAACUCCAAAACAAAGAAACCUCCCUCUUCCUCCUCUUUUCCUCAUGGGUGCUCUGGAGGACGUAUGUAGCAAUCCGAUCGAUCGCAUGCUUAUUCCUAAUUAGAUUCGAUUUUUUUUUUUGUUCUCUAAGCUUAAUAAUUAUAUUUUCGCACAGGUUACUGAAAGCAGAGCGGCGGAGACGGGAGAAGAUAGGAAAGAAGAGAAAACAGAAGAAGAGAAAAUAGAAGAAAAGGAAGAAGAGAAGAAGAGGACGGAAGGAGGAGGAGAUGCUGAUGAGGUGGUGGUGGUGGUGGAUUCGUCAGAUCAUCAAAAUCAUCAGAGAAGGGAGUUGACAGCAGCGGCGACGGCGACGGCGACGGCGGCGACGGCGGCGACCGCGACGGUGUCCAGGCUGCACGCCCAGCAUCCGGUUCCUCCCAUCCAAGUCGUCUCCUCCGCCGCCUCGGCCUCCGCCUACCCGCCCAUCACACCAACCCCACCUCAAGUAAUUUUUUAUUGCUUAUUUAUUGAACUACCGAAUAUUCGUCAGUUCCUUUAUUUAAUUUCUUUUAGCUGACGAUGUGGGAAAAAAAAAAAAAGAGUUUUAGAUAUUUUUUAAUUAUUGGGUAAUCAGUGUAAUAUAUUUGUUUUAUAUAUAUAUAUAUAUAUAUAUAUAUAUAUAUAUAUAUAUAUAUAUAUAUAUAUAUAUAUAUAUAUAUAUAUAUUCGGUAUUUAAGGCUAUUCAGGGCGUUCUGGACCCGGACUCUCCGAAGGCGCGGCGCGAGAAGCGCGUCCUCCGGUUCUGGCUGCCCCCUAUCGAGGGCGCCGCAGCCGUCAGCAUCAUCCUCGCGUUCGCCUGGCAGAAGGCCGUCCGGACAUGGCCUUCCUUCAUGGUGACGUUCAUCCUCUGGUCGAGUUUUGCUUUCACCAUGGCCGCCGGCGUUCUGCUGCUCUGCUUCUCCCUCCCCGCCACCGCCGGCAUCGGCGUCGCCCUCAUCCUCUUCUCCAUCGGCACCGGCCUCUACGCCUGCUGGGUUACCCGCCGCAUCCCCUUCACCGCCAGGGUCUUCUCCCGCGCGCUCCUCCCCGCCGCCAAGUUCGAGGACCUCAACGGCCCGGCGUACCUCAUGGUCGGAUUGGGCUUCCUCUGGAUCUCGGUCUGGUGCCUGGGCGUGAUCGGCGCGCUGAAUUUCUACUACCCGGCGCUGACGAUCAUCGCGCUCGUUCUGAGCCUGAUGUGGACUGCGGAGGUGAUGCGGAACGUGACGAACCUGACGGUGAGCCGGGUGGUGGCGCUCUACUACCUGCGGGGGAUGCAGUCCAGCACGCAGUUCAGCUUCCAGCGGGCCGUGUCGCGGAACCUCGGCAGCGCCUGCCUCGGGUCGCUCUUCGUGCCGACCAUCGAGGCGCUCCGCAUCCUGGCCCGGGGGCUCAACCUGCUGGAGGGGGAGGACGAAUUCAUGUUCUCCUGCGCCCACUGCUGCCUCCACGUUAUGGAGUCCGUCUUUCGCUACGGCAACAGCUGGGCCUUCGUCCAUGUAAGUGUCAGGGCUAUUUCCGAGCCAGCUCUAUUAGUAAAUCUCAAUUCCAGGGGAACCUUAUUCGAUUCCUCACAUCAAUCGCAUAAAUCCCAAGCUCAGAGUGUCGUCUGGACGGUAGGAACUAAAUGACAUAACGAGUGUGAUCUAGAAGGUAGGAAGUAAUCAUCAAUCGAUUUCAACAACUACUUGAUUGUUCUGUGGCCCAUGCAGCACACCGCCGUCGGAACGAACCAGUCAAAUAUUCUCGAAUCAAUCGCUUUAAGUCUACUGUCCACACAUUCGUUCCUACGACUGAGCAUUCUACGCUAUCUCUCUCUUCUGUUAUUUCUGCCUGUUGAUUUUCUUGAAAUCUACUGCUGUUACUUCUCUCGGUUGAUCUGCUUGAUAUUUACUGUAUUUAUUAAUAAAAGAUAUUAAGACCGGAACGGUACUUAGUCGUCUUCUACUAACUCAAAUCUCACAAUAAAACAGUAAAAGAAAACGAUUCAUCAUUCAUCUUUUAUUCAAUCUGUGUACGUCCAAAUACUGAUGAUGCUGAAUGGGUUGGGUGUAUGGUUAAAAAGAUCGCGGCGUAUGGGAGGGGUUUCGUGGCGGCAUCGCAGAGCACGUGGGGGCUGUUCGAGAGGCAGGGGAUGGAGGAGCUGGUGGACUCGGACAUCACCAGCUCCGUCUGCUUCCUCACCGGUGUCUGCAGCGGCGCCAUCUGCACCAUCUUCGCUGCCUCCUGGACCUUCGCCACGCACAAGCACUACACCGCCACCGCCUCCCUCCUCGCCUUCUUCGUGGGCUAUCUCAUGGUACGAAAUUUCGCUACGUCUCCCCCUUUCUUUCUUCCUUUCUUCCGCCUUCGUCCAUAAAUAUUACGAGCUGAGCUGAUUUUGAUACUGCUGGACACAUUAAUUGAAUCUUAUCACUAUCUCCUAUGACUGAAUUGAAUCAAAUUCAUCAUCUUUCUUAGUAUAACCUCCCUUCAUAAUUAGUUCGGAGGUUAAUUUGAUGUUGUUUUUAUUGAGUAUGUUGUAGGAUUUCUCUUGUAGGUUGCUGAUAGAAUUGAGCUAGAAUAUUUUUAGAAGCACCAACCUCUUAAUACUUUUAAGUUUCUAGCCCUUAAAUCUAUUUCUUGAUUACUACUAGUCUUUGAAUCAAAUACUAUUUCACUUACCACCAUCUAUCACCAUCAUCACAACCCUACAUCUCUCCAUCCAAGAAUUAAAAAUUCACAAGUACUAUAAUUUUGGGAGUAUUCCAGCUCAACUCGUUCUAGCUCAACUCGUUGCUGAUAUGUCCUUAAGUACUAUAAUUUUUUAAUAUAUUUAUAUAUGCAGUUUGAAAAUGCUAUACAUAUCUGCUGAUACAUUAAAAUGGCAACUCCCUAGCAAAGAAACAUAUUUGCUCUAUUAGACUCGUUUUAAAGUGUUGCAUUUUUCUGGACGGUGGAUUUCUUAUAUUCACUUUCAUUCAAGGAUUUUGAUUAGCAACAAAAAAUUCAAAAUGUUAACUGAUCAAUACAAUAAAUUUCAGUUGUUCAACCGUUAUGUUUUUAAAAAAUGAUGAAUUUACCAACUUCUCUUUCAUCAUUGAUGCUCAUUGUUACCCAAAGGUAGGCUAUAUAUUAUCCUCGUUGAAUUAUUUUAAAAAUGCGAAGACGAAUAAAAAUAAUGCUGCAUGCACAGACGAGGAUAGGGAUGGCGCUGCCGCAGGCGUGCGUGGCGUGCUACUAUGUGUGCUUCGCGGAGAACCCAAGCCCUCGGCUGUUCGAUUCCACCAUCCCCGACCGCCUCGUCACUAUCCGCACCGGCCGGGAGGCCAUGGUGACCACCCCUCGCUUCCCUCGCCGCAUUUCUACCGCCUAAGAUUUUUCUAUAUCAUCGUACGCUGUUUGAUCUCGGCUGCAAAGAAGGAAAGAAAGAAAGAAGAAACCAAGAAAGAGGACUGCUUCGCGGUGUGUCCGCCGCUGCAGCCAUCGACCAUCUAAGGUCUGCAGACUGAUCUUCUCAAUUUCAAAUAAUUUUUAACCUUCAAAUUUUGUUUAUUAUUUUUUCUAAGGGUUAAUUUAAUAAAAUUUUCUGUAAAUAUAUCAAAUAAUAAAUAUAUUUUUACAUAAGCUCAAUGAUAUUUAUAUUUGUUCUUCUGGUUUACCGUUAGAGCCCGGCUUAUUUUUUGAGUAGAAAAGUAAAAUUUUUAUUUUUAUCGUUACAAAUAUGUUUCUUCAAAAAUUUUAAUUAUUAAAAUUAUACAGUAAUAUUCGUUUAAAAAUUUUCAACUGGUAUUUUUAUUUUUUCUACCAUCACAAAUAAUAUAAAAAAAAAUUAAAAAAAUUGUCAAAUCUAUCUCAUUCAUAAAGUUUUUGAUUAAGUAUUUUAUUUAUAAUUAAUUAUAUUUUUUAAUAGAUUCUAGCAAUAUCGGUGUAUUUGAAAAUAUAAAAUUUUUAUAAAAAUAAUAUAAAAAAUUAAAUUUUGUAAAAAUAUAUUUAUAAUUUUAUAAAUUUACCAACAACUGUAUGCAAUUAUAUUUUUUUGAGUUAAGGUUGUAAACAUUUUAUGGGAUUGUAGCUUUACUGUUGGACUUUACGGAAAUCUAGUUUUCCGGCCGAAAAACUAUGCUGAGGAAAGAAAGAAAAUGACCCUUUCUGCAGCUGACGUGACGGAGCCGGUCCGCACAAUAAUGUAUCCUGGGAACGGGAGGUUCCAGACUGCCCCGCACGCAACUUCCUGGGCUCGGACGGUCUGACCGGGAAUUGACCGUCAAAGACGAGCGGCAGCGGAUUUCUAUCGCAUCGGUGAAAAGUCUUCUCCUGCCUGUCGCUGUUUUUUUUGUUUACAAUGAAAAGGUUCGAGUUUUGUGACAUUGUGAUGUUAAGGCGCGUGUAUUAGCCGUUGUUGUAAAGAUGUAAAGAAAUGGUUUAGAUUUUGGCAGUUCAUUCCGCCACUGUAACAUAUUUUAUUUUAAUAAAUGAUAAAAUUUAUGCGUACAAGGCUGUUUCAAGUAUAAUAGAAAAAGAUAAACUUCAAAUAUCAUUUCAGUAGUUUCAUAGUUUUUUACUUUUUACUUUAGUAUCAUGUCAUAUGAUUUAAAGUGUAUCAAAUUAGUAUCAUGUGGUUUUUUUUUUUUAUUUCUUCGCCAGCUUCUCCGUUAAUAUUUCGUUAAAUUAUAUAUAAAAAACUUUAAAUAUUCCAUCUAGAUUUAUCGAAUAUUCACUUUAGUACUUUAUAGUUUUAACUUUAUCACUGAUUUAACGAAAAAAAUUAGUAGAAUCGAUAAUAAAAAAAUAAAAAUAAAACCACUGAGCACAAAUUAAUAAACAUUAAAUCACAAAAUGUUAAAGUGAGAAAGUGCGAAACUACAGAGAUGGUAUUUAAAAUUUUUUCUAAUAAAAAAAGAUGAGCACGGUAGACUUAAUUAGGUCAAUAAAGUUUGACUUGACUGAUUUUUUAUUUUAAAAAAUUUGAUUUGAUCUAAAAUUUUAUUUUUCUUAAUAAAUUAAAUAAGCCAAAAUAUUUUUUAGGUUGAAAACUAAACUAUAUAUUAUCUAAAAAUAUUUUAAAAAGAAAAAUGAAUCUUUUGUAUUUAGUCUAAUAAAUUUUUACCGUUAUUUUCUUUUAAUUUUUUAAUAUAAAUUAAAUUUGAAUAUAAAACGUUUUAAUUCUUCAAACUUGCAAAUCUAAAUUGUUGGUUUAUUAUAAUCCUGAAGGCACGCAACUUAAAAUUAUGCAAACUGACCAAAUCGAACUGAACUGAACCAAAAUAUUUUGGUUCAGAUGAUUGUCAACUUGAAGUAAAUAGUUUGAUCGUUUGGUUCGGAAAAUUAUUAAAUCAAAAAAUUAGUUUCGUUCAGUAAUUCACUAAAAAUUGACCGAAUUAUCUCUCCUAUUCUAUAAUUCUACCAUUUUCCACAUCCUUUGGAUGAUUGGAGACAUGUAUCACGUGUUCAGUGGUUUAAUGGUCCCUCAGUUUUUUAUUAUUACUUAAAAAAAAAAAGAGAAAAGAAAAGAAAAGGAUUUGGUGACUUGCUUUUCCAAGUGGAGCACUUCUUUUAAACUAGUAAAAUCGUAGCACUACACGGCAAAUCUUUAUUUUUUAACAAUAAAAUAAACAAAUUGUGUCUUUUUAUAUUAAGCUUUCAUUGGAUUUUUAUAUUUACUUUUUAUUACAACACUAUCUAUUUCCCUUAUUAUCCAAUCCAUACCGAUUGUCCCUAGCGUAAAUGGCAAAGGACUUUGUGGUUAAUACCUAAGGUCUCAAGUUCGAAUUCUAAUUGAUUUACAUUUCUAGUUAAGUUUAUUUUUAAAAUAAAUAAACGAAAUGAGUAACAUGUUACCUUUCUCUCAAAAAAAUUAUUAUAUACAUUGAAUAUAGACAAUACUAAAUUUAAAAACUCUAUUUAAAAGUAAUAUUUUAAUUUAAUUUGUUAAAUUUGCCUAUAUAUAAUUUUGUAAAAAAGACUAAUAAAUUAUUAAUUAUGUGCAUGGCUUAAUCCAAAUCUAAAUUUAUUAAGGCUUAGUUUGGUAUUGAGGUCCAUCUGACGCUAUUAGAUAAAAUGGAGUAGGGGUAAAAGCUUUAUAUGGUUCUACAUUCUCUGGUUGUACCGUAGAAAAUAUAUCGUAACCGACUCAUCGAGAUAUGCGAAACGUAAUAUUACGUACGAAAACAAACCGGAUAUUUUCCCAUCGUACUUUCUCACAGCAAGUAACACAAUCUCCCCGCAAUCUCAAACUAAGCCUAAAAUAAAUUAUUAAAAGAUAAAAUGUAAAUCUAACUAACUUAUAAUGGUGUGCAAAACUGGAUACACCGGGUCACGGCAAAUGAGCGGAGAGUAACUCGGCUGUAGUAUUUGUCCCAUCUAGUCAUUUUGGAUGAUCAAAACUCUAAUCGGCACCGUUAAAAUUGUGAGACCCCAAAUAGUCCUAUGUAUAAGAUAUAAUAGGGCUAAAAUUCUUAACGGGGUUGUAAUAUUUUGAGUGGUGGCUAGGCCCAAAAAAUUAAGAAAGUUAAGCGAGACAGGAUUAAAGUAGUCCUAAGAUUGGUGACCCCCUGGGAAUUAACUAGGCUGUAGUAUUUUGGGCGGUGAUUAGUUCCAAGAAAUUAAGAGAGUUAAGCAUACUAGCACUAGAGUAAUCCUAAGGUGGGUGACCCCCUAGAAGCAAGGCGUCAUAGUUGGUAUCAGAACCAAUCACCAGUUUGAAAUAUGAGAUGUGUCUCGGCUAAGUCAGGAUUACACAGCAGACAAAGUGCGGCUCCCCCGGCUGUUGACUGUUGCGGAUAGAGCGCGGCUCCCCCAGCUGUUAACCGUUGUGGUGGAGUGUGGCUCUCCCACAAGAUCGGUUAAGACUAGCGAUACGAGUCUCACAUCACUUGAUACUUAUGAGUCUGAGCCUGAUAAGAACGUCAGGGCUUAAAGGAGAGAAGAAUAUAAAACCCGAGAUAGUCCUAUAUAUAAGAUAUAAUAGAACUAAAACUCUUAAUUCGGCUGUAACAUUUUGGACGGUGGCUAGUUCCAAGAGAUUAAUAGAGUUAAAUAUUCUAGGGCUAGAGUAGUCCUAGGAUGGGUGACCCCCGGAAAAGUGGGGUGUCACAGAAAUUGAUCUACACUAUUAAAAAUACUUAGAAACUGAAUUUUGUAAUUUCUAAAAAUUAUUAUUAAAUUGAUCAAAGAGUCAAAAAAUGAAUGGUCAAAAAUGAUUAACCUUCUGAAAAUAGAGUUUAGACUUUCCCAAUUCAUGAUUGGAGUUAUUAAACGUUAUCUAAAUAGUAUAAAAAUUUUCUAUCAAAAAUUCCAACAGUUUGAACUGCUUUGUACCGUUAAACAAGCAAACAGCUCAUAUAGGCUAUAAAAAAUUAUCAAUUUUGUGAUCCUUUGAUCACUACAUAAAUAAUUUUUAAAAUUAUGAAAUUUAGUCAAGUACUCUGGAUCAAUUUUCACGAUUCCGAUCAUCAAUGUCGAAUCUCUAUCAUCUAAAAUGACUUGAUAGGACGUAGGUCUUCGUCUUCCUAAAAUGAUAGCUAUAUAUAUAUAGAGUGCGUCUAGUAUGCUUCUGGAAGCAUGGAGCGCUCCGUGCUACCAAGAUGUUUUCGAUGUUCAGACUUUCGAAUCGACGAUCGACUCCGUUAUACUUGAUCUAGAGUAUUUGAGUAUCUAGAAAAUAAAUUUUGCGAUUUUUCGAUAUCAUUUGCCUAAUGAUCGAAGUGGCUCAAAAUCAACGACUGAAAAUAAAAAUCUUACAAAAUAUGAUGAUAUGAUAUUAAAAUUUUAGAUCAAAGUUAUUGAUCUUGUUUUAUAUGGUAUAAAGAAUUUUCUAUCAAAAUUUUAUGUGAUUUGAAUAUUUCUACACCGUUAAACUUGCAAACGGCUCACCACGGCCAUUAAAAUUAUUGAUUUUGAGCCCCUUCGAUCACUAGGCAAAUGAUAUCGAAAAAUCACAAAAUUUAUUUUCUAGAUACUUCAAAUACUCUAGAUCAACUAUAACGGAGCCGAUCGUCGAUUCGAAUAUCCGAACAUCGAAAACAACUUGGAAGCACGGAUGGCUCCGUGCUACCAGAAGCAUACCAGCCCACUCUAUAUAUAUAUAUAUAUAUAUAUAUAUAUAUAUAUAUAUAUAUAUAUAGAAUUAGGCUGGAAUACUAUUACUAGUAAAACGCUUUUUUUGCUAUCAAGUUGUUAACCCUUGGAUGAAAAAUUAUAGGGUCAGGAUGAUAUUAGUCGGUUAGAGUUGAAUGGUCCCCCUAGGGUUGAGUGGUCCCUACUGGGUUAUAGUAUUUAAUCCAAUGGUUAGAAAUAAUAAAAAGAGUUGAUCCAAAGACUAAAAAACUGGUAGCAACAAUGAGAUUUUGCUACUAAUAGUAGCCCAGUCCAACUCUCUCUCUCUCUCUCUCUCUCUCUCUCUCUAUAUAUAUAUAUAUAUAUAUAUAUAUAUAUAUAUAUAUAUAUAUAUAGAUAUAGUUGAGCUAGAAUACUCCCAAAAGCACCAAAGGGAGUGGUGCUUUUGAGUUUUAGCCAUUGGAUGAAGAGAUGUAGGGUUGAGAUGAUGAUGGUAGGUGGUGGUAGGUGGAAUAGUGUUUGAUCUAAAGGCUAUUAGUAAUCAAGGAGUAGAUCCAAGGGCUAGAAACCUAAAAGCACCAAGAGCUUAGUGCUUCUAAAAGUAUUCUAGCUCAAUUAUAUAUAUAUAUAUAUAUAUAUAUAUAUAGAGAGAGAGAGAGAGAGAGAGAGAGAGAGAGAGAACUAGGCUGGAAUACUAUUAAUAGCACCAAUGACUUGGUGCUAUUAUGUUUUCUGCCCUUGGAUUAAAAGAUCUGUGGUUAGGGUGAUGUGGGCCCCCUAGGGUUGAGUAGGUGGUCGGUUGAAUAGUAUAAUCGAACGGAUGAAAAUGAUAAAAGAGGUAAAUCUAACGGCAGAAUAUAUAUAUAUAUAUAUAUAUAUAUAUAUAUAUAAUAUAUAAUUAUAUUAUAUUAUAUAUUAUAUAUAUAUAUAUAUAUAUAUAUAUAUAGAGUGAGGCUACUAUGCUAUCGGAAGCACGGUGCCUUCCGUGCUUCCAGCCGUUUUCGAUAUUGCGACUUUCGAAUCGUCGAUCGGCUCCGUUAAACUUGACUAUGAGUAUUUUGGAGUACCUAGAAAAUAAAUUUUUAUUAUUUUUCGAUAUCAUUUGCCUAGUGAUCGAAUAGGCUCAAAAUCAACAAAUUUCAAUGGCCGUAGUGAGCCUGUUUGCAAGUUUAACGGUAUAGAAAUAUCCAAAUCACGUAAAUUUUGAUAGAAAAUUCUUUAUACUAUAUAAAACAAGUAUCAAUAUCUUUGAUUUAAAAUUUUUAAUGUCAUAUUAUUAUAUUUGUAAGAGUUUUAUUUUUUAGCCAGUUGAUUUUGAGCCCCUUCGCUUCACUAGGCAAAUGAUAUAUCGUAAAAUCAUAAAUUUAUUUUCUAGGUACUUCAAAUACUCUAGAUCAAGUUUAACGGAGCCGAUCGACAAUUUGAAAGUCGCAACAUCGAAAACGAGCUGGAAGCCACGCGAAGGCUCCGUGCUUCCGAUACCAUAGUAGCCUCACUCUAAUAUAUAUAUAUAUUAUAUAUAUAUAAUAUAUAAUAUAUAUAUAUUAUAUAAUAUAUAUAUAAUAUAUAUAUAUAUAUAUAAUGAGUCUAGCUACUAUACUAUCGAUAAUAUUAAGUGCUUGAUGCUAUCGAGUUUUUCGUCGUUAGAUCUACCCCUUUGACCAUUCCAUCCAUAGAUCACACUGUUAACCAACCACUCACUCAACUCUAAGGGACACUAUCAUCUUAACUAUACAUCCCUUCAUCCAAUGGCCAAUGGCCAAAAACUUAAUAGCACCAAUGACUUGGCGCUAUCAAAGUAUUAGUAGCCUAAUUAUAUAUAUAUAGUAUAUAAUAUUAUAUAUAUAUUAUAUAUAGUGCAGUUACUACUCUUAUGAGUAUAGUAGAUGUUGUGCUCAUAAAUUUAUAACCAUGGAUAUGUUUCAAGAUCUAUGCCAAACUAAUAGCUAAAGGCGUGACGAGGGGAAACGGAGGAAAGAAACCUGUCCCACUCUCGAGGCUUUUUCCUUUCUCGGAAAACACUCUCUGACCCCUACCUUCUUCAUCCUCUCAGAUGAUCAAUCUUUUCCUUCCUCUAGCACCACCACCGUUCUCUCCCAAUAAGGCCAGCAUGACCCCAACACAACCACCCAGCAUACCCAUUCCACGCAUGCCGUGCCUGCUCCAUAACGCGAGCUGCGCGACGCUACCGCAACCCUCCCAACCUUAAACCUUUUCUAAAAAAAAGAUUAAUUACUUUUCCAGCAAAUUGAAAGUAGAUUACCUUUUCCAUCAAAAUUGAACACUUUUUCUAAUUCCUAGUAAGCACUUCAAGUAUAAUUUAUUAUAAUUUAUUAUUUAAACUUCGACAAAAAGCUGUAAUUGCAUCUAGUCAAAGGGAUAGUUAGUCAUUUAAAAAUACAAUGAGUUAAGGGUCAAAAAAAAAUAUAGAGGAUGUUCUUAACUCAAGAAGAAGAUAUGUUAUUAUCAGUUUCGUAGAUUGAAAGGAUGACUAGUGUAACCUAGAUCUAUUCUUGAAAAAAUAAACUAAUUAGAUAUGCAACAAUCAAGUAAUACUAAAAUUAAAGGGAAAGAAAAAAAAAACUAAAGUUCUAGACAUGCUUCUCUCUAUCCAUAAAUUUCAUAUUCAUAUGUCAAAAGGAGUUUGAUUCAUAGUAUGUAAGGCUCUCUUUUUUGCUAUGUUAGGUGUGUUUCGACUUUUUUUGUCCGAGACAAUUAAGCAUGCGUAUUUCUUAAACCUCCAGAUCUACAGCAUCCAUUGGACUAAGAAGUUUUGUAACAUACUGAACUUAGCAAAUUGCAAGAUUCUGAGUGUUUGAUUAGUUUCAUUUGAGCCUUUUGCGGUUUUCUGUAUGAUCGUUGACUAUGUUCCGACCAUGACUCGAGGGUGAAACUUAGGCGCCAAAACUCUAAAAUGAAGAAUUUGGGCUGCUCUCGGGUUUUGACUUGCAGAGCAGAAUACGGUACUGCAUCGGUAGAGUACCGUACUGACUGUGUACCGGUACUAACAUCACGAUGGUACCGGUACCAGUGAUUUUCUCGCAGACCUGAGGCUCGAGUUCGCGCGUGCUGCUCCGCCUAGUACAGUACCCAUCCCGUGCUCACCAGUACAUAGUGCAGUUCGCAGACUACUGAUUUCUUUAGGGUUCUCUCUGUAAUUGUUGCAACACUUUAUAUACCACUACACCCUUUGGCUGGGGCUUCUUGUGCUGCGAACCAGAAGGGAGAAGACGUAGGGUUCCUCUUCCUUUUUCUUGAAUUUUUUUCCUCUCUUUUGCUUUGGAUUUGAGGUUUAUCUCUCCACUUGCUUCCUCUUUGCAUUUGUGACCCUUUCACCAUUGGAGAAGCUUUGGGCUUGGAUUAGAGCCUUUUGGAGGAAGAUUUCUAACCCUAACUCACUCCUAGCUUGGUUUGCAACUUCAAGAGAGGUUAGUAGCUUUAAUUUUUCCUUGAUUCACCUUUUAGUCGAUUUCUUGUGAUGAAACUCUAGUUUUGUAGAUAAAUAGGGUUUGUUUGCGGGCUUUUAUUUGGAAGCUUUUGGGUUGGAAUUGAUGAGUGUAGAACACUCUUGUAAGUUGGAUUUGAAACUUGGGAAGCUUCGAUUUUGAGCUUUGGACAAGUGUAGCUUGAUCAAAGGUUGUAAGGACUGAGAUUUUGGCAGUGUGUAGCUAAACCCUACUUGUGACGAUGCUUUUUGUAAUUAUCUGGUCUCACGCGAUUCGAUACAUAAAUAUAAUGACUUUUUGCAAAUUUCGAAUUCCACCUUCGACCUCUUAGCGAUAACUUUGCAAUUACUGGAGAUCCAUCCGUCGGCAUUUUCAAUCCGACAGUGCCAUCGCCGUUCAGCAUGACGAAGGCAUCAAAACUACAAUUCGUUUCAUUCGAAUUGGUCGCGAUUGCGACAAAACCCAUCCUUAUUACAUACCACCAUAUAACACACAUAUAUAACCAUAUAUAUUAAAAUCCAAAAAAACCCUUUUUCUCAAAAACCGCUGCGAUUAGAUAUGAAAUCGUCGGUGCCAUUGGUUCCAGAAUAGCUGAACCGUUCAAAACGAGCUAUUGGAUCGCUAUGAAUGGAGUCUGAUACGCCCGCCAGAAGCCAACUCUACUCAUCAGCCUUCCGGAAAAAUCGGAGUUACUAUUCACUUAAAGUGAAUAGUAUUGUAUGCGUAACUCUCGGUCUAACCGUUUUCUCCUGAGACUUGACGAGUGCUUUUGUAAUUAAAAUACACACAAAAACAUCGUCAACAGAGGGUUUAGCUACACUGCCAAAAUCUCAGUCCUUAAACAAAGGUAGUUUUUCACCUUAUUGUGUGUAUGUUUUUCGAAAAUGUUCAAAUAGUCCUUUUGGGUGUUCAACCCUUUAGAAUUUUUCUUAGGUGGUUAGAAGUUCGGUGGACAAUUCGUUCGAAAGAGACGAAAGGGUUCAAGUGCUUCCGGUGCGGUUUAACCUACCGAAAUGGAUGAACUCUCCCUAGUCUUUCUGGUUGUAAGACAUAAUUAAAGUGCUUUUUCAUACUCAAUAUGACAUGCCUAGAAUUUAGAGAACGAUAAAUGGACAUGUUAUAUUAGUGAUGAAAUUUUCAUGCGUUAUUUAGUAGAGGCAUAUAUGUGGACUUGAGCAUAAAAGACACUUUAUAAUGAACUCUCUUUUAUGCAACCUUAGAAGUAUGUUAGAGUAUGGAAUGAUGGUAUAACCCUAGGUAGGGACCUAGUGAAUGGGUUAGUUAAAAGUUAUCUUACAUGAUGACAACAUUAUACUUGUUAUAGACAAGGCGAAUGAACUUAGCAUUUCUUGCAUUAUAUUUGUUAUUAGACAAGGUAGUUGUGAUUGGUGAGAUAGAACAUGAUAAAGUCAUCAUGAGUUAUACUUAGGCUAUUCAACCUUAGUUGGACAACUAGAUCUUAACAUAUGACACGGUUUAGCUGAUGCAUUUUAAGGUAGUGAAUAAGUAGGGUUGACAUUGUGAUAUUAUAUGCGGUCUAGGGAUCGAUAGUUGCAUUCAUGUAUUGGACAUGAGGAUAGUGUUUGGAGGAUGCCUUGGGCGAAAGACAAGAUGGAUAAUUGCAUUGUAGCAUUAAUUGUAUGAAAUCACUGCAUGAUAGUUAUAUCCAUGUAGUGGAGGCAUUUGUGGAAAAGUAAUAUGCAUGACAUCUAUCAUGGACAUUGACAUAUCUUAUAGACCUAUGAAUAUAGCAUGAGAAAGUAAUUUCCUUAGCUAUAGUGGAAUGGUCUAAGUGCAAACUCUCAUUGAAACUUGAACAAUAGUGAUGUCACGGCCCGGGACCAGCGGAAGCCCGCCCGGUACGCUGCCCAGACCCGCCAUAUGCCUACAACAUAUAAGGCGUCUACAACAAAGCGAUAAUUAAAACAAAAAUACACAACAUCUAGUGAUAUCAGAGCAUGAUUUAAUAGGUUCUGAAGCAAGUGAAGAGAUAAAAGCACUAAUCAACUAACAUAAUCCAUAGAGAUUAAAAGCAGCAAGUCCAACAAGCGGCUAGAUAAACAAAAAUAGUGGUCUCUACAUCAGGUACAAAAACUCUCAUCCUCUCCAAAUAAAAACAAAAGAAAGUAACCAACCUAAAUAGCGAAGCUCCUCACAACUAGCUCGACGCAAUACCCUUGCCGUGAUCCUGAGCCUCCCAGCGCUGGAAGGUUCUGAAAUAAACAACAAAGAGAUGGCGUGAGAACUAUUAAUCAAUAGUUCCAGUGGGCAAACCGCCGACCUUAGGCGAAGACACCACGAGGCUAAAGAAGCGAAGUUAGAAUAUUCUAGCAUUUAAUUGAAAGACCAUAUGAUAUAAUAACAUGAAAUGAACUGUGCUAGCUACUAUGCCUUUACAUAGCAUGAAGUUUUACAAAUAAAAUAGCUAGUCUAGUAUGAAUGAGUAUAACAUAUUGAGAUAUUAGUACUGCCCAAACAUGUUCCAAUAAGUAUAUACUAUGCGUCAAGUGAGUCUUGUGAGAUAUGGAUCCCGAGGAUUCUAAAAGGUAAGUAACACCUAGAGGGGGGUGAAUAGGUGUAAAAACGGCAAAACUCAAAAACUCUCGAUGCGAAUAAAACAAAAUAACGGAAAAGAAAAAGCACAGCCGAGAAUUUAACGUGGGAAAACUCCAAAACGGAGUGAAAAACCCACGGACCAAUCACGCAAAGAAAUCCACUAAGAAACAUGAGUACAAGUGAUAUGACAAUCACGACUCAAUUUACCGAUUUGCCCGUAGAUGACGAUCUUUGCCGGUCCUCGAUCGAUAAGAAUCCUCCAAUCGACCUUGCCGCAACUCCCGCAGCGGCGUCACGCUCAUCCUCGAAGCGUGUCCACCGAAAUCCUCGGCCUUCACGCCAAGAUCCACGCGUCGAACCUCUUCCGGAGCUUGUAGAAUCGAAGAUUCUGUGAUGAUUUAACCUUUUAAUAACAUAAGCUAUGAGGGUUCACCUUUAAUCAAACAUCUACUUUGAUUCUCGUAUGGUUAUCGAGUAAAAACGAGAAUCCAAGCCGAUGUUGAUUGUUGAAACGUCGGUGUGAAUCAAAGCAUUGAGAACGAAGAAAAGUAAUUUCUAGGGUUUAGAAUCAGUAAAAAUUUAAAGCCUUAACUUUUUGAUGACCCCAUAGCUUAUUUAUAAUGUUUAGAAGAUUAGAAGUGACUAGGACUGCAAAACUCUUUUUUAAAAAACCGUGUGCGUCCUCAGAGACCGGGUCUCUCGAUGAGACCGGUCUGUGUGAGACCGGUCUCUCAAGUGAGGAACCGGCCCCCUCGCUCCUGCGGUGGGACCAAAAUCACAACGUUCCGGAACCGGUCUCUCAAGCUUGAGACCGGUCCCUUGCUUGCGUGACAGAAUAUCAUCAAACGUUCGCGGAACCGGUCUCUCAUCACAGGGACCGGUUGCCCAAUCGAACUCACGCAGUGAUGACCUAAGGGAACCGUGUCUUUCCAUUUCAGGGACCGGUCCCAGAACACAUGAAAGUUCAGAAAAUUGUUUUAAAGCAUCUAACCUUCUGAACUUAUUCUAAUUAGGUAUCUUCACCACAAAAUGAUCUUUUUCUUCAUACCUUAGGUGUCGAGCUUUCCCGAAAUGAGUUUUUGUUCUUCAAUUUGAAUCUUUUCUUCAAAACUUCUGCGAUCAAUUCUUCAAGACUCCAACCAACUUUACGAAAUUCGCCAACCUAUAAAAUCCGUAAUAAUCUCCCCCUUUGGCGAUUUCGUGACAAAAUAUACUAUAAAUUCGUACAUAACGUAGUAACAAUAAAAAGAAGAUCAUCGCAAUCACCAAACGAUAAUCUCCUGCAUGAUCGAUCCAAUAAACGAAAAUUACAAUUUUCAUAAUCUUAAUACAAACUCUAUGACUUAGACAUGGAGUCUUGAAGUCUUGAAUUAUUCCUGCAAAAACAUUCUCAAAACAUAAUCAAGAUUCAAGUAUCAAGAUCAAACAAAGUAUCAAGUCAUAGUUCAUAAUCAAACACCUAAAGCACUAACUAAACAGAGUUCAUCUAAAGUUCAUUUAAACAAAAUGCAUCAAACAUCAUCAUGAAGCUAAGCUAAAAUGCAUCAUCAACAUCAAGAGCCACCAUCUCCAUCUCCCCCUUUUUGUCAGAAAGCGCCAAAACGACAAAAGAAGGAACCCGGUAACUCCUAAGCGGAAGCAUCCCCUGGAGGUAAAUCUGCUCGGCAACAGCCUAACUUGUCAAAAAUCAUAUUCAAUAAGCGCUUCAUCUUGCUUACAUCCUUCCGAAUCGCAGCUUGCUCCGCAGACAAUUUCUGAAGCUCCUCAGAUAGACGUUGUUGCUCACGAUACACAGAGGAAACAGAGAUAUCUUUCUCAGAAACGUCCAUAGAAGGACGUGAAGAAGUAGCAGUAGCAGGAGGUGGAGCAGCAGGAGGAGAAGAAGCACGUUGAGAUGGGGUACGUAACUGCACCGAGGACUUCACAAAUGUCCUUUCAUUGAGCCGACCCAAACUGUGCUCGUAUGAUGUACAACGAACAUCCACUUCACGAAGUCGCAGAAUCCUCAUGAUUAUCAAAGGAAAUGGUAACCUCUCAUUUUGCCCAGAAGUCUUGAUGUCCUUUGCCAUUCUCCGCCAAAUCAGAAACGGAAUAUUCAUGUUAAUAUUUUUAGCACUUACAAUAUCCGGCCUACCCAAGAGAUACAUGUACAGAAUGCGAUCCCAUCUCAAAAUUUUCGUGUUCGCGAGAGGCAUGAUGUUGUAGCAAACCACGAAGUUCAGAAACCUGUACUCCAUUUUGAAAUCUUUGGACAUAACCAUAAUGCCGUUUGAUUCAGUACCCGGCAUGCAAAUAGUGUUCACGACACGGUUCCAAUCGCGAAGUGAGUCAAACCCGGCCUGCAGAUACUCCACUCCGUCAGUCCUUGCUUCCAUCUCUAGCACAAAUGCUAUAGUAUCAUGAGUGAUUGAUAACUCAACACCACGUACGGAAGUAGUAAAAGCGUACGGGCCGCCGUCGGAAUCACUCAAGUGGCCUGCUCUCAUAUAAAAUUCACGAAUCAGCUCUAAAUAGAAACCAGUUUGUUCCGGGAAAUCACAAAUCUGAUGAAGAUUUCCUUUUUCAAAUAAAUCCUAAAAUCCCGGCACACAGCUAAUAAUACUGGCAACGCCGACAUCGCGCUCACCAAUACAAUGCUUCGACGAAUACAUGGACCGUCGAGCAGAUGGAACAUCCUGUAGACUGUGACGCGGAGGCUCAGAACCAGGUUCUCGAAUUUCAACACCACCAGACUUGCGACGACCGGUGAAUUCAGACGCCUUUCCUUUUCCUUUGUCCUGAGCUUUGCCUUUUCCUUUCUCAACCACUUUGCCUUUGCCUUUUCUUGUAUCCUUUUCCUUAGACAACACCUCUGGAGAAAAAGCCUCCCAGUCCGGCUCGUCCUCCUCAGAUUCAUCACCCGGGGCAUAUUCACUCCCUUCAUCUUCCGGUUGUUGCUCAACCGGCCUCUUAGCCGAGGAGCGCUGUCGCUUGCUACCGCGACCACCCCCAGCCAUAAGGACAACAAGCACAAGAAUCCACGAGUAUAUUAUUUUAAAAUCACCUGUUAAACAUAAUAAAAUUUACAUAAAAAAAAAUUUUUAAUUCCAAAAAUUUUCAGCAAAUUGGUAUAUAAAUAUUAGAUAAUCCUAGGGGCCACAUGAUCAUGAGUAACAUGAACAAAUCAUGCAACAAAACCAGCAAAAACAAAUUUUUUACGAAAACUUUGAAAUCCUAGGUUUUGAUGAUGAAAAAACCUACAGAAAAUGACCAAAAAGAUAAAGAAAUUCUAGAAAAGAUGAAAACAACCGGUCUAAUAACAAGAUCGAAGCUUAAACAUGCAUUUUUAGCAAGAUCUCUAAAACAAUCAUCAAAAAAUCUGAACCGAGACACAUUUUUGAGGUACAUGACAUAAAAGCAAUAAAAUCCGAAAAUCAUACCUAAAAUCAGUGCAAAUUGAUGAAGAUCGGAAGUAAAACCACUAUGGAGACAAGAGAGGAACACGGUAGAACGCAGGGGAAGAGAAAAUAAACUUUUGAAAAAAACAGUACACAGACGCAUCGAGCGAAAACCCCUUUAUCGGGUCUGGCGGAGGGACCGGUCUCUCUUGCCUGGGACCGGUCCCAGAGCCUGAAAAAUUUAAAAAAUUCUAAAUGUAGCUCGAAAAUGCAAAAAAAAUAUGUGAGGAUAUUCCAAAAUGCUUAAUCAUCACAAAUAUCCUAUUUCCAUCCACAAAAACUUUAAAUAAAAUUUCAUAAAGAAAUUUUGAAAAAUCAAUUUCAGGGAUAUUCAAAAUUUCAAAAUUUUUACCCGAAAAUCAAUGAGAAUUCUCGAUACAUAUAAAAUAAAAUCCCACACAUCAUGCAAGAUCUAGGAAUAAAUUGUAUCAUUUUACCAUCAUAUUUUGUUUAAAGAAAAUGAAUAAAUAGUUCUCAUAAUCGUGAAAUUAACAUAACAUGAUCGAAUUGAGUUAUGCACAUCAUUCAAGACAGAAGUGGCUCUUUGAGCAUCUUUUAGUAACAUUCCACCUUAUAUCACCUACAAGAUGUAUAGCUCUUUGAGCAUAUUAUUCUUACUUUUUCUCUUUCUGAGAGGUACUUUUCUUUUGUCUCACAUAGAUACUUUAAUCAACAUGUGGUAGCUGCACACACUAACCGGACGACCGGGGUGGUAGCUCUUUCCUCCAUGUGGUGGUAGUUUUCAUACUCCCAGCAGGGAUGUAACUCUUUCCACAUCUUGAAUAUCAGAAAUUUUCAUAGCUAAAAUAGGAAAGACUCCCCCUAAAUUAGUGCAACCCUCAAGUCAAAAAUAUUAUAGCUAUUUCAAAAACAGAGAAAGAUCUAUUCACCUCAAAACUAAUAAUCAAACAAACAAUUCCAACAUUCAAAUUUCAAAGCAUGGGUGCUGAAUUUGAUUCAAUAUGCUAAACAGAAUUUCAAUGAUUUGAUCGUUCAAAAAUAUGUCAAUAGAGAAUAACCCUGACAUUGAUCAAUCAAAAAUUAAAUAUGAAAUACUUAAAUUCACAGAUCAACUCAUCUUCCAAAACAGCAACAUUAUGCAAGAAAUUCAACCAACCCUCAAACACCGAAAAUUAUGCAAGAAAAGAAAUAAAAUAUGCAACAUGCACAUGAUCUAUGACCCACUAGUAUAUAUAUCUAGAUUGAAGGGUUCAUACCAAUUGCCUUUCUUAAAUGCAGAAAACGUUUUUGAUCCAAAGGUUUGAUUAAAAUAUCUGCAAGUUGAUUUUCAUUUGAAAUAUAUUCAAGUUGUAAGAUGUGUGAUUCAACCAGUUCUCUUAAAAAAUGAUAUCUUAGUUCAAUAUGUUUUGUUCGAGAAUGUAAAACAGGGUUUUUAGAAAUAUUAAUUGCACUCGUGUUGUCACACAGAAUAGUAAGAGUGGUAGAAGGAAUCCGAUAGUCGCUCAGUAAACUUUUCAUCCAAAUUAAUUGAGUAGAGCAACUCCCAGCCGCAAUGUAUUCAGCUUCUGCAGUGGAAAGAGUAAUACAAUUUUGUUUCUUACUAUGCCAAGCAACCAAACAAUGUCCAAUGUAAAAACAAGCUCCACUAGUACUUUUCCGAUCAUCUGCGGAGCCUGCCCAGUCAGCAUCCGAGUAGCCGAUUAAGUCAAGAGAGGUUCCCAUAGGAUACCAGAGGCCAUACUCGGUUGUUUUUAACAUACCGAAUGAUCCUUUUAACUGCUUUCAGAUGUACUUCCUUAGGGUUAGCCUGAUAACGAGCACAAAUUACAACACUAAACGCAAUAUCUGGCCUGCUCGCAGUCAAGUACAAUAAGCUACCAAUCAUGCUUCUAUAUUGUUUCUCAUCCACACUCUGACAUUCUGAAUUCAAUCCCAGUCCUUUGUUGCUUGUACCCAUUGGAGUGUCAAAAUCCUUUGCACUGUCCAAUCCAAAUUUCUUAACCAGUUCCUUUGCAUACUUUGUCUGUGACAGAUGAAUUCCAUCUUUUGAUUGUUUAACUUGAAGUCCAAGGAAAUAAUUAAGCUCCCCCAUCAUCGACAUCUCAAACUCGCUGGUCAUUAAAUUUGCAAAAUCAGCGGCAUCCUUGUCUUUAGUAGCCCCAAAAACUAUGUCAUCCACAUAUAUUUGUGCCACUAUGAAAUUAUCCUUCAGAUGUUUUACAAAGAGAGUUCUAUCCGCUCCCCCUCGAUUAUAACCCUUUUCCAAAAGAUAUUUUGUCAACCGUUCGUACCAUGCUCGCGGAGCUUGUUUUAGUCCAUAAAGUGCCUUUUUCAAUCGAAAAACAUGAUUUGGAAAUUUUGAGUCAAUAAAACCUUUCGGUUGUUCAAUAUAAACUUCCUCUUUUAAAAAUUCAUUUAGAAACACACUUUUGACAUCCAUUUGAAAGAGCGUGAUUUUAAAAUGGCAAGCAAUCGCGAACAAGAUACGAAUAGAUUCAAGACGGGCGACCGGAGCAAAGGUUUCAUCAAAGUCUAUUCCCUCAAUUUGUGAGUACCCCUGAGCCACAAGUCUUGCUUUGUUCCGCACAAUAGUACCAUCCUCAUUUUUCUUAUUUUUAAAGAUCCAUUUGGUACCAAUAAUGUGUUGUUGCUCAGGACGAGGCACCAAUUCCCAUACAUCAUUGCGAACAAAUUGACUAAGUUCUUCUUGCAUGGCAUUUAUCCAAUAUUCAUCACAAAGAGCUUCGUCGACAUUCUUUGGCUCAAUCAAAGAAACAUAACAUGCAAAUUCACAUUGUAACUGACUUCUUGUUCGCACACCAACAUUAGGAUCCCCAAUCACAUUUGACAAAGGAUGAUCUCUUGACUCUGUCAGGGGGGUAGUCUCUGUACUAGGGAUUUCAGACGUGAUGUUUUGUGACUCAGAUGAAUCAUUUGAUGCAAUAUUUUCAGAAGAUGCAAUGGAAUUAUCAGGUGUAGAAACAUCAUCAUUCACAGGCAUUACAAACGGAGAAUCAUUAUCAUCAUCAUUCAUCAAAGAGUUAGAAGUACCAUUCACAGAUGAACUUACAGACGAAGCUUCAUCUACUUUUAUAUUGAUAGACUCUAUCACCGUCUUAGAUCGUAAAUUGUACGCACGAUAAGCACGACUUGUAGUAGAAUAACCAAGAAAUAUGCCUUCGUCACUGCGAGAGUCAAAUUUUCCAAGAUUUUCACGAUCCUGAAGGAUAAAACAUUUACUCCCGAAGACACGAAAGUAUUUAAUGUUAGGUUUCCUACCAAGCCAAAGUUCAUAAAGCGUAUUCAAAGUGCCCGGACGCACAUAAAUCCGAUUGAUAACAUAGACAGCUGUGUUAAACUGCUUCAGCCCAAAAAUGUAAUGCAAUUUUCUUACUAUGAAGCAUAACACGAGCCAUCUCCUGUACAACCUGAUUCUUGCGUUCAACCACUCCGUUUUGUUGGGGUGUAUAAGGAGCCGAGAAUUCAUGUUUAAUACCAUUUGAAACACAAAAAUCAACAAAUUUUGAAUUUAUGAAUUCUCCCCCUUCAUCACUUCGAAUGCGUACAAUUUUAUCAUUUCGUUCAGUCAUAAGACGAAGACAGAUUUCAGAAAAAGAAUUAAAAGUAUCAGCUUUUUCUCGUAAGAAGGCACUCCAUACAAAGCGAGUAAAAUCAUCAACAAUAAGCAAGAUAUAACGUUUUCUACCCAAACUUUGAAUCCUAGAUGGUCCCAUCAAGUCCAUGUGAAGUAACUCCAAAGGCUUAGUUGUCCCUAAGUGGUUCAAGUUCUUAUGUGUGGAUCUAGUUUGUUUCCCCAAUUGGCAACCCCCACACACAGUGUUCUCUUUAAAAUCAAUCUUAGGUACACCUCUAACUACCUCCUUCUUGGUUAUCUUUGAUAGCUCCUUAAAGUUUAUGUGACCUAGUCGUUCAUGCCAUAAAGUUUCAGUUUCUAAUGACGCUAGGUUACAAUGUUCAGUGGACGAAUUAGGAACUACAUAACAAUUAUUCUGAGAUCUAAUGCCCUUUAAGAACAGAUUUUCAUCACGAGUCACAUGGCAUUUUUUAUCAGAAAAGUUCACAGAAUACCCAUCAUCACAUAGUUGGCUUAUGCUUACGAGAUUAGAUUUGAUCCCCUCAACAUAAAAAACAUCAUUCAACGUAGGGCCAUCUGAAAUAGUCACUGUUCCUUUUCCAACAAUUUUUGACGAUCGGCCGUUCCCAAAAACAACAAGUCCUCCGGAGAUUUUGGUCAAAGAAGUAAACCAAUUUUUAUCUCCGGUCAUGUGACGGGAACAGCCACUAUCCAGAUAUCAUGAUGAGUUAUCGUAAGCAUGAAGCGAAGUGUGAAUGACUAGGCAUGGGAAGAGUUCACCUUUGCGCACCGAAACCUUACGUGUUUUGGGCUGUGUCAGUUCGCUUGCUUUUGUUGAUCGUGGCUUGUCGACGAUUUGAAUUGACUUUUUCUUCAUAUCCUCCUUCUUUGGUUUCCACGCCUGUUUUGCCUUUGAUUCCGGAGCAUUUGGUGUCCAUGUUCGUUUCUUCUUAUAAUCAACCUUCUUUGGAGUCCAAGUUGACUUCCCUCUUGAUUUAAGAUCAUUCUUCAUAAGUGAUGUUCUUUGAUUCAAGGGUGUUGAUGAGCUCUUUCCCUUUUGUUUGCAGAACUUCUUUACAUGUCCUAAAACACCACAAAUAUGACAAGCUUUGUUAGUCAGAUUAUUUUGAGGAGGGACGAACUUACCAUAGAGCUUAGGAACAGCAGUUGAUGACUGUCCGCCAUCUUUCUUUGUUGCUUGGUCAACAUAGGUCCGUUCGUACCCAAGUCCAAGUUUGUUUGUUUGACCAAGUCCAAGCAUCUUGUCGAGUUUACUUGAUCCAGAAGAAAAUUGGUUCAAAUCUGACUUUAGUUGAAUAAUCGUCUUGGUGAAUUCCAUAUUUGCUUCUCUAGCUUCUGAGUAUUGCUUGGUGGGAAAAGUGAUAUUCUCCACUUGUGUCUCUUUUUCCUUUUCAAGUAAUGAGCACUUCUCGAUCAAGGAAUUAUGGGCCUUCGUCAAGCCAUCUCUCUCUUGUUCUAAAUCCUUUGUUAGAGAGACCAAUUUUGAAUUUUCUUGUUCCAACUCAUGUAGGCUUCGCCGCAGUCUCUUGUUAUGUUUAGCCAUCUUCUGUGAUUCAACAACCAAUUGUUGAUAUGCUGCGACCAUGUCAUCUUCGUCCGAUUCUUCAUCCGAUGAGUUCUCCGAAGAUGACUUCUCUUGUAUAGAGGUUAUGGAAAACGAGUCAGCAGAUGCUAAACACAUAAGAGUUGAAUCCUGUGCAAUUAGUGCCGUGGCAUUUACAUCCUCUUCACUCGAAGUGGAAUCGUCAGAUGAGGAGUCGUCCCAAGUCAUAGCUUGCAUAGCUUUCUUCUUCAACGACUUUUUAUUAGGACAGUCAGAUGCUAUAUGGCCAAAGCCCCUACACUUGUAGCAUUGAAUUUGACCUUCACCGCUUUUCUUCUCUUUUGUGGAGUCCUUUUGAGAGUUAUCAGAUUUUCUGUAUUUUGAUGAGGAAGAAGAAGACGAACCCCCUUUAGAUUUGUUUGUCUUGGAAGAAGUAGACUUGGGAGGAAACUUCUUUCUAAAGUUCCGACGAAACUUCUUUGUUAGAAGUGCUAGUUGCUUUUCAAAGUCCUCCAGGCUUUGCUCCGACUCUGAAUCUGAUGAGGUUGAAGUGACAUCUCCUUUUGUUGAUUUUAGAGCCAUCCCUGAAGCUUUAGUAAAAGACUUGGAAGAAGACGAAUUAGAAGGAAAAGUCAUUUCAUAAGUUUGAAGAGCACCUACUAAUUCUUCUACUUUGAGUUCAUCAGGAUGUUUGACCGUUUCAAUAGCCGCAACCUUAGGACGGAAUCGUUCGGGAAGGGUUCUCAAAAUUUUUCGAACAAUUUUGGAAUCGGGAAUUUUCUCGCCCAAGUUAGCACACGUGUUUACAAUGUCUUGCAAACGAGUAUAGUACUCGGUAAAAGAUUCAUGUUCUUCCAUACGAAUGGAAUCAAAUCUACUAGUAAGCAUUUGCAAUUUUUGAAUCUUAACCAAGCUUGUACCCUCGUGUGUAACUCGCAAAGUGUCCCAAAUCUCUUUGGCGGUUUCGCACGCCGAGACGCGAGAAAAUUCAGUUUGGUUUAAAGCAUUGAAUAAAGCAUUGAUACCUUUCCCGUUGAACGAAGAUAGUUCAUUUUCCUCUUUCGUCCAUUUAUUCCUAGGUUUCGGCACGGUAACAUUCUCGACAACUUCGGUAGGAUUUUUCCAUCCGAAUUCAAUGGCUUGCCAAACCCGCUCGUCGAUAGCAAUAAGAAACGCCCUCAUACGGACUUUCCAAUAAGCAUAGUUAGUGCCAUCGAAGAGCGGGGGUCGAUUGAUGUUACCGCCCUCAGCCAUGAAUUACAACCUAUACCCGCUCUGAUACCACUUGUAAGAUAUGGAUCCCGAGGAUCUAAAAGGUAAGUAACACCUAGAGGGGGGUGAAUAGGUGUAACAACGGCAAACUCAAAAAUCUCGAUGCGAAUAAAACAAAAUAGCGGAAAAGAAAACAGCACACCGAGAAUUUAACGUGGGAAAACUCCAAAUCGGAGUGAAAAACCCACGGGACCAAUCACGCAAAGAAAAUCCACUAAGAAAACAUGAGUACAAGUGAUAUUGACCAAAACUCACGACUCAAUUUACCAAUUUCCCGUAGAUGACGAUCUUUGCCGGUCCUCGAUCGAUAGGAAUCCUCCAAUCGACCUUGCCGCAACUCCUCGCAGCGUCAACGCCUCAAUUCCUCGAAGCGUCCACCGAAUCCUCGGCUUCACGCAAGAUCCACGCGUCGAACCUCCUUCCGGAGCUUGUAGAAUCGAAGAUUUGUGAUGAUUUAACCUUUUAAUACCAUAAGCUAUGAGGGUUCACCUUUAAUCAAACAUCUACUUGAUU
This 217069-nucleotide long non-coding RNA is filed under the name Ananas comosus (pineapple). Its description in RNAcentral is "long non-coding RNA (ACOM_LNC026890)". Lineage: Eukaryota; Viridiplantae; Streptophyta; Magnoliopsida; Poales; Bromeliaceae. The record is from RNAcentral.